RNAcentral lists this long non-coding RNA (190155 nucleotides) under Malus domestica (apple). The record is from RNAcentral. Lineage: Eukaryota; Viridiplantae; Streptophyta; Magnoliopsida; Rosales; Rosaceae.
UGCACUUUCUUAACCAUUUGACCAUCACCUAGCAGACAAUGAACACGUUAGCUCCGCGUUAGAACAUCUUGGGUUCAAUUCAUUGUCUUGAAUAUCACCCUCUGUCACAGGCGUCUCUAGGGGGCAUAGAGAAGGCCUGAGAGGCAUUUGCAGACAUUCAACAUCACCUCCAAGCAUUUUGACAACUUUGGACAUCGAAGGGCGAUCACUUGGUUUCAUUUGAAUACACCAUAAGGCGGUUAUAACCAUCCUUCUUAUUACUUUCUUUUCCUCCUCUGUAACAUUGUCCGUUUCCAAGUUAUUUCCCACAAUAUACUGAUCGUAUACCCACAUUGGGAAGUAGAUUUGGCUUGAAUGCUCUACCGUUGGAUUCAAAUUCUUCCUUCUGCUUGCCAUCUCCAUCAACAACAUUCCAAAACUAUAGACAUCUGACUUGUAUGAGACACCUCCAAUAUUUUUGUAGAACAACUCAGGAGCAAUAUAUCCCAGUGUACCUCGUGCUGCCGUCAAAGAGACAAUGCUAUUAUCUACAGGAUACAAUUUUGCAAGCCCAAAGUCAGAAACCUUUGCUUUAAAGUUCUCAUCAAGAAGGAUGUUAUGAGGCUUGAUGUCGAAAUGUAGAAUUUGCAUUUCGCAACCUUGGUGUAGAUAUUCGAUCCCUUGAGCCACUCCAAGAGAAAUCUUGUACAUGUUCUUGAUAGUUAAGGGGACACUUCCUUCUUUGGAAUAAAUGUAUUUAUCAAGAGAACCAUUAGGCAUGAAGUCAUAUACUAGAGCGCGUUUUGAUCCCUCAACACAGUAUCCAACAAGUUGCACCACAUUGGCAUGGUGAAUCCUUCCGAUUGUAGCUAUUUCGCUAAUGAAAUCUUGGCCAUCAGCUUUGGGCUUGCCCAAAACUUUGAUUGCUACAAAUCGACCACUGCGUAGCUUUCCCUUAAAUACAGAGCCAAAGCCACCUUCGCCCAACUUGUCCUUAAAUCUGCGAGUCAUUUUCUUGACGUCCGAGUAGGAGUACCUUAUAGGCAUGAAGUUGUUAUUGCAUUGCAGAAAAUCUUCUAUUGUGCUAUACAUUGAUAAAUGUCUUCUGCGCCAUGUGUAGAUUAGAAAUGCAGUCACAACUGGAACUCCAAAAACAAAUCUGGCUGGGAAAAAUAACCCUGCAUGCAUUGACAUUAAUACGUUAGAUCCACUGUGUACUACUUUUUCUUCCCUUUCUUUCCAAAUUACUUUGUCUUUGAUGUAAUUAAAGAGAAAGAAUGGGAAAUCUACAUAUGUUGAUAAUACAAUCUCGUCUUAGUCCUUACCGAUGCAUAUGAGUAUAAACCAUCUACGUGCUGUAACAAAAUCAAUCGACUAUGAGUUUGAAAAGUGCAUAAAGUGAAAAAUAAAUAAAUAAAUAAAAUCAAAGGGUGCCUUUAUUGACACCCAAAUUUUAGUUAGCUUUACUCAACUAAAAAAAUUUUGUCAAACUUUUUAAUUUGCCGUCGAAAUUGAGUUCACCCAACCCACAAAGCAACAACUACCACUCACCAAAAAAACCAACAACACACAUCCACCAGUACCACUCACCAAUAGAAAGAGAAGGAACACACAGACCCACCAAGGAGCCGGCAUCGACGCAUCUACGAGGGAGGGACCGGAGGGUGGUGUAGUUUUGUUGGGCGCGCGGUAGUUGUUUUGUCUGUUCAUUUUCUCUUUCUUUUGGUAGGUGGAGGCUGCUGUGGAUUUGGGCGAACUUAAAAAUGAGGGGAAACUAUGAAGUUUGACAAAAUGUUUUAGUUAGGGGAACUUAACUAAAAUUUGGGUGCCGAUAAAGAUACCCAAUAUAAAAAAUACUUGAGCGUAUAGACUAAUUAAAUGAAGUUGAUCUUACCGAUCGGGUGGCUGUAUGAUGAAUACAACUUGCCAGCUGCAAUAGAUACCACAGAAAAGUGAGCAAAGACAUACAGUUACUAGGUUUAAGAAGUACAGAUAGAGCACACAAAAAUAAAAGAAGCUUUUGGAGAGAAACUUCUUACGCAAAUAUAUGUAUUCAUGACCUACAGUGAAAAUUGUGAAGAAGAAUACACAACAUUAGCAAUAGCUCACCCAGUCUUCAGAAUUUAAAAAAAUCAAGUUUGUCGAUCGAAAACUUGUAAAUAAAACAAAAAGAGGACCCCUUACUGAUUUGUUGCCAUAGAUAUUGAAAGAAACCUACAAGAACAAAGAAAGAACAAGACCACAUGCAUUAGCAUAACAAGUGUGAGGUGUAUAAGUCGUUAGAAAAUAAAUUUAGAAUUCUAGUGCUGUCAAUACAUUGAUAAUAUAAUAUAUAUGUGUUAUUUUUUCUGAAAAUUUAACUUUCCCCCUCCAAACUCAUUUUUCUAGCCUCUAGCCCAUCAUAUAAUAUUUAUCCGAAUAAAACCCAAUGAUUAGGAUCCAACUAAGAAACUUACCAAAUUAAGUUUGUGUGUCCAUUUUUAUAUUUUUUGGAUCGCUAAUAUACCCCAUCUAAGCCAGUAUGGAAAGUUCUUGUAAUUUUGUUUUAAUUGAUCACGUGCAUUGAAUUUGGCAAGGUCUUGUAGCCAUGAAAAAUGGUUCUAGAUGGAGGAAUUAAUUGGGAUUUUUUUUUUAAUUUUGACAACAAAUUUCAAUUUGAAUAUACCUAAUUUAGUGUUUAUUUUCAACAAUAUCUAUUGUUUAAUUUUAUGAAAAUAAUUUACCUACUAUGAAAAUUAAUUUUAUGAAAACAAUAUCUAUUGUUUAAUUUUAUACCUAUAGGAUAAUUACAUGAAAAUAGUUUACCUACUAUGAAAAUUAAUUUUUUCAAAACAAUAUCUAUUGUUUAAUUUUAUGAAAAUAAUUUACCUACUGUAUAAUUACAUGAAAACUAAUGUGCCUAUUUUUUAAAUUUGUUACAAAAUUAAUUUACCUACUCUUUAUGGUAUUAGUAAUAUAUGUCCGUACGUAUUUGAUCUAAUUAGGUUUUGGAUUGGAGGAGUUGACACAAAAUUAUAAAUAUAUUAAACAAAUUUAUCUAUCCUUAAGUUGGAGGGGAAUUGGCCUGCACAUUGCUACGGUAAACAAAUGCCACUCGAUUUCACGUUAUUUACAACAAAGCUAUCAGAUUUGGGUUGGGUUGGAGGGUAAUUUUGUGCAUAGGGUUUAGGUGCCCUCCUAUAUAUGACCCUUGAUUUUACUUUAUUUACACCACUGCCAUCAAAUAUGUGGCUGAAUUGGAGGGUAUUAUUAAAAGUUAGGAGGAUAGUUUUGUCCAAGGGGUGGGGGCGACAUUCGCAGACAGGGGGCGAUGGGAGCCAUGCCCAUUGCACAGAAACAAAGGGAGUGAUGGGGGAAAUUACAGACAGAAAAGGAAGGGAUGGGGGGAUUUGAUGGGUGGUCACAGAGAGAUUGGGUGAGGGAUGUGAGGGGACAUUACAGAGAGAUAAAUAAAAGGGAGGGAUCGGGUGAUUUGAGGGAUGGUCAGAGAGAGAAAUAGUGAGGGGGAUGUGGGGCUGAUUUUCGGUUCCUCCUUCCAGAUUUGUUCCGUAAAACCUGUUGGGUACAAUUCAAUCCCUCCCCCUUUCCCCUGAACGAAAAAUUCGAAACCUACAACUCAAAACUCACUCAUUUGUCGCCCCUCCUUGGCUUUCCGCUUUAUUCAUCUCCCGGUGUUUCUUUCUCUCCAUACGAUUCGAUUUCGGUGAGUUCUUCGUUGCCCUCAUGAUUUCCCAGUUUGAUUUUUUGAGCGUCCUUAGUCGUUGUUUUUAUCUGGGUUUACUGCGUUGUUGCUUUUAGUUUCUGGAUUUUUAUUUUUUCCGCGGUUGGAUGAAUCGUGGUUAAUAAUUUCACACCAUGGGAUUUUCGCACUUCUGAUGGAAUUGAGCGCGGGGAUUCGGGGUGGGGUUUUACUGAUAAUUUGUCUUCAUUCAAAUGAAUGGUUAAAAUUUCUGAAGUGAGUGUGCAGGUGGGCCCGUUCACUAACUAAGCUUUCAAGGGAACCCAUCAACGGUUUGUUUGCUGGGGGAAUUCGGAGACUACCAGUGUAUGAUUUAGUUAUCAUUUAUUUUUUUACUUAAUUUUAUCCAUAUAUAAUAUGUGGGUAAAUUUAUACUAAACAAUUGUGAUAAGCCAAUAUGCCAUACGACUUUGAAAGCAUUGAUUUUGUGUUUAGUUUGCAUUUUUGCAUUGUGAAUGUUGAAUUUUGUAUUUAAUUUGGAUUUUGUGUUUGAAUUUGUAGCAUGAUCUUCCGCUGCAGCAUCCAAAUUUUGCAUUUGUAAAUUGUCAAAGAAAAACGAAGUAUGAGGAAAUUAUAGGAGAUUGUGUCGGCUUUGGCCAUGAAGGGUAUCAGCAGCUUGUUCCCCCAUACAGGUGAUUAAUCGUUUUUCAGUCUCUGUUCUAUUUGGAUGAGAAAGUGAUUGAAAAAUAUGAUUUUUUAUUUGUUGGUUGAUUUUGUAUGGACGAUGUAUUAAUUUUAUUUUUUUUGGGAUUUUGUGUAUUGGGUAUUGUGUAGAACCAGCAAUGCAAGAGCAGGAUCUGAUCAGUCACGCCCGAAAAGGGGUUUGUUUCUCAAAUCACAUUAAUUAAUUAGAUUAUUAACGUGCGUUGGAAGGCUCUUCAAUAUGAUUUCUAAUUUCUCCUUUCCAGCAUUCUCUUUUUGGUUUUUGGAGUAUGUAUGUGAUUUGUAUUUUUUUAUAGAAUAAAAAUUAAUAAAACACGAGAUGCAGCAAUUAAUUUGCAUCCUUAUGACAACACAUAUGAAAGUGCAUUCAAUUUCAAUGUGCGAAUGUGUGACAGGAUGUGCCUGCCUCCUUGAAAACACUUUAUGUGAACAAGUGUGAGGUUCUACAUAAAAACAGGGCCAGUAAUACCCUGAACGUGGAAUCCUUACGAGGAUCUCUUGAAAAACUGACAAUAAAUGGAUGCCCGGGUCUCUCAUUGUUACUAGAGUCGACGGAGACGCUGCCGUCGCUUCAGAAGCUUGAUAUUGAUAGUGUUGGUGGGAAAGAGUUGUUGGCGCAAAUGGUGCACAACAGCAAUCGUCUUCAAAGUUUGACUUUAUAUAAAUGUUACUCACCCUUGUCGUUCCCUACAAAUGGUCUGCCCACCACGCUGACGUCACUGAGCAUAACAGAUUGCAAGAAAUUAGAAUUCCUAUCACGUGAGAUGAUGGCCAAAUUGACUUCCCUUCGGUCUUUGCGUCUAUCCAACAGCUGUGAACGCAAAGGCUUGAGUAUUUGCAGUUUAGUUUUUUUUUUCUUCAUUUUAGAGAUUUUUCUACUGUUUGGUUUUUGGGUUUUGUCUAAUUUUUGUGGUCUGCUUUAUAGAUUGUUCUCUUUGGAAGCUUCUUUCCAGCCUUGACCUUCUUCUUGCCUGGUGCCUUCUCAUUGAGUAUUGGAGGAGCAUUAAAACACAGGUGUGUGUGUGUUUUGUCGACGUAAGAGAUGAACGACAUAAAAACAUCCAUCUCUGUAUUUUUUUGUGCUUUUUCUAACCCAUCAAUUUCUUUUGAGUCAACCAAAUAGUCCCAAAUUGCAACUUAUGUUGUGAGGUAUUAUUGUCUAAAAUUAAGUAUGCAUGUAUAUUUUAUGUUUAUGCCCGCGCACACCUCCGCAUGGUGUUAAUCUCUGUGGGUCAUCUAUGUAUAUGUAGAUAUAUCUAUAUGUGUAUGUGUGGAAUGCAACAUAUCGGAUUUAGGUUAUACUGUGCAUAGUUUUAUUGCCUGUUAUUAUCUACGAUAUCACUAUGCCAUUUCUAUACUGGCUCUGAAAGUUAUUCAUGAGCUUAUAAGCACUUACCAUAAUUUAAGCAGUCUGUUUUGGGUUCUUUUUCAUUAGGUCAUUAGCUACAGAUUAAUGGAGAAACGAGGACCAUGCCACUGAUUUGGGUUCUUUUUCUAAUUUUCUGAUUUUGGGGUUUUGCAGGGAGUACUGAUGUACUGAUUUUCUGGGAUUUUUUUUUGUCCUUGCAGGAUUUUUGGUCUUUGAAAUGGGUAUGUGUUGUUUUUAAUGUUUCAGUUCUAGCGUGUUCCGUUCUUCGUUGCUUCGUGAUUCUCAUUUUUCAGUGUUGGGUGAUGGAAAUUUGUUAAAGUAGUUGGUAGUUUUUUGAGAAAGUUGGCAUUUUUAGUUAUAUUUUCUGUUUAAUCCUAAAUGUAAGACUGGAAAAUCAUUGAAAUGAUGGUUUUUUAAAAACUCAUAAUUUUUUUGUUCUGGGAUUUAAAAGCAUCUUUUCCAGAUUGGUUACAAGGGUUAUGUUCUCUUCAAUUGGUUCACCUAAUUUUGAUUAGUUUUAAGUUUUGUCCUUUUAAGUUUGUCUUUUAAGUUUUGUUCUUUAAGUUUUGUCUUUUAAGUUUUGUUCUCUAAGUUUUGUCUUUUAAGUUUUGUCUUCUGUGCUGUAAUGAGAGAUUUCUGUUGGCUUUUCGGAUUUUGGCAUGGGAAAGUUCACUUAUUUGUCUAAUUAGAUUGUGUAUGCCUUCGAUUCUUUAUUUAAUUGUUCUGUUUGCGUUCGGGUGUGAUGAUCUAAAUUUCAUAUGUUUGGAAUUAUUUACUUAACACCAAUUUGUUACAUUCAGAUCUCCACCCCACAUUUCACUAGUUGAAAUUCCAUAGAAGUCGGUUACUGCAGAUUGCGUCUACAAUUAGAUCAGAGAUCAACUGCUCUUUUGUUAUCCUGCAGAAGAUUGCUUUUGGGAAGGAUCUGAAGUAGUUUCUCUCUGUAUGUUUAUUCCCAUGUAGCUCUGUCUUUUCUAAUUGUGUUGAUAUUACACUGUAAUUCAUGAUGAUGAUUUAAUUGUUUAUUGAUUUGUAAUUGAUUGUGAAUAAUGUGGCAUAUAUGAAUUGCAAUCUGUGUUUGUAUGAAAGGGAUGGCAUAUUAUGUUGCUGACUUAAUUGUUUAUGUUUUUCAUAUUUGCAAAUGGUGUUAUGAUCAAUUAGGUGAUUGCUGACCUGUGACUUUGUUUGGAGCUCAAAUUUUGUGAGCAUUACAUUGGAUUGUUUUGAUGUUGUUUUGGUUAACAAUGCAGCGAUAGGAGAAACAAAGAGGAUGACACUUAUAACUGCCCUUCCCCAUCGGCCGUCUUCAAAUUUGGAUCACAAGAAGGGAGCAACAUAGGUGUUUUCCUUCUUCAUUUAGAUAUGGUUAGUGUAAAUAAUUGGACAAAAGAGCCAAACAAACCCUGUUCUCUCAAAUGGAGUCGAUGAUGUGGUCGACGGCCACCAGCCCCAACUCAAGAGUUUGGCCUUCAUAUAAUUGGAUUGUAGUAUAAUUUUAUUUUGGUUCAUUUCUUUUUUCCUUUAUAUAAGUGCAGGUGUUGUGAUGUUUUGAAUAAAGGGUGAUGAAAGGUGGUUCACACACUUCCUCCUUACUUAAAGCAAGUGGAGAUGACGGUUUGUAUAAAAAGAAAAACUUGCCACGUACUUCAAUUUUCUAUUUUAUUAAUUAUUGUUUGGUUUUCCAAAUGUUGUAUUCACUAAGAGACCAAUUAUGUCUUUGAGAAACAAGUUUCUUUGUCUACAUUGCGAGAAUUUGCAGUUUGCAACUUUCAUUGGUUAUUAUAUUUGAUUGAGUUAAACUUGGAUUUCUGGAUUUUGACUUUUUCGUUUGUUUCUUUGUUGCAGAGUUGGCUUCAUUUCAUUCCAGGAACUGUCUAAAUAGGGCCAAGAACUCACUAAUAGGUAGUCAAGAAGAAUUCAGUGUUGCCUUCAAUUUUUGCCUUCUGUUUACAUUCUUCCUGGAUGCACUCUCACCGCUUCUCUCGCUUACCACUUUUGUCUCACUCACCGCUUCAUCUCUUCUGUUGCUUACAAGGUCGUGUCAUAUAUUUUUUUAAUUUUGUGUGGUUUAAUUUAUUGAAUAUUUGAAAAAAGAGAUAAAAUUUUCAAUUUACAAUUACUGAUAUGAUGUUUGUUUUGAAAAUCAUUAAGGUGAAUGGAGAGAUUUACAACCAUGAAGAGCUGAGGAGCCGUUUGCCAAAUCAGAUUUAUAGGGCUUCAUCAAUUAUAAAUAAACGACUUUUCAUUCCCAAUGACCUUUAUCGUUUUUCUUAAUGGGUUAGCUGAACAUGAGGUAGAUGCUGACUUUAUCAAAUAUGAGAAUGUUUUAGGAUUUCAUUCUAAUUUUUUGGCUGUUUGAUUACUUUGCUUUUCGUAAUUUGAUUUGCUUAUCGUCAAUUGGAUGGGAUAAAACAUAUUUUUGUAACCAGUUUGUACUUUUUUUUUCUUUUUUUUGUGGAAACUAACCAGUUUGUACUUUUACCAAUUACCAUAUCGGUUUUGAUGGAAUUGGAGCUUUCAGUAAUGGGUUCUGAGGGAAUUGGAGUUCUGAGUAAUGGGUUUUUUUUAACAACUAUAGUAUCAUUUGUGAUUCAUUUAUUUAUAAGAUAUUAUAUAGGAAACUGUUUUUAGCACUCUAAAAAUCUUAUUCUACACUCUCGACAAAUGUAUUUUUCUUUCUAAUUAUGAAAAGUUUGGAGGGCAAAAUGAGAAUUGUGGAGUGCCAAUAACAAUUCCCUAUUAUAUAUAGCUCUACUAGGAAGGCGACUGUAUGUCUUCAUCCUGUUAAAUUGUAUAUGGCUCUUGAUGUCGGCUGAAUUAAAUCAAAAUGAAAACCAAGCUGCUGAUCUUACCAGCCCAUAUCACUUAUCACUUGCUUAUUUAAAUUAUUUGAAGAUGCGUAUGUGGAUUGGUGAUUUUGUUGGAUUCACUUGGCUCAAAUAUAUGUUAUCUGAGUCGCUACAUUUGAGAAUGUGAUUUUGUUCCUACCACCAUUUUGCCCACUUUUUGUGGAAAUUAUUUCUGCUUGUUGUGAAUGAUACAUUCAUCCCCGGCAGCAAAGUGCGAAGUGCGGGCGCAUUUUCUAGUUUAAGUAAAUCACACAAUGGGUCAUCAAUAAUAACAAACUUGUCAUUUAUGAGAGUCAAACAUGAGGCCACCUACCUACUAGUUUAGUGGAAUACCACAAGUGACAUGUUGAUACCUUUAAAUCUCAUAUAAUGGAUUGCAGAAUUAGGAUAUUCCUAGACUAAUUUAGUUAGUGCGUGAACCCGAACAAUUAACAAGGGUUUUAUUCUUGCUUGAAUGUUUGUUAUAUGUUCCUAGUUUGACAAGGCAAUUAUAUUUCCGACUACAAGUUAUUAAUUUAGUCGAGAAUUGACGCACCUGAAAUGGUGUGAGGAAAACAUGUAUCCACAUGAGCCGCAGUCCACUGUCCUUGGCAUCUAUCUUUAAAAGGCUCGAAAUGAAGCUCAAAGCCAUACAUGAGGGCAUUGUGUAUGUCUUUAUAAGAGAAGUUGCGGUAGUCCUCAACGUAGCCGGCAGCCAAACUCAUCCACUCUACACUGCAACCAUCAUCCAAUUCCCAUACCUCCCUGAACCUGUCCCCAACAUAUUCCCCGACCAUGACAUAGCUAUUCGUUUUUGGUUGACUCGAAGAAGAAGAAGAAGAAGAAGUAUUAUUCAAGCAUGGAGCAGUGUCCACGUACAGAGAAGAAUUCGAUGGAUUCGAACACUUCAAGUAAUAUAUAGAUAGAGAAUUAAUGUCAUAGGCGGGCCAAUAUAGAGAAUUGAUGUCCUCGGUGGUGGGCGGAAUAUUUUGAGACAUGGAAGAGCAAUUGUUGUUGUCAAGCCCAGGAUCUCGAAGUCGGAUUGUUUUGUUAUUAUAGUUGAUUGCCUGGACAUGGUACUUUCCGAAAGAAGGUAGGUCUAGUACUGUAAUGUUGCUCUCACAGGACAGAGUAUACGAUAUGUUGCCACAGUACUUUGGAUCAUCGUUAAGUCGAAAAGGAUGGCUUAUGUUGUGGAUAUGGCCGCAGGAUGAAGUGCAGGACUUGGCACUACUGUUGUCAGCGUUACAAGUUUCACUGCAAAAGCAAAGAAGAAGAAAGGCUAAACUUAAGGUGAAGGACCUGGUUCCACUAAUUUCCAUUGCUCUGAGAGAGAGAGAGAGAGAGAGAGAGAGAGAGAGGGUACCAUAGCUUAAACACCAAGGAGUUAUAUAAUAUGGGAGGGGUUAAAGCACCUCGCUUACAGUUGCAGUAAGCCCGUCAAAUAUCCUAGGGAAAAGUCGGUCAAUGGUGUCCUAUAGAGAAAAGUCGGCCUUGGUGUUUGACACGGUCACUCAACUCUCUCUCUCUCUCACAUUGACGAGGGACACUGUAAUUGAAAAAAAAAAAUGUUCUUCAGAGAUAGAUCUUGAAAUUCUUAUUUUAUAUAAAAAAAACACCUAAUAUUAAAUUAUUAAUCAUUCAAAUGAAAUUCUUAAAAUUAAGUAUAAAUAAUACAUAACGAAAACUGAGCACAUACAAUCAACGGUCACGAUCGUGAAAUCCUCCGGAUCCUCAGAAAAAAAUCCGACGAUGAUCUUUUUCUGUGUAAAAUAAUUUGAGGGUAUAAUACUGGAUGUGGAGCCAAAAAUAUUCGCUAGGCGACACGUGGACUUUUGGACAAAAGAGGACAAAAAUACCCUCGAAGCAUACAAGGAUUCCUACGCGCGAGCAGUGGGCAAUCAUCUUUCAAUCAAGUCAAAAGUGCCCAAAAAAGGUAACAAUUAAAAACCUCUCUCAUCAAAUCCUUUCUAUAAGGUAUUUCCCAAAACCUAGUAUUUUCUAUUUCAUUAUUUAGCUAAUCAAUUAGCUAAAUAAUAUAAACCUACCAUAUCUCCUAAAAUCACCCAAUUAAUAGCCCAAAACCGGCCCCCACUAUUCACAUCCUCAUCUUUCCCAUUUUCCUUAUUAAAAUAAUCAUUCAUUUUUAUAAACCACCCAUUUUAUUAUUUUCAUAUUUAAUUAGCCAAUAAAUUGGCAAAUUAAACAUGAAAUUAACCCCCACAAAAACCCUAUGGCUGGCUACUAUUAUUCAAAAUAGGGCAAACCCUAACUCUAUAAAUAAACACAUAUUCUCACCAAAAAUUCAUUCCAACUCUCUCACAAAAAAUCACAAAUACUCUAAACACUAUUUCUCUCUAAAAUUCUAACUUUGGCAUCAGAGGUUCUUCGGCCAAAGCCCCCCCCAUUCAUCGUGGGCGCGUGAGGCUCUUGGCCUUAACCUAAGGUGCUAGUUGUUUUGUAGGUGCAAAAUCGUCCAAGAUCGAAGAGGAGAAAAUUUGCAUCCACAAAUUGGUGCUUUCAUUGAGAGUUGAAAUCCAUACUCGUAGAAGACUCUCGCACAAAAAGGUUUUUUCUUUUAUUUUCUAGUCCAUUUGAAUAUUUUUCAUACGUUCUUAUUAUUAGAAUUUUUUUACUUGCAAAGGUUCUUUGAUAAAACGUAUAAGCAAAAUAUAAUGGCUAGAAAUUUAGAAAAUUCCACAAGUGAAAAUUCUAAUGUUCAAGAAAUGGGAUUGCGGAGAUCCGUGAGGCUAAAUGCGACAAUAAGGGGAGCGGCAUCAUCAUCACGAGCUUCCACCAUGGGAACCACCAUGGUGGCUACCUCGGUAGCCACCCGCGGCGAGGUCCAUGGUGCCUUCACCACGGCCACCAUGGGAACCACCGCGGUGGCUACUUUGGUAGCCACUCGUGGCGAGGUCCAUGGAGCCUUCACCACGGCCCGGAGAUCCGUGAGGCAAAAUGCGACAAUAAGGGGAGCGGCAUCAUCACCACAAGCUUCUACCAUGGGAACCACCGUGGUGGCUACCUCGGUAGCCACCCGCGGCGAGGUCCAUGGUGCUUUCACCACGGACACCAUGGGAACCACCGCGGUGGCUACUUCGGUAGCCACUCGUGGCGAGGUCCAUGGAGCCUUCACCACGGCCCGAGCCGUGCCAUCCAAGGCUCACGGUACCAAGACCACGAUCCAAGCCGUGCCAUCCAAGUUUACGUGGACCCAAGCCCAAGCCUCGCAUUCACAUGCACCGCGCAUUGAGCAGCCUGUUCCCGUGAUCCAGCCUGUUCCCGUCAAGCAACCCACUCUCACGGCCCAACCUGCUCAUGCCGAGCAGCCUGCUCUCGUGACACAGCCUGCUCCCGACGAGCAGCCCACUCCCGUGGCCCAGCCUACUUUCGUCGAGCAGCCCACUCCGGUGGCCCAGCCUGCUCCUGCUAAACAGCCCACUCCUGUGGCCCAGCCUCCUCUUGCUAAGCAGCCUGCUUUCGUCGAGCAGCCCACUCCGGUGGCCCAGCCUGCUCCUGCCAAGCAGCCCACUCCGGUGGCCCAGCCUGCUCCUGCCAAGCAGCCUACUCUCGUGACCCAGCCUGCUUCCGACGAGCAACCCACUCCCGUGGUCCAGCCUGCUUCUUUCGAGCAGCCCACUCUCACGGCCCAGCCUACUCCUGUGGCUUUCCAAGCAGCCCAAGUCGGCCCAAGACUAUCUCCCGGACCUACCAUCGAGCCGAGGGCAUUCUCACCACAUUUUUUCACGGAUUUGACAUUUCCCAACUCAAAUCUCGCGCCCGGAGUCUACCACAUUUCCACUGCCCAAGGAGGCGCAUUCCUUCCAAGCUCUUCCAAUCCAAAUGGCGAACAACACUUGUCUCGACAAGUCAUAGAGUUGACGAGCGCCCUUGCACAACAGAAAACCUUGGUGAAUCAACUUUUGCAACGUAUCGGGAUCCAACGUGCCCCGGACGAGGUAUCCCGAAGUAGGACAAGGGCAAACGAACAUUUCCAGCAGCCACUCGACCAGCCACGAGCCGAACGUUUGGGCAGUGUACAUUCCCGUCUUAGAGCGCGAGGGAGCAUGCACUCUCGACUAGGCCCACGGAUGAGCAUACAUUCACGGUUGGGGUCAUACUCCGAUAGUCAACAUGAGCAACCUUCCGGGCAAAGUGUCUAUUCGCAGCUAAGCCCACAAGGAGCGUCAUCCACCUCACAUCAGAGUAGGCAGCACGACGGACGGAGAGAAGCAGUCACUCAAUCCAGCUCAAGUUCAACCAGCAGCCUGCGAAGAACUCGCUCGCCUACUAGGAACGCACCACAUGCACUGCAUUCGCGGCAUAGACGAGCCAAACACAUGGAAGAGCAGCUUAGACCAGCAAGUCAUGACUGGAGGCAGCCAAGAGCUCCGCUACCCCAACAAAGGCAAAUUCAGGAAGAAGUAGAGAGACUCUUGACCAAGCGAUUGCAUGAUUUCCAACGCAACGAGGUCACCGACGAGGCACUACGACGGAACAUGACCAACAUAAGCAAGCAGGUCACCCUUCACGGACGAGAUCGAGCAGGCAGAGCCUCCACGAGAGUUCAGCAUGCCACAUUUCACAUCUUUCAAAGGGGAUGAAGACCCGGAGAGACACUUAAAGCGCUACCGAAGCGCAAUGAUCCUUUAUCGAAACAACGAUGAGCUUAUGUGCAAGAUAUUCGCCACCACUCUACAAGGCGAGGCGCAAGAUUGGUUCUACACCCUGCCGUCACAAUCCAUCCGGAAUUUCUACGAACUUUCUUUGGUUUUCACCAAAGAAUAUUCAUCCUAUCGCUCGAUCAAAAAGAAAUCUGAUCAUUUGUUCAACGUCAAGAAGAACCCAAAGGAGUCAAUUCGCGACUAUGUGAGGAGGUUCAAAGUAGAGAAGGCAAAAAAUAGUCGGAUGCAACGACUCGAUAGCUAGAGCAGCCUUCCAAAAAGGACUUCCAGCAGACCACCCGCUAUUUGGAAAAUUGAUCAUGAAAGAAGAUCUAACUCUGGCAGACUCUUUUGCUUUGGCAGAGAAGUAUGCACUUUGGGAUGAGGCUCGCCAAUGCACAUUCAAGGACUUGAAGAAGUACCCGACAUCACCUCCCUAGAAGCAGCGGAGGACUUAUUCACAUGUUUGACGAUAUCUAAAGUAGCAAUAAGCUCUACCAUCAUGCGAGAAGAGAUGGGGGCCCGACUACCUGUAUUCCACAGUUACCUGUAUUCUACAGUUCAAAAGCUCUCCUCGAUGUUAUUAAAAAUUCAAAAGCUAACUUUGGUGAUAGUUGUUGCAACCCAGAAGCACAAGUUUUACUUUCAAACGCAUGCAAUCAUCCUAAUGACGUACUAUUCUGCCCAAUCCAGACGCGCGACGAUAAAGGUGUAGACCAUGGCGGAUGUAAAGUUUUCUGACGAACGCAACACUAGAAGGACACACUCGAAAGCAAGUUUUGUCCUCGUCACCCUAAAAGAUUCUACAUAGGAGCAACAUGUACCGGCAGUUGAGUACCAUUUCUUGCUGCGCAUCACACGGCCCUAGCCGACCCUUGCUCAAUGAUUCAACUCUAGAGUGGCCCAAUACCGGCAGUUGAGCAUCUCCUGUUGCGUAUGACAUGGCCCCAUCUCCACAGCUCCCUACUGCGUCUUCACGCCGAGCCUAAGUGACGUAACAGAGCAGCCCAACGAUGCCUCAGAAGUAGCCGAGCACACUCUAGCUGCGCCUACUCCACCCGAUGGAGACUUUUGGCAUUUGCAUGUCGACGACGCAGAAAAGCCUUCAUCACUGCCGGCAGAGAAGGCUCCAAAAAGAUGGAUCCCAUCUGGGAAGGUCCGUACAAGAUCAGCAGAGUAGGGGGCAAGAGUAAUUACACCCUCACCACCAUGAAGCAGCAAAAAUAUUGAAAAGAAAUGGAUGGCCUACAAUCUGAAGAAGUACCAUGUGUGACCUCCCGCUACAUCAAAACCCGAAGACUCAAUAAGCUCGACGGGCACCACCUCACAAGCUGGGGACUAUCCAGUUGUUAUGCAGUUCCUACCUUACAGCUAAAGUUCUCGUUCGUUUCACUCGUUUUUCAAUGAGGAAUUUAGAAGUAAUCACAACUUGGCUUGGUUGCAUGCUUACAACAACUAAUCACUCCUGCACUUCAAAAGAAGAUUGCGCCCUUCUUAGGGACUCAUCGCAGGAAUUGCGCCCCCCGAGGGACCAACCAUGCUCUCCAGUGCGAGAGGGUAAACCAAUUCUCCGACACCCAUAUGGGUCAGCUCUCCAAGACGGGAGGAUAAACUUUACACUCCGAAUAUCCAGACGUGGAUGAGCCUGGCUGCCCUAGUAUAACUAGAUGCACGAUGGCUUGCGCCGGGAUUCCUAGAAGUAGCCGCAAUGGUCUUUUUCAAGGCUUAGCUAACUGAAGGAUUUUGGGUCUCUUGGCCUAAUCCGUGGGGAACCGGGCCCUAGAGACGGAGAGGGCACAUUACGCAGUACAUCCGAUGGACGGCUGCCCUGGAAUCCUAAAGCUGCUACCGAGUGCACUAAGGUAGCCUACGGAUUCCGGAAGACUGCCUACGGCUUGCCCUUCGAGCAGUGAAGCCGCACUAGACUUAUACAACCGCACAUUCUUGUGAAAGGUUAAACAAGCUAGCGCGCAUAUACGAAGUUUUAUCCACUGCCGACAUGCUAUGUAGUUGAUAAGCUUCACCUCUGCCAAGCGCGGAACAACCUACACCAAGUCCUAAAGUGUUGUGAUACUUGCUACGCAACCUACGGAAUUGAAAAAAGUCAAGGUUAACAGCCGAGUGGUUACGCGGACUUGUCUACUUCUGUAAGUAAGGCAUCCGGCUGCCAACCCUAUGGCUAACAACUUUGCAAAGUUCUACACCAACACCUACGGCUGCAUAGGCUACGCGAGUUUGUCUGCUUAUAAAAAAGUAGCAUGCCUGCCACUGGUCUAUCAAGUCUAAAGGUUAGGGCAUGAACAAAAGAAGUGAAGAUGAAGAAAAACGAAGGAAAACAUGUUUAUAAACAACUAGCAAAGGCCGAAUGAGUUCAAGCAAAACAAGAGCUACAAGGAAAAACAAAGAAAAUCCUAAAGGCUACCUAAAAUACUACACUACAGCAGCUUGGACAUCCCACGACUACUCGAUCGCCACACCUUCAACAGCCGUAACGCUCUUAGCAGCGGCAUCAUCCGGCGCUUCACCCCCCGGCUGCCCUAGUCUGGGCACUAACUUCUCCAACUACUUCACCAAUGGAAGCCUUAAAAGUAAAAGCAAACAAGUCUUCCGGAGAAAUAGAGAAGGUCUUAAAACCUCAAGCCCAUCCUUCUCACCCUUCAGCUGCUCAUUCUUCUUAAGCAGACUAACACGGACGCGCUACAGCUCAUCCACUCUCUUCUUAGCAUAAGUAGCGAAACGAAGCUCAGAAAUUGCAAGCUUAAGAUCUUGAAUCUGAGGCGAAUCAAUCUCAGCAGCAAAGGGAGCAGGCUUUGGCGCCACUUUAGCAGCAGAGUCCACCUUACCACUCUUCAUAAUAGCAAGUCUCUAAAAAGGUGAACCGGACUUGGCUCCCAAAGAACGUCCUGGUACAAACUUCGGCACUGGGGGCAUGAUAAAACCUUUACGCUGAGUAAUCUUAUCCACAAUUGUACUAGCCAUUCUCAACAUGGAAGACGCCACAUGCUCAGAUCUAGCAGCCUUACAUUUCUUCCCAUUGGAAGAAGUCAUGUCAAUCACAUACCUCUCGGUAGCAAGUGGACCAUCAUGAGCAGCAGAAGAAGUCUUCAAUUUUUUCUUAACUGGCAUCUCAUGAGCAGGUGGGGAAGAUCUCUUCUUUCCAUCUUCAUUCAUAGUAAGCUCCACGAUAGCGAUCAGAUGAGCCAAUGCAUCCGCCUUGAUCCUCUUUACCUCCUCUUUCCGGAGCAGCCCACAUUUCUUUCAGCAAAUAGGACUAAGCAGCCAACGACAUUCAUGGUACUCAGCAGGGGAGCUCAACCCAGUAUUCCAGCAGGCAGGAGGCCUGCAUGCCCAACAUUCCAGCAGCCCGUGAGACCCGCAAUCUCCUUAUUUCUCUCAAUCGCAAGCCUGGCCUGAGUCAAGUCCAAUAGCCCAAAGGACAUGAGUCAUGCGAUUCGCCUAACACUGCGCCUCAGCGCCACAAUCCUCGACCCCAGCUGCACAAGCUGCCCUUGGUUCUAGCCAAGUCAAGCAGCUUAAAACAGUGGUCCCUACCACAAUACCUCAUCGGCCCAUGUCGAGCCGACUCCUGGCCUAUGCCAGCCGACGUGCCGCACCACCCCGAUGGCUGCCCUGCAAUAGCACUAUCCAAGAAGAAGGCAAGAAAAAUUAAAUUUUUCUUACAUCGGUGCGGCACGAAAAAGACGAAGAAAUCAACGAAAGACGGUCUUUUGCACAGGCAAGACGUAGAAGAUUGCUAGAGGAGAGGGAACAAAUAUCCUCUAACUUUCUCUCUCUUGUUGGGUAGAAUAAAUCGCUCUCCAAAGUUGAUUUAAUAACCCACUUAAGGUGGACUUAAAUAGGCUUUGAGAGAAAUUUAUUUCCCUUUCCUAGAAGGAUCUAAUUUCCAUUUAAAGAGAGAAUCAACAACAAAAUAGGAAUCAAUUUAGAGUUGCCUAAAGCGAGAAAAUCUCUACACCUGUUGCCCUUUUCUGCAAGCAGCCCAACAGGUGUGGGGGCAUUUGUGGAGCCAAAAAUAUUCGCUAGGCGACACGUGGACUUUUGGACAAAAGAGGACAAAAAUACCCUCGAAGCAUACAAGGAUUCCUACGCGCGAGCAGUGGGCAAUCAUCUUUCAAUCAAGUCAAAAGUGCCCAAAAAAGGUAACAAUUAAAAACCUCUCUCAUCAAAUCCUUUCUAUAAGGUAUUUCCCAAAACCUAGUAUUUUCUAUUUCAUUAUUUAGCUAAUCAAUUAGCUAAAUAAUAUAAACCUACCAUAUCUCCUAAAAUCACCCAAUUAAUAGCCCAAAACCGGCCCCCACUAUUCACAUCCUCAUCUUUCCCAUUUUCCUUAUUAAAAUAAUCAUUCAUUUUUAUAACCACCCAUUUAUUAUUUUCAUAUUUAAUUAGCCAAUAAAUUGGCAAAUUAAACAUGAAAUUAACCCCCACAAAAACCCUAUGGCUGGCUACUAUUAUUCAAAAUAGGGCAAACCCUAACUCUAUAACUAAACACAUAUUCUCACCAAAAAUUCAUUCCAACUCUCUCACAAAAAAUCACAAAUACUCUAAACACUAUUUCUCUCUAAAAUUCUAACUUUGGCAUCGGAGGUUCUUCAGCCAAAGCCCCCCAUUCAUCGUGGACGCGUGAGGCUCUUGGCCUUAACCUAGGUGCUAGUUGUUUUGUAGGUGCAAAAUCGUCCAAGAUCGAAGAGGAGAAAAUUUGCAUCCACAAUGGAUGUGCGAUUAAACCGAAGAACCCACCACCUCCAUCUUCUCCGACCAACUUGAACCCAGCCACUACUACAUGUCAUCCCGACAACCCACUCUCAGCUUCCCAAACCGCCAUUUUUCACCCACUCACUUACCUCUCUCUCUCUCUCUCUCUCUCUCUCUCUCUCUCUCUCUCUCUCUUACCCAAGCCACUGCCAUUAUUCAUUCAAUCAACCCAAAACACGAGAGCCACCCCAUCUCACCACUCGAACAGAUGCAGCCACCCACCCAUUUAAUCCCAGUCCAAAAUCAAACCCUCUCCUAAACCCACCCCAGAAUCCAAUAAUUUCAAAAAAUGGCUGAUUAUAUCAUUUCAAGAACCUCACAAUUCCAAAAACUAAAAACCCACUUCAAAGAUGUAAUAUUUUUCUCUCUUCCUCUUUUUGGGUUUUUUUUUUUUAUCAAUUCUCUUCUGGGUUUUUGUUUACAGUGUAAAAUCAACACUAAUUUACUAAUUUUGCUUUGAUUUUUCAAACACUAUUGAGGCGUGAUAACCUGUUGCAAGCUCAGCCAUGGCGGCUACUGCAAAAUCUAACGGAAAAACCAUCACAGACUCUGCCAUUUCAUCCAAGGUUCCGACAAUAGCAAACCCUUUAACGAAUAGCUGUCGCAGAUUUCUUCCAACAUCAAUCACCACGCGAAAUUAAUUGUCAAUGAAGACGAUCCCAUUCCCCUUCGAAAUCUGCUGGGGGAAAGAGGCCUUCUUUCAUAUCUGCUCUGAGACCUGUUUAUGCGAGAGAGUGGUGAGCCUGACGACAGAGAGAAAGAAGGGCAGGAUUGGAAAAUUGGAAAGUUCAUUUAUUGGUUACUGUUUAUCCGUGUUUCUUCGAAAUAAGCUGCUUUUUCCAGCUUUGGGUUUUCAGUAUUUUUUUAACCCAUAAUUUUGAAAGAAAAAAAACUGAUUUGAAAUGUUAUCAAACACUUAAAAUGUUCCAAUCUUUUUUCAUACCUAUUUUUUUUAUUAAAAGUUAAGCUAAACAAAAACCAGGAUUAAGUUUACUACUUUGAAGUUUCUUGCUUUUCAACAUUUCAUACAUUGAAUUUUUCUCAUCCAGUGUCAUACCUAAGGUGAGAAUUGUGGGACACUUUUAUACAUCCGUUAGAUUUUCUGUGAAUUAUGGGACACUUUUAUACAUCCGUUAGAUUUUUUGUGAUAACCUUCGCUGACCCACGAUGCGGCAUGCAUGUGGACAUUAAAAAAAAUUCAAAAAUUCAAAAAUUCAAAAAUUUUAAAAUUUAAAAUUCAAAAAUACUAAAAACCUAAACUUUUCAUAAUAUUGAGUUGAGAGACUGAAUCUUUUCACACUCGGCCAAAUUUUCUUUGAAUUUUAAUUAAAUGAAACAAUGAAUCUUGAACAAAGCAAAACAAAACGUAAUAUUGAGAGAUUCAGUCAUUGAAGUGGACGUGGAUGUUGGGUACUCAAUAGUCCAAGAAUGAAAAUUCUCAUAUCAGUUUCUAUCCAAAAUUUUGGAAUUAUGUGUGUUGCAACGAUUGUCCAAAGGAUUAUUCUUCUUUUAUUAAAUUUCCAUGAAAAAUGAGCAUGGGGGCAUAAAAAUUGAACGAAUGAAAUUUCAACGAUUUGAAAAGGGUUGUGAGUUUGACACGUCAUUUUUCUUCCUUUAAUGCAAUCAUGUUUAUUAAAAGACAAAAAUAAAUAUGACUUUACAUAAGGAGAGAGAAAGAAUAGUUUUCUUUGAAAAAAUCAACCAUUUAUUGAAGAGGGAUGUUGAUAAGGAGAUGAGACAUUCAUUAGAAGCUAGAAAAAAGAAGUUAAAAGUGAUUUAGAAAAAAGCAAGAAAGCCACAUUUUCAAAGUGGUGGUCAUUGCACAAUACUUAAUUAGAAGAAAACUCAUAGUAUUGUAUUUACAAUUUCAAGUCUUUAUGGGGAACGAGAGUGCAAAUUUUCCAAUUGGAAUAUGAUAUGAAAUUUCUAGAUAACUAUAUAUGACAAAGAAAGAAGUCUAAGUUUCUAAGUGGUAGGGCUUCCAAUUGAUGUGAGUUUGUUGAGAAAUGUAGAUGAAGAUGAAUAUUGUUGUUGAUGUUAGUGAACAACAGAACAAGUUGCUUCUCCUUUGGCCUUCUAACAUGAUAUCACGGAAAACAAGUUGUUGCUAAUAAAUGUAUCUGAUUGGUGGACUUAGACGUGCGCGGUACGAUUUUUGAUAACGAGAAAAGAUGGACAGUGUCAUGACAAAAUUUAUCCAAGUAGACCCAAAGGAAAGACUUAGGAACUUCAUAUGCAGUGGGAUAAAAUCUUAAGCUAAUUUCCUUACCUAUUUUAUAGUCAUUAAGUAAAAUGUAUAUGUAUAUUUCUAGAUGCUGACACACCAAUGUACUUACUAUUAACUCCUUUCAAAUACCCAUUCGCAGAAACGCAAAUCUCUCUUGCAUGCUUGUUGUAAUGCUCAUGUAGUGCGUAUCUAAUAUCUUAUGUGUAUAAUUUUUUGUGAUCCAUUUUUUCAUCACUAUGCCAAAAUCCCUUUAGAAUUUGCAAUUUAUCCAUUUGGUUAUGGUAAAAAAAAAAACUCGGAAUUUCAUUUAAACUCAAAAAUCUAGAAUUGGGAAAGCAAUUUUCCCUUGUUCGGCAACUUGUAGCGAUAGCAAAGGCAAAUUGUACAGGAAAAAAGUGGAAAUUGGGGAUGAAGAUCCAAUUUUAAUUUCGUCAAAAUAAGUGUAAUUUCACAAUUCCAACAACGUUGAGAACAAAUGCAUUGCGGGGAAAUCUUGCGACCACCAAACUUUACGAUUAGAGGGCCAAAUUUCAUGAUAAAACGUAAUAAGGGUUUAGGACUGCAUCGUUCACUUUGUUAACUCUCCAAUCUUCGACGGGAUUUUCAACUCGUGCAUCAUCUUUUGCUUUGUUCUAGGUCAAAGCCUACUCUUUUCUUUCUUGAAUUAUUUUAGCUUUGAGGGUAUACUCUUUAGGCCAAUUGUGAAUUUUGCUAGUUAUUUUUAUUUUCUGAUGGUCAUAUGUUUGUUUUGUUUUUUUUUUCUUCCAAUUGAGAUGUGUAUUGGUUGGAUCAGUAACUUUUUUUUUGGAUUUUUAUUUUUAUUUUUAUGGAUUUUGGUGUUAGUUCCUUGUUAUAGAUGUUGUGGAGCAAAAAAUAAUCUCAAAAAUCGUGGAGGUGACACACGGAUUUUUGGACAAGAAUGACAAAAUUAUCCUCGAAGCACAUCAGGAUUCCCACGUGCAUGCAACGGACAAUAACGGCUCAAUCAUGGAAGAGUCAAAGGUGAUCAAUAUGGUAUUUAUUCAAAUCCCUCUCAUCACUCCUCAUCAAUCCCUUUUUUAUUUUAUUCAAAAGGUAACUCCCAAAACUUCCUAUUUAAUUUAGGGAUCAUUGUCAUGUUAAUUGCAAGAUAUUAUUUCACAAAAUAUCUUGUAAUUAUUCUUCAAUUACCACCAUGUAUGGCCGGCCACUCCUCACAUUAUGGGCCGGUCACUCCUCACCCUAUGGGUCGGCCACUCCCUAUAAAUAGCCCUAUUAUUCCACUAAUAAGGAAGCCAUUUGCUACCCACAAACUCCUAAACACAUUCUUUCAGAAUUCUAACUUUGGCAUUGGAGAUUCUUAGGCCAAAUCCCCCCUCCCAUUCAUCAUGGGCGCAUAAGGCUUUUGGCCUUAGUCUUAGGUAUUAUUAUUUUGCAGGUGCAUUUUUGUCAAAGACGAAGAUGGUGAAAAUUUGCAUCCACAAAUUGGUGUUUUCAUUGAGAGUUUGAUUCAUAAGCUCGAAGAAGACUCACAUUCAAAGUUUCACAUUUCUCAUUCAUAAGUAAAUUUUUCAUACGUUCUUAUUCCUAAAAUUUUUUAAAUCUUUGAAUAGACGUAUGAGAGAAAUACAAUGGCUAGAAAUUUAGAAACCACGACGAACGAAACUUCCUACGUUCAAAGAUCCAGAUAAAAUGAUGGAAAUUGCGAUGUAGCCCCACCACGACGAUCCACGAAGCUCAACGUGGUGGCAAAAUGAGUAACUUGGCCACCACGGAGUACCACCACCACCAUAGCCAAGGCAACCCAUGUUGCAGUGGGGAGUGGGACAGCUUCAUGGCAGCAAAGCCACGAAGCAACAAUAAAUGCCAUCUUGCAGUAAUGAGCCCAGGCCCGUGUCACAAGGCAGUCAACCCAGCGCUAGGUAACCUAGAUCUAGUAGGCCCACGACGUUGCCAUAGCAGCUGAGGCCUAAAGCAAGGCCCAAACAGUUGCGGUUGCGGCAAAUGGAGCAGCACAACACUGGCGGGGCCAAUGCACCCUUGGCCUAAUGCUAAGCAGGCUAAAUCGCACCACACCCACUAUUCAAACUAACCCUAAGUUGAGUAAGUAGCAUUGAAGGUUGUCAACCGCAAGGCGUUGAAGUACGAAUAAAGUUACACACCCCGCACAUGACUUGGCCCACUUCCGCGGCCCAACUUGCUCGCAAGGUCCACCUAGUGAUCCCGACUAGUCGAAGGCCAGUUUAAUCAUCCCAUCUUCAGAUUUCUGGACUGACGAUUGAAUCGGGGGUAUUUUCACCCCGAUUUUCUACAGAUUUGACAUAUCUCAACUCAAAUCUCGCACUUGGAGUCCAUUGCACUUCCAUUACUCAAGGAGACGCAUACCAUUUAAGAUCUUCCAUCCCAAAUGGCGAACAACACUUGUCUCGACAAGUCAUAGAGUUGACAUGCGCUUUUGCGCAGUAGACGACCUUAGUGAAUCAGCUCUUGCAACGCACAUAGAUGCAGUGUGCCCCAGACGAUGUGUCCCGAAGUAAGACAAGUACAGAUGACGAUUCUCUCCAGCAGCGUCCCAACAAGCAGCCGCUCGACUAGCCACGAACCGAGCGUUCUGGCAGUGUACACUCCCGUCUAGGUCCUCAAGAAAGCGUAUACUCUCGUCUUAGCGCGCGAAUGAGCGUGCACUCAUGGUUAGGCCUAUGGACGAGCAUACAUUCACGGUUGGGACCAUACUCUUAUAAUUAACAUGGACAACCUGCUAGACGAAGUGUUCAUUCGCGGCUAGGCCCGCAAAAAGCAUUUUCCACCUCAUAUUGGAGUAAGCAGCACAGAAGACGAAGAUAAGCAGUCAAUUAAUCUGGCUCAAAUUCAAUCGGCCACCUGUAAGUAACCAGUUCGCCUGCCAAGAACGUAUCAUAUGCAAUGUAGCCACGACAUAGACUAGAUGAGCACAACGAUAAGCAACCUAGACUAACAGGUUACGACUGGGGGCAGCCAGAAGCUCUGCUGCCCCAAUAGAGGUAAAUUUAGAAAGAAGUUGAGAGGCUCAUGACCGAACAAUUGUGCGAUUUCCAACGCAACGAAGCUACUGACAAGGCGCUUAAACGAUACACGACCAACAUAAAUGGGUCACCUUUUAUUGACAAGAUUGAGCAGACAGAACCAUCCUACAUACACUGGCGGAUACAAAGAUUACAUCUAUUUUAACAUAUGCAUCAACUCAGCCUAAUGGCGUGUCGAGGGCAAAUGGGUACCAGAAUGGCACACCAGCCCAACCACCAAGAACCAGGGCCAAAUCUUAUUUUCAUCACUCCACACGAUUCAAUACUUGAGCAGCACAUCACCAGUAAUCGAGCACCGCAGACCUAAUGGUCCAAUUCCUCCUGAUGCACACAAGCUCACCCCAGCUCCACGCUCAAAGCCUUGCCUACCUGCUCCACAACACUCAGCCACCCUUGAUUUGUCACCAUGGCUCACAAUUAUGCCAAUUUUGCACCACAGCUCAUAGCCGUGCUAAUCUUGCCAUGCGGCUCUUAACUACGUUAACCAAGCCCACGAUACUUUAUACUUCAAAGCAUCCAACGACGGAGUAGAACACGAGGCUCUACUAGCAGCCCCUGCUAGUGAAAGACUUUGCGGUGAAGAGGCUUCCAAUCCAUUCAAAUUCUCAGUUGACCACCUGUUGGGUUUUACGACUCAAAAUUAGGAUGAUGCAAAAAAAAUUGUGUUACCUAUUUGGUUUUGGUGUCGUAUUUGGGUUUGGAUUUUGACCUCUUAGUUGGUUUCCGUGGUGGAGAGAUUUUGUUAAUUACCUAUUUGAUUAGGAUUUGGAUUUACUUCCUAUUAAGAUUCUUAUUGUAACCUAAGUCUUAUGCACUAUAAAUAGGACCUCAGGGUUAGUGUAUUUUGUGUGGCUCAUUCGUGUGGCAAUUUGGUGAGAGUCAAUUUGUGAGUUUGUGAGUUAGAGAGCAAUUUGGGAGAAUCUUCUCCGUUAGUUUUGGGUUCUCUACUCGUUUGGUUUAGGGUUUGUAAUUUGUGGGAUUUGGAUUGUGAGAGUCUGAACACUAUUUUGUAAUCUCCGUUUGUUUAGUGAAAUUUCUUGUCAUGCUUCGCUCGUGGACUUAGAUUUUACACCGAACCACAUAAAUCUCUUGUGUUAGUUUGAGAUUGUUUGUUUUAGUUUUCACCUACGACGUUGAUAUCGGUACUUUGUUAGAAUUCGCUUUCCUUUGCUCAUAAAAGUACAACAAGUGGUAUCAGAGCCCGGCUUUCGGCUUGGGCUUUGCUUGGCAAUCACUAUGAAGCCUUCUGUGUCGUCGGUGAAAGUUGAUAUUGAAAAGUUCGAUGGCAAUGACUUUGGUAUUUGGCAAUUGAAGAUGCGUACUUUGUUAAUUCAACAAGAGCUUUUAAAAACGCUAAAGGGUGUGAAGGCUUUCCUGAAUUCGUGGACUGAUGAAGAAAAAAAAAGAUGUUAUGGAGCGGGCACUUGGAACAAUCCUGCUAACUUUAUCGAAUGAAGUCUUGCGUCAAGUUGGUAGCAUCAAAUCUGCACCGAAGUUGUGGCUAAAAUUGGAGAGUUUGUAUAUGACCAAAUCCCUUGCUAAAUGGUUGUAUUUGAAGAAAAGUUUGCGUACUCUUCGUAUGGAUGAAGGUACGUCAAUUCAUAAGACCAAAUCCUUAUUGCUGCCAAAAGUCCUCAACAGUUCCAAGGGAGAUGGGUAAGAGUUCGUAAUAGUGAGAGAUUGAAUCUUUUCACACUCGGCCAAAUUUUAAUUUUAAUUAGAUGAAACAAUGAAUCUUGAACAAAGCAAAACAAAAUUUAAUACUGAGAGAUUGAAUCAUUGAAGUGGACGUGGAUGUUGGGUACUCAACAGUCCAAGAAUGAAAACUCUCAUAUAAGUUUUUAUCCAAAAUUUUGGAAUUAUGUGAGUAUUGCAACGAUUGUCCGAAUGAUUAUUCUUCUUUUAUUAAAUUUCCAUGGAAAAUGAGCAUGGGGCACAAAAGUUGAACGAAUGAAAUUUCAAUGAUCUGCAAAGGGAUUGUGAGUUUGACAUGCCAUUUUUCUUCCUUUUAUGCAGUCAUGUUUAUUAAAAGACAAAAAUAAAUAUGACUUUACAUAAGGAGAGAGAAAGAGUAUUUUUCCUUGAAAAAAUCAACUAUUUAUUGAAGAGGAUGUGGAUGUUGAUUGAUGCGCAUUGUGAAUAGGAAAAAAAUAACCUUGAAGGGAGACGAGACAUUCAUUAGAAGCUAAAAAAAAGUUAUAGUGAUUUAGAAAAAAAAAGUUUUAACGAAACAUUUCCGGUACUGUUUACUCUUUACGAAAAACCACAUUUUUACCUUUCCUAACUACUAUUCACUACAUCUUUAUUUAUCAUUUUUCAUUAAAACUAAAGUUUUUGUUUUAACUUUUCGUUAGUUUCCUUUAGAAAAAAGCAAGAAAGCCUCAUUUUCAAAGUGGUAGUCCUUGAAACAAUACUUGAUUAGAAGAAAAGUCAUAGUAUUGUAUUUACAAUCUCAAGUCUUGAGGGGUAACGAGAAUGCAAGUUUCUAAUUGGAAUAUGAUAUGAAAUUUCUACAUAACUAUAUAUGACAAAGAAAGAAGUCUAAGUUUCUAAGUGGAAGGGCUUCCAAUUGAUGUGAGUUUGUUGAGAAAUGAAGAUGAAGAUGAAUAUUGUUGUUGAUGUGAGUUAGUGAACAACAGAACAAGUUGCUUCUCCUUUGGCCUUCUAACAUGAUAUUACCGGAAAACAAGUUGUUACUAGUAAAUGUAACUGACUGGUGAACUAAGACAUGCGGUACGAUUUUUGAUAACUAGAGAAGAUGAACAGUGUCGUGACAAAAUUUAUCCAAGUAGACCCAAGGGAAAGACUUAGGAACUUCAUAUGCAGUGGGAUAAAAUCUUAAGCUAAUUUCCUUUUUAAUCUUAUAGUCAUUAUGUAAAAUGUAUAUGCAUAUUUCUAGAUACAUACACACCAAUGUACAUAAUAUUAACUCCUUUUAAGUAGUCAUUUGCAAAUCCCUCUCGAGUGCUCUUUGGAAUGCUCAUGUGGUGCCGUUCUAAUCUCUUAUAUAUAACUUUUUGUGAUCCAUUUUUUCAUCAAUAUGCCAAAAUCCCUUUAGAAUUUGCAACUUAUCUUUUUGGUUACGGUAAAAAAAAAACUCGGAAUUUCAUUUAAACUCGAAAAUCUAGGGAUGUGAAAGCAAUUUUCUCUUGUUCGGCAACAUGUAGCGAGAGCAAAGGCAAAUUGUACAGGAAAAAGUUAGAAAUUUGGGAUGAAGAUUCCCAAUUUUAAUUUCGUCUAAAUAAGUGUAAUUUCACAAUUCUAACUACGAUGAGAAUCACAAAUAUAUUGCAGGGAAAUCUUGCGACAACCAAACUUUACGAUUAGGGUGCCAAAUUUCGUGAUAAAACCUAAUAAGGGUUUAGGGCUACAUUGUUCACUCUGUUAACUCUCCAAAUCUUCGACGGGAUUUUCGGCUCGUGCAUCAUCUUCUUGCUUUGUUCUAGGUCAACGCCUCUACUCUCUUCUUUCUUGUAUUAUUUUAGCUUUUCAGGUAGACUCUUUAUGGCUGUUGUGAAUUUUGCUAGUUAUUUUUAUUUUCUGAUAGUCAUUUGUUUGUUGUGCGUUUUUCCUUCCAAUUGAAUUGUGUAUUGGUUGGAUUUGUAACAUUUAUUUUUUUUAUUUUAUUUUAUGGAUUUUGGUGUUAGUUCUUUGUCAUGGAUGUUGUCCUUUUGAAGGUUAACAAUAGCCAAGACUAAACAUGAUGAUUUUGGUGUUAAUUACUUUCUCAUGAUACUAAUGCCAUAUUGUUCUCUAUUUUGCACUCACAAGUAAAGAGAAAUAUCCUAGACCCUAACUGGAUAUGUUAUUGUCAUGGUCAUGCAUUGGUAUGGUAACAAUAUGUUUGGAUAAGGAAAAUAAACUUAGAAUUUGACAAAAGAUAAAAUUUAUAAAUUGAUACAAUCAAUUCCUUUGUUUAGAUUCAUAAACAUAGAAAUUUAAACUUUCCGCGUGAGAAAAAACUUGGAAUUUGGGACCUUCAAUUCUCAUGUUUAAAUUUUAUGUAAAUAGGUGUCAUUUCUAAAUUUCAGUAAGUGAGAAUUUAAAAAUAACAAACAUGUAUUCAAAUUUCAUUCAUCUUUUAGGUUAACCAAACAAGAAAUUUUAUAAAUUCUAGAAAAUAAAAUUUCGUUAUUUCAAUUUCUGUUAUUUUAAAAUUAGUAAUCUUAAAUUUUCUCAUCCAAACAAAAAGUUUCCUUGUCAUAGAACUUUCAAUUGGGAUCAAGGAAGACAAUCUUUUCACAACUGAUUAUUCUCACCAAAUUUUAUUAUUAUUUUAAAGCAGAUCAAUACCAAACUUCAAAAGCAAAGUAGGAAGGCUAAAAUUAAGGUGAAGAACCUACUUCCACUAAUUACCAUGGGAGGGAGAGAGAGAGAACCAAGCGAGAGAGAAGAGAGAGAAAACACCAAGUAGUAUUAUAAUAUAGGUGGGGUUAAAUCACCUUUCGUGAAGUUGUAGUAAGAGCAGCUCCAGCGGGAGCUCCAACUUGAUGUACCGGUGAGAUUUCCUACCCAAUAGCCCCAGCUCCUUGCUCCAGUCCAUGCGGGUGAUUGGGCUGAGGGGGGCCGAGUGAGAGGCCUGACUCGAAUCGGUGGCCUGAGAGCCUGAGACCAAAAAUUAUCUUUUUGGAUAAUGACACGUGGUGCAACGAGAACGAUUAAAAAUCUUAUCCGAAAUUACAAAUAGAAUUAUUUUGUAUUAUUUUAUAAAAUAAAAAAUACUAAUAUUUUAUUGCUUAUUGACAUGACUAUUCAAUUACGGGUGGAGAUGCAGAAGACAAUUAUUAUUCAUUAAAGGUAAUUAUUGUUCAUUGGAGGGGAUUGAAUAUGAAGUUGCACUAGAAGGCCUUUGUCACGGCAAUAGGCAAUUACUGUUCUAAGGACUUCUAUCCUAGAAGAGAGACAAAAACACCAAGUAGUAUUAUAAUAUAGGUGGGGUUAAAUCACCUUCCGUGAAGUUGCAGAUAGAGUAAGGACUUCUAUCCUAGAAGAGAGACAAAAACACCAAGUAGUAUUAUAAUAUAGGUGGGGUUAAAUCACCUUCCGUGAAGUUGCAGAUAGAGUAAGGACUUCUAUCCUAGAAGAGAGACAAAAACACCAAGUAGUAUUAUAAUAUAGGUGGGGUUAAAUCACCUUCCGCGAAGCUGCAUUAAGGACUUCUAUCCUAGAAGAGAGACAAGAACACCAAGUAGUAUUAUAAUAUAGGUGGGGUUAAAUCACCUUACGUGAAGUUGCAGUAAGGACUUCUAUCCUAGAAGAGAGACAAAAACACCAAGUAGGAUUAUAAUAUAGGUGGGGUUAAAUCACCUUACGUGAAGUUGCAGAUAGAGUAAGGACUUCUAUCCUAGAAGAGAGACAAAAACACCAAGUAGUAUUAUAAUAUAGGUGGGGUUAAAUCACCUUCCGUGAAGUUGCAGUAAGGACUUCUAUCCUAGAGAAAAGUCGGUCAAUGGUGUUUGACACAGUCAGUCAACGAUAAAGACAGAAUUGUGUAACCAUAAUUCUCUCUCUAUCUCUUUUUCAUUAACGGAGGACAGUGUAUAAUUACUACGUAUACAUCUCUGCUCAAUUAUUGAAAAGAAAAAUCCAUGUGCAUUAUUUUUAUUAUUAUUAUCUCAGAAAUGCAGAAAUUGAUCAUCUCUUCCUUCUGCAUAUUGAUACUGGUUUUCUUCAAACUAGUUGAAGCAAGCCAAUAUGUGUGCGCGAAAUCCAACUGUAGCAAUGAUCAACGCCCGGCUAUCCAUUUCCCAUUGAACAUCAGGCGCACACAUCAUUGUGGAAAUUCUGGGCUUGAAUGCAAUGGGAGAUAUGGGCAGCAAAUACUAAUAAAAUUAUUUGUCAAACACAUUGAUUACAAGCGUCAGGAAAUCCAAGUCUAUUCCCCAAGUAACUGCCUGCUGCUAAAGCAUGUUGAAAUCCCAAACAUGCCACCCUCUCCCUUCAACGUGUCAGUCGAUGACUACAUGAGUACCCUUACCUUAUUCAGUUGUCCUACUUCUGUUGCAAGACGAGAUACGUAUCAAGUCCCCUGCCUCGGCGACCCUGGCAAGAAAACUUAUGCCAUUCGUUCUUACUAUGAUUUUGGAACUCUCUUCCAGAAUCUACAAUCCUGUACAAAAAUGUAUGAUGUUUUAUCAGUUCCAAUAGCCUAUGAAUAUUAUGUUUUUCGUUUCAAAUGGUCUAUACCAAAUUGCAGAAAAUGUGGAGAGGGAAAGAAGUGUGGAUGGCAGAACAAUGAAAUUAAAUGUCUUCCCUGGAGGAAACCAAGUAAGGAUAACAUAUGUAUUCAUUGCUAGUUUUAAACAUCUUUACAUUUAUGUCUUAGUAAUUAUUAUUUGAAGGAUGUUGUCCAAUCCAUUUUUACUAGGAAUAUUACCUGACAGUCUCGUUUAAAUUCGCAAUGAUCUUCUACAGGCAACACAUGGAAAAAAGUGGUUACAGGUGGAAUCCUGUGUGCUUUGCUUCUUGUUCUACUGACGAUUGCAGCAUAUCGGGUAUAUAGCGCUGAUAGAAAGGAGAAAGAGAGUCGAUUAAGAAUUGAAAGAUUCUUGGAGGACUACAAAGCACUCAAACCAAGCAGGUAUUCGUACGCAGAUAUUAAGAGGAUUACAAAUCAAUUCAAGGACAAGUUGGGCCAAGGAGCCUAUGGAACUGUCUUCAAAGGAAUGCUCUCUUCUGAAUUUUUUAUUGCUGUCAAAGUCCUCAACAGUUCCAAGGGAGAUGGGGAAGAGUUCGUAAAUGAAGUGCGAACGAUGGGUCAUAUCCACCAUUUAAACGUGGCUCGCUUGGUUGGAUUUUGUGCUGAUGGAUUUGUACGAGCUCUUGUUUACGAGUUCUUCCCCAAUGGUUCCCUGCAGGAUUUCAUUUCAUCUGCAGAUAGUAAGAAUUCAUUUCUUGGUUGGGAUAAACUGCAAGAUAUUGCCCUAGGCAUAGCCAAAGGAAUUGAAUAUCUUCACCAGGGAUGCGAUCUACGAAUCCUGCAUUUCGACAUCAAACCCCAUAAUGUUUUGCUAGACCAAAACUUCACUCCAAAAAUUUCUGAUUUUGGUAUGGCCAAGUUAUGUUCCAAGGAUCAAAGCUUGGUGUCCAUGACUACAGCUAGGGGGACCAUGGGCUACAUUGCACCUGAAGUGUUCUCCAGGAAUUUCGGAAAUGUGUCUUACAAGGCAGAUGUCUAUAGCUUUGGAAUGCUGCUGCUUGAGAUGGUAGGAGGAAGGAAGAAUAUUGGUUCAAUCACGGAUAACACUACAAAUGAAAUUUACUAUCCACAGUGGAUUUAUAAUCUUCUAGAGGAAGGGGAUGACCUACGAAUCCACAUUGGGGAAGAAGGAGAUGGUAAAAUUCCAAAGAAACUUGCAAUUAUAGGGCUAUGGUGUAUCCAAUGGCACCCGUCGGAUCGUCCUUCCAUGAAAAUAGCGGUUCAGAUGUUAGAAGGAGGAGGAGAAAGCUUGAGUAUGCCGCCUAAUCCCUUUGUGCCUACUGGUUCUACAACUAGGAAUGCAAGACGCCUAGAGCUAGAAGCUAUUGCUGAAUUAGAGUAAAAUGUAUAUGCAGAUAUGUAGACGUAUAGAUAUAGUAAUAUUUAUAUUGAAUAAGAGGCCGUUUGAUAACCAUUUCGUUUUCAGCUUUUAAUUUUUAUUUUUCACUUUUUUGAAAACUAAAAACUAAAAUCUUGUUUGGUAAAUACUUUUAGUUUAAAAAAAUUAUGAAGACUGAGAACUAAAAUGUGAAAGCUCAAAGGAAGUAGAUUAAAAGUAGUUACCAAACAAACUGGAAUCUCAAUAAUAAAAAAAGAUUGAAUUGCACAAUGCAAUCCAAACCAAUCAAAACAUUAAAAUAGCAAAAAAAAAUUAAAAUUCUAGUUGAUUAGAUUCUAAACGUAGUAAAAAUGAACAGAUCCAAUGAAAAAACAAAAAAUUCUCAAAUAAAAAUAGGGAUAAAGUAAAAUAUUUAUAAAUAGCUCUUUGUCUCUUAUGUCAUCAAUUAUUUCUAUAGUAUAUACAGGUUUUUGGAAAAAUUAGGUUCUCAUCCCUUAUUUUCAUAUUACAUUGAUUGAAAUCUUAUUAUUUUUCUAUUUUAGAUCAAGGUCCCUUGACUUAUUCCAUGUCAUCAUUUUAGUAUUUAAAAUAUUACACGUCAUCAUAAACGAAAUCUCAUCCCUUUCUGCAUUUAAGGCAAAAUAAACUAUAUGAGUAAGUUUAAAACAAGGAAAAUCCAUUUGAACUCCUCCAUUCUUCUUCUUCCCUUAUGCACAUCUGGAAUCUACAACACCCCAAACCCAAUUUUCUCCAUUUUUUCUCCAUUCCUGAAUUGAUCCAAUGCAUAUAUGUUGAAUAAACCUAUUGUGAUUAAAAUACAAAUUAGCAUCAAUGGUUUUAUCGGCUUGUGAGAUUUGUGUGGCAUAGGCAAGGCAAUGCAGGCAUUGCUUUCUCAAGGAAUCUGGUUGAUUCAAACAUGCAGAGACUGUAGAGUGAGCGGGCUAUGUGAAAAUUGUACCAUUCUGAAGUCAUUUUCUUUUGUUCUUUAUAUUUUUUUUCUUUUUCUUUUAUUAUUAUAUAUUAGUCUUGGUUAUUCAAUGUCUGGUUGGCUACACUUAUAUCCAUGGGUACAUUUUUAAUCUACAUGUUUCGUUCUAAUAUAUCUAUUGCUAUAAUAUGUUUUGGUUGGUUCAAAUUUGUUUUACAUAAAUAUAUGGGUACAAAGUUUUUGGAGAAUAUUAUGUAAAAUGGUUUUUAAGGUUGCUGCAUUUUACGUUCCCACAUAUGCAUGUCUAUAAAACAAUGUGGUAUGAUGUACAUUCUUUUCUUUGAGUUUUUAAAUGUACCCAUGAGUUUUCUUGUAAAUUCGUAUGUACCCAUAUGCUAUUUAUGUUAUGGGUACAUACAUUAUUUUUGGUCUAAGUUCAGGAUACAUUGCUUUUGUAUGUAUGAAUUCAUGGGGUACAUUAUUUCCCUUAAUACUACUCAAUAAAAUUCACAAAAAUAUGUGUAGUGUGCAUGAUUUUUUAUUGUAGAAAUUGUUUGUUUUUUUUAAGUCUCAUAAUUCAUGAAAUUUGUACAUAUAUGAUCCCAUAAAUUUUUUAAUUUUAUUAAAUUUCUGUUAGACUUGAUCGAUUGAUUGAAUCUCAUAAUACUAGGAUUUUGAAUUACAUAAAUUCUUGGAUUUGAAUCCCUUAAAUGUUGGACUGCAAUCAAUAUUUUAAAUUACAGUUUUUUGUUUAAGAUAUCAAAAAGAUGACAUGGGAAUAUAGUAAUACUAAAAUGCUGAGGUGUACAAAGUCAAGGGACUUUGAUCAAAACAUAAAAAACAAUAAGAUUUCAAUCUAACAAUUGAAUUGACUAGGGACCGGAACCAAAAUGACCCUAGAUUUUUAUUGAGUUUAAUCUUAAUCAAAAAAAGACUUCUUGUAUCACAGAAAAUACAAGAACCAUUAUUUGAAUGAAAUAAAAGCUAUGGGAUGGAGAUAUAAAUGGAUCCUUUUAUUCACAAUCGGAUUAUAUUUAUUUGAUACACUGUUGUCAAUAUGAAUGUUGAGAAAAGACUACAAAAGAAAAAACAAUUUAUAAAUAUAACUAAAAAUUCCAAUUUCAAUCAAUUAGAUAAUUAGAAUUAUAAGAAGAAAAAAAACAGAAAUCUCAGUUUUCAGUUUAAAAAAAAAUGAAAACAAAAACUGAAAACUGAAAACAAAAUGGUUAUCAAAGCCGUCCAAAUAAUAGAAGUUUGUUUCCACUCUUUGUUUAAGCAUAGAUGCCAAUUUUUGUUUAUCAUUUUUUUAACCUCUAUUUUUUGUUACAGUAGAAGCCCUAGAAGGAAAUCGAGCACUGGACUUACCAAACUCUUAACUUAUUUCUACACACCAAGAGCUUGAUUUCGGUUCUUAUUUAUACUAUUUAAGCUAUAAGCCGUGAUAAGAAUUAGAGAACUAUCAUUUGUUGUGAGCUUCAAUUGGUUAGCACUUUGUAUGUUUUCAUUAGAAUUUAUAUUUCACUUAGACUUUCUUAUUAAAAAAGGGAUCAUUUGGUGACUUCACCAUGACAGUCCAAUUUUAUGGGGGCCAUGAGUACUCACAAAGGUAUUUCAGCCUCCCCCUAUAUCUACCGUCGCGUGAUUCACCAUUGCCGGGAAUCGAACUCAAGACGUGUUGUAUAGAAUACAAGCCUAAAAUUCGUUUCUAACCACUGAGUCACCCCGCGUUUGAUUAUAUUUCACUUAGACUUAUCUUGCGGUAUAGCAUGUCAUCCCCGCCCAAGUUUUUCUGUUCGCAUUGAGUUUGGGAUACCAAAACUUGCCAAACAAAGUAGAUUGAUUAGUAAGCGAAGCUAAUUAUUCGACUAAACAUUGUUUAGAAUUUUAAUUAAAAGAAACAAUAUGAAUCUGUUUUUUUUUUUUUUUUUUGACAAACUAUAACGUUAAGGAGUUAAAUUGUUAGUUGUUAAGAGUACAGGGAUAGGUGAGGAUCGAACCUCCACCAGAGUGCAUAGACAUUAUUGGUUCUACAACUGCGGUAAAUCACAUAAAACAAAACGUAAUACUUUGAGGAUGGAAGACACUUCGUGGAUAGCGGGCAAUCAACACUAUCAGUCGCUAUCCAAAACUUGGAAUUAUGUUUAUUGUCCGAAGGAUUUUUCUUCCAUUAAAUUGCUAAGGAAGAUGAGGAUGGGUGGAGUGUCUAAAUGUCAAGGUUGAUAAGAAAGUGUAUGGUGUUCAGCAUGCGAUUGAGAUUUGUUGAGUGGCACAACAAACCACAUAAAAUUUUCUAAAUGAUAAGCAAUGAUAAGCUUGAGUAUAAUUUUUUACCACGUAUUUAUCUUUAAAAUCAUUAUAAUUAGAUUUUCUCUUAAUUAAUAUAGACCGUUAGAUUGACCCAAGUUUUUUUCCUCUUUUCUUUCCCCUCGUUUUUUUCUUCUCUGAUUUUCCAUUCACCGUGUAGCAGUCGUUCUUCCCCAACUAAGUUUCUUAUUUUUCUUCACAAAAAAAUUGUAGAAAAUAUUAAGAAAAGAAAAGUCAUCAAUAUCAGACUCGAUCAGGUAAUCGUUCCAACCUUCCCAGCAACUCUCAGUCUUAACAAGGCACCAAAUUUUCUCCGCCACCUAACUCGUCAUUCAUUCAUGGGUGUUUCAAGCUUGGUGAAAAUUGAUAGAGUUCCAUGUGUGUACAGGGAUGUGAACAUAUUGGCCACUCUCUAAGAAUGAGUCAUUGGAAAAGUUGAAGGAAAGAUGUAACCGAUGAAAUUAAUGGAUUGGAAUUACAAUGAAGUCUGUGUUGGUUUAUCACAAAGAACCCAGAAACAAAAUUUUAAAAGCAAACAAUUACAACUUCUCAAAUAUUAUGUAACAAACUUUCAAUGAAAUGUUGCUCAUAAUUGAAAAAAGGUUGACGAAGGACGGAGUUGGGAUUAUUUUAGAUGGGGAAGAGUUAAAAGAAGGAAGCACCAUUUAAUUACUAAAAGUAAUUGGAGAAAUGGUAAUUCAAUGGUGGGCGUUUUUAAGGUGUGGACCUUGUGUCACACCCCGAUCCCAACAUACAUUGAGGAUCGACACCUGACAUGGGGACCUAGGGGACAUAAAUCUUACGUAAGAUACAGAAUGAAAUACUAUAAAUAAUAUCCCAAAAUGAAUAUGAUAGUGGGUUCACCCCCUAUAAAAUAUAUACAAGUUUGUACAUUCACAAAAAAAAAAAAAAAAAAAACACACACACACACACACAAAACUCUUGCUAGGCCAAGACUUGCCCAUGGUUCUCAAAGGAAAGUCCUAAAAGAAAUAGUACAAUGAAGGAUAAAGGGGUAACCUAAACACUCCAAGUCUCUGAUCUCUGCACUGCUACCCCCACCGGCUCCUCGUAAUCUACCUCAGACCUGUCACUUGUACAAACAGUGCCUACAUUGUGGGAAUGGUGCACCGGGCAAACAAAAACCCAGAUAAGCUGCAAAACUCGUGUGGUAGCCGGCCUGGGACAUGGGAGGGGGCCGAGUCUUUCAGAAACCCUUGGGUCAUUGAUCUUCAAGCUUACAUGGAUGGGAUUGUCUCGACGUUGCUUUAGGAAGUCUCGACAGUCGUGAAAGACGGCUUUCGAUCCUUCCACUCCUUCUGUAAGAAGGUGUCUUCCUCCACUCCUUCUGCUUCGGGUUGAAGCAGCUGGGUUGAGAGAAGUCUCAUGUUGGUCGCGAUUUCGAUGAGUAGCUCGCUCCUCAACAGGAAUACCCAUGUCGAGGGAAAAUGAGCCUCUGUGUUGGAGGCACCCAGUUGAUGGUUGACUUCCACAGGGGUGAUGAGCUCGUGUGUUUUAGUAUAUCUAGCCUCGUGGAGCAUCUCGAAGACCUUUUCAUACUGCUCUUGGAGGAUCUCAUUCUUCAUCGCUAUCUUGUUGUUCUGAGCCUCCAGCUCAUCGACUUUAGCCUGAAGAGCAAACUUCUUUUGUUCCUUCUUUCGUUGUUUCGCACCAGGUGUAAGAGGGGUGUCAUUCUGUGUGCCGUGGCUUCCUUCGCUCCCCAUGUUAGAGAGGGAUGCCUGGUCAAAAGAGAGAGUACGAAUGGUGGAAACCAGCUUGGCAAAGCUAAAGAGAGUGGGAAUAAGUGUCGUUCCCACAGACGGCGCCAAAUGUUGAUGCACAAAAUCAGUGAGGACUUUGGUACAACAGAAAGUGUUAAGUUUGUGUCCUUCGCUAGAUUGGUCCGGUCAUUAGUGUGGAUAAGUAUGUAAAUGGAUAGGGACAGGGAAGCAAACACAAGAUGUAUGUGGUUCACCCAGAUUGGCUAUGUCCAUGGAGUGGAAGAGUUCUCAUUAAUUGUGAAGGGUUUACACAAGUACAUAGGUUCAAGCUCUCCUUUAGUGAGUACAAGUGAAUGAUUUAGUACAAAUGACAUUAGGAAAUAUUGUGGGAGAAUGAUCUCCUUUUAUAGAAUAGUUUCUAGCUUUGUUCUGACAUUGACACGUGUCAUGCUGUGAUUGGCUUUUGAUGUUGACAUGUGUCGCAUUGUGAUUGGCCUCCUGGUUUGAGGGAAACUCUUCUGGGUCCUUGACAGUAUAACGUUGACAGGUGCUCAGUAGUUUCGGGAUUGGUCAAGUAUGGUACAAACAAAGUCACUGAAAACUUCGAAGGAGUCACCCAGACAUCCAACGACUUUUCUAAAUCAAAUCUCAGAGAUUCCCAAAACUAUCGUUCACAAAUACACUAAAAACUAAGGCUAGAGUGACACAGUUUGGCCAAAGCCUACAUAAGUAACCAAAUAAGAAGUGGCCCCCCCAUAGCGGAUUAAUCAAGUAGAGCCACUCCUGAGAAAGUAACCAAGUAGGUAGUGACCCCAUCACGAAUUAACCAAGCAGAGUCACUCCUACGAAACUGUUAGGUAGUGAUCACCCAUCGCGGAUUAACUAAGCAUGAUCACCCCUAAGUACGUAUGGCCAUACCUAAGAAAUAAGGAUCGCCCAUCGCGGAUUAACUAAGCAUGAUCACCCCUAAGUACGUAUGGCCAUACCUAAGAAAUAAGGAUCGCCCAUCGCGGAUUAACCAAGCACAAUCCAAAAAUAUUAUGGGUCCCCUAUCGCGGAUUAACCAAGCAGGACCAUCCAUGUACCACUGCUACAUGGUGCAGAUUCGGUGUCACCUAACCCCGUGACACUAGGGUAACGGUCCUCUACUAGCCCUCACGUUUUUCAAACAUUUCAAAUAUAUAAUUUAAAACACAAUUCAUAAACAUUUCGAAUAGGGAAGUCACAUAGUGUUUAAUAAUGUAGGUCAAUGGAAAACUUUAAAAACAAUUAUUUAGCAUAAAACAUAUUUUAGAAAUCCAUGCUGUAUCCACAAAGUAUACUAGCACGGGAGAUUUUCAGGGUAAUAACUCUAUCACAUAUAUUAAAGUCACUCACCUGGAGUCCGCACUAACGCACCCUAGCACGAAUAUCAAGAUGUCACGUACUAUCAUUUGUAACAUCCCACAUCAACCAACAGAGAGGGGGUGAUGUGUCUUAUAUGUACAUGCCCACCUCUAUAGCACGAGGCUUUUUGGGAGCUCAUUGGCUUCAUAUUCCAUCGGAACUCCAAAGUUAAGCGAGUUUGGGCGAUAGUAGUCCAAGGAUGGGUGACCCACUGGAAAGUUCUCGUGUGAGUUCCUAGAAACAAAACCGUGAAGGCGUGGCCAGGGGGGCCAAAGUGGACAAUAUUGUGUUACGACGGAAUUAAGACUGAGAUGUGACAGAAUGGUAUCAGAGCCGCUCUGCCGCGUGGUGCAAGUGUGCCGAAGAGGACAUCGAGCCCCUAAGGGGGGUGGAUUGUAACAUCCCACAUCGACCAACGAAGAGGGGGUGAUGUGCCUUAUAUGUACAUGCCCACCUUCAUUUAGCACGAGGUCUUUUGGGAGCUCACUGGUUCCGGGUUCCAUCGGAACUCCGAAGUUAAGCGAGUUCGAGCGAGAGCAUUCCCAUGAUGGGUGACCCACUGGGAAGUUCUUGUGUGAGUUCCCAGAAACAAAACUGUGAGAGCAUGGCCGGGGCCCAAAGCGGACAAUAUCGUGUUAUGGCGGAGCCGAGAUUGGGAUGUGACAUCGUCACCUAAGACAAAGUACAAGUCCACAUUUAGAGUUCUUCGAGUAUUCACAUAAUCAAAAAUUUACAUACGCACCCUACAACUAAUGAAGAGAAAUCGAGACACGUUGACAAAAAGUCAACCGUCGAUCAACGGUAGGGUCCACAACCCUACGUAACUUAAUCCGUAAGAUCCAGCCACUGUAUUUGUGAUUCAUAAGUUCCUAAGGUCCUCAAAUCUUACGUACAAUAACAUACUAAACUUUAGUGACGAUCUAAUGGUCGAAUCAUCAUUUACUAUAAUGUUCAAAUGACGCAAAUUCGUCAAUCGGAUGUCAAAUAUGGAAUCGGUCAUCGAAUUUAGCCUAGGAAGAUCAAGUGGUGUCUCAAGCCACGCACCACCAUGCGCAGCAGUUGGCAACCCAGAUUCGUCGAAAAAAUCACCUGAUUCCAAAAUGAAUGUCGUGAGACGUGGAGUAAAUUGUAUACCUGUGAGAAGCCCAAUUUGGCCAGGAAGUGGCCUGAAAUCACUUUAGACCGUCGGAAACCCUAAAAUAGGUGAAUCUCGAUUAGUCAUCUCUGGUAUUCCACCGUCCUCAAACUUGUUUAGGGUUCUCAAAAAAAUGCUAAUGAUGAUGGUGAUUGAAGGAGAACGUUUCAGAAAUAGUGAAUCGCCGGCGAGGGUUUCACGGAAUCGACAUGGGUGUUCCUCGUGGAACCAAGACCAAAUCUCAACGGUUUUGGCUAGAAAUGGAUGCUGGGAUGUCGUGGUGAGGUUUGGUAUUGAUGGGAGGUCGAAGAAAGUCAAAAAAAUCGACGAAAAAACUGUCGUCGGAGUCACAGGAAACGUGUUAGAAAAAUGAGUCGCCGAGUUUGAAACGGGUCGAAGGCUUUUGGGACAGCUACUUAAUCUCUCUUCUCUGAUUAGUCACUCCACUCACUCUCUCAUUUGAUUGGUCCAGCCUUCCCACAUGGUGGGAGUUCCCUCAUAUAGUAACCCAAAAUUUACUAUUUAAAUUUGGUAUCAAACGUCCGUAACUUUUUUGUUAUAGUUCCGAUUCACAAACGGCUUUCGCCUACGCGCUCGUAUGAUCGAAUUAUACUUGAAAACAUUAAUUGUGACCUUAAAAAGGUCUACAAGUUUUAAAAGAUUAAUUACAAAAAUUCACACCUUGUAACUAUACGAUUCAAAUUCUAAAAUUAACGGAAUUAAAAUAAACUAAAAAUAAUGUAAACACGAAAUACAGACUUUAAUAAUGAAAUACGUAAUUAAUAGUGGAAUUCUGGGGAUGGGAUUUCACACCUUGCGUCCGGACCUUGAGUGCGGAUCAGAAUCCAAAGGUCGUGAUCUGACGAGCUCAUGUAUAGAACAGAGUUGUUGUGACCCAAUGCAAUUCAAAACUUUUAUGUUUUUUUAUUUACUGGGUACGUUUUUGUAGGAGGAAAAGGGGAAGUCGAGGGAUUCUUUGCGCAAUAAAGAGGGAAAGAGAGAAAAGGGGAGCUAAGAGGUUCUUCGCGCGUUAAAUUUUUGCUUCUGAUUUUGCAACCUAGAAAUAAAGUAUUUUCUUUAUGGUUUAUGGUUCAAGAAUAUAAUGGAUGCAACCUAAAAAUGUUUAUUUUUUUAUUUUUUACUUUUUUUCUUCUUAUGUUGGCUUUUGGUUUAUUCUUAUAAUGCACUAUAUAUUAACUAAAUUUAUAAACAUUUUGUAUCUUUGUUGCAGUCAAAUUAAUCAUAUGGGUUGGCAUGACGAAGUUCGACUGAGACAUACAGAUGUUUUGCAAUCUUAAGUCUAACCUGACACACCCCGACCUCAAUAUCCAGUGGACACCAAAAUUGAGGUGUGAUGGCCAUCAUCCGGAUGGGUGACGAAACCAUUAUAUGCAUGAAAACAUAAUUACCCAAACACGUCUUAUUAAAAUAUUGAGUAAAUACCAUACAAGAUAGAAUACGUCAGAGCUGUUGCAAAAUACCUCAACGUCCGAUGUAAUCACUGAUAGAAUUACUGAAUCAUGUAUAAAUGGAAAGCUGAUAAAUACAUGUAAUUUGAGUGGAUACUUACCAGCAGCAUGGAUACAAUAUCAUCCACCAGUCGUAACUAGUGAAAGUUGGAUAAUAUAAUCAUGUCAUUGCCGAGUAAUCUCAAGGCAAUGACAAGAUGAGAAUGUAACUGAGUAAUCAUAUCAUUACUAAAUAAUCUCAAAGUAAUGACAAGCUAAGAGUAUAACCGUAUAAUCAUGUCAUUACCUCGUAAUCUCAAAAUAAUGAUAAGCUGAGAGUAUAACUGUAGUACCUCUUAUUAGUGCAAUGCAUGAUAUGAAUUCCAUCUCACAUAUAUAUGCAAGCCAUAAUCAAACCAAUAAACAUCCAACAAAAGCCACAAUCCUUUUAACAUUCGACCACAAGAUCAAUUUUCAUAUUUCCCAAACCUAGGUUCCAAAGCAUUGUUUCGAAUUAUUAAUACAAGAAACCACCACCACCUCAAUCAACUCCUAUUCACAAGUGUAAGCAAUUACUAAAUGCAUCACUUUCGACUCUAGUCUUAAUUAGAUUACUUGGGAUACUCACACCAUCAGAUCCAAGUACUAUUUUGAUAAACUUUAAAUAGCAUGGUUAAAAUAAAUGAAACACUUUUAGAAAAUAAGUGAAGAUGUUGUUUACAAAUAUAGAUGCAUCUGUAUAUAAAAGCUUUGGCGGUUGAUCCGUAUACACACUUCCAGAGAUAUAAGCAAGUUCAUUGGAAUAUACAUACAUAGUUAAUGUAUUACAAUAUAAUUAAUAAGAAAACAAUUGCAUCCCUUUCAGAUUAUAUAUAUAUAUAUAUAUAUAUAUAUAUAUAUAGACACACACAUACAUACACACAGGCCCUUUAUGCAAAGGAAUUUCCAUUUUUUUUCAAAAAUGGGGAUUAGUUGUGGGGCCCACGCUGCAUUGAACUUUAACGAUCCGAACAGUCUAUUUUGUAAGUCUCGAUUCAUAGAUCAUCCUUGUAAAAAUUCAAUUCAAUCCGAACCCAUUUGCCUAUUUAAUUAUCAAGAUAAAAUUUUAUUGUUUCUUAUAUAACAAAGUAUUCGUUAAUUUCUUUGAACUCAAUUAGAUAUCUUAAACAUUUCCGAUUUGGUUAAUAUUGUGUAAGGAUGAUCUAUGUGGUGCAACUUGAAAAAUAGACGAUUACGAUCGUUAAAGUUCGAUGUGGUGAGAACCCUACAAUUAAUCUUCAUUUUUAUAAAAGAAUGGGAACCCCUUCCCUUAAAGGUUUCCUAUGUAUAUAUUUGUUCUCCAGACAUAUGCAAAAGGUAAUGUAAAACCAAUGAGAACUUAAAUAGAUAUUCCAUACAUAGGACAAUUCCAUAUAUGCUUUUUCAACAUUUAUAUCGAAAAGCCAAAUUGUUUUGAGGAAAUUAAUUGUAGCAAUGAUCCCUUAACUUUUAUCUUAUUGGAGCAAUGGUCUCUCAACUAAAAAUUCAUAACCAUUGGUUCCUUAACUCCACACAACGUGUAGUUAUGGUCAUUUUCAUUAACUCCGUCAGAACUUUUGUUAAAACAAGUAAUGUUAGAAGAAUCAUUGCUACAAUUAAGUUAAAGUUGGGGACCAUUGCUCUAAUUAAAUUAAAAUUGAGGGAUCAUUUCUCCAAAUUGCUUAAAGUUCAAGGACCAUUUCUACAAUUUUCUCAUCUAGUUUCCCAUAUUUACCCCAUGAUUCAGCUUCACAUGCAUUGCACAUGACUCAUUUUGAAAUUUUUUUUAACGAAAUUGAUGAAAAUGACCAUAAAUGCACGUUUUGAAGAGUUAAGAGACCAAUGGUCGUGGAUUUUAGUUGAGGGAUCAUUGCUCCAAUUUAGUUAAAGUUAAGGGACCCUUGCUACAAUUUUCUCAAAUGUUUUGUAUGCGAAAAUAGGCAUUUGUAAAGUUUGGCUUGUUCAUGGCAUUAUUACUUUAGUCUAAAGUAAGGCUGGAAAUGGCACUGUAGAAAUGAAUAGUGUUCCAAUCCGAAUUUCAGUUUAAUUACAACAAUGCCAUUGCUCUUUGUGUUGCCUUUAGGUGAGCAGCCCGGCUUGCAGCCAGGCCCAAAUGUAUUGGUUUUAGCUGAGAAGCCCGGCCCUUAGUCAAGCCCAAAAUUUUAAAUUACAGUUUUGCCCAUACAAAAUAACAAUCCGAUUGUAUCGAGAAGGACAAUUUUGUCCUUUCAGUUUUGGGUGAGAUAGGGGGUAACAGGGUAAGUUUCAUUUGCUGUCGUUGAAUGAGGGUUUCGAGGAUGAGGGCUCUGUGUGUGUGGGUGUGUGAGAGAGAGAGAGAGAUAGAGAGAGAUAGAGAGGGAUAUGGCGAUGGAAGGAGAGCGAGGGGGAAGGGAAGGGUUCUCGGCACUGUUGCUGCAUGUGAAUUUCACAAGUGGGAGAGUGGGUAUGGUCAGAGAAGACCAUAUAGGUCGUUGGGAUUUCAGGGAAACGGGGUAGGGGUCAUGAAUGAACCCUGCUGAGAGUGGGUACUGGAUCUUGCGCUGCAUGCCUCAAAUCAAAGAUAAGUUCGUUUUUUUUAUUGUAUUUUUUAUGGUAGCUUAGCUUUUGGAAUUGUUUAGUAUGUUAGGUCCGAUUUUGGGGGAUUUAUCUUUUUAGAGAGAGAGAUGGACAGGGAGAUAGAGAUAGAGAGAGAGAGAGAGAGAGAGAGAGAGAGAGAGAUGAGGAAGCAUGACUGUGUGCAAUUUUUUAUGUUAAUUAAUGGGUUGGUGCGCAGGGUGAGUGACAGAGUGACAGAGUGAAGGAGGGACGUGUGGGAGGGUAUGAGUUUUCAGUUCUUUCUUUUGAUUCAACAGGUUAUACACUGUUUGAAAAACCUUUUUUUUAUUAUUUUGUUCUCGUUUGCUUUGUUAAAACCAUCAUUUGAAUUUUUGGGUUUCAUUGUGCUUAUUUCUCUGCUUCUUCAUAAUUUGCUGGUGUUUGCUUCUCAUCCCUCUGUUGGUAGAUCUUUUUCUCAUUUCUUGGUUCCUUAUGUAUUCUUUGGUACAAAUCUGUUUACUUUUUGGCUGUGUGAUAAUCUUAGCAGGUGAACUAUAUGAACGUUUUUUUGAAACGAGUUAAGAAGAUCCAGCUGAAAAGAGCAUACAAGAUAGAGAACUGGUAUGCUGCUCGCCAGGGAAAGGCUGCUGGAAAGGUUGAGACGGAUGCCUCUUUCAGAAACCAGGUCAGUUUCCUGCUGCUCGGCGUCUUAAUGUAUCCAAAUUGUUUAUCUUUUGAUGAAAUUAGCUGGCUAUAUUUUCUAUUUUAUUUAUCUGCAUAUUAUUUUGGUUUGUUGAAAUUUUGACUAUAGUCAUUGUCACAUGGGCGCCUAGCCCAACCCAAAUUAGUUGAGGAUAUUUAAAUCUUCACCAUGGUAUUAUAGUACUCACUCACAGUUGUGAAUACUAAGGUGCAUGCAUGGCAUGAAGAAGUGGACCGUGCACGCCAAGGUCAGAGGGAUGCAGAAGGCAAGCUUUUUUCUUUGGAGGUAAGUAUCCUUUGUUUAUUGCCCAACAGUGUUGUUAUUAUCAAUUUGUAGCUUUGCGUUCUGAAUUUUUUGCUUUGUCAAACAACCUUCUUGAAAUGCUCGAUUUCAAGCCGAAGUCCAAAAAAUGAAAGUUGAGAUGGCUUCCAUGAAGAGGGAUGUAGAGCAUUACUCGCGCUAGGUGAAAUCUGCUUCCUCUCUUUUCGUAUAUCUUCAUAUGAAGAGUUUUACUAAGUUAUAUUGAGAACUAUGUUAUUUAUAGGUUAUAUUUUCCAUUUUGCAGGAACACAUGGAGCUAAGGAAGAGCUAUCGUGAACUCACUGAUCUACUGGUAAUGUCACUCAAACUGCUUUAUUUGUGCAUGCUGCUACUAUGCGCUUGAAUGCAUUUUAUUACUGGCGGGAUGCGAAGAAAGCUAGAUAUAUGUGCUGGAUCGCUUGAUUAAUGUUAGGGUUUUAACAACUAAUUGUUAGCAGCUAGAAGCCCUGGUUAGAUUAAUGCUAAUUUGAUUUUCCUUACAGUACUUGAGUGCCAGUUUCAUAUUGUUUGUUCCCUGUUGGAUACCUGCUGUACAGUUUCAUUUCUGUUUCUUCAUAACUUUCUUGGCCCUGGGAUAUAUGCAUAUUGAGUACAAUGAAUAUCCAUUGUUCUCUAACUGUUGGGCUUUACUAUCUUUGUAGCAGCCUGCCUAACAUUUUUUAGGCUCUACACUCUACCAUCCAAUUUAUGAAAAAUUCAAAGAUUGGACGAUAUUGAUUGCAGAAAUGAAAAAAAUACUAUGAUAUUAGAAAGGUGAAUGUAAUUGUGUUAGAAUAAGCGUCUAGCAUGAUGGGUAAUAUUUUAAGUUUGUAUUUCUAAAAUUUUUUCGUUCUGGAGUAUGAUUUACCUCAAUUGUUUUGUACUUUAAUCUUUACUAAUUUUCAUUGUGGAGUAUGAUUUGCCUCAACUAACAACUUUUCAUUGUUUAACUUUUUCCUCCCUUAGAUAGUUGCAUAUGUUUGAUUUGUUAAUCUGCUUCUUACACAUGUUGUUUCCUAAUGGUGUAGGUGGGUUGUCGGAUGCAUGUGCAGAUUACUUGAAUAGACGAAGCUAAGAAUGACUUAGUAUUAAGUGAGACAGAAGCUUGGGUCAGUUGGAUUUUGACAUUUGAUUUAUUCAUGUUUUUUGUUGCUUGCAAUGUUCUCGCAUUGUUUGUUCUGAGAUUCUGUGAUCUUAUUUUUCAUAGGAACUGACAUUGGUUUGCCAUAUAAUGUUUCAGGAACUAAUACAACAACUAAUCACCUUGCUUAGCUCUCAAGACACAUACUUAACAGGUUAACAAACACUAACCUAUAAACUGAUCUGCUAAGCUGGACCAUUAACCUCUGUUUAUAUCCCUGCCACUCAUCUUUUGGCACUUAUCAAUAGCAAAAUCUAGAGUUGUUGAAACCCCAAUUUUAAUGAAUAUUAUUUUUAGUUGAUAAUUAAAAUUAAUUGAUGAUUAAUCUAUUCCAUUGUGCAUUAUUUUAUCGCCAAAUACUUUGAAUAUUCAUUAGCAAAAGAUAUAGGGUUCACUAUUUAAUGAAUAGAAUUUUGAUGGUGGAUUGCAUUUCCUGAGUUAUAAAUGUGGUGAAUCCAUUAUUUACUAGCUGAAUAAUCAUAAUGUUUUGGCCACUUACCUUGAAUUUUGUUCAAAUUGAAGAAGUCACAUGUUUCUUUCUGUUGUUGAGGUAAUCUCUCUGUUGAAAGCUUCUAUUUCUUUUUUUUUUUUCUUUUUUUCAUUUGGGUAGAUUUUUUUUUUUAUGGAUUUAUGUAUUUUUUUUCCAGAGAAUUCGAAAUGAAAUAAGAAUAGCGGAUUGAGCAUAAACAAAUUGAUGAAAUUUUUAUUUGAGUGUUUGUGUUAGUCCUUUUUUGAUUUGUUGAGGUUUGGAAUUAUUUGAGUUUUUUUGCUGUUAGUACUAUGAAGGAUGCUUGGCAAUCGCGAAAUGGGGGCUACCUCUUUGGAAAGAGAAGUCUCGCUAUCCAACCUCUCAUGAAUUACAAACAGGGUGAUUUCUUGCUGAAAAACCACUGAACCAGUAGAACUUUCCUCGGUUCUUCAAUUCGAUUCGAAUAAUUUUUUUACCCAGAAAAGCCAGCGUUUCCUGGUGGGUUUUACAGCUUUCUCAAUGUUUUUGUGAUUUUGGAUUUGCAAAUUUGUUUUCUGUUCAAAUUUCCUUUUGUGAUUUUGGAGGUUUUGUUUAUCGAUUCUCUCACUCAUCUCUCAGCUCUCUCUCACUUUUGAGGUACAUGCCGUUGGAUUCCGUUUGCUGCUGCUGAUCUGUAGGUAAAGCUUCAAUUACCAUAUAAAGUUUACAUUUUUCAUGAUUUCUUGAAUUUGGGUUUUAAACAAAGGAAAUAUUGCUAGAUUCUUAUCUUAUGUGCAAAUUACUGGCUAUUUGGAUUGGUGCCUGAGAUUUAGAGAAUGCCUCGCAGCUUUAAUUUCUUUUUCCUUCAUUAUUACUGUUUUCAAAAUUUUUAUUGCUGGGUAUUGAUAAUUUGUAGUAUGUGAGGGCUUCAAUAUGUUGGAAUUUUGAAUGGUUAUUGCUUCAUCGGAAUUUGGGUGGUCCAAAUUUUGAAUUAGAAGAAACCCAUUUGAUUAAUAUUUUUGGUGGAUUGGUUCUCUGUGUUUUCCUUGCUAUUUCUCCCCCAGUUGGAAAUUGGAAGCCCCAACUUUGAGCUCAGAGCUUGAAUUUCUCAAUCGUUCGUUUCUCUGCACUCUCAUCAAUCACUCUUGAUCCUCUAUCUAAAGAACUGGGUAAUUUUCCAGCUCUAUCAAGUAAUACUCCAUUUAAUUGCUUAAUUGAGGUUUUUUGUUUCUCUUUUUCGCUCUUUCAUCAGUUCAUUGACUUUGAUGUUGAGCUUAAGUAAAUGGGAGAUCAUUAAUUGGCAUUGUUCAAGAUAUAAUUCUGUGUUUUUGGAUUUGUGAAACGAUUUGCCUAAUGAUGAUAGUGGUUAAAAUAAAUUUUUCGUUAUGAAGAGAACAUUGUUCUUCAUUUGCCUACGGUUUUAACUACAAAGUUAAACUACUAUGCUUUUGUUCAAUUGACUGCAACUCAUGCCGCAGUUUGCUUCACAAACCUCUACGGUUAGCUUCCAUACAGUAUGUUGCAAGUUUGAGGAUAUCUUUACAUCUUAAUUUUUGCUCUCUCUGGUUGCUUCAAGUUUGUAAUUUUACGUGUUACAUUGCUACUUGAUUUGAUUAUAAAAAUGCAAAACAAAAUCCGUUUUGCUUUUAUUCAACUUAAAUGUAUCCUUUUGUUUGUUCAUAAUUGUGUUGAAUUUAUUCAACUUAAAUGUGUUUUAUUCAUCUAUUUACGCUUAAAACAACUGGUUCCCCUAGCAAUGCGCGGGCCUAAUUUCUAGUACAUAUACUAAAAGCCAGCAGAAAAUUACUGUUCAUCAUGGGAGAUAGAGCACUGUUCAUUAACAGUGAAAGGGCGAAAAUGCCCUCGGUUUCUUCUUUACUUCACGUACUGUUUACGAAUUGCUACAGUAUAAAGUCCGUUUUGUCCUUCCUGUCCACACAUCUUUCAUCGUCCGUUUCUCUUGCUUCGACCGUAUCUUUUUUGCUUUACCUUUCCUCUUCAUUUUUCGCAUUCGUUAGGCUGCGAUUUUCGGAGGUGGAUUGUUUGCCCUCCCAUUUCCAUGCUCUCCCCAUGCCUAUGUGGUCACAGUUAAACCACGUCAAUAUUUUAUAUUAAUUUUUUAUAAAAAUAAUAAAACAAAAAGUAAUAAGAAUAUAAAAUAUUGACGUGGCUUAACGUGGUCCGUGAUCACAGUAGGCAUGGAAAUGGUCCGCGACUUUCUCCCUUUUCGCCAGCCCCUCUUUUGCUCUCAAAUCCUUGCUCUUUCUUUUGCAAAAUAGUCUCAGAAGAGAUCCUGGGUUUAUCGAAUCCUUUGUUGUUCGGCGUUUUGUUCUCAUCUUGUGAUCGUCGGGUCAGCAGCUUUAAGGUAAGUUUGUUUUUAAUGAUUUAUCCUCAUUUUACGAUGUCUGGGCUAACAAAUUUAAGAUCUUUAUUUUUCUUUUUGCUGCGGAUCUGCAGGUUUUGACAAGUUUUUUGUGAAAUUGGUGCUGUCAGUGGGUGUUAACAUCAGGUACCCAUGUUCAGUUUUUCGUUUUGAUUUGAAGGAAUUUCUUGCGCAGAAGUGCUAGGGUUUCUUGGUGAGUUCUUCGGGUUGUGCAUAUGGGUAAUUUUCUUUUCGGUUUAACCCGCUGCUUCUGCUGCUCUCUCUCUUUCUCUCAUCCCUGCCUGCUCCUCUCCAAUUGUUUGCUGUUCUUAAAUAUUGUGUUCAUUGCCUGAUACAAGGAGCUGCAGCAAUCUGUUUUAUCCUACACGGGACAACGAGGCAAUGGCGUGACAACAGGUGAGCUUGGAUAUCCAAAGAAAGAGAACAGUUGGUUCAUCUGCUGGAGUCUGAAGCUCAGAGAAGUGGAGGAAAAUUGCAGGUGUGCGAGAAAUUUUAUUUUGCUGAUAGGACUCCUUAUUUACGGAUGCAUUUUGAAAUAAUUGAAAAGUUGGAUUUGAGUUAACAGCUAUAAAAAUGUAGACAUGAUUGCUGAGAUUAUGCUAUGAAAGUGGAAUAAAAAAAUGGUAGUUUAUAAUAUUGCGUACCAAUUUUUUUCUCUCUUUUUUACCAAAUGAUAAGGGUGGUGGCUCAGGCCGCCCCCCCUACGCGUCCCCACUCUUCGACAAGUUGAAAUCAUGGUGAUAGUUUAUGGGCUGUGGUCUUGGGAUUCUGCAAAUAGAUUAAAAAACAGACACUUAACUAUCUUGUUAUUAAACAUUUCUGCAUCAUUCAGUUGCUCUUGAUUUUCGUCUUUUAAGCGAUCUUAUUUCUGCGAUCUGACUUGAGGAGGGUUUUUAGACCUAUGGUUGUGGGUGUUUUGUCUGACCCCAUUAAAUUGGUUUCCGAGAUUUGUAGACUUGCGAUCGGCAGUCAAACAUUUUGUGAUUCUUGCUUUUUUUCCGACUGGGAUUGACGAAUUUUGGCCGAAUCUGUUUCCUGUUUUCUUCUCUGUUUGAGCGGCCGCUGCCUUUCGGUCGUUGAGCGCCGGCAGUCUUUAGAUCUUUGGCAAAUCAAUUUAAUACAACCGAGGUAUGUUUUAUAACUGCUGUCUUUCAAUUUUUGUUCUGUAUUUUUGUUAAUUUGGAUGAAGCUCUAAUAAUUUUGUUUUGGAUCAGUUGUGGUCCUCUGUUAGGAUUUUCCUGGCUAAGAGGGUAUUUGCGUUUUUGUUGCUUGGUUGGUCGAUCACAGAUUUACGAACAGCUGUGGUGGUCCUGUUAUUUUUUUGGUAUGUUUUUUCUCCUUUUUGGUUUUUUCCCGGUUUGAGCACCCAUUCAUGAAGAAUUAAAAUGUGUUUAUAGUUUUUCAGGAGAGAUUAGAAAAGUGAUUUCAAUUUGGGAAAAUUUAAUGUUGGUUAAAAUUUGUCUAUAAUUUUUGGGAAGGAAUGAGAGGACCCAUUGAAGUAUGUGUUGUGAUUAUUUUUUAUUCAUAUUUUUAACAAAUUGGGCAUGAAUUGGUAGGUUAACUGUGUGUGUUUAUUAUUUGAAUCGGCCAUGUUUGUCUUUCUAUGGUUCUAAAAAAUUUGUAAAGGCUGUUAACUUGGAAGAAAAUGGGAUCGAGGGUGAGGGGAAAACGGCAGAGAAAGCAUGGAAGAGAGAUUUGGGAUUAGGGGUAGGAAAACAGAUGAAAAGAAUAUGAUAGAGGAAUGAGUUCAGUUCAUUUUCACUAUUUUUUUUAACUGAUUUGGAUUUUGUUUGGGUUUGAGGCCAUCAUUGGCGUUAAGACGUUUAUUAUCAGAUCGUGUGUGUUUUUUGCUAACUUUUAUUGGUCAUUUUUAUGUUGUUCUUAUGAUUUUGUGUGGUAGGGUUUCUGAAUUUUAUCGUUAUUCAUUUGGUUUUUUGUGUGUGUUGGUUUGUUUAUUUUGCAGGUUGUGUUUGUGCUGGGACAACAUUUUCCACCUUCUGUUUGCACUGGGAUGAUUGCGUUUUAAAACUGUUGGGGUGAGAUUUACAUAUGGAAUCAUUCCAUUUUUUUUCUUCCAAAUAUGUGCAUUUAGUUCUUUUUAUUUUAAAUUUUAAAAAUUAAAUCGUUAUUUGAGUAAAAUGUUUUAUUAAUUUAUGUUAUGUGUUGUGAUCAGGAAUUCUGUUGGAUUUGCAAAUUUUGGUUUGAUGAGAGAGAUGAGGAGUUUUUUUUGUUUGAAUUUUUUAUUGGACCGAUUUUCAAUUGGAUUGCAUUCUGCCUUUUUGCACCAUUCUUAUGCAAGCAAUUCAUUGUUUUAAAUACAAUUUGAAGAGAGCUGGGUUGCGGGUUGGAUAUAAAAUGUUAAGGUGAGAUAAAAUCGAGAUACCAAGGGUGGAAGAAUGAUUCAGAAUUGGGGGAGGAAAACAGAGGGAAGAUGGAAGAGUAUAAGAGAAGGAUAGGGUUGACCUCAUUUAGAGUUUUUAUUUACUUUUUUUUUUAUUAUUUAUAAAUUGAUUCAGGACUAGCAUAUCAUUUCUAAAUUUCUAACAUUUUUGUUUAAUUUGACUCCAGUUGAUGGAAAACAGAGCUCUUACUCCUAUCAAUCAGUUGGUCCCGUACAUAAAUGCAGAAAAAUCAAGGUUCGAGUUUGCAGAGUAUGCAGACCAAGGUUUCCUGAAACUACUGGUGCUGUCACGCCCCAAUCCCGACCUAUGUCCAGGAUCGACACGUGACGUUAACAAAUACCCAUAUCUCUAACAUACCCCGCCUCCGGAAUAUGGGCAAAGCACAACUGCGUAAUAAUUUUUCGUAUACUUUAUGGCUGCAUCUAACAUCCUCGUUAGAUUAUCAUACCUUAUGGCUACAUCUAACAUCCUUGUUAGACUGCCUACGUACUCUCAAAAGGGAUCAAACCAUUCGUAGUUCACCACACUCCAAUCCACAAAAAUUUGCACAUGCACUGAUUAUAAAAUGGAACUGCACCUAUAGAAACCUAAUCAUAACCCGUGGGCGAUUUGCUCCCACAUAAGAAAGACGUCCACAGUACCAUGAAAUACUUCCACAUCUUUCCUUCCCAUUUACACAAUAUUUUAUUUCACCUCCCUGAUAAAUAUAGCAUUUACAUUACAUGUGGCAGACAAAUUUGCAUAUUCAACUAUAAUAAAAUACAAUCUUAGUAGGAAAAACCUACAAGACCACCACUCGUUUGAGCCAAACUUUAGCUUAGCACUCAACUGGUGCUCACACCAUGUGAGUGCACGAUCCUUUAAGAUGGAUGCGAUGGUUCUCUUUUGAGAUUAAUUUUGUUACAGGUAUAACAUAGUUGGCAACCGUUUAGAAAUAGAUGCCUCAUGUUCAAAACUCUCAUUACCAAAUGUUCUAACAAGUUAGUAGAGAAGGUAAAAGAACCCAAAUGGCGAGAAAUAGUGUCCUGAUGAAACAAAAGAUGUAACCCUCAUUCAAGCACGAACAUCAUUUCCUUGAGAAUCUGCGAUUUCUUCCCUCAUUUGGUCAAUAUAGCUUGUAUUCCAACUGCAACUUACUAAUAGCAUUUGUUCUCUCCUCGAAUGAAACCAUAACCAGCCAUUUUAAAUAAAGCUGAACAGUUUCACGUUGGGAAAAUAAAGAUUAUAACAUACAGGUUUUGGAUUAGAUUCCCAAACCAACAGAAAAUUAAGAUAGGAAUCUAUUUUGGGUUAACUGAGGUAUGAGUGGUAUACAAAUGAGAAAUUCCCUACAAAAGUCAAUAAAACCAGUUACAUAACAUGUUGAAUAUAAUACAACAUGAAAUAAGAAGCACCACUUGUUUAUCUGACUUUUUAUACAUGUAUUUUCCUAAGGGAUAAAAACGUGCGGGUUUUGGGAUCAAUCUGAAGAGGGCUUCACCACGAAUACAUAGCCUUUGACCGUGCAUGAUUUCGUUGCCGUAUGAGAAAGUUAUCAUUUUUUUUUUUUGUGAAGAAGAAUUAAGGGGGAGAAGAACAGCUGCCCCCUCUGUUUCUGCAUCUGCCCAGCGGGGAAAGAAAAAGAAGAGAAGCCCUUGGCUUCUAGAAUACUCCCUCCCCAAAAUUACAAUUUUGCUCUCUAACUUUGAUUGUUUAUAUCUUAUUCGUUAUAACUCUGUUUCACGAACAGCUUUUGCUUACAUGCUCACAUAGUCGUCAUCUAUUUAAAUAUAUCAAGAAAUACAAUAAAAUACAUCCUCGUAUAAGUAUGUUAACCAAUUAGGGCACUUUCGUCAUUUCCACUUAUCGAUAGAUUUUAACACGUUAAUUAUAAUAAUGUCCGGAAACAGCUUUAAAAUUUCCAAAUUCUAUUUCCAUAACCAUAAAUCGAUUUAUUAAUUUUUCAGGGUAUCACAGGUGCAUAUUCAGGCUUGCAUUGUAUAUUACUUUCCUAUUAAAAAUUUGUUUGGAAUUUGCUUUUCCCACAAAGGAGAAGAGCUGACAGUUACGCUGUGGGCAGAUGUUGCUCGAAGUAUUGCUUCUUUAUCCAUUGAAUCAUUGUCUCUGCCGAUCUUUGCGGUUUUCACAAGUUUAAAGGUCAAGCUGUACCUAGGUGUUUGACUUAAUUAAAAACUAAUCUAUUUAUUUCGGAGGCGGAGCAAAAUGCUAUCUGUCUUACCCCUCUUGGUGAUCUUAGUCGGAAAGAUCGGCUAGUUUGGGAUGUGAGUAAGAAUGGGCAGUACUCGGUUCGAUCGGGCUAUCAUUGGCUGCAAUCUAGGUCUGUUGGGUUCAGGGAUCAACGCCAGCUUGGUGCUUGCUUAGUUCCGAGGCAUUUGUGGCGCAUGGUUUGGUAGUUGAGUGGGCCUCAUAAGCUCCGUCAUUUCUUUUGGUUAUCUUUGCAUAAUGCAUUACCGUCAUUUCUUUUGGUCCGUGACCAGGCAUGAGGAGAGCAUGGAAAUGAGAGGGCAGACAAUCCACCUCCGCGACUUUCUCCCUUUUCGCCAGCCCCUCUUUUGCUCUCAAAUCCUUGCUCUUUCUUUUGCAAAAUAGUCUCAGAAGAGAUCCUGGGUUUAUCGAAUCCUUUGUUGUUCGGCGUUUUGUUCUCAUCUUGCGAUCGUCGGGGUAGCAGCUUUAAGGUAAGUUUGUUUUUAAUGAUUUAUCCUCAUUUUACUAAACUAUUUAUGGUAACUUAGUAUGGUAACUUAACUAAGUAAGUUUGCUUUUAGCCCAAGGGUUGGAGAUGGUCUUAGUAUGGUAACUUAACUAUUUAAUUCCAUCUCAUUAAACUAAAAAAAACAAUUACAUAAAAAUAAGGGAAACCUUGUCCAGAGAGACCUGAGAAAGUCCACCCCUAAGGACUUUGCGCCAGCACCCAGCGUAUUUAUCUACUCAAGUGAACAGUAAUAGACUGGAGUGAACAGUAAUAGGCCAAGGCAUCUCCACCCCUAAAAAAAUGCGCUGGCACCCAGUGCAUUUAUUUGGUGUGUUUUUUUUUUAAAGUUUAUUUCAGAUAAGAUUUUUAACCAAUUUCGGAUAAAAUUUCAAAUAAACUUAAAAAAAAACACUCUAAAAUAAAAUUACAUACUCAUCAAAUAAACUUAAAAAAACACACUAAAAUAAAAUUACAUAAACUCAUCAAAUAAAUUAAGGAUGAGCUUUUUGGUAUUUUUUUUUCACACAAAAAGUAUAUGAAAGCUUUGGUAGAAGGUCUAGAAAAUAUUGAAAUGUGGUGUAAGGUGGAAGAUGAGGGUUAGGUAUUUAUAGAAAAAAAAUAAUAACUUUUUUAAAAUUUUACUGUAUUUUAAAAAAAAAUCUGUAUUUUUUUAUAUUUUUAAUUAAUUUUAAUGUAGUUAAUUAAUUUGGACCGUUGGAUUUGAAAAAUAUUCAAAUCCAAUAGCCCAGGAUCGGCCACGUGGCCAACGCCAGCAAAUGGCCCAGCUUCUUGGUCAGCCUGUUUUGUGCUGGCCCAGAGACCAGUUUGGGCUGGGUGCCAGUCUGUUUUGUGGGCUGGAGUGAAUGGACAGGGUCCCAGCCUGUUUUUUGUGCUGAGUGCUGGCCUAAUCCACCACCGGUGGACUUGCUCUGAGAGAAAGUGACGACUUCUCCUCUCAUUCCACUCCAUACUUGAUCUCUAAAGUCCAUUUGGCAUGUAAUUGAUGUUCAAUUUCAAAUUUAGUGGUAGCAAUUAGCAAAGCUAAUGAAAGAAUCAAAUAAAAUGAAAGAAAAAGCAUCAUGAAAUAAAUCAAGAUGAAGAAUGAAAUUUUGGCAACUCGCCAUUCUCUUCUUUUAUAUAAAAGAUACAUCCUAUUUGUAGUGAAAACAGGUCCCGACAAACCCAGUUAUCCUCAAGAAGUAUUUUGUAUGACUUUAAAAACAUAAUCCGUGAAAUUAUCUCUUGGCUGAGAACAACAACAAAUCUUCAUGCAUAGCUUGUACAGAAAGACAUCAGGCAUACAAAAGAACACGCAAGCAUAAAAUAAACGACGCAGGGAAAACCAAAAAUACUAUAGAACACGUCGCUGUCAAAAGAACAUGAAUAAAUGAAAAUUACAAAACAAAGAAGUGAUGAGAAACCAAAGUACCCAUUUCAUAAUCUAGUUGCUUUUUAGUUUGCUUGCCAUUUUUAGUUCUUCAAUUUAGAGAGAAACGAUAAUUCAGCACAUGAAUAAAGUGAAAACGUAAAAGAUAUGUGGGAUAAGCUGACAGCCAUCCCUGAGUAAUGCAUUCACUUAUGAACCCCAAACACAACGAAACAAAAAUUCACACAUGAACUACAGCUCCGCUAUGUAACAAGAAUUAAAAGCAUCUCAAGACAAAAUGGCAAACUAUAAGAGCACUGUAAAAGUAAAAUUGCAAGAAAUCUAAUACUUGGAGGGCAAGUACUACUCAGACGAAAAUGAAAGAUUGAACUACCUCGCGUGGAACUGUGCCUUGGUUUUUUCCCAUGCUUACAGGAAGCUUUGCACUGAGCUCUUAUAGCCCAAAUUUUCUCUGAAAGAAAAAAACACAAUUUUGAAAUAAGAUUUUCAUAUUAUACCUUAAAGAGAAGAAUUAGAAAACAAAAAAGAGAACAAUGAGUACUAUUCAUCAUAUAUUGUUAGAGUGUGUGGUCCUUUGGUCCAAUGGUCCUGCAGCCAUAUUUACUUUAUAACUCUUUCUUUUAGUCUAAAAAACAUCUUGGAUCUCAAAUUAAUAUGAAUACGGAUUCAUACGCAUGCAUUGCAUUACAACCACAAUGCAAUAUCUCAUUAGAAAUCCCCACACAAAAUUUUUUUAUUUCUACUUUGAUUUUAGUUUAUAUUUUUUCUAAAGCACGAGGGAGCUAAUUUUUUUUUAAAUUUUUUUUAUUCCAAUAAUGUUAUAGGGUUGAAAGGAUAUUAUCAAUUUAAUUGAUUGUAUUUGAUUGGUGGAACUUCUAUAUCUAUAUUUCAGUUUUUCAAAUUCAGCACUGGGAGAGUCAUUCAUAAAAUGUUUGACAGUGAGAUUACCUCCAUGGAUUAUGCUCACAAUGGACAGCUCAUUUUCCGCAGUGAUGGGACAAUAUAUUUCAGUCAUUCGCCAUUCAAUCAAUUCAAACCGAGGAACAAGCAACAUCAAGAAGAGGAUCUGCCAUGUCAGGAUCACUGUCGUCCAAUUAAUACAAAAAAUCUAGAUAAAAACGAUCAAUUUACAUAAAAGCCUUUCAUUUUCUCAGCAACCAAGCAAAAGAAAAUACCUAUCCGUUAACACUCGAUUUGGGAGUAAAUGUUGCUGAAACUGGACUUCAAUCCCCUCAACCGCAACAACCGAAUCGAGGUGUGCAAGUCAUUGAAAAACUCACCCAAGAUUUCAAAAUCUGCAUAAAUAAAUAAAUAAGCACAUAAAUUAGCCAACCCUGUUAUGAUCCCACAUCGGGUACACAAGAAAUUGUGUAGUGGUACUUAAGUGCAAGGGGUCCUCCCACCUAUUGGACUAGUUUUUUGGAUUGGGCUCUUCCCUUGGGCUUGAGUACCUAACAUUGGUAUCAGAGCCUAGGUUCCCGACGCUGCGGGACUUGGCGAGUGGUGCAGCCUCGUGGUGCCGCCUUGAGAGUAUGGGCUCCUAAGGGUCUUGGCGACGGGCAAGGUAUGAAAUGCCGAUAUUAUCGCGAUAUUUCGCCGAUAAUAUCGGUUUUUUGAGUUACCGAUAUUUUAAUACUUAUCCACUGAGUUUUCGUCAAAAUAUCGCGAUAAUAUCAACAAUAUCGCGAUAUUACCGAUAAUAUCGCGAUAUUUUGGAGAUGUGCGAAUCGGAGAAGAACGCCGGAGCUUUUACAGCUCCGGCCGACUGUAAAAGAGCACCCUAGACUCCGAUCUAGGUAUCAAAAUGAAAUACAAGAUGAGAGGAAUGUUUUUAUAACUUCCGUUUGCCGUGAAACGGUCGAAGGUGUUCGGAAAGUUCGUCGACACCCACGGCCUCGCCAGAGAUGGGUGUGCCUAUUCCCGAGCCGAUUUCGUCCCAAAAACCUUGCAAAAACACGAGAUAGAACUUAAAUUUCACGUCUAAGCUUCAAUCUAGAAUAGAAUGAGGUAAACCCGAAGCUUACCUAACCGGAGAAAUUCAAGAAACUCGUCGGAGGGUUCCUGCGUCGCCGAGUUGCAGAGACGAGAAGGAGAGGGAGAAAGACGAGGUUGCUGAUGACGAUGGGUGUCUUCCUCAAGCAAGUGCGAUGGUGUGCGUGUGUGUAUGUGGGUCUCGGUGCAGAGAGAAAGGAGAGAGAUGAGAGUUUCGAGAGAGAGACGGCACCGACGAGAGCUAUUUGUUUUUUUUUAUCUUAAAAAGAGAGAGGUCUAAGAGAAAUGGGAAGAGAGGGCCGAGUGAAAUGAAAGGAGGUCCUUGAAUUAUUGAGAGAUAUCUCUGAGAGAGGCCUAGGAUUUCUAAAAGGUAAUCAUAAAUGGGAAAAAUGGGGCACAUCUUAGCCUUUAUUUUGGAAUCCUAAGAAGUUCACCACAUGGAUGCAUGACAUGUGUGCAUGCCAUGUUUGUUGAAUGGGAAAAGUCUGACACGGAAAGACAAAGAGUCGUUUGGGGCUCUGGGCUCGAGGCAAGACAGAAAGUGCUAGGGUUUUUUUCUGAAAUGAACAUAAGCUGCUAAAUUCGCAUAUAUUAUAGUUGUUGCUAAAGAUUGUCACUAGUGUGGACUUGGACGUGUUGGUCAACAUGUCCUCACAAUCCCCAAGUUCUCUGGUUCGAACCCUUGCGCCCAUCAAAUUUUCUUUCUUUUUGAUGCGCUUUUCCCAUGGCUCUAGGUCUUGAUUUCGAAUCCAAGUGAGCCCUUUCCUUUUUCUUUUUUGUUCUUUUUGUUUUAUUAUUUGUUUAUUUUAAUUUAUUUGUUUCUUUUAUGUUUUUCUUUUCUUUUAGUUUCUUUGUCUUAGGCGUUCGUUUUUAUUAAAGUAGGAUGUAAAAUCAAUUAUCUUAAAAUUAUGUGUUUUUAAAUUUUGGACUUGUUUGUUGGAUACUUUUUUUUCAUUUUAUCAUUCUUUUAUUAUGAAAAUAUGCUAAAAUAUGCUAAAAUAUCACUUAUGUUUUUGUGAAAAUAUGCUAAAAUAUUUAUAUAUAUGAUUUUGUUUUGAAUUCUUUUUGUACUAAUUCAUUAUAUAUAAAUGAUUAUGGUGUGUUUAAACUUCUUUAAUUAAUUACUACAUAUUUUCUAUACUCACAAUGUUUGCCAGCUCGCUAUAUAAUCAACUUAAAUCAGUUAAAUCCAUCAUGCAAUGCAUUUCCUUCCAAUUUUUUGUGAUAAACUUGUGAACACGGAAAAUUCCUGAAACGAAAGAGACAAGAACGAACGUGCACAAACAAAUAUUAUGUAUUUGAUGAUUUUGGGUUACAAUCUCUCUCUAUUUGAUCCUCUGAUUCAAUCUCCGUAAGGUGUGUAUUUGUGGAUGUGUGAUUGAUCCAAAGGGCCGUUGGGCUUGAUCUAAUGAUGAACGUUCUUCAAGGGCCGUGGACUUGAUCUUGAAGGUGGAUUUGAGCGGAUCUUCAAAGGGGCUUUUGGGCUUGAUCUUGAAGAACGGUUGGAUGUGUGGAUUUGUCGAAGUUGUUGAUCCAAAGGGCCGUUGGGGCUUGAUCUUGGAUGAACGGAUGAUGAACGAUGGUGCUUUCUUCAAGGGUCGUCGGGGCUUGAUCUUGAAUUGGUGGAUGGUUGAUCCAAGGGCCGUCGGGGCUUGAUCUUGGAAGAACGAUGAACGAAGAACGAAGAACACUUUCUUCAAGGGCCGUCGGGGCUUGAUCUUGAAUUGGUGGAUGAUUGUUGAUCCAAAGGGCCGUUGGGGCUUGAUCUUGGAAGAACGAUGAACGAAGAACAAAGAACGCUUUCUUCAAGGGCCGUCGGGGCUUGAUCUUGAAGGUGGAUGAUUGUUGAUCCAAAGGCUGUCGAGGCUUGAUCUUGGAAGAACGAUGAACGAAGAACACUUUCUUGAUUCUUCGGGAACCUGGACGCUUGAGAGCUUCGGAGUUUCAGAGCUUCAGAGCUUCAAGGUGUAAUAUGAAUUGGUCCCCCCUAAAUGAAUGAAAUGGGCUUGUAUUUAUAGAAUUUUCCAAGGCCUAAUUUUGAAUAUAAUAUCUCAGAUGAAAUAAGUCGUUUCUGCCAGGUGUUAACACGUGUCCUAUUUGAUGACUUUUCCAACUCAUUUCAAUUUUCGUUUAGUCACACGCUACGUGUAAAAUUUAUGUAAUACAUGAGCGUUGACACUUUGAUUUAUCGGUCAACAUUUAUUUACCGAAAUUUCGAUGUCUACAAAUGCCCCCACUUCAAGGCACGUCGUAUACCUGUGCUUGUCACGUGUAGGAGAUGCGUUUUGAAGUCCCUUACCGUAGAUGCCGAUUCAAGGGCCGUUGAAGCUUGAUCUUGAAUUGGGCUUGAGAUUUCUUCAAGGGCCGUUGAGGCUUGAUCUUGAAUUUUUGUUUGAAAUUUCUUCAGGGGCCGUCGAGGCUUGAUCUUGAAGGUUGAAAUUGGGCCACAAGGAGCUUCAUGUGGUAGAUGAUCUUUGGCUUUGGUAGUGGAUGAAUCGGCACGUAUUUUAUUGCGCUUGUUGACUUUCCACAGCUUUGAUCUUGAACUGGGUUGGAGGAUUUUCUGGAUUCCUCCAAUUGUUGAUUUUCCACAGCUUAUUCUUGAACUAGGUUUUGAUUCAAGGGUGGUAGACACUUGAUCUUGAAUCGGACUUGUGAUUUCCUCGAUGGCCGUCGAGGCUUGAUCUUGAAUUUGGUUGGAAACUUCUUCAAGGGCCGUCGAGGCUUGAUUCUUGAAGGUUGACUCGAACAUAUGGCAAGCAGGCACGAGGUGAAGGUGACGACUUGUUGCUUUGUUCAAUCUUUCUAAUUCACACCUGAGCAGUUUGGUCAACGGUAUGAUCCUCAAGAUUGAUGGGCUCUUCUUCCAGUUGGUGACUUGAUCUUUAAGGAUUUGAUUCAAGGGUGGUGAAUCGGCACGUGCAGCCCACAACGCCUAGUAAGCCGACCCAAGAAUUUGAGGGUCAAAACGGAUUCACCGUCAGAGUGAUUGCAACUUUGAUGAUAUGAGAUACUCUUGCUUUUGAAGAAGUAGUGGAUGAAUCAGCACGUGCUUUGUUGCGCUUGUCUCCACAUGCUUCAAGGUAUCAUCUUUAUUUCCUUUAUCUAUUCCUCAGGCAGAUGUGGCAUCUUCUCGAGUUCUUCAUCUCAGACUCUUUCUGCUGAGUUGACUGUUCAUGCUGCAUUCUUCUCUGCUUGUUCAUUCUGCACGUUGUCUCCACAUGCUGCAAGGUAUCAUUUUCACUUGCCUUAUCUGUUCUCCGGGCAAAUGUGGCAGCUUCUUUGAAAGUACAGUAGCAGCGGGAGGCGAGUACUCGAGAGCAGUGCUAGGUAGGCAAUCAGGGAAGGGUUCCAAGCAGUCGGUUCCUUACCCGAGUUUGAGUGGAAGUUCCGGCAUAUUGUUUUUUUUAUCCUUGUCUUUGUAGGUAAGAACAAGGACAAAGGAAAGGACAGGGAGAACGCAUGAUAUGAGAUACUCUUGCUUUCUACCCUGGUGAUAUGAGAUACUUUUGCUUUGGAGUCAUUGGCUUGCAGAGGUACCCCAAGGAAUAAGGAACACUGAAUGACUCGAGAGGCUUCGUUGGGAAAACAUCUUUGGAGAUGAAGAAAGACUUUGUGUGUCUGCCUUGCUAUGGAAGGCGAAGGUAGACAAUUAUAGGAAGUUCUUUGAUACCUGUAGAUGUACUAUUCUUUCACUCGUGUCGGCAACCAAUGCGUGAUUGAUCUAUAUGGCUUCACGUGCUUCCUUCUUUAUCAGAAAUCUUCGACAAACUGUCCGUAAUUUCCGCCAAGCUGAGUGUGCAUGUGAUAGGUGUUGACGCGGCUGAAAAAGACUGGCGCUUAUUCGAUAACUGGGAUCUGCGCUUCGACAAAUUACCCGUGAUUUCCGCAAAGCUGAGUUUGCGUGUGAUGGGUGCUGACGUGUCUGGAAAAGACUGGCGUCUCUUCGAUGUCUGGGAUCGGCACUUCGACAAAUUGCCCGUGAUUUUCGCAAAGCUGAGCUUGCGUGUGACGGGUGCUGACGCGUCUGGAAAAGCAAGAUGCUUCUUCGAUUUCUGAGCUUGCCUCUUCGAUUUUUGAAUGGCCUCUUCGAAUUCUGAGCUCGCCUCUUCGAUCUCUGAAAUCCCGUCGAGUGUUGAUUUUUUAUAGAGGCAUGCUGUUCGUUUCAAAGCACACUUGAAUUUUACUUGUGAAAACUCCCUUCUUGCACUUCUAAGAUCUUGAUUCGUCUGACCUCUUCUUCCUUCAACACUUUGAAAAUGUCUGGACCCUCCGACCGUCGUUUUGAUUUGAACUUUGGUGAAGAUGUAGUCCCGUCUUCUCCAGAUAACAUAUGGCGCCCAUCCUUCAUAUCCCCUACUGGUCCUCUUACUGUUGGGGAUUCGGUGGUGAAGAAUGAUAUGACCGCUGCGGUGGUGGCCCGAAACCUUGUCACUCCCAGAGAUAACAGACUACUUUCCAAACGGUCUGAUGAGUUGGCUGUUAAGGAUUCUCUGGCUCUCAGUGUGCAGUGUGCGGGUUCUGUGUCCAACAUGGCCCAACGCCUAUUUGCUCGAACCCGUCAAGUUGAAUCGUUGGCGGCUGAAGUGAUGAGUCUUAAACAGGAGAUUAGAGGGCUCAAGCAUGAGAAUAAACAGUUGCACAAGCUUGCACACAACUAUGCCACAAACAUGAAGAUGAAGAUUGACCAGAUGCAGGAAUCUGAUGGUCAGAUUUUACUUGAUCAUCAGCGGUUUGUGGGUUCGUUCCAACAGCAUUUGCCUUUGUCUUCUGGGGCUGUACCGCGUAGUGAAGCUCCUCAUGAUCAACCUCCAGCCCCUCUUCUUUCUGGAGUUCCACCGAGUGGUGUGACUUCAAACAGUCAACCUCCGACGUCUCUUUUCCCUAGAGCUCCACCGAGCACUGAGACACCACCUGAGCAAUAAAGACUCCCUCCCGUUUGUUUGCACAUUUGUAAAUUUUUUUUUUUUUUUUUUUUUUUUUUUUUUUUGGUAUGUAGAAUGCAAUUUUAUGUAAAAUUUCCAGAAAAAAUAAAUAAAAUGGAUUUUUAUUUCUCUUAAUGCUUUUUUUUUUUUUUUUUUUUUUGCUGUAUAUAUUAUACACACACAUUUAUACAUACAUAUAUACAUACAUAUAUAUAUAUUUUCACGUGGAGUGAUCCACCAUCCCAAAACCCAUUUUCCCUUUGUUUUUUUUUGCAUGGUGCUAGCCACCAAGAAUUCACCUUUUUUUUUUUUUUAAUUAAUUAAUUAAUUUAUUUAUUUAUUAAUUUAUUAUUAUUAUUUCUUUUUCGUCUGCUUUCACAUGGUGCUUGAUCCACCACUCUCUUUUCUUUUUUCACGUGGUGCCAGAUGCACGCCCCUUUUUUUUUCACGUGGUGACAGCACCACUCUGCUUUGCUCUACCACAUUUUUUUUUUUUUUGUAUAAAUUAGGAUGCUUGGCUGAGGGAUUUUGUAGGGAAGGACGAAGACGGACGGAGAGCCGGAGUUUGAGGAAGAGCUUCUCGGCCGGCUAGUCGUUUGACAGCGGUCUUUGAAGUUGGUGGCAGCUGCGAGGCAAGAGACGGAGGAGGACAGGGCAGCUGUGACGGACAGAGACGCCAUGGCAGGACCUCGAGGAGUUUUAAGAUACUGGUGCAGGUACUGGCGAGGUGAUUUUGACGAGAAAAGCAUGAAGAGGGCGUCGAGCACCAUGGGCCUGCAAUCCUUAAGGUUGAUCUCGUAGUCCUUGAGCUCUUGUUCAGGCAUGACGGGAUCCGCUGCGGUCUUUUUUAUCGGCAAUAAAGUUCUUUGCCUCAUAAAACAGCCCAGAACGCGAUAGAAGAGUUACGAACAAAGCACAAUGUGCAACUGUAGGUGUCUUGAUGCAGUUGAAGUAAAACUUCCCUUCCUCGACCAUGCGUGCUGCAACGCAAGCAUGAAGGACAGCAGCAUAGGUGAUUUCAUCGAUCUGUGUACUCGUUUCCUUCUCCAUUUGGCAGAAUAAAUCUACUCCGAUCUUUCCUUGUCCGUGUAAGCUGUACCCAGUUAUCAUCACUGUCCACGAAACAAGAUCUCUUGUACUUCGACCCUGGCAAAAACUUUUGCAGCUGAUUUGAUAAAUCCCGACUUGACAUACAUGUCCAUAAGAGCAUUCAGAACGGUGAGAUUCAUUCGAAUACCAUGUCGCAGCAAGAAUCCAUGAGUCUCUUUUGCCAUGUUUACCUGCAGACAUUCUUGCGCAUGCUGGGAGAACACUAGAGACCGAGAGCGGAUCAGGUUUCACCCCGUCUCCAACCAUCUGCCUAAACAGCUUAAGACCCUCAUUGAAGCAUCCCCUCUUCACAUUGGCAUGAAUCAUUUCUGUCCAAGAAAUGACAUCUUUCUCCGGUAUUUGGUUGAAAACUGCCCAAGCUUCGUCGACACAGCCACAGUCCAUGUAUAUUUUCAAGAUGGUAUUGCUCACCAACACAUCAUACUCCAAUCCACGUUCCUUGGCAACCCUGUGGACUUUUGUUCCAUCAAUCAACGAUCUCAACAUGCCACAGGCACCAGCCGCCGUCGCCACAGCCACAGAAUCUAUCUGUGCUCCGGACUCCACCAUUCUCUCAAACACAUGAACCGCCUUGCCGGGUUUACCUUCCGCAAUGUACAGCCUGGCCAGCAUUGUCCAUGAAACAGAGUCCGUAACCAGGGACUUGUCAAACAGCCCUUUCGCGGAGUCCGCGCUGUCGAGGCGACCGUACAACUCAAUGAGAGCAGCAACCACGUACCGGUCACCAGAGCAGCCGAGCUUGUGAGCGUGGGCAUGGAGUUGCUUGCCGAGGGAGAGAUCAACCGAAAGGCGAGAGGCAGACAAGACGCGAGGAAGAGUGUGUCUGUCGGGCGACGAACGCGCGGAUGAGCAUUUGGUGGUAAGUGGCGAGGGCGUGGUGGAAGUCGGCAUUGGCGAUAUGGGUCUGGAUAAGUCUGUUCCAUGCAAAGGUAUCUGAGUGGGGCAUUUUGUCGAACACCUUGUGGGUGACGGCCACCUUCGUGGUGGGUUUAGCAUUUCGGGAGUGCUUGUAGUGGGCUGUGUUGAUUGGGUUCUCGGUGACGAUCAAGCGCUGGAUUUGGGCGGAUGGAAGGGCUUCCAUUUCAGUUCAGUCGCACCCAAUUCAGCAUUGCCCGUACGGAUUCGAGCGCAGUUAUCGAGGAGGAGUUUCCUUAAGAAUAGAACCAAUCACCGACUCCUCAAACCCAUCCGGAUAUGCGAUUUUCAUGAGGUGCAAACAAGAACCCUCUGCCAUAAGUGGCAUGAUCACCCAAAGGUUUCUUUCAACGACAAAUGAACAAAACGCCCUCACGACAUUGGGAUGAUCUAUUAAUCUCAUCGUCUGCGCCUCCCUCCGGAUAUCCUCGAAAUUGCUAUUGCACCGAUCGAGAUCCAAGCACUUGACGGCGACGACUUCAUUGAAAGGGAGAUAGAUCGCUCUGUAAACCGUUGCGCUGGCGCCAUAUCCGACCUCUUCCAGAAGCUUGUAGUCGUUCGGAUUCGCCGAGUGAAGCCUCGAAUUGCUACCCAUCCUCCCCAUCUGUUCGAGGACUUGUGCUUCAGAUAUGUCGUUUUGAGGCUACGGGCUCUGCGUUUGGGCUGUGUGCCAGUUUGGGCUUAGUGUUGCUUUGGAGAGAUCUAGGUUUGGUUGAAGAGGUACGGUGAAGCCAUGGGCAAGGGAGAUGACGAAUUGGGCUUGGAGGCUGACACUUGGGCCUGGAUGGCCUCCUUUUGAGAGGCUUGCUGCUGAUGGAUAUACAUAUAUAUAUUUGUAUGUAUAUGUAUGUAAAAGAAAUCUUUUUUUUUUUUUUUAAUUUUUUAAUUUUUUUUUUUAUGUGACUGAACUCGAAAAAAUUGAACAUUCGAGCUGCCUACGUACCCCUCCAAAGAAGAGAUCAAGUCGCAACGUAGUUCAAAUACAUUUUUGGUAUUUUCUUUUUGUGUCGUUUGCAGUUUUAACUCAUGCAGGCAAGGAGUGUUGGUGUCGUUUGCAGUUCCAACUCUUGCAUACAAGGAGCGUUGGUGUUGCCUUUUAUGCUCGUGUAGGCCAGGAGCGUUGGUUCGUGCAGUUUAGGCUCGUGCAGGCGAGGAGCCUUUGGUGUCGUUCGCAGUUUCAACUCGUGCAAACAAGGAGCAUUUGGUGUCGUUCGCAGUUUCAACUCGUGCAGACAAGGAGCAUUUGAUGCCGUGUUGCAGUUUAGGCUCAUGCAGGCGAGGAGCGUUGGUGUCUUGUAGUUUAGGCUCUUACAGACAAGGAGCUUUGGUUCGUGCAGUUUAGGCUCGUGCGAACAAGGAGCAUUGUUGGUUCGUCAAGCGAUCCGAGAGAGUUGUUCCUCACAAUCUUCAUAGCAAGGAGCCUUGACCGCGUGAUUGAAGAAGUCUUCGGGUAAAAAGUCGCGCAUCGUGAUGGCAACAGACAAUCUUUGUGUCGUAGUUUCAUCAUCUUCAACACGUUCACGUUGCUUUGAAGGUUGACAAUAGCUGCUUUGCCCCCUUUUCAAUUGGCGGACUUGUGGAGGAGACGUAUGCUUCUUGUGCAAUUUCUUAGGAGUGACUUGAGUCCAUCCUUCAAUUUUGCUUGUCUUGGACGAUGCCCCCAGCGGUUGAGGUGAAAACUUUGAGUCGGAAGAGCCAGAAGUGAAGGUGGUAUAGUUUGACUUUGCCACUUCGUCAAGAUCUAGCUCGAUGAUUCCUUUCUGAGCCAGCUUCAUGAUGAGAUCUUUCAGCACGAAACAUUUUUCUGUCGGAUGACUGAUGAAGCGGUGGAAUUUACAGUACUUUGGACUGUCGGUGCGAUUCAUCUCUUCUGGCCGUUUGCACUCAGGCAAACCAAUCACCUUCUUUUCCAACAGGUCAUCCAGUAUGGCAACCACAUCAGAGUCGGGGAAUGGAUAAGUCUUCUCCUCAAGCUCCUUUAAAGUGCGUCUACGCAUUUCUUGAUCACGAAAAGCUUCGGUUUGAAUCGCCUUGCCUCGUGUGGAUAUUUUGACGGGAGAUGUGUUGACCGUCAUCGCUUCCUUGGUGGGUUUCCAUGCAGCCUUUUCCACCUUUGUCCCAAGAACUUUGUCGUUCUUGUAGUCGGCGAUUGGUUCUUUCUUCCCAUGAUGGGCGAUGCUCAACUCCAUGUCAUGGGCGCGAGUGGCCAAUUCCUCGAAGGUCCGCGGUUUAAUGCCUUGAAGGAUGUAUUGCAAACCCCAUUGCAUGCCUUGGAUGCACAUCUCGAUUGAAGAGGUUUCCGAGAGCCUGUCUUUACAGUCGAGGCUUAGAGUGCGCCAUCUGUUGAUGUAGUCAAUGACUGGCUCGUCCUUCCACUGCUUUGUGCUUGUUAGCUCUAGCAUGCUCACAGUGCGGCGAGUGCUGUAGAAGCGGUUGAGGAAUUCCCGCUCCAAUUGCUCCCAGUUGUUGAUGGACUCAGGCUCUAGGUCAGUGUACCACUCAAAGGCGUUUCCUUUUAGUGAGCGCACAAACUGCUUGGCGAGGUAGUCCCCUUCGGUCCCUGCGUUGUUGCAAGUUUCAACAAAGUGGGCAAUGUGUUGUUUCGGGUUUCCCUUUCCAUCAAAUUGCAUGAACUUUGGCGGUUGAUAACCCUUCGGCAUCCUUAAGGCGUCGAUUUUCUUUGAAUACGGCUUCGAGUACAACCCGGAGGUAUUUGAGCUCCCUUCGUACUGUGCCUUGAUGGUGUUGGUGAUCAUCUAUUGCAGCUGCUGGAUAGAAAGAGAUCCCAUGAGUGCCGCUGCUUGGUCUGGCUCCGGCUUUGCAUCGUUUUUCUCCACCUGAGGCUCAUCUUCUUCGUCAUCUCUUCUCUUUAGUGGAUCAUUCUCUGGGUCGGGUUUAUCGCCGUCCUGCGCCUUUAGUCGAUUGACGAGUGCUGCAAUUUGCAAGUCUUUUUUCUUCCACCGUUCGGGUCAGCCUUGCGAUUGCUUCAUUCAUCUGAGCCAGUUGUUCUUCAACGGAGGUAACGCCGAUAGUCAUGACUUGUGCGACCAAUAUACGUGACUUUCCUUUAGACAUCCAGGAUGCUGAUGAAGAACGUCGUUGGCUGCUUUGGGAUGUCAUCUUAUGUGCCUCAGCAUCAUGCUUCGGUGCCCCCAGCGAGGUCAGGUUGAUGACAGACUCGCACCUUGGAUGCUCCCCUUGCUCUUUUAGCGGCACCAAUUUUGAAGUAGCAUGUUGGGGAGCGGUUGUGGCGCCAAUGGAUUGUCUGUUUGCGGCAGAAGUGCUUAGGAUCCUUCCCUCAGUGGUUGCGAGAAUGGCUUGUCCUUUGCUUGAUGCCAUUGACUUUGAGGUGUGCUUGGAUUCCUUGAACGAAGAAAGAGAUGAGAGGUAGAGAUUGUCCCACCGGGCGUGCCAAUUUGUGAACACGGAAAAUUCCUGAAACGAAAGAGACAAGAACGAACGUGCACAAACAAAUAUUAUGUAUUUGAUGAUUUUGGGUUACAAUCUCUCUCUAUUUGAUCCUCUGAUUCAAUCUCCGUAAGGUGUGUAUUUGUGGAUGUGUGAUUGAUCCAAAGGGCCGUUGGGCUUGAUCUAAGGAUGAACGUUCUUCAAGGGCCGUGGACUUGAUCUUGAAGGUGGAUUUGAGCGGAUCUUUAAAGGGGCUUUUGGGCUUGAUCUUGAAGAACGGUUGGAUGUGUGGAUUUGUCGAAGUUGUUGAUCCAAAGGGCCGUUGGGGCUUGAUCUUGGAUGAACGGAUGAUGAACGAUGGUGCUUUCUUCAAGGGCCGUCGGGGCUUGAUCUUGAAUUGGUGGAUGGUUGAUCCAAGGGCCGUCGGGGCUUGAUCUUGGAAGAACGAUGAACGAAGAACGAAGAACACUUUCUUCAAGGGCCGUCGGGGCUUGAUCUUGAAUUGGUGGAUGAUUGUUGAUCCAAAGGGCCGUUGGGGCUUGAUCUUGGAAGAACGAUGAACGAAGAACAAAGAACGCUUUCUUCAAGGGCCGUCGGGGCUUGAUCUUGAAGGUGGAUGAUUGUUGAUCCAAGGGCUGUCGAGGCUUGAUCUUGGAAGAACGAUGAACGAAGAACACUUUCUUGAUUCUUCGGGAACCUGGACGCUUGAGAGCUUCGGAGUUUCAGAGCUUCAGAGCUUCAAGGUGUAAUAUGAAUUGGUCCCCCCUAAAUGAAUGAAAUGGGCUUGUAUUUAUAGAAUUUUCCAAGGCCUAAUUUUGAAUAUAAUAUCCCAGAUGAAAUAAGUCGUUUCUGCCAGGUGUUGACACGUGUCCUAUUUGAUGACUUUUCCAACUCAUUUCAAUUUUCGUUUAGUCACACGCUACGUGUAAAAUUUAUGUAAUACAUGAGCGUUGACACUUUGAUUUAUCGGUCAACAUUUAUUUACCGAAAUUUCGAUGUCUACAAAACUAAUAGAUAAUUGACUAAAUAAACAUCCUGCAAAGUUUCAAUAAAAAUUUCCAAGUUUUUCUUACAAUUUCUGUGGUUUCCAUAUUAUUUUUAUCGAUAUCGAUAAUAUCCCGAUAUUUCAAUCGAUAUUUCCGUGUUUUUGGACUACCGAUAUUUCCGAUAUCAUCGAUAUUUUAUACCUUGGCGACGGGGGACUUGCCGACUGGUGCCACCGUGGACGUUGGGUCUUUCGAAAUGUGGUGUAAUGUUAUGAUCCCACAUCGGCUACACAAGAAAUUGUGUAGUGGUACUUAAGUGCAAGGGGUCCUCCCACCUAUUGGACUAGUCUUUUGAGUUGGGCUCUUCCCUUAGGCUUGAGUACCUAACAAACCCAUAAAUCAAAGAAAUCAAAAUCCACCCAGAAUCAAAGAAAUCAAAAUCCAUCCAGAACCAAAGAAAUCAAAAUCACACACAGAUAUACAAGGUGUACAGUACUGACAUGCCUUAAAUGAUAUUAUUCACAAGAUUUAUAAAGCUCAUGUCGUAAUACUUGUGCAGAAUCUAUCAUUCACGGCGUCACUUUUGUGCAAGUUGUAAAUAAAAUUAUUCACAAUUUAAACAUUGUGUGUCGUAUUUGACAAUUUAUACUACGCACUUUCUUUUUCUUUUAAAGCUUUGCGUUAUGUCGUGAAGUUGACUUUCUAUAUAUUUGGGUUGUACCUUUUAUGGCGCAAAUAACACGUCGUAAAUAAUGGCUUUUAGCACAGAAGUUUUGUGGUAAAGAAGCCCGCGCACUAAUUCAUUCUCGCGCCUUCUCUUUUUUAUUUAGCCGCUUCUUUUUUUAUUUUUUAUUUUUUUUGUUAAAUUCCCCUCAAAUGUUAAAAGAAAAAUUAAUGAAAUAUUUGAAAACUUUGAGUUUUAACGAUAAGGAUAAAAUAAAAGGUAAAAUGAAUAGUACCAAAAUUGACUUUUUAGUGUUAAAAUAUGAUUUUUCGUUAAAGUGAACAGUGCCGAAAGUUUUUCGUUAAAGUUCAAUGUUAAAAGGUUUGUAUUUUCUUGGUAAACUUGAAAGACAAACAUUGCAAUUGCAUUUUCAUUUACCCAAUAUUAAUUGUCGAGAGCCCACCCCCUUCCCUUCUCACUGACAUCGUAACUCUCUCCUCUCCAUCGAUCUCGCUCCAUCUGCUCGCCGUCGCUCUAUAUGCUCGUCAUCACCGUCGAUUCGUCUGCUCGUCGUCACCGUCGCCCAUCUGCUUUCCGUCACCGUCGAAGUGCCCCGCCAUUCAAGAUCUGAAAUCCCCAAUACAGGGUGCUUUGCGGCAUUUCGUUCUCCAAAACUUUAGGUAUGCUCUCAAUCUGUAUCAACCCUAUCCUGUCCCCUCUAGAUUUUUGUUUAGUCUCAACUUUAUGGUGCUUUUCUUAGAUUUGUUCUAUCACUGUAAUUUUAAGGGAUUUUAGGUAAUAAAUUUGGUUGAGAAUCUCAGUUAGGUUUGUAAUUGUUUUCUUGGUUGCCUGGGUUUGAGGAUGAUUAAUCCACUUUCUGAAGUUUAAUUACUUUGAACUUUGAUUUGUGGGAAACUGCAAUCAAAAUGUUGCUAUGGCUUUAUAGUUAGAAUCGAUUGUGAGUCUUUGCACCACAUCAAGCAAUACCCCGGUGUUGUAAUUCCGAGGUUUGUAAUUGCCGCUGUUAAUGAUGGUUUGGUCCAUCCUUUUUAGGGAGAUGACUUCAAUGAUUGAAACUAGUUUAUCAUUAUUUCAGAACUCUGUAAUACGAGACAUGAUAUUCCAAAAAAUAUUUGCAUGAAUAUAUGUGCAUUGACUGACUAUUUUUCAGUCUUUGAUAGUGGAGAUAACUCUUUCAGGUCAUAUGUAGUUCUUACAGAAAUUGUAUGGUAUUUUGGUUGGUUUUGUGUUCUGGUUGUAGCAAACUGGUGGAUGCCCUGAGAUGAGUAGUUAUCUACAAAGUGGAUGGAUCCUGAAGAGUACAAAGUCUAAGGCAUUUUAUGUAAAGGUAAAUCCUGUUACUUUUAAUUACUUAUAUGUGAAUGCCUGCCAUUUGAAGUAAAAAUUCUUUUAGCCAUUACAUUCUUCAUAAAGAUCUUUAUAUGCUCAAAAGAAGGAUUUUUUUUAGAUGCCAUGUAACUGGUGGUGGCUAGCCUCUUCUUUUUAAGACUCUAGUGUGUUUCAAUUACACUAGUCAAUCGUUCUUAUGUGUAUUAUGUUUUGUUGAUAAGAUGGCCAAGACAAAGUUGUAGAGCCCUAGUAGCAGGGUGCUGUUGGCAUUUAUAUUUUUCUUUUGAAGGGGUGUUUAUUGCUUUUAUACUUUCAUUGUUUACUCUCAUACAUACAAUACUGAAAAAUAAGCAUGUAUUGACGCGUAAUUUUAGAUCCAUAUUUAUACAUAAUUUUGAUUACAUGUCCAAAUUACCCAAGAUUCUUUUUCCUUUACAAAUUUGUGGAGUGCAUUACAUGGAUAUGAUUCAUGUAUGAAAUACACAUGACUCUCACUAAUUUAAGGGCAGCAUCAUUGACUGUACAGUUUUCAAUUCUUUAUAAUCAUGAGUAUAGACAUUUUUUAAUUCUUUAUAAUCAUGAGUACAACAAUAGUUUCUAUAACAAAAUUCUGUUAAAUAUGUAAUAUCAGUAUUUGUUUUCCAGGUUCAUUAGUUGAGGAUGAUUUUUCCAAGAAAGAAAAGAUCGCGGCUUUCAGGCCGAUCUAAAGAACAUUAUGUUGAUAUUGCACCUGAGAUCUUACAAGAAGAGGACGAAGAAGUACCAGAUGACCUAUUUACAGAGGAGUCGAAUCAAACUAAAAGAAAGAGGGGUCCUACUAGAAUGAAGACAAUUUCCACAAAUGAUGGUCAACGAAUUGAGAUUGAAUGGAAUGAAAACGGCCAGUUUAUUGGUGACGGAUCUAUUGACUUAUCUUCUUACAUGGGUUCUUUGGUCCGAGAGGUUGUCCCUAUAACAUUUGAUACUUGGAAGGAUGUUCCUAAGAAAACAAAGGACAUCCUAAUCAAGGUAAUAUGCAGAUAAGUCAAUUCUGAUCCCUCUACUUCAAGGUGAACAAUUUAUAGUUUAUAAAUUUUACUUGUGUUAAUAUAUAUUUUUUGGUAAAUGUUAUGGAUAUUUUAUCAAAUCAGAGAGUAAAUUCGUAUUAAGUGAAGAUUGGCAAAGAACAUAUUGUUUUGAAAGGAUGAAUAAUGUUUGCAGAUCACAUAUAUCAGUAGUUGUGAAGUCCAUAAGAGAAGCAAGAAAUUGGAAAGCAAGGCUUCGUCUAAAACCAAAUAAUGUCAAAUUAAUUCAAGAUUGGAAGACUUCCCUUGCAAAGUGUAAGCUCAUUUUCCUUUUCUUUUAUUUCUAAGAUUAGUUAUCUUCUUUUGAGUUCAAAAUUGGGUCAGAGAAAUCAAACUGAUAGUAGUUAAAAGUCUAUUUCAACACCAAGCCUUGUCUACACAAGAAUUUGGUGUUAGUUAAACAUGUGUAUGAUUCUAUCUUGAUUGCAUGUUAAUUUAGUUUGAAGAUAGAUUUGGUACAUGCUAGCUAAUUGAUACGUGAUAUGAAUCUUUGGUUUCCUUUUGAUAGGACAAAAGCGAAACAUUCAGAGAGAUGAAGUCUAAGCAACUCCGCACACAUGUAGUCGCAAGGGAUAUGGUAGGUUGGCGGAGGAUUUGGUAAUUACAUUUCAUUCUAGUGCCUUCUUUUCUACAGGACAAGAACAAUUUACUAAUUUUAUUCUGUGUUCUACUGUGUGUUUACUACAUUUAUGUUUCUAUUUUGUAGAAAAGAAAAAGUGUAGACCCUUCUCUAGUUUCUAGAGGUGAUGUUUGGAUUGCAGCACAUACUAAAAAGGGUGGUGGACCAUCCAAUUUGCUUGCUGCAGAGACUAUUGUAAGUAAUUUUUAACCAUUUAUUUCUUCUUGUUUGUUGAUAUGCAAUGAUGAAUGAGGUCUUAACUUUGAUGUGCAACGUUAGGAAAAAAAUUAAGCAAUAUGGAAAUGGAUCAUCAUCUGGUUUUCGAGGUGACGUUCUUUCCAAAGUUUUUGGUGCUGAGCGACAUGGUCGUGCAAGAGGAGUUGGAGGUGGUGUUCCUCCUACAAAGCUUGGAAUAUUUUCACAACAAAAAUUGCGUAAUCACCAAAUGGAUGAAAAGGUGCACAAUUUAACUAAUCAGGUCAGAGCACUGACAGAAUUGGUGUAUCUUUUUAUGAAAAAUCAGGUUAGUGAUUUAAUAACAUUGGUAUCAUAUUGAAUAUUUGUGAAAUCAGUUUUAGUGACACAUCAAAUCACAGGGUAAUGAUCUACCAAGUGAGGCAUCUCCUGACACACAGGUUGCAGCUCCUGAGGCACAUGUUGAUACUGUCGCAAGAACUGAAACUUGUCUUUCCCAUUGCGCAACAAAUGAAUCGUGGUGGCGAGGUUGAUACACUUUUUCAAUGAGCCUUCUAACUAUUAAUGCUCAUUGACUCUGUUAAAAGCUCUGCCAUUUUCAAUCUAACUAGACACUAGAAAUGAUCAUUGACUCUGUUAAAAGUUAUGAUGUUUUGGUCCUUCUCCAUAGUUGCGCAUCUACUGAUGUCUAUUUUUUUUCAAAUACUGCAGGUUAUUUCUGAAAACAUUGAAACAUCGUGGUGUACCAGAUGGUUUGAUUAUAAGACACCUUCCUUUUGGUCCACCAACUUAUUUAUAACUGCUAAAUGGUACGUAGUGUGAUAAUUUUCAAAUAUUUUGAUAUUAAGACAGGUGUAGGACAACAUAGAAAUUCUUAGGGCCUUCAGCAACAAAAUUAUGAAAAAGUGAGUGAGAUACAAUUAAAAAAAUGAAAGAGAAGGAUCAUGAUUCAUGAUCUAAAGGUUUGAAUAGGGUAGAAAGGAUUUAGUUUCGUUGUUAAAAUCGAUUGUGAGUCUAUUGUUAUUGUAUUGUCAAUUUGUUUAUUUACUUGAACUUCCUAGUAUCAAUUUGGUUCGAUAUAUCUAGCACCACCAUAGAUAUAUCUAGUAUCAAUUUGGUUAGAUAUUGUCAAUUUGUUAUUGUAUUGUCAACUAUAGAAUGUGCAUCAGUUGUAAAAGGAACAAAACAAUUCAGAUUUUUUGUUUAUGUCCAAACUUAGAAUUGUAUUGUAAUUGACAAUUUCUACUAAUUAAUUUAAAGUAUUUGGAGUUUAAUAUGUUUAUGAUCAAUAUUGUUAUCCUUCUAUUGUAUCAGUUUAGAUGUUAUGAAGUGAGGUCUGUCUAAAAAUGAUAUGCUAAAUAUAGAUGUAAAUUACGGCAUCUAAAAUCAGCAAUAAUUGUUGAUGGUAGUCUUUUUUUACGAUGCACGAUGUAUGCCGUAAUCACCUUCACAAUAUUACGACACUCAACAAAUGCUGUAUCAAAUAUAAAUUACUGCACACAAGUAUGUCGUAAUUGUUUUUCAGUAUUACGACACCCUAUUAACGCUGUAACUAAUACCAAUUAAGGCGCGUAGGACAUGCCUUAAGAACAUUUAUGGCGUGUUUUACUUAAAUUAUUCACUACUAUUAGAGUACGUCGUAUUUGUCAAAACAUCUUUUACAACAGGGGCUUUUACUGCUUGGAGGCUCACGUCGUGAAUUUCCAUUUACGGCACCCUUUGUGCGCCGUAAAAGGCCAAUUCUAUUGUAGUGAUCCAUGGGUACAUUUUUAAUCUACAUGUUUCGUUUUAAUAUAUCUAUUGCUAUAAUAUGUUUUGGUUGGUUCAAAUUCGUUUUACAUAAAUAUAUGGGUACAAAGUUUUUGGAGAAUAUUAUGUAAAAUGGUUUUUAAGGUUGUUGCAUUUUAUGUACCCACAUAUGCAUGUCUAUAAAACAAUGUGGUAUGAUGUACAUUCUUUUCCUUGAGUUUUUAAAUGUACCCAUGAGUUUUCUUGUAAAUUCAGUAUGUAUCCAUAUGCUAUUUAUGUUAUGGGUACAUAAAUUAUUUUUGGUCUAAGUUGGUGGGUACAUUGCUUUUGUAUGUAUGAAUUCAUUGGGUACAUUAUUUCCCUUAAUACUACUCAAUAAAAUUCACAAAAAUAUGUGCAGUGUGCAUGAAUUUUUAUUGUAGAAAUUGUUUUUUUUUAAUUUUUAAUUUUUAAGUCUCAUAAUUCGUGAAUUUUGUACAUAUUGAUCCCAUAAAUUUUUGAAUUUUAUUAAAUUUCUUUUAGACUUGAUCGAUUGAUUGAAUCUCAUAAUAAUCCCUUAAAUGUUCCAAUCAAUAUUUUAAAUUACAGCUUUUUAUUUAAGAUUUCAAAAAGAUGACAUGAAAAUAUAGUAAUACUAAAAUUUUAUUUUAAAUUACAUUUGUGUAACAAUCAAUGGUAUGUUAAAACUGGGCAAAAAAAAAAGGUAUAUUAAAAAAUUAUAAUUUAUUCUUUUUUUCAUAACUGUCUUCUGCUUAGAUUAAAUUUUUACCAAUUUGGGGGAAUUAGUUCUUACCAAUAUAUAUGCACAGUAUUUGCUUUUUACCUGGGCUUAACACAUGAUUAAUUACUUUCCUACCUGCUAACGCGUUGAUUUGCGCAUCCAAAGUAUUAUCAAAGUCACUGCCACCAAAAAGGUGCCCACUCCACAACCUUUGGUUGAACCAAAGAACAUCACAACAAUAAGGAAAUCGUUAAAUCUAUCUCCGCAACAUUUUUAUUAAUCAUUAGAUAGAUUAAACGAUUCCCCUGUUCAUAUUGUGUUCUUUUGUUGAACCAAACCAUGUCAACAAAAUAUAUCUAUGGUUAAGCAUCUAGAUUCAUGCUUUUGGAUGUGCAUCUUAAACCCCUCAAUGAAUAGCCAAGCAAUUUAUCAUGUGUUUACAGUAGGUCAAAAGAAGAAAGUGUUUGUCUAUAUAUUGGUAGGAACCAAUUCCUCUGAAGAGGAGAGAUGGAAGUGAUGAUAAUACUUUAAAUAAUCAAAGCCCAAACAUUUUAUCAAAUUUCAUCUCUGUACUCCACGGAGACACUAAAUGAGACAUAUCUGGUCCAUCUCUGAACAUCUUUUCUUACCGUUCUUACAAUAGAAAGGGCACAAAAUUGACUUACACAGUCUUGCACAAUACUCACUUUGCUUCAACCCAUAUUUCACUUUGUCAAAUCAUACACGUUCCUGCAAUAGGUGAACUCAUAUGUAUCUACCACUUCUUGCUAAUUUUAAUUUUUCCAUUCCCAUUUUUGCUACAAGUUUCACAUAAAUUUUUUAUUGCACUUGUCAAUUCUUUAUACUUUUUUAUUGUAUUUUUUUUUUGUCUUUUUUUUGUAUUAAACAAUUACAUGUCCUCCAAAAGUUUUGCUUAUUGCCCUAUUUCAUCAAGCUCGGUAUAAAUAGAUCUUAAUUUUUUACUACAGUUAAAUACAUGGACAUGCCUCCACAAAUACAAAUUAGUUCUUGCUUAAAUACUUUGUGUGUUUACAUAGAAAAUGUUCCCAUCGUCUACCAAAAUCCUCCACACAUGAAAACAAAAAUUCUUACUCAAAAAUACAUAUUACAAUACCACCAUAUCUGUUGUUUUUUAUUAAAUUAACACACUGUUUUCAAUUUUAUCUUUAACACAAAAGAAAAUGCUCUUACACAAUAUGCUUGUUUACAUUUUAUAACUUAUCUACCACAUGUUAAUCGCAAUUAUAUAAAUAGGAAAACACGUGUCAAUAGAAGUGUGAUGCAUGCUACUUCGUUAACAAUAGUGGCAACUAAACAAUUAAAUAAUUUGUUUCAAUUAGUUAGUACAUUUUAUAAAUUUCUUAAUUAGAACUGUUUCAGUAUAUUCAAUACAUUUUUAAACAACUUUCCAGUUAGUUGCCCAAACUAAUUAUUCCAGCUUAUUCAUAGUAUAAUACCAACAAUUUAACAACCAAUGAUACUUCGUUUAACAUAAACUUCAUUUGGAAAAAACAAAAAAAUAUCUUUUUCUCUGCUGAAAAAUCCAACAGAGUUAUUGAUGCAGAUCAGUUAUACCAACAAAUUACCAUAGUUUACCCAAUGCUAUACAGGUUUGACUUUUGUUUAUAUUCUUGGAUCUGUUGCUUGGUUGUAUAAUUUGGUUGUGUGUUUUGUUUCAGGACAAUUUGUUCUUCGUUUCUUGAGGCUUUUGUGUGUAGAUUUGAAACCGUUUAGCUUUCAAGCCGUGUAUACUCAAGGUAAAUAAUUUCGUUUUUUUCUUUGUAACCUUUUUUGUAAGAAAUUUUUAUUUAAUGUUGUGAGAGUUGUGUUUUCUAGAGUAUGAAAAUUGAAUCUUUGUGAUCUUAUAUCCUUAGAUAUGUUUCUUGGUUAUAUGAUUUGGCUGUGUGCAUUGUUUCAGGACAAUUUGUUCUUCGUUUUUUGGGGCUUCGGUGUGUAGCUUUGAAGCCUUUUGUAGUCAACAUAAAUAAUUUUAUUUUUCUUUGUUUCUAGUCUUCUUUGAAAGAAUUUCUUAGUUAAUAUUCUGAGAAUUAUGUUUACUAUAGUAUGAAAAUUGAAUCUUUGUGAUCUUGUAAGUGAUGUAACGUCAUUGCAACAUGUAUGACUGCCAUUAUCGAACAUGAAGAGCUUUUUGAUUUUUGUACUCCGUCCUUUCAUACGAUCUGACUCAAAAAUUGUUUCAUCACAGGUUCUAACAUGAUUUUUGCGACGUCUUAUGAAAAUACAAUGUCACUUCUGGUAUUCCAACUUAAACAAAUUACAAGGGAUGUCUAGUUUUAAACCUGCAGUUAGUAUAUACUAAAACGACGGUUUUGGCCCUGCUCUCGACUUCUUCAGAAACCUCGAGAAACUUCAAACUGAGAAAGCUUCUCCCUUCCAUCUCUGCUACGCGAUCUCUGCUUUGCGAUCUCUGCUUCCUCCGUGAUUUCUUCCCUCCUGAUCGACAUCUAUUCGAAUUGAAAACCUUCUGGAGCUCUCUUCCCCAAAUUUCAGCAGCAACUUUGCUCCAGAUCUUUCCAAUUGAAAUUCCUCUCCUUCACAUUUUGCAUAUUGAAUUUCGCAUCAUUAUCAUCUCCCUAGAACCUAGGAGUUUGGUUCGGUUUCGAGUUUUCCGACGGAAAUCCGGCGACAGCGGCCAUCGAGGUUGGUCUGAAACUAUUCCUCAUCACCACAAGUACUUUCUACACCUAUUACACUUUAGAAAAAAUUUCAUGAUUUGGUGGAAUCCAAUUUAAUGAUUAGAAAAAUUUUCAUUAAUUUUCUGGGUUCGUGGGUUGGAGGUGGAUUAGAAAUUUUUUCAUUAUUUUUCUGGGUUUGUGGUUUUUUUCCAAAACGUUUUUCCUUUCUACUAAUCCAAGUUCCUUCACAUCAAUCUCUCUGUUUCGUUCUUGAUCUUCCGCGAGUAGAAUACCUCUCCUUGCUCUCGAGCGCGUGGGCAGUCGCUCCAAGGCAGCCCAUGACGUCAUUUUCCGAUUCGACUCGGAGGAGGUUGGCUGCUCUUCUUGGCUGAGCUUCAUGGCUGGCCGAAUUCCCCUAUUCCCUUCCUCUUAUACUCUUUUGUAUUCGUUCACCAAAACAAUAGGAAAACGUCUCCGUCUGUUUGAUUGACGGCGAAGAAAAAAAGACGGAGAUAAAAGCCUGACGGAAGCUGAAAGCUUGGACUCUGUUUGUAUUUUUAAUGGAUUUUCAGAACACAGGUCAAGAAUACUGCGAUUUGAGAAAGAAAGAAAGAACCACGUUGACAUAAUAUAUUCACAAUAGGCGUACAUAAAGCUUUACUGUGGUUCCAUUUUUUUGCAUAUUUCAAAGGCUCUGAAUUGUUAAGGGAAUUAGCCUUUUGUUUUAGGAAGAACUUGGAACCCCCUCCGUCCAUUCUAUUCCCGAUGGAAUUAACACUUAGAUAGUACUAUGACAAUGUGUCAUUAAUUGAUGCAUACCUGUAUAAAUUUAGGCCAAGUGUUUUAUACACAAAUUGAUACAGAUUAAGCUUCUGGGUCGAAAUCAUAUACCGGUGAGCUAACUACACAAUGAUACAUUCUUAUCUGUUAAUUAUCUUUGGUUACCAGCUAUCCAUGUUGCUGACAUAUUAAACUACACAACAUCUAUUGUAAUUUAUGUCUUAUUAGUAUCAUCACUUUUGUUCUUUAUUUCAAUGUCUAACAUAAUGAUCUGGUUUCAAUUUGCUACAGGCAUUAUUUCCAGACAAUAGCUAUGGUUUUGAUUGUAGCGGUGACUGAAAAAUUAUUCCGAAACUAACAUUUGAGGAAUUCAAGGUUUGUUAGUUAAUUUGUACAUCAGAAUACCAUGACAAACUAUGAAGUUGUAAUUGUUGACCUUACAAUGUAUCUUUUUUGGUUUGGAGCAUUAGACUUAUAUGUGUUGCUUUCACUUCAUGAAGGCUAACUCUUUAUUUUAGGCCUUAGAAUAUAAUUUUUUGGAGAAUCUACAUUGUUGAUAAUUUUUUGAACAAUAUUAUCCCCAAAAUUUCUCCGCAUGUUACCCUCAACGUAGACAUCAUAUAACCAUCAUUGAACUUCUGAACCAAAAAUUUGAGUUUUAUGAUUAUAACUAAACGUCUAUAAACACAUGAUACAGAUUGAGACGAAUGUCAAAUUUAAAAUGGCAUUAAUCAGGACAGCUGCAAACUCUGAUUUGCGGCCUUUGAAAUGGAGCAGUUACUUCUUGCUUCACUUCAACAGCAUAGUCCAGCUUCUAAAUUCAGUUCUCAGGUAUGAGGUUUCUCAGUUACCUCUUUUUUGUAAUAAAACAUUUGAUCAGUACUUGCCAGGAUAUCCAAUUAAUUAGGUCAGUUUUUGUUAGCGGUAAUAAUUUGUUUUUGUAGCUUUAUAUGUGUCUCUGUCUCCAAAUAUGAUGAUCUCUUAAUUUGCUUCUAUAGCUUUUGUAAUAUAAUGAUCUCUUAAUUUGCUUUUGCAUAUCUUCUUUGCUUCCUCUGCUAGCUCUAUAUGAGAUUCCAUCUCCAAAUAAUUAUUCCUUAUUUCCUAUUUUUACAGGAAGCAAAUCAUUGAAUACACAUGGAAAAUUAAAAGGGUUUUAGUUUUUGGAGUAGUUUAAAUUUUUUGUUUGUUAUUGCUUGUAUUGCUGUUAAAUAUUUGAUGGGUAGUUUGAAAUGGGGAACUUGGUUGAUUGAGUAUUAACUUUUAUUAAAUUAAUAUUCUUAUUCAAUAUUGAAUUAAGACUCCUCUUAUUAAAUUAAGACUCUUAGAGUGCGUUUGUUGCGCCAGACUGUCUCGGACUGGACUAGCUGCCGGGACUAAGCUGGACUGGCUUAGACUGGACUAAGCUAGACUAACUUAGUGAAGCGUUUGGUGUAAUGUCGGACUAAGAAGCAGGAUAAGAAAAACAGUACUGUUCACCAGAUUUGUGUUUGCUUAGACUAGGAUUACAAAUUUUUGCCAUUGUGUAAUAGAGUAAUGCUACAAAUCUCAUGAUAUGGGUUAAUUGGAGCAUAUUUUUGCCAUGUAUAUUAUGAAUCUUAAAAAAAAUUGACAAUUGUUUUGUUUCUAUUACCUGCUAAUAGAAUUGGGUUUAAUUUGCAAAUGUAGCUUAGUUUAAACUCUAUCACCCAACAGAAGAAAAAUAAUAGUGCCCAAUACAUGCAACUUCAACAAAUACAAGUACAUAAGAAGAUCUCCAUAAUUUAGAAAAUCCUAGUUAACAUUAGUUAACAUUAGCCAAAAUAGAUCUCCAUAAUUUACAAAAUGGCUAGUUAACAUAAGCCAAAAUACUAGUGCAAAGCUAAGUUAUAAGCCAUAACAUAAGAUUGUAUGAUUAAUAAAAUACAUCCAUGUUAACAUUAAUAAAAUACAUCCAUGUUAACAUUAGCCAAAAUCCUCAUCCGCUUGCGUUGUCGCUUAAAAGCCUUUGGACGAACACUUUCUUGAGUUCCGGUUUGAUUGCCCUGAACACUCCCACAUUUUUUGGUUUAUCCAAAAUAAGAGACAAUGCAUCAAUUUGAUCCAUAGGAGAGAGACCCAUUACUUCAAGUUCAUUAGCUAUGUCAGUAUGAUCUGCAAUACCUUGAACUAAAGCUUCAGUUACCAUUUGCAUCCUCUUCCCACUUUCAACAUAAAAAUCUUUCAGUCCACUGAUAAUUGCCUCGGUUCCAUCACUUGAAUUUCCCACAGCUCUUUUCCUCUUUCUUUGGCUAUUUUCAGAUGGGGUGCUUUGUUGGCUUUGUUGGUUCAUUGAAGAAACAAAAUUUUCACCUCCAAUAUCACUUUCACCAACAUGAUCAUGACUUUGUUCCUCCACCAUUUGAGCAGGGGUUUCGGCUACAUUACCCGUAGCCCGAUCUUUUCCAAAUAUAUAUGCAAAUCUAUCAAACAGUGGAAAAGGUUUGCUUCUCCAUCCAUCGGCUUCUUUAUUUCUCUAAGAUUAUAUCAACAUAGCAAAACUAAAAUUUAGCAUGCGUAACAAAUAUAGCAGCAAGAAUAUAACUAAUGUAUAAAUAAAAUAGGAUAUGAACCUGCACAUAAGUUUGCCAUGAGUCAUCACUGUCAACUUCAACGCACUUUUUGACAUCAUUUCAUGCAAAUCCACUUGUGUUUAUCAUGUCAACGACCAUACUAUAUGUUUUUUUCCAUUUCUUCAACUUGGACUCAAUAUGUGGAUUUGCCUUUAUAUUUGAAUGAGGACAUAAAACAUUGACAACUUUUGCUAUUUCAACCAAAGUACCUUGUUUGAAAGCACCGGUGUCACACCGUUGCUUCCGAGCAACAAAAUCCUCAAGAACUCCUAGUAAUACUUCUUCCUCAAAUGCUUCCCAUUUACGCCUUCUUCCUUUUGGCUCUUGAGUAGCAUUCAAAAUAUUUUCGUUAUCCAUACCUAAACAAAAAAUAUUUUAAUGAAGGAAAAUACCAUACAAAUAAUCAAUUUGCAUAAUAUCCAAUCAACUUGCAUAAUAUCCAAUUAAUUUGCAUACCAUCCAAUCUUUGUGCUAAUAUCUAACAAAUGCAUGAUAAAAAGGAAUACUAAAAUAAAAUGUUAUCAUUAACACAUAUAGCUAGUUCGGUUGCUGGUUCCUAAUUGCUCUCCAUUCAUUAUACAUUUCCUGAGCCAUGUCAUUCCUCUUUGCAGUCCACUGGUCAGAUGUUUGAACACUACCAACAUAUUCACCUUCUUCUGUAUUUUGUCCAUCUUCUAUUAUUGGAAAAUUCUCCAUUGGAUCUACAGACAUCUCUUGCCUAAUAAGAUUGUGUAGUAGGCAACAAGCGGUAAUUAUUCGACCUUGUGUCCUUAUCGGAUAGAAAGAUGGACUCCUUAGUAUCGACCACCUUCCUUUUAGCAAGCCAAAACAGCGUUCAAUUACAUUCCUUGCCUUAGAAUGCUUCAUGUUAAAAUAUUCUUCCUUAUUAGAAGGUGUUCGUCCCUCCCAUUCAGAUAAAUGAUAAGGUAUUCCUCUAUAGGGUGCAAGGAAUCCUUCACCAUUUGUAUAACCACCAUCUACAAGGUAAUAAUAACCUAAUGAAAAAAAAAACAGACCUUAUUAGUGUUUUGUAGUUGACAAACAGAACUAGACCUAACUUACAAAGUUGAGACUAAGUAAUAGUCUUACCCGCUGGUACCUUAAAACCAUUAGGCCUAGUAAUUGCAUCAUGUAGCACUCUAGAGUCUGAUGCAGAACCCUCCCACCCCGUAAACACAUAUAUGAACUGCAUAUCUCCUGAACACACACCUAACACAUUAGUUGCGACUCGACCCUUUCUUGUUCGGUAUCUUGGUUUGUCAAUUUCAGGUACAUGCACAUCAAUGUGUGUUCCAUCCAAUGCUCCCAAGCAAUUCUUAAAAAAAAAAAAAAAAGUUUUUGUUAAUUUAUACAAAGGGAAUGAAGAGUUAAAGCUUAGGGAAAAUGAAAAAAAAUUCUCAUCAUACCUUAAAACAUCGCCACCUAGGAUCUGUAGAAUCAAUAGGCACAGGCUGAGGGACUUUUAGUAGGAUACCUUGUAAUCGCAAAAUUCCUUGCAAUACGAUAUUGAAAUACCUACUUAUAGUCUCUCCCGACCUAUAAAAUCUACCGCCAACACUACGAUUCUUAGUAUGAUGUGCUAAUAUUUGUAAAGUCAUACACACAUGCUCCUCUACAGACACCAAACCAUCAGUUUUUACCCUCCCAUCUUGACGAAGUAAGUCACAUAAUAUGCCAAAAGUCCUUCUAUCCAUUCUCAAUUCGUUGACACAUUCAGUAUCAGUAUUCCCUAUUAUACCAUUCAGAUAACACAAACUAAUCUCUCGUCUAAUAAGUGAACGGUUAGUCAAUGUGGGUCGUUCAACAUGUCUCUGUUUGCCACGUAGCAUCAUCAACACAAGAAUCGUACAAAUGCAAAUUGUCUCCAAAUAAGACAUCUCUAACAAUAAGAUCAAUAAAAGCUUCCUUCGAUCCAUAUCUAUCCAAACAAAAAAAAACAAAAAACAAAUUAAGGACAUUAUAUAUGUAAUAUUUACUGUUAUUAAGGGUUAUGGAAAUGAAGUGAUUAUGAUACGAAAUGAACUAGAUCAAAGUAACUAGCGAAGUCACAAUCCGAGGCAUCAAAUAUACGGGUGGUGUUGGAAAAAAAAAAGUUAUCAUUAACCCGAGGCAACAAAUAUACAGGUCAGAUGCACACACUGCAUACACACUCACACACAUACUCACACGGACAUACACACUAUCACACACGGACAUACACUCACACACACCCUACAUACAUACAUACAUACACACACACACUGCAUACAUACACACACACACACACUGCAUAUAUACACACACACACACACUGCAUACAUACACACACACACACACACUGCAUACAUACACACACACACACACACACACACACUGCAUACAUACACACACACACACGACAUACAUACACACACACACACACACACUGGUCAGAUGCACUGCACUCACACGGACAUACACACUCUCACACACUGACAUACAUACACACACACCCUGCAUACAUACACACACACACACUACAUACACACACACACACACACACACACACACUGCAUACAUACAUACACACGCACACACACUGCAUACACACACACACACACAUUGCUUUAUGAAAACCCCAAAUUCCAAAUUUGAAACCCCAAAUUCCAAAUUUCUAAUCUCAAUUUCAAACCCCAAAUUCCAAAUUUCUACUACAUACUUACAUACACACACACUGCUUUAUGAAAACCCCAAAUUCCAAAUUUCAAACCCCAAAUUCCAAAUUUCUAAUCUCAAUUUCAAACCCCAAAUUCCAAGCUUUAUGAAAACCCCAAUUUCUAAUCUCAAUUUCACCCAAAUAUCAAAACCCUAAAAUUUGUUCAACUGCAGAAUCAAAUAAAGCUCAAACCCAAAACAAAUCCGCCCAAAUCGACGAAAAAAAUCCACCCAAAUCGACGAAAAAAAUCGAACAAUCGAAGCUUACCAGACAACUGGAGGCAGAUGAGGGCGAGCAGAUCUGUUACGUGAAGACGAGGGAGUGGACGACGAGAGGAACAGAUGAGGAGCAUGAUGCAGAUGAGGGCGACCAGGAUGCAGCUGACGGCAAGCAGGAUGCAAAGAUAAGGAUGAGGAGGACGACGUGAGGGAGGAGGACGUCGACGACACUCUCUCCUAGGAUGAUCGAGGUUCUUUCUCGCAAGAGCGCAAUCGGAUGAGGAGGACGACGUGAGGGAGGAGGUUUUAUGAAUCUGGACGUUUUUGGGGUGGUUCGCUAAGAACUCCUAGCGAGGGUUUAAUCCGUGCGAGUCAGAUCUAAUCCCAUUAAACCUAAUCCUUGCCCCUACCAAACAUCAGACUACAAUACCAAUUAGUGGAGUCCAGAACAGUCCCCCCUAAGAAGGUCAAACAAACACGCCCUUAAGGCUCUAAUCUAAUGUUCAUGCUCAACAUCUCCUCUAUCUUUCUACGAUUGGUAAAACUUUUGUAUUAUUAUUCCAAUUUUGGUUACUGGGUUGUGGAAUUUUCCAUUUUUUUUCUCGGUAAUCAAUACUAUAUAUAUGCAUGACAAGUAUAAACAAUAUUUUGGGGCAAAUUUAGUUGUUUAAUUUUUAAUUUUUAUGUGACAGUGAGAUUAUGGUAGGAUUUCGUUUAGAUUCUGCGGCCCAAUGGGAGUCUCUGCUUUGAUAAGAUUGGGGUUGAUGCCAAGAAAGCCAAUAAGCCUACUGUGGACGCCGUAGCCGCCUGGCGCUGUUUUCCAAAAUCCUCUCUCACUUGGUUAAGCAAUUAAGACUUUUUGGUUCAGUUUUUAUUAUGCCCAAUUUUGUAUUUAAACCUUAAAAAAAUUUAAACUGAUUUGGGGAUACUGAAAUAGGCUGCAGAGCUGCCAUCCCUGAAUCAGAAGAUGUUCAGAAGGAAGAAGAAGAAGAAGAAGAAGAAAGUCGUGGAAUAUCAAAAGCUUUUAGCUUUGUGAAAGUAUGCUUUUUCCCAACUCACCUCUUGCUUUUGUUGCACUGAAUUGGUAGAUUGGGUUCAAAAAUAUAUAUAUGUGAUUUUUCGUGUAACUAUUUCUUUACAUAAUUACCAAUUGGAGGUGAUUUUAGAUCAUGUAACAUUUCCUCGCUAGAACCAAAGAUUGUCGUCGCUCAGAGCUGCGUUUCAUGAAACAAGUUCAUCUCCUGCCAAAUUUGUGUACCCACCUUUUAUUCAUGAGGGUUGGUGCUUGCUUGCAACACAAUUUGGUGUUAUUAAGUUUUGCGGUUUUACAAUUUGUUCAUGCUUAAACCUCUUUCAAAUUUUCAUUUCUGUGUAAAUCUUGCAGGUAGGACGACACACCUAUCUUGGCAAUGUCGGGAUGUCUAGGCUUGGUGGAGACGUGGUCUUAUGGAAGAGGUGAAGUAGCUUAGCUCGAUCUCAUUAGCUCUUAUCUGUUCUAUUAUGUUAAGAUCAAUAGUAAAAAGUUCUAUUGAUUUUAUAAUCAAAGAUACAUAUAUUAUAGAAAUAGAGGGUAUAUCAUUAAUUUCUUGAUGUAAACAAUCAUAACUUGAGGAACCAUUUAAAGUAUUUUGGUAAUCAACAUACUUAAACUUAAAUGUGAUAUAUCCAUUUAGUAUUUUUUUUAUACAAUGAUAAUACUUAAGUAUAAUUUACAUCAUAUAUCUUUUGAAGUACAUGAAACUAUGAAGAAAAUGAUAAACCAAAUCCCAUUCCAUCUCUGUUUGCUACUGCACAAUCACAAUCCAAUUCCAACAUGGAAUCCUCAGACGACAUGCCUACUGCAGAACAAGUUUCAUACUGACUUAACUUAUAUUUAGUCCACGUCCUGUUUAGAUUGUAAUCCUAGUUCUACGUGUGUUUGUAUAGUACUCCUAUAAAUAUCAAUGAACAUCGCUCACUCUAAUUAAGAGUUGAGAUUUUGCAAAUCAUAUUUACUAUCUUUCAUGGUAUCACGAGCCAGCGUCUAACGACAACGGUUCCUAUUAUAAUUUUUUUCUCUUUUGCAGAUCCUAAACUAUGGCAUCUUCUUCCUCCUCCGCUGCUCCCUCCAUCACAAAUUUUCUUACGAUCAAGCUCGACCGCAACAACUACCCUCUCUGGCAUGCUCAGUUUCUUCCCUUGCUGCGCAGCCGCAACUUACUCUCUUAUGUUACUGGCGAAACUCAAUGCCCCUCUGCCUUUCUUCUUGAUGACAAUGGUAAAUUCACCGACAAAGUCAUUCCAUUAUAUAAUGAAUGGAUCCAGACUGACCAGAUGAUCCUAUCUUGGAUUACGAGUUCUCUUACUCCCAAGGUUCUUGCUACGAUCGUCAACAAAAUUGAUUCGGCCUCUGCUUGGUCGUCAAACCCGAAUUAAUCUAAUUGUGGGGGUUUUGUUUUAUAUCAAUAUAUUGCAACAGAAGUCACACUUUGAAGAGUUCAUGCUGCACAGAAAGAUGAUGAAAUGUUACCCGUUGAGUCUAUCAUUGCUCCAUUGGAGACAGAGCUGAAGCUUACUGCAGGAGUUAUACAGUUGUUAUGCAAUAUGACCCCUUUAAUUUUAUUUUAAAACUGAUACAAAAUACUACAAAAAUUUAUGUAGUAUUUUUGUAUUAGUUUUGAGUGUCUAUUUUGGCUUCCAUAUAUCGUCUGUACAUGUGAGAGGUAUAGUGUUCAAUAUGUAUUUGGUUUCUAUAUUGUUAAUGGAUCCUUUUUUUUUUAAUUUAAUUUAAUUUUAUUAAGGUAACCAAGUUGCAGGAUGACAUCAGAACACUUGAUCUGCAGGUAAACCUUCAAUUUCCAUAUGAAGUUUGCAUGUUCGUUGUUUCUGGAAUUUGAGUUUUUAUUAUUUCUCAAUUCUAUCACAUAGAUUAUGAUUUCACAUAUGGGAUUAUUAAUGGCAAUUAUAUGAUAGAAGAAUUGGGAUUAGAAGAAGAUAUUGAGUUGUUUUAUUUAUGGGGAUUAGAAAAUGAUUAUCAUACGAGUGAUAUUUAUUUUUGUGUGGAUUGUUAAUAUAUAAAACUAUAAGCUUUUGAGAUUGGGAGAUAAAACCCACAAAUUCAAAUCAGACAAAAUAAAUAAAAAAUUUAACUGACUUAAAGAUCAAACUCCAAAAGGGUAUUAAAAACAAGGCUUAUUUGAUCCAUUGAGUGUGAAAGUUUUGAGCUUUGAAGAAGCAUAGGAGGAGAGUUGUUAACCAAGCUGCAUUAUCCAUGUAUUAGGAUGUUGAGGGUAGGCAGGAAAAAUACUUUUUGACGCCAUAUCCAGAGGAGCAUAACGACAGGCCUGCAUUUUUGCAGCAAGGACCAAAACAAGUAGAAGUGAAGGCUUGACUAUUUGGGUAUUAAUCCUAAACCUAAUUAUUCUUAUUUAGGUUUAGGAUAAAUGAUUGAGUGUGUCUCGAUGAUUGUAUUACCAUGUUUGAUGAAUGACUUGAGGAGUUGGAAAUGCUUUAUUGCUUAUGUUUUUCUUAGGUGUGUACUUUGGUUAUUUCCGAGCUUUUCACGACUCUUGAUACCUAAUAGAGAAUAUGGAAACCCCAACUUUAAUUUUAUGAAUUGGUUUUGGUGCCUAAAAUGAAAUCUAGCAUAGUGAAAUCUUGCAUAAUGAAAUUAUGACAAAUUUCCCUUCAUCUUUAGAUUUUCAUUUAGUUCAAUUUGUAUGCAAUUUAGGGUUAUUCAAUUCAUGAGUGAUCAAAUUAUGUUUUUAAUUCCUUCUUCUUUUGAUUUACAGUUCAGCAUUGUCGUACAAAAUGAAAAAGGUGCCAGUAACAGAGUUAUGGAUUUGGAUGCCUUUAGUGGAAUAAAACUGAAUUUUUUAACUUUGUAUAGUUGUAAACAUAAAAUACUCCAUCAGAUAGACUCAUAGCAUUUGAAAACAAUCCUUGAGGAUGGCAUAACAACAUCUCCAACUUUUGUCAUGUAAUGUAUGAAUGUAAAUAGCACUUUGUAAACAUAUGGAUGUAAUAUAUGUAUAUAAACAGUCUUUAGCAUGUAUAUUUUUCAAAACUUUCUACAUCUUCAACAAUGUUUCAAUGAUUUCUUGAUGUAAACAAUGAUAAUUUGAAGAACCAUUUAAAGUAUUUCGGUAAUCAGCAUACUUAAGCUUAAAUGUGAUAUAUCCGUUUAGUAUUUUUUAUACAGUGAUAAUACUCAAGUAUAAUUUACAUCAUAUAUCUUGUGAAGUACAUGAAACUAUGAAGAAAAAACCCUAAUUAAUCUGAUUAUGGGGGUUUUGUUUUAUAUCAAAAUAUUGCAGCAGAAGUCACACUUUGAAGAGUUCACGCUGCACAGAAAGACGAUGAAAUGCUAUCUGUUGAGUCCAUCAUUGCUCCAUUGGAGACAAAGCUGAAGCACACUCCAGGUGGUAUACUUUUGUUCUGCAAUAUGACCACUUUAAUUUUAUUUUAAGACAGAUAGGGUUGAAAAGAAUUUAUGUAGUAUUUUUGUAUCAGUUUUGAGUGUCUAUUUGGACUUCCAUAUUUGGUCCGUACAUGUGAGGUAUAGAGUGUUCAAUAUGUAUUUGGUUUCUAUAUUGUUAAUGGAUCUUUUUUUUUGUUUUAUAGGUAACCAAGUUGCAAGAUGAAAACAGAACACUUGAUCAGCAGGUAAACCUUCAAUUUCCGUAUGAAGUUUGCAUUUUUGUUGUUUCUGGAAUUUGAGUUUUUUGCAGGAUGAAAACAGAACACUUAAUCUGCAGGUAAACACUUGAUUGGUUAUUUCCAAGCUUUUCACGACUUUCGAUACCCAAUAGAGAAUAUGGAAACCCCAACUUUAAUUUUAUGAAUUUGUUUUGGUGCCUAAAAUGAAAUCUAGCAUAGUGAAAUCUUGCAUAAUGAAAUUAUGACAAAUUUCCCUUCAUCUUUACAUUUUCAUUUAGUUCAAAUCGUAUGGUUUAGGGUUAUUCAAUUCAUGAGUGAUCAAAUUAGGUUUUUAAUUCCUUCUUCUUUUGAUUUUCAGUUCAGCAUUGUCGUAUUUUGGAUGCCUUUAGUGGAAUAAAACUGAUUUUUUUUUAACUUUGUAUAGUUGUAAACAUAAAAUACUCCAUGAGAUAGACUCAUAACUUUUGAAAACAAUCUUUGAGGAUGGCAUAACAACAUCUCCAACUUUUGUCAUGUAAUGUAUGAAUGUAAAUAGCACUUUGUAAACAUAUGUAUGUAAUAUAUGUAUAUAAACACCACUCUUUAGCAUAUAUAUUUUUCAAAACUUUCUACAUCUUCAACAAUGUUUCAAGCCCCGCAGCAACGGGCGGGUACACUUGAUAGUAUACAUCUAAAAUUAUAAGACUAAAUCCUUUAGUUCUUGGAUUCAUCUAAGAACUACUUAUUCCAGCAGAUGCUAUGCUUGCACUACUAGAAUUUAUGGCUUGCCCUGUCAACUAUUGCGCGACAGAAGAUUUCGUCGGUUUCACUUUUUUUAACCGACAUAAUAUAAGUUUAGUAGGGCAAAAUCAGUCAACAAACUGGGUUGACUGAAUAAAUUUACAGGAUGGCUAGAGUUCGUAGGUUAAGACAUCAGUCGUUGGGCAAACAUUUGGAGCGAAGAUGUGAGUGUUUUAACUGACGAAUAAGCUGGUCGUCAUGUAGAUCUUCUUUCCCGACUGACGGUUCAACAUGUAGCUCUUUGGAUAAUAAUUCAUCUUCAAGGGGAACAGGUUGCCCCUCAGAUGAAUGGUUAGAGGCAAUUGUGAGACUAUAAUUUUCUAGGGCCGAAAUAAAAAAUACAUAAACCCUCACUCAUUCUGUCUCUGUAACCAUCCACCAAAUACCCUUUCUUCCCUUUCUAUUUCUCUCCUAGUAAUAUCCCCUGACCGAAUCACACAAUCCAACCAACUCUCUUUAAGCCUCCCUCACUGAUUCCAUGGAUUUCAUGGACUUAUCCCACCCUCUCUCCUUCCCUCUAUAUAUAGCAAGUCCCCUUGCCUCAGUGUCCCUGGCAACAGAAUUUAUGGCAUUUCUUCGUUCUUUCAAUUAUUUGAAAGCUUCCUAGCCCUGCAAUCUUGUACAAAGGCGUAUGGUGUUUCAUCAGUUCCAUUUGGUGGUUGGGUGGGAAAUGAAAUUAAAACACUGCAUUUCAAAUGCAUUUCAAAUGGUCUAAACCAAAUUGAAUCAAAUGUGAAGCAAAGGGCAAGAGGUGUAGAUUGAAGAACAAUGGCACCAAGAGCGAAAUUGAACUUGUUGACAGGAGGAAACCAAGUAAGGAUAACACGUCUAAAUCUUAUUUUGAAUCCAUUCAGCUCAUGAUGUUUUGAAUGAUGAUGAUCGGUAUACUCUGCUACAUGCUGUGAUUUUUCCGCUUUCAUGUAAUUAACGGCUUAUAUGUGGUAACGAUAUUGAUUAAAAAAGGUCGUACCCAGUGCAUAAGGCUCCCGCUUUACGCAGGGUCUGGGAGAGGUGAAUGUCGGCUAGCCUUACCCCCAUUUUAUGGAGAGGAUGCUCCAAAGUCUCAAACCCGAGACCUACCGCUCAUGGGCGAAGGCAUUUGCCAUCGCACCAAAUGCGAUAUUAAUUAAUUUCGAGAAAUGACAGUCUGAUUUUUGCAACUGUCUUUUGCAGGCAAAACAAAGACGUUUGCAAGGGUGAGUUGUGUAGGAGCUUUGUUUCAUGUCCAAAUGACACUUGAGAAUAAAUGUUUACACUCAUGGAUAAUAUCUAUCUAUUUGCAGGAGCAACCCUGGGUUCAUUUGUUCUGUAACUGCUGGUCAUUGCGGCAUAUCACGCCUAUAGCACUGACAAAAGUAAAAAGAGAAUCGAAUGAAAUUUGAUAAGUUUUCAGCGGACUACAAAGAUCUUAAGCCAAGCAUAUAUUCCCAUGCAGAUAUUAAGAGGUUUACAAAUCAAUUCAAGUACAAGUUGGGCCAAGGAGCAUACGGAACUGUUUUUAAACGAAAGUUUUUUUCUGAAUGCUUUGUUGCCAUGAAAGUACUUAACAUUUCCAAGGGUGACGGGGAAGAGCUUGUAAAUGAAGUGGGAACAAUGGGCCAUAUUCACCAUGUCAAUGUGGUUCACUUGGUUGGUUUUUGUGCUGAUGGAUUUAGAUGAGCUCUGGUUUAUGAGUUCUUUCCCUUUGGUUCACUCCAGGAUUAUAUUUCAUCAGCAGAUAGAUUUCUUUCCUUGGUUGGCAUAAGUUGCAAGAUCUUGCUAUCAGCAUAGCCAAAGGAACUAGGAAUGUGAUCUACAAAUCCUCCAUUUCGAUAUCAAACCCCAUAAUGUUUUGCUCGACCAAAAAAUCACGCCAAAAAUCUCUGAUUUUGGUCUGGCCAAGUUAUGCCAAACAAUUACAGACAACAGUUAUUCACUAAAUCACUUUAAGGCAAGAAUUUAAUUAAUAAUACAUUACUGCACUUUCUUAACCAUUUGACUAUCACCUAGCUGACAAUGAACACGUUAGCUCCGCGUUAGAACAUCUUGGGUUCAAUUCAUUGUCUUGAAUAUCACCCAUUGUCACAGGCGUCUGUUGGGGGCAUAGAGAAGGCCUGAGAGGCAUUUGCAGACAUUCAACAUCUCCUCCAAGCAUUUUGACAACUUUGGACAUCGAAGGGCGAUCAUUUGGUUUCAUUUGAAUACACCACAAGGCGGUUAUAACCAUCUUUCUUAUUACUUUCUUUUCCUCCUCUGUAACAUUGUCCAUUUCCAGGUCAUUUCCCACAAUAUAUUGAUCGUAUACCCACAUUGGGAAGUAGAUUUGGCUUGAAUGCUCUACCGUUGGAUUCAAAUUCUUCCUUCUGCUUGCCAUUUCCAUCAACAACAUUCCAAAACUAUAGACAUCUGACUUGUAUGAGACGCAUCCAAUAUUUUUGUAGAACAACUCAGGAGCAAUAUAUCCCAGUGUACCCCGUGCUGCCGUCAAAGAGACAAUGCUAUUAUCUACAGGAUACAAUUUUGCAAGCCCAAAGUCAGAAACCUUUGCUUUAAAGUUCUCAUCAAGAAGGAUGUUAUGAGGCUUGAUGUCGAAAUGUAGAAUUUGCAUUUCACAACCUUGGUGUAGAUAUUCGAUCCCUUGAGCCACUCCAAGAGAAAUCUCGUACAUGUUCUUGAUAGUUAAGGGGACACUUCCUUCUUUGGAAUAAAUGUAUUUAUCAAGAGAACCAUUAGGCAUGAAGUCAUAUACUAGAGCGCGUUUUGAUCCCUCAACACAGUAUCCAACAAGUUGUACCACAUUGGCAUGGUGAAUCCUUCCGAUUGUAGCUAUUUCGCUAAUGAAAUCUUGGCCAUCAGCUUUGGGCUUGCCCAAAACUUUAACUGCUACAAAUCGACCACUGCGUAGCUUUCCCUUAAAUACAGAGCCAAAGCCACCUUCGCCCAACUUGUCCUUAAACCUGCGAGUCAUUUUCUUGACGUCCGAGUAAGAGUACCUUAUAAGCAUGAUGUUGUUAUUGCAUUGCAGAAAAUCUUCUAUUGUGCUAUACAUUGAUAAAUGUCUUCUGCGCCAUGUGUAGAUUAGAAAUGCAGUCACAACUGGAACUCCAAAAACAAAUCUGGCUAGGAAAAAUAACCCUGCAUGCAUGGACAAUAAUAUGUUAGAUCCACUGUGUACUACUUUUUCUUCCCUUUCUUUCCAAAUUACUUUAUCUUUGAUGUAAUUAAAGAGAGAGAAUGGGAAAUCUACAUAUGUUGAUAAUAUAAUCUCGUCUUAGUCCUUACCGAUCCAUAUGAGUAUAAACCAUCCAAGUGCUGCAAAAAAAUCAAUCGACUAUGAGUUUGAAAAGUGCAUAAAGUGAAAAAAAAAAAAAAAAAAAAAAAAAUCAAAGGGUGCCUUUAUUGACACCCAAAUUUUAGUUAGUUUUACUCAACUAAAAAAUUUUUGUCAUCAAACUUUUUAAUUUGCCGUCGAAAUUGAGUUCACCCAACCACAAAGCAGCAACUACCACUCACAAAAAAACCAACAACACACAGCCACCAGUACCAUUCACCAAUAGAAAGAGAAGGAACACACAGACCCACCAAGGAGCCGGCAUCGACGCAUCUACGAGGGAGGGACCGGAGGGUGGUGUAGUUUUGUUGGGCGCGCGGUGGUUGUUUUGUUUGUUCAUUUUCUCUUUCUUUUGGUAGGUGGAGGCUGGUGUGGAUUUGGGCGAACUUAAAAAUGAGGGGAAACUAUGAAGUUUGACAAAAUGUUUUAGUUAGGGGAACUUAACUAAAAUUUGGGUGCCGAUAAAGAUACCCAAUUUCAAAAAUACUUGAGCUUAUAGACUAAUUAAAUGAAGUUGAUCUUACAGAUCUCGUGGCUGUAUGAUGAAUGCCACUUGCCAGCUGCAAUAGAUACCACGGAAAAGUGAAUAAAGACAUACAGUUACUAGGUUUAAGAAGUACAGAUAGAGCACACAAAAAAUAAAAGAAGCUUUUGGGAAGAAACUUCUUACGCCAAUAGUUGUGUUCUUGACCUACAGUAAAAAAUGUGAAGAAGAAUACACAACAUUAGCAAUAGCUCACCCAGUCUUCGGAAUUUAAAAAAUCAAGUUUGUCUCGAUCGAAAACUUGUAAAUAAAACAAAAAGAGGACCCCUUACGGAUUUGGUGCCAUAGAUAUUGAAAGAAACCUACAAAAACAAAGAAAGAACAAGACCACAUGCAUUAGCAUAACAAGUGUGAGGUGUAUAAGCCGUUAGAAAAUAAAUUUAAAAUUCUAGUGCUGUCAAUACAUUGAUAAUAUAUAUAUAUAUAUAUAUAUAUAUAUAUAUAUAUAUAUGUAUUAUUUUUCUGAAAAUUUAACUUUCUCCCUCCAAACUCAUUUUUCUAGUCUCUAGCCCAUCAUAUAAUAUUUAUCAGAAUAAAACCAAAUGAUUAGGAUCCAACUAAGAAACUUACCAAAUUAAGUUUGUGUGUCCAUUUUUAUAUUUUUUGGAUCCCUAAUAUACCCCAUCUAAGCCAGUAUGGAAAGUUCUUGUAAUUUUGCUUUAAGUGAUCACGUGCAUUGAAUUUGGCAAGGUCUUGUAGCCAUGAAAUAUGGUUCCAGAUGGAGGAAUGAAUUUGGAUUUUUUUUUAAUUUCGGCAACAAAUUUCAAUUUGAAUAUACCUAAUUUAGUGUUUAUUUUCAACAAUAUCUAUUGUUUAAUUUUAUGAAAAUAAUUAACCUAAUAUGAAAAUUAAUUUUAUGAAAACAAUAUCUAUUGUUUAAUUUUAUACCUACAGGAUAAUUACAUGAAAAUAGUUUACCUACUAUGAAAAUUAAUUUUUUGAAAGCAAUAUCUAUUGUUUAAUUUUAUGAAGAUAAUUUACCUACUAUAAUUACAUGAAAAAAUUUACCUACUAUGAAAAUUAAUUUUUUGAAAACAAUAUUAUUGUUUAAUUUUAUGAAAAUAAUUUACCUACUGUAUAAUUACAUAAAAAUUAGGGAAAAUUAGAAUCCCCUACAGUUUUUAUAUAUCAUUUAGAUUAAACAUUUGUACUUUUUUAAAAUUUGAUUAAAGUGCUUUGACCAAUAGUUACCUCUAUUUUUUUAAAUUAAAAUAAUUUUUGAAUUUAUCCUUUUAUCUGCACAAUGCACUUUUCCUUAUUUAGUGGAGAUAUUAGUAAUGAAACUAUAUUUUCCCUUCUUCCAAAUAUGUUUUUUCGAUCACAGUUUUUUUUUUUUUGGGUAUGCAAACAUUUGAUAUUAUUUUUUUUCCAAAUGGUUUUUUCUUUUUCAAAUAGUUGGUGAUCAACAUAUAAGCUCUGUGUAUUUUUUUCAAUGUUUUUGUGAAAUUAUAUUUUUUUUGCUGUUUUUUAAGUAUAGUUGUUGACGAAUUAUUAUUAGGUACAAUACAUUACGUAUAUAUUAUCUGCGGGUACGUUUGAAUUUACUAAAAUCAUUAAUUGGUACGUUUGAUUUGAUACAUAUUGUUAAUAUUGGUACAUUAUUUUUAUUUUGGUACGUUUUAUUUUGAACACAUUUUGUAUUGGUACGUUUAUAGUAUUCUCAAUCCUAUUUUCUCUUAACGUACUAAAAGAAAAACUCAUUUUGGUACGUUUGAUUUUGGGGGAUUUAAAAAUAUUUUAAACUAUUUUGGAAAAAAAAAAAUCUUAAAUCGUAGAUAAUUAUUGCUAAAUUGUAGCAUUAUUGUGAAAAUAAAUUGAAUCUAACCAACUUUUUUUUUUACAAUUAUCUCUAAUGGAGGAGAGUGUAAUCAAAAGGCUAGAUUAUAGGAAAUUUGUUACAAUAUAAUGGGCAUAUAGCACCAAAAUUAUGAUAAAAAAAAGUUUAAUCAAAUCAUUAAAAGGCAUGGAUGUUUGAUCUAGAAAAUUCAAAACUGAGGCGUCUAUAUCAAAAGAUCCCUAAAAAUUAAUGUGCCUACUUUUUAAAUUUGUAACAAAAUUAAUUUACCUACUUUUUAUGGUAUUAGUAUACAUAAAUGUAGAAUAUAUGUCCGUAUAUAUUUGAUCUAAUUAGGUUUUGGAUUGGAGGAGUUGACACAAAAUUAUAAAUAUAUUAAACAAAUUUAUCUAUUCUAAAGUUGGAGGGGAAUUGGUCUGUACAUUGCUACAGUAAACAAAUGCUACUCAAUUUCACGUUAUUUACAACAAAGCUAUCAGAUUUGGGUUGGGUUGGAGGGUAAUUUGUUAAAAGUUAGGAGGGUAAUUUUGUGCAUAGGGUUUAGGUGCCCUCCUAUACAUGACCCUUGAGUUUACUUUAUUUACACCACUGCCAUCAAAUAUGUGGCUGAAUUGGAGGGUAUUAUUAAAAGUUAAGAGGGUAGUUUUGUUCAAGGGGUGGGGGCGACAUUCGCAGACGGAGGCCGAUGGGAGCCAUGCCCAUUGCACAGAGAGAAAGGGAGUGAUGGGGGAAAUUACAGACAGAAAAGGAAGGGAUGGGAGGAUUUGAUGGAUGGUCACAGAGAGAGAUUCGGUGAGGGAUGUGAGGGGAGAUUACAGAGAGAUAAAUAAAAGGGAGGGAUCGGGGGAUUUGAGGGAUGGUCAGAGAGAGAAAUAGUGAGGGAGGGAGGGAUGGGGGGGCUGAUUUUCGGUUCCUCCUUCAGAUUUGUUCCGUAAAACCUGUUGGGUACAAUUCAAUUUCCUCCCCCUUUCCCCUGAACGAAAAAUUCGAAACCUACAAUUCAAUUUCCUCCCUCCUUGGCUUUCCGCUUUACUCAUCUCCCGGUGGUUCUUUCUCUCCAUACGAUUCGAUUUCGGUGAGUUCUUCGUUGCCCUCAUGAUUUCCCAGUUUGAUUUUUUGAGCGUCCUUAGUCGUUGUUUUUAUCUGGGUUUACUGCAUUGUUGCUUUUAGUUUCUGGAUUUUUAUUUGUUCCGCGGUUCGAUGAAUCGGUUAAUAAUUUCACACCAUGGGAUUUUCGCAUGGAAUUGAGCGCGGGGAUUCGGGGUGGGGUUUUACUGAUAAUUUGUCUUCAUUCAAAUGAAUGGUUAAAAUUUCUGAAGUGAGUGUGCAGGUGGGCCCGUUCACUAACUAAGCUUUCAAGGGAACCCAUCAGCGGUUUGCUUGCUGGGGGAAUUCGGAGACUACCAGUGUAUGAUUUAGUUAUCAUUUAUUUUUUUACUUAAAUUUAUCCAUAUAUAAUAUGUGGGUAAAUUUACACUAAACAAUUGUGAUAAGCCAAUAUGCCAUACGACUUUGAAAGCAUUGAUUUUGUGUUUAGUUUGCAUUUUUGCAUUGUGAAUGUUGAAUUUUGUGUUUGAAUUUGUAGCAUGAUCUUCCGCUGCAGCAUCCAAAUUUUGCAUUUGUAAAUUGUCAAAGAAAAACGAAGUAUGAGGAAAUUAUAGGAGAUUGUGUCGGCUUUGGCCAUGAAGGGUAUCAGCAGCUUGUUCCCCCAUACAGGUGAUUAAUCGUUUUUCAGUCUGUGUUCUAUUUGGAUGAGAAAGUGAUUGAAAAUAUGAUUUUUUUAUUUGUUGGUUGAUUUUGUAUGGACGAUGUAUUAAUUUUAUUUUUUUUGGGAUUUUGUGUAUUGGGCAUUGUGUAGAACCAGCAAUGCAAGAGCAGGAUCUGAUCAGUCAUGCCUGAAAAGGGGUUUGUUUCUCAAAUCACAUUAAUUAAUUAGAUUAUUAACGUGCGUUGGAAGGCUCUUCAAUAUGAUUUCUAAUUUCUCCUUUCCAGCAUUCUCUUUUUGGUUUUUGGAGUAUGUAUGUGAUUUGUAUUUUUUUAUAGAAUAAAAAUUAAUAAAACACGAGAUGCAGCAAUUAAUUUGCAUCCUUAUGACAACACAUAUGAAAGUGCAUUCAAUUUCAAUGUGCGAAUGUGUGACAGGAUGUGCCUGCCCGCUGCUGCUGGUAUGCUUGCUGUUGUUUCUCGCGUUGUUAAUUUUUUGUGUGUGUUGAUUUGAUUAACAACUCAAGCGUAUCUUUUUUUUUUGUGUUGGUUAGCAGCCAGUUUUAUGGCCCCGAUCUAGUGAUGCUUCUCAGUGACUGUGGUAAUUGCAGUUCAUUGCCACCAGUUGGUCAGCUACCUGCUCUGAAAGAGCUAUACGUAGAAGGGAUGAAAGUUGUUAAGAGUGUUGGUGUUGAGUUGUACGGGGGAAAUCAACCAUUUCAAUGUUUAGAGAAGCUAAAGUUUCGGGAGCUAUAGCAGCCUAGUCCAAGUGGAUGUGAAAGUCCAGACUUUCCUCAUCUUAAGGAGCUGGGGUUAUACGAAUGUCCGAAGCUGAGAGGAAACUUGCCCACUCAUCUUCCCUCCUUGAAAACACUUCAUGUGAACAAGUGUGAGGUUCUACAUAAAAACAGGGCCAGUAAUACCCUGAACGUGGAAUCCUUACGAGGAUCUCUUGAAAAACUGACAAUAAAUGGAUGCCCGGGUCUCUCAUUGUUACUAGAGUCGACGGAGACGCUGCCGUCGCUUCAGAAGCUUGAUAUUGAUAAUGUGGUGGGAAAGAGUUGUUGGCGCAAAUGGUGCACAACAGCAAUCGUCUUCAAAGUUUGACUUUAUAUAAAUGUUCCUCACCCUUGUCGUUCCUUACAAAUGGUCUGCCCACCACGCUGACAUCACUGAGCAUAACAGAUUGCAAGAAAUUAGAAUUCCCAUCACGUGAGAUGAUGGCCAAAUUGACUUCCCUUCAGUCUUUGCGUCUAUCCAACAGCUGUGAACGCAAAGGCUUGAGUAUUUGCAGUUUAGUUUUUUUUUUCUUCAUUUUAGAGAUUUUUCUACUGUUUGGUUUUUGGGUUUUGUCUAAUUUUUGUGGUCUGCUUUAUAGAUUGUUCUCUUUGGAAGCUUCUUUCCAGCCUUGACCUUCUUCUUGCCUGGUGCCUUCUCAUUGAGUAUUGGAGGAGCAUUAAAACACAGGUGUGUGUGUUUUGUCGACAUAAGAGAUGAAUGACAUAAAAACAUCCGUCUCUGUAUUUUUUUGUGCUUUUUCUAACCCAUCAAUUUCUUUUGAGUCAACCAAAUAGUCCCAAAUUGCAACUUAUGUUGUGAGGUAUUAUUGUCUAAAAUUAAGUAUGCAUGUAUAUUUUAUGUUUGUGCCCGCGCACACAUCCGCAUGGUGUUAAUCUCUGUGGGUCAUCUAUGUAUAUGUAGAUAUAUCUAUAUGUGUGUGUGGAAUGCAACAUAUCGGAUUUAGGUUAUACUGUGCAUAGUUUUAUUGCCUGUUAUUAUCUACGAUAUCACUAUGCCAUUUCUAUGCAGGCUCUGAAAGUUAUUCAUGAGCUUUAUAAGCACUUACCAUAAUUUAAGCAGUCUGUUUUGGGUUCUUUUUCAUUAGGUCAUUAGCUACAGAUUAAUGGAGAAACGAGGACCAUGCCACUGAUUUGGGUUCUUUUUCUAAUUUUCUGAUUUUGGGGUUUUGCAGGGAGAACUCCGCCUAUGUACUUACAUUGCCGAUCCCAAGCUCGGAUAAAGGAGGAGGGGGAGGGCGUCAGGUAGUCGACAGUCGGCACUCCAUGAUCACGUCGAAUCCUUAUGAAAAUGAAUUCAGAAUAAAAUUGCGCUAAAGCUAGGGCGUCACCCGUAAGUGGCGCGCUGUGUGGCCCGAGCACAGUGAUAAGUGAGCAAGGGUCGCUGUAUCUCCAUCGGCACCCGGAUGCAGUGUUAAAUGAGCAAGGGGGGCAUAGGAACUUCUUUUCGAACGACUCCACUCAAAGUUGUUUGGGAGCAUAUGCUCCUAUCAACUUUACACGGGACACACAAAAGAAGUACUUUGAUCCUAUUAGACGGGGGAGGGUGAAGAAGCUAGGACAGAAGGGUAGAGUUCAAGAAAGCAAAAUGCGUUUAGGAACGUGGAAUAUAGGAACCUUAACGGGAAAAUCUAUGGAAGUAGUGGAAGUUAUGGUGAGGAGAAGGAUAAAUAUUAUGUGCCUACAAGAAACUAAGUGGGUUGGUAGUAAGGCAAUUGAUCUAGAAAACUCAGGGUUUAAACUUUGGUAUUCGGGCACAAAUAGAACGAGAAACGGUGUUGGCAUCAUCGUGGACAAGACCUUGACACAAGAUGUUGUAGAUGUCAAGAGGGUAGGAGAUAGAAUCAUGGCAAUCAAGAUUGUAAUAGGACAAGAACUUAUCAAUGUGGUUAGUGCGUACGCACCUCAAGUAGGGUUGGAUACGAGUUCGAAGGAGAAAUUUUGGGAAGACCUUGGAGACUUGGUGUAAGGAAUUGCUCAGACGGAGAAGUUAUUUAUAGGAGGAGAUUUAAAUGGACACGUGGGCAGAGAGACAGGCAACUAUGGAGGUUUUCAUGGUGGCCAUGGUUUUGGGGAGAGAAAUGAGGAUGGGGAAGCUAUCUUGGAUUUUGCAAUGGCAUAUGAUCUCUUUUUAGCCAACACCUUCUUUAAGAAGAAAGAAGAACAUGUGAUCACCUACAAGAGUGGGUUGUCAAAAACACAAAUAGAUUUUCUUCUAAUGAGAAACGAGGAUGGGGAAGCUAUCUUGGAUUUUGCAAUGGCAUAUGAUCUCUUCUUAGCCAACACAUUCUUUAAGAAGAGAGAAGAACAUGUGAUCACCUACAAGAGUGGGUCGUCAAAAACACAAAUAGAUUUUCUUCUAAUGAGGAAAGGGGAUCGUAUAACUUGUAAGGAUUGCAAAGUUAUACCAGGAGAGAGCGUGGCUAAUCAACAUCGCUUGUUGGUGAUUGAUGUACAUAUCAAAAGAGUGAGACAAAAGAACAAGACUUGGAAGUGCCCAAGGACUAGAUGGUGGAAUCUAAAAGAAGAAAAACAAGCCAUUUUCAAAGAGAAAGUAAUCAUCCAGUGUGUGGGAUAGAGAUGGGGAAGCUAGCCAAAUGUGGGAUUCAAUGGCUAGUUGUAUCCGAAAAGUAGCAAAAGAGGUAUUAGGAGAGUCAAAAGGCUUUGCCCCACACCAAAAAGAAUCUUAGUGGUGGAAUGAGGAGGUACAAACAAAGGUGAAGGCUAAGAAGGAAUGUUGUAAAGCCUUAUACAAGGAUAGAACUGAUGAAAAUGGUGAAAGGUAUAGAAAAGCGAAGCAAGCUGUGAGAGAAGCUAAGUUAGCGGCUUACGACGAUAUGUAUAAACGACUAGAUACCAAAGAAGGAGAGUUGGAUAUCUAUAAACUAGCUAGAGCAAGGGAAAAGAAGACAAGGGACCUAAACCAAGUGAGGUGCAUCAAGGAUGAGGAUGGAAAUGUUCUUGCUACAGAGAACGCGGUUAAAGACAGAUGGAGAGGUUAUUUUCAUAAUCUUUUCAAUGAAGGACAUGGAAGGAGUGCUUCUUUAGGGGAGUUGAGUAACUCAGAAGAGUGUAGAAACUACUCUUUUUAUCGUCGAAUCCGGAAGGAAGAAGUGAUUGUAGCUUUGAAGAAGAUGAAACAUAGAAAAGCAAUAGGCCCAGACGAUGUACCAAUCGAAGUGUGGAAAGUUUUGGGAGAGACAUGUAUAACAUGGCUCACUGACCUUUUCAAUAGGAUUUUGAAAACGAAGAAGAUGCCAAAUGAGUGGCGAACGAGCACUUUGGUGCCUAUCUACAAGAAUAAGGGCGACGUACAAAAUUGCAUGAACUAUAGGGGUAUUAAGCUAAUGAGUCAUACAAUGAAGCUCUGGGAGAGAGUCAUUGAGCAUAGAUUGAGGCAAGAGACACGGGUUUCGGACAACCAAUUUGGGUUCAUGCCAAGGCGCUUAACCAUGGAGGCAAUCUAUCUCUUACGAAGAUUGGUGGAAAGAUAUAGAGAUGGGAAAAAGGAUUUACACAUGGUUUUUAUAGAUUUGGAGAAAUUCGUAUGAUAGGGUCCCAAUAGACAUUCUUUGGAGGAUUUUAGAGAAGAAAGGAGUACGAGUAGCAUAUAUCCAAGCUAUAAAUGAUAUGUAUGAAUGAGCAAAGACUGCUGUAAGAACUCAUGAAGGACAAACUGAAAGUUUUCCCAUAACUGUAGGAUUACACCAAGGCUCAUCCUUAAGUCCCUACCUUUUUGCGUUGGUAAUGGAUGAGUUAACAAGACAUAUUCAAGAUGAUAUUCCUUGGUGUAUGCUUUUCGCAGACGAUAUAGUGUUGAUAGAUGAAACACAGGAAUGGGUAAAUGCAAAGCUUAACCUUUGGAGAGAAGUGUUGGAAUCUAAAGGUCUUCGCCUAAGCCGAUCAAAGACAAAAUAUAUGGAGUGCAAGUUCAGUGCAAAUGGAGGCCAAAACGAGUUAGGGGUGAGGAUCGGAGAUCAAGAAAUACCAAAGAGCGACCGUUUUCGUUACCUAGGAUCUAUCUUGCAAAAGAACGGAGAAUUAGAUGGAGAUCUCAACCAUAGAAUACAAGCUGGAUGGAUGAAGUGGAAGAGUGCAUCCGGCGUGUUGUGUGACCGCCGUAUGCCACUGAAGCUCAAGGGAAAAUUUUAUAGGACGGCAAUAAGGCCGGCGAUGCUGUAUGGCACAUAAUGUUGGGCGGUGAAGCAUCAACACGUACACAAAAUGGGUGUAGCGGAGAUGAAGAUGCUUCGUUGGAUGUGUGGGCACACGAGAAAGGAUAAGAUUAGGAAUGAGGAUAUCCGGGGUAAAGUAGGAGUAGCCGAAAUUGUAGGAAAGAUGAGAGAAAAUCGGUGACGGUGGUUUGGACAUGUGCCAAGAAGGCCUACUGACGCUCCGAUUAGAAGAUGUGACUACUGGACAGAGGUUCAGGGCCGAAGGGGUAGAGGAAGACCUAGAAAAACUUUGGAAGAGACUCUAAGAAAGACUUAGAGUACCUGGAUCUAACGAAGGACAUGACACAGGACCGAGCAUAAUGGCGUUCUAAGAUUCAUAUAGCCGAUCCCACUCAGUGACUUGGAUUUUCCAAGUCUCCAGCCGAGAAGUUUUCCUCACUCAGGAAAUUAAGGGAACACUACCCCAACCUACAUGCUCCACUCACAAAGCUUCAACAAAAGAAAAUUCAAAGAACUUAGCGAAGAAGGCUUUGAUGUAUUUAACACAAUACGUUGAAAUGAAGGAAAGCUUAUUUAUUGAUAUCAUCGAUAAGCUACAAAUAUGUACAUAUACAUAAGUCAAAAUAAACAAACAAGAGGGAGCCUUCACAAAGGUUGCUUAGGAGAAGUCUCAGCAGUCGGUAGAGCCCCAGAAAGAGAAGGCACCGGAGGGGGAUCAUUCGGAGCCUCAGUACUGGACAGAACCCUAGAAGGAGGAGGCAUAAGAGGUUGAUCAUUUGGUGCUUCAUUACGCGGUACAGCCCCAGAAGACGAAGGCAAUAAAUGCCUUUGGAACAAACCCACAAAUCUCUGAUGAUCAAGUAAAACCUGACCAUCAGAUUCCUUCAUCUGGUCAAGCUUCCUCUUCAUGUUUGUAGCAUAGUCAUGUGCGAGCCGGUGCAACUGUUUAUUCUCAUGCUUGAGCCCUCUAAUCUCCUGUUUGAGACUCAUCACUUCAGCCGCCAAUGAUUCAACUUGGCGGGUUCGAGCAAAUAGGUGUUGGGCCAUAUUAGACACAGAACCUGCACACUGAACACUGAGAGCCAGAGAAUCCUUAACAGCUAACUCAUCAGACCGUUUGGAAAGUAGUCUGUUAUCUUUGGGAGUGAGAAGGUUCCUGGCCACCACCGCAGCGGUCAUAUCAUUCUUCAUCACGGAAUCCCCAACGGUAAGAGGACCAGUAGGGGAGACGAAGGAUGGGCGCCAUAUGUUGUCUGGAGAAGGCGGGGCUUCCUCUUCAACAAGGUUCAAGUCAAAACGACGGUCGGAGGGGCCAGACAUUUUCAAAUGUGUUGAAGAGAGAAGAGGUCGGACAAAUCAAGAUCUUAGAAGUGUAAGAAUGGAGCUUCUACUGGUGGAGAUUCAAGUGUGCUUUGGAACUUAAUGUCAGCCCCUAUAAAAAUCUGCACUCAACGGAGCUUCAGAAAUCGAAGAGGCGCCUGCUCAGAAAUCGAAGAGGCGUUUGCUUUCUCAAAAGCAAGGCUGCUCAGAUACCACGAGGGUCGAUCUCAGAAAUCGAAGAGGCGUUUGCUUUCUCAAAAGCUGGGCAGCGCAAAGACCACGAAGGCCGAUCUCAGAAAUCGAAGAGGCGCUCAAAAGUUGGGCUGCUCAGAGACCACGAGGGCCGAUCUCAGAAAUCGAAGAGGCACCUACUUUUCCAGCCUUGUCAGUACCUGUCACACACACACUCAGCUUUGCGAAAAUUAUGGGGAUUCGGUCGAAGACUUCUGGUGAAGUAGAAAGCACAUGAGUCUUACUGUUCAAUCACCCACUUCCCACACGCAACAGUAGCUCAUGGGUACCACAUAUAACUUUUCCAAAGUUCUCUGCCAAAGUUGAACACGUGAAGUUUGCAGCUCCCACUACAUCGCUCUGAUCAAGAAGGGUAAAAGAAUAGCAAAGAAACAACACUAACAAAGUUUAGACACAUAAAUUUUGAUGGUCGAGCUACCAUAUUAUUACCCACAAGGGUAAAGGAACAGUACCACUGCUGGAUAAUUGGAAAGUCCCUGUGUGUCAACCUCUGUGCUUCGUGGCAAGGUAGACUAUCAAACAUGCCCAACCUUUACUCACAUUCGAGAAAACACUCCCAACAAGAUUGCUUGCUCCAAAAUCGAAGAGGCACCGUCCUUCGAAUCUCGAGAGCCAGACUCCCAACAUGACUACUUUCUCAAAAAUCGAAGAGGGUAAAGGAACAGUACCAUUGCUGGAUAAUUUGAAAGUCCCUGUGUGUCAACCUCUGUGCUUCGUGGCAAGGUAGACUAGCAAACAUGCCCAACCUUUACUCACAUUCGAGAAAACACUCCCAACAAGAUUGCUUGCUCCAAAAUCGAAGAAGCAUCGCCCUCCGAAUCUCGAGAGCCACUCCCAACAUGACUACUUUCUCAAAAAUCGAAGAGACAUCGCUCUCCGAAUCUCGAGAGCCAGACCCCCAGCAUGAUUGCUUUCUCAAAAAUCGAAGAGGCACCGUUCUCCGAAUCUCGAGAGCCAGAUCCCCGAUAGGAUUGCUUGUUCGAAAACCGAAGAGGCAACACUUUCCCAAUUUCAAGAGCCGGAUCUCCUUGGAUAAAGCUAUCUGUAAUCUUCACUCGCAACAUUAGCUUUCCAGCUACCACAGACCACUUUUUCAAAGUGAUCUGACAACGUUAAAACAUGUGAAGCUGGCAGCUUCCACUACCGUGCUAUGACCAAGUAGGGUAAAGGAAUAGCAUUACUACUUGUUGUUAAGGAGACUCCUAUAUAUGUCGACCUCCAUCCCCAACGGAUAGGCAGACCUGCAAAAAUGCUCAACUCUUCCUCAUAUCUGAGAGGGCACUCCCAACGAAGCCUUUCGAAAUAUUCAGCUUUCUUUCCCCCCGAUAAUACCUCUGCAAACAAGCUAUACUAGAGCAAGAAUAUCUCAUAUCAUCAGGGUUAAAAGCAAGAGUAUCCCAUAUCAUGCUUUUUCCUUGUCUUUUUCUUUGGCCUUGUUCUUACCUGCAAGACAAGAAGAAAGAGAGCAAUCAGUCAGUACUUGGAAUCAAGCUUCCAGCCAGGAACUGACUGCCUGGAACCCCUUACCUGAUUACUUACCUGACAUUGUUCUCGAGUACUCAUCUUCAACAUCUUAUGCUUCCAGGGAAGAUACCGCAUCUGCCUGAGGAACAGAUAGGGCAAGGGAGAAGGAUAUAAGGAAGCAUGUGGAGACAAGCGUAACAGCACACGUGCCGAUACAUCCAUUACUCUGUCAAAGCAAAAGUAUCCCAUAUCAGUAGGGUCGAACGUACUCUAGAUUUGAUGGACUUGUUUUGACCCUCAAAUUCUUCAGUCGGCCUUAUACUCUGGAGGAAACCAGAAAUUUCUCCAGCUCAGUGCAAGAAUAAGCUUGUGGAAAGUUACUUCUUCAAAAGCAAAAGUAUCACAUAUCAUCUCUUCUCAUUUUCUUCUCUUUAUCCUUCAUGCUGCCUGCAAGAUAGGGAGAUUGUGAACAAUCAGCUGGAGCUAUGAUUGCUUACCUUGUCUGUCACCUCUUUCAGCAGAUCCCCUAGCUCGGCGAUUUGGGGGACUCCUACUACAUGGUUUGUAUCGCGCUUGACCAAGCCUGAAACUACAAGUAAGCUUCAAGUGAAAUUGAUACAUUACCUUGUGCAUCUCCACCAGUUAAAGAUACUACCCCUGGAUGGAGGAAGAGUACUUCCAGAGAAGAUGCCCCAUCUACCUAUGAGACAGAUAAGGCACGUCAAGACGAUACCACACUCUGAUACUUAGAAGUUUCGUGAUUACGAGAUCAUUCUCCCACAAUAUUUCCUAAUGUCAUUUGUACUAAAUCAUUCACUUGUACUCACUAAAGGAGAGCUUGAACCUAUGUACUUGUGUAAACCCUUCACAAUUAAUGAGAACUCCUCUAUUCCGUGGACGUAGCCAAUCUGGGUGAACCACGUACAUCUUGUGUUUGCUUUCCUAUCUCUAUCCAUUUAUAUACUUAUCCAUACUAAUGACCGGAGCAAUCUAGCGAAGAUCACAAAAAGCGACCGUUUUCGCUACCUAAGAUCUAUCGUGCAAGAGAACGGAGAAUUAGAUGGAGAUCUCAACCAUAGAAUACAAGCUGGAUAGAUGAAGUGUAAGAGUGCAUCCGACGUGUUGUGUGACCGUCAUAGGUCACUGAAGCUCAAGGGAAAAUUUUAUAGGACGACAAUAAGGCCAGCGAUGUUGUAUGGCACAGAAUGUUGGGCGGUGAAGCAUCAAUACGUACACAAAAAUGGGUGUGGCGGAGAUGAGGAUGCUUCGUGGGAUGUGUGGGCACACGAGAAAGGAUAAGAUUGGGAAUGAGUAUAUCCGAGGUAAAGUAGGAGUAGCCGAAAUUGAAGGAAAGAUGAGAGAAAAUCGGUUCCGGUGAUUUGGACAUGUGCAAAGAAGGCCUACUGACGCUCCGGUUCGAAGAUGUGACUACUGGACAGAGGUUCAGGGCCGAAGGGGUAGAGGAAGACUUAGAAAACCUUUGGAAGAGACUCUAAGAAAAGACUUAGAGUACUUGGAUCUAAUGGAGGACAUGACACAAAACCGAGCGCAAUGACGUUCUAGGAUUCAUAUAGCCGACCCCACUUAGUGGGAAAAGGCUUUGUUGUUGUUGUUGUUGUUGUUGGGGUUUUGCAGGGAGUACUAAUGUACUGAUUUUCUGGGAUUUUUUUUGUCCUUGCAGGAUUUUUGGUCUUUGAAAUGGGUAUGUGUUGUUUUUAAUGUUUCAGUUCUAGCGUUUUCCGUUCUUCGUUGCUUCGUGAUUCUCAUUUUUCAGUGUUGGGUGAUGGAAAUUUGUUAAAGUAGUUGGUAGUUUUUUGAGAAAGUUGGCAUUUUUAGUUAUAUUUUCUGUUUAAUCCUAAAUGUUUUGAAAACUCAUAAUUUUUUUGUUCUGGGAUUUAAAAGCAUCUUUUCCAGAUUGGUUACAAGGGUUAUGUUCUCUUCAAUUGGUUCACCUAAUUUUGAUUAGUUUUAAGUUUUGUCCUUUAAGUUUGUCUUUUAAGUUUUGUUCUUUAAGUUUUGUCUUUUAAGUUUUGUUCUCUAAGUUUUGUCUUUUAAGUUUUGUCUUCUGUGCUGUAAUGAGAGAUUUCCGUUGGCCUUUCGGAUUUUGGCAUGGGAAAGUUCACUUAUUUGCAAGGUUCUAAAAAACGCUAGGCGUUAGUUGGGCGGUGGGCUAGCGCCUAGCGGCUAGGCGGCUAGGCGGGAUCUAGGCGGGAUCUAGGCGGGCGCCUAGGCGGCCUAGGCGGAUUUAGGUAAAUUUCUUAUAUAUUUUAUGAAUUAAUUAAAUUUACUAUAUCAAAUGUAAAUAAUUAUUAACUAAUAUGUUAUUUCUUAUAGAAGAACAUACAUAGUGAAUGUUUUAUGUACAUAUAUAAUAUAUUUGUCUAGGAAAAAAAAAUAUUAUCUAAAUAAUUUUUAUAACAUAUAUAUAUAUAUAUAUAUAUAUAUAUAUAUAUCCCAAACUUUUAAAAAUAUAAAUAGCAUUGGGAGAGGGGCGUAGGGUUUCUAAAAGCACACUCAGAAAUAGAGCAUAUUUUAGUCUUUAUUUUAGAAUCCUAAGGAGCACCCUACUCGGAUGCACGACAUGUGUGCAAAUCUGGAGAUUCUUGCUGUAUCGGAUACACCAAUGCUUAGUCAAAAUUUCCUGCUAGGGUUUAUGGUGGACAUGUGUGUGUGGUCUUCAUUAUUAAACCCAUUAGCACCUCACCUUUUCACAUCACCCGUCCAUCACCUUGGGUGGUUUUGAUAAUUAAAACCAUCAACAUCCAUGGUUUUGAUAAUUAGAACUACCAACUUUUCCUUGGAUUUGAGAAUCUGAGAUCCCAUUCAUCGCCAUCAAAUAUUGAAAUGUUUCAUUGUUCAUCUCUUUCUCCCUCUUCUCACUCUCUAUUCCCUCAUCUUCACAGAGAUGAGUUACAGAAAUUCUCCGGUAAUCUCUCUCUCUCUCUCUUCGUAAUCGACGAGCUCCUCGACUUGAAGUCGCAGCCAAGUUAUGAAGAAUCGAGAUGCGAGAGCAAGUGGAGAGUGGAGACUCUGGAAAUUGGGAGUGACGAUCGACGACGAUGAGUCGAUGACCCAGGAAACCUCUUGAAGUUGCAGCAGGUGAGUGCACUGCAGUUGAGGAAGAAGAGACGAAGAGACUUAGUUUCUGAAAUUAGGGUAGCUGCAAGGCACGGGAACUUAAAAACAAAAAAACAAAAAGAAAACCGCCUAGCUCCGCCAGCCGCCUAGCCUGCCUAGGCGCCUCCUAGCCCGCCUAGGUGCCGCUUAGCCACCGCCUAGAGCCCAGCCGUUUUUUCCCACCGUUUUGCACAAAAACGCCUUGGCCACCCUCCGCCUAGCGCCUAGGCGGCCGCCUAGGCCGUUUUUUAGAACACUGCUUAUUUGUCUAAUUAGAUUGUGGAUGCCUUCGAUUCUUUAUUUAAUUGUUCUGUUUGCGUUCGGGUGUGAUGAUCUAAAUUUCAUAUGUUUGGAAUUAUUUACUUAACACCAAUUUGUUACAUUCAGAUCUCCACCCCACAUUUCACUAGUUCAAAUUCCAUAGAAGUUGGUUAUUGCAGAUUGCGUCUACAAUUAGAUCAGAGAUCAACUACUCUUUUGUUAUCCUGCAGAAGAUUGCUUUUGGGAAGGAUCUGAAGUAGUUUCUCUCUGUAUGUUUAUUCCCAUGUAGCUCUGUCUUUUCUAAUUGAUGGUGUUGAUAUUACACUGUAAUUCAUGAUGAUGAUUUAAUUGUUUAUUGAUUUGUAAUUGUUUGUGAAUAAUGUGGCAUAUAUGAAUUGCAAUCUGUGUUUGUAUGAAAGGGAUGGCAUAUUAUGUUGCUGACUUAAUUGUUUAUGUUUUUCAUAUUUGCGAAUGGUGUUAUGAUCAAUUAGGUGAUUGCUGACCUGUGACUUUGUUUGGAGCUCAAAUUUUGUGAGCAUUACAUUGGAUUGUUUUGAUGUUGUUUUGGUUGACAAUGCAGGGAUAGGAGAAACAAAGAGGAUGACACUUAUAACUGCCAUUCCCCAUCGGCCGUCUUCAAAUUUGGAUCACAAGAAGGGAGCAACAUAGGUGUUUUCCUUCUUUAUUUAGAUAUGGUUAGUGUAAAUAAUUGGACAAAAGAGCCAAACAAACCCUGUUCUCUCAAAUGGAGUUGAUGAUGUGGUCGACGGCCACCAGCCCCAACUCAAGAGUUUGGCCUUCAUAUAAUUGGAUUGUAGUAUAAUUUUAUUUUUGUUCAUUUCUUUUUUCCUUUAUAUAAGUGCAGGUGUUGUGAUGUUUUGAAUAAAGGGUGAUGAAAGGUGGUUCACACUUCCUCCUUACUUAAAGCAAGUGGAGAUGACGGUUUGUAUAAAAAGAAAAACUUGCCACGUACUUCAAUUUUCUAUUUUAUUAAUUAUUGUUUGGUUUUCCAAAUGUUGUAUUCACAAAGAGAGACCAAUUAUGUCUUUGAGAAACAAGUUUCUUUGUCUACAUUGCGAGAAUUUGCAGUUUGCAACUUUCAUUGGUUAUUAUAUUUGAUUGAGUUAAACUUGGAUUUCUGGAUUCUGACUUUUUCGUUUGUUUCUUUGUUGCAGAGUUGGCUUCAUUUCAUUCCAGGAACUCUCUAAAUAGGGCCAAGAACUCACUAAAUAGGUAGUCAAGAGGAAUUCAGUUUUGCCUUCAAUUUUUGCCUUCUGUUUACAUUCUUCCUGGAUGCACUCUCACCGCUUCUCUCGCUUACCACUUUUUUCUCACUCACCGCUUCAUCUCUUCUGUUGCUUACAAGGUCGUGUCAUAUAUUUUUUAAUUUUGUGGUUUAAUUUAUUGAAUAUUUGAAAAAAGAGAUAAAAUUAUAAGAUACUAUAUAAGAUACUAUAUAGUAUCUUAUAAAUAAAUGAAUCACAAAUGAUACUAUAGUUGUUAAAAAAUCCCAUUACUCAAAACUCCAAUUCCCUCCCAUUACUGAAAGCUCCAAUUCCAUCAAAACCGAGAUGGUAAAAGUACAAACUGGCUAGUUUCCACCAAAAAAAAAAGUACAAACUGGUUACAAAAAUAUGUUUUGUCCCAUCCAAUUGACGAAAAGAGAUAAAAUUUUCAAUUUACAAUUACUGAUAUGAUGUUUGUUUUGAAAAUCAUUAAGGUGAAUGGAGAGAUUUACAACCAUGAAGAGCUGAGGAGCCGUUUGCCAAAUCAGAUUUAUAAGGUCUCAUCAAUUAUGAAUAAACGACUUUUCAUUCCCAAUGACCUUUAUCGUUUUUCUUAAUGGGUUAGCUGAACAUGAGGUAGAUGCUGACUUUAUCAAAUAUGAGAAUGUUUUAGGAUUUCAUUCUAAUUUUUUGGCUGUUUGAUUACUUUGCUUUUCGUAAUUUGUUUUGCUUAUCGUCAAUUGGAUGGGACAAAACAUAUUUUUGUAACCAGUUUGUACUUUUUUUUUUGGUGGAAACUAGCCAGUUUGUACUUUUACCAUCUCGGUUUUGAUGGAAUUGGAGCUUUCAGUAAUGGGAGGGAAUUGGAGUUUUGAGUAAUGGGAUUUUUUAACAACUAUAGUAUCAUUUGUGAUUCAUUUAUUUAUAAGAUACUAUAUAAGAAACUGUUAUUAGCACUCUAAAAAACUCAUUCUACACUCGCGACAAGUGUAUUUUUCUUUUUAAUUAUGGAAAGUUUGAAGGGCAAAAUGAGAAUUUUGGAGUGCCAAUAACAAUUCCCUAUUAUAUAUAGCUCUACUGGGAAGGCUACUGUAUAUGUCUUCAUCCUGUUAAAUUGUAUAUGGCUCUUGAUGUCGGCUGAAUUAAAUCAAAAUGAAAACCAAGCUGAUCUUACCAGCCGAUAUCACUUAUCACUUGCUUAUUUAAAUUAUUUGAAGAUGCGUAUGUGGAUUGGUGAUUUUGUUGGAUUCACUUAGCUCAAAUAUAUGUUAUCUGAGUCGCUACAUUUGAGAAUGUGAUUCUGUUCCUACCACCAUUUUGCCCACUUUUUGUGGAAAUUAUUCAUUCCUGUUGUGAAUAAUACAUUCAUCCCCGGCAACGAAGUGCGGGCACAUUUUAUAGUUUAAAUUAAAUCACACAAUGGGUCAUCAAUAAUGACAAACUCGUCAUUUAUGCGAGUCAAACAUGAGGCCACCUACCUACUAGUUUAGUGGAAUACCACAAAGUGACAUGUUGAUACCUUUAAGUCUCAUAUAAUGGAUUGCAGAAUUAGGAUAUACCUAGACUAAUUUAGUCAGUGCGUGAACCCGAACAAUUAACAAGGGUUUUAUUCUUGCUUGAAUGUUUGUUAUAUGUUCCUAGUUUGACAAGGCAAUUAUAUUUCCGAUUACAAAAGUUAUUAAUUUAGUCGAGAAUUGACGCACCUGAAAUGGUGUGAGGAAAACAUGUAGACACAUCAACCGCAGUCCACUGUCCUGGGCAUCUAUCUUCCCCGAAACGAAGCUCAAAGCCAUACAUGAGGGCAUUGUGUAUGUCUUUAUAAGAGAAGUUGCUGUAGUCUUCAACGUAGCCGGCAGCCAAACUCAUCCACUCUACACUGCAACCCUCAUCCAAAUCCCAUGCUUCCAACCUGCCCCCGACAUAGUCAGCGACCAUGACAUAGCUAUACGUUUUUGGUUGACUCGAAGAAGAAGAAGAAGUAUUAUUCAAGCAUGGAGCAGUGUCCACGUACAGAGAAGAAUUCGAUGGAUUCGAACACUUCAAGUAAUAUAUAGAUAGAGAAUUGAUGUCAUAGGUGGGCCAAUAUGGAGAAUUGAUGUCCUCGGUGGUGGGCGGAAUAUUUUGAGACAUGGAAGAGCAAUUGUUGUUGUCAAGCCCAGGAUCUAGAACUCGGAUUGUAUUGUUAAUGUAGUUGAUUGCCUGGACAUAGUAUUUUCCGGAAGAAGGUACGUCUAGUACAGUAAUGUUGCUCUCACAGUACAGAGUAUACAUUAUGUUGCCACAGUACUUUGGAUCAUCGUUCAGUCGAAAAGGAUGGCUUAUGUAGUGGAUAUGGCCGCAGGAUGAAGUGCAGGACUUGGCACUACUGUUGUCAGCGUUACAAGUUUCACUGCAAAAGCAAAGAAGAAGAAAGGCUAAACUUAAGGUGAAGGACCUGCUUCCACUAAUUUCCAUUGAUCUGAGAGAGAGAGAGAGAGAGAGAGAGAGAGAGAGAGAGGGUACUAUAGCUUGAACACCAAGGAGUUAUAUAAUAUGGGAGGGGUUAAAGCGCUUCGCUUAAAGUUGCAGUAAGCCCGGCAAAUAUCCUAGGGAAAAGUCGGUCAAUGGUGUCCUAUAGAGAAAAGUCGGCCUUGGUGUUUGACACGGUCACUCACUCUCUCUCUCUCUCUCUCUCUCUCUCUCACAUUGACGAGGGACACUGUAAUUAACAAAAAAAUUGUUCUUCAGAGAUAGAUUUUGAAAUUCUUAUUUUAUAUAAAAAAACACCUAAUAUUAAUCAUUCAAAUGAAAUUCCUAAAAUUAAGUAUAAAUAAUACAUAAUAAAAACUGAACACAUACAAUCAACGGUCACGAUCAUGAAAUCCUUCGGAUCCUCAGAAAAAAAUCCGACGAUGAUCUUUUUCUGUGUAAAAUAAUUUGAGGGUAUAAUACUGGAUGUGCGAUUAAACCGAAGAACCCACCCACCUCCAUCUUCUCCGACCAACUUGAACCCAGCCACUACUACAUGUCAUCCCGACAACCCACUCUCAGCUUCCCAAACCGCCAUUUUUCACCCAUUCACCUACCACUGCCAUUAUUCAUUCAAUCAACCCAAAACACGAGAGCCACCCCCAUCUCACCAGUCGAACAGAUGCAGCCACCCACCCAUUUAAUCCCAGUCCAAAAUCAAACCCUCUCCUAAACCCACCCCAGAAUCCAAUAAUUUCAAAAAAUGGCUGAUUAUAUCAUUUCAAGAACCUCACAAUUCCAAAAACUAAAAACCCACUUCAAAGAUGUAAUAUUUUUCUCUCUUCCUCUUUUUGGGUUUUUUUUUCUUUUUUUUUAUCAAUUCUCUUCUGGGUUUUUGUUUACAGUGUAAAAUCAACACUAAUUUACUAAUUUUGCUUUGAUUUCAAACACUAUUGAGGCGUGAUAACCUGUUGCAAGCUCAGCCAUGGCGGCUACUGCGAAAUCUAACGGAAAAACCAUCACAGACUCUGCCAUUUCAUCCAAGGUUCCGACAAUAGCAAAACGAAUAGCUGUCGCAGAUUUCUUCCAACAUCAAUCACUACGCGAAAUUAAUUGUCAAUGAAGACGAUCCCAUUCCCCUUCGAAAUCUGCUGGGGAAAGAGACCUUCUUUCAGAUCUGCUCUGAGACCGGUUUAUGCGAGAGAGUGGUGAGCCUGACGACAGAGAGAAAUAAGGGCAGGAUUGGAAAAUUGGAAAGUUCAUUUAUUGGUUACUGUUUAUCCGUGUUUCUUCGAAAUAAGCUGCUUUUUCCAGCUUUGGGUUUCAGUGUUUUUUAACCCAUAAUUUUGAAAGAAAAAAAACUGAUUUUAAAUGUUUAUCAAACACUUAAAAUGUUCCAAUCUUUUUUCAUACCUACUUUUUAUUAAAAGUUAAGCUAAACAAAAAUCAAGAUUAAGUUUACUACUCUGAAGUUUCUUGCUUUUCAACAUUUCAUACAUUGAAUUUUUCUCAUCCAGUGUCAUAUCUAAGGUGGGAAUUGUGGGACACUUUUAUACAUCCGUUAGAUUUUAUGUGAAUUGCGUGGCACUUUUAUACAUCCGUUAAAUUUUUUGUGAGAACCUUCGCUGACCCACGAUGCGGCAUGCAUGUGGACAUUAAAAAAAUUCAAAAAAUUCAAAAAAUUUUAAAAUUUUAAAAUUUAAAAUUCAAAAAUACUAAAAACCUAAACUUUUCAUAAUAUUGAAAGACUGAAUCUUUUCACAGUCAGCCAAAUUUUCUUCAAAUUUUAAUUAGAUGAAAUAAUGAAUCUUGAACAAAGCAAAACAAAACGUAAUAUUGAGAGAUUCAGUCAUUGAAGUGGACGUGGAUGUUGGGUACUCAAUAGUCCAAGAAUGAAAACUCUCAUAUCAGUUUCUAUCCAAAAUUUUGGAAUUAUGUGUGUUGCAACGAUUGUCCAAAGGAUUAUUCUUCUUUUAUUAAAUUUCCAUGAAAAAUGAGCAUGGAGCACAAAAGUUGAACGAAUGAUUAUUCUUCUUUUAUUAAAUUUCCAUGGAAAAUGAGCAUGGGGCACAAAAGUUGAACGAAUGAAAUUUCAACGAUUUGAAAAGGGAUUGUGAGUUUGACAUGUCAUUUUUCUUCCUCUAAUGCAAUCAUGUUUAUUAAAAGACAAAAAUAAAUAUGACUUUACAUAAGGAGAGAGAAGGAGUAGUUUUCUUUGAAAAAAUCAACCAUUUAUUGAAGAGGAUGUGGAUGUUGAUUGAUGCGUCGUGAAUACGAAAAAAAGGACCUUGAAAGGAGUUGAGACAUUCAUUAAAAGCUAGAAGAAAAAAAAGUUAAAAGUGUUUUAGAAAAAAAGCAAGAAAGCCUCAUUUUCAAAGUUGUGGUCAUUGCACAAUACUUGAUUAGAAGAAAACUCAUAGUAUUGUAUUUACAAUUUCAAGUCUUUAUGGGGAACGAGAGAGCAAGUUUUCCAAUUGGAAUAUGAUAUGAAAUUUCUACAUAACUAUAUAUGACAAUGAAAGAAGUCUAAGUUUCUAAAUGGAAGGGCUUCCAAUUGAUGUGAGUUUGUUGAGAAAUUAGUGAACAACAGAACAAGUUGCUUCUCCUUUGGCCUUCUAACAUGAUAUCACAGAAAACAAGUUGUUACUAAUAAAUGUAUCUGAUUGGUGGACUUAGACGUGCGCGGUACGAUUUUUGAUAACUAGAGAAGAUGGGCAGUGUCAUGACAAAAUUUAUCCAAGUAGACCCAAAGGAAUGACUUAGGAACUUCAUAUGCAGUGGGAUAAAAUCUUAAGCUAAUUUCCUUACCUAUCUUAUAGGCAUUAAGUAAAAUGUAUAUGCAUAUUUCUAGACACACCAAUUUACUUAAUAUUAACUUCUUUCAAAUACCCAUUUGCAGAAACGCAAAGCUCUCUUGCAUGCUUGUUGUAAUGCUUAUGUAGUGCGUAUCCUAUAUCUUAUAUAUAUAUCUUACUUUUUGUGAUCCAUUUUUUCAUCACUAUGCCAAACGAAUAGCAAAACGAAUAGCUGUCGCAGAUUUCUUCCAACAUCAAUCACCACGCGAAAUUAAUUGUCAAUGAAGACGAUCCCAUUCCCCUUCGAAAUCUGCUGGGGGAAAGAGGCCUUCUUUCCGAUCUGCUCUGAGACCGGUUUAUGCGAGAGUGGUGAGCCUGACGACAAAGAGAAAGAAGGGCAGGAUUGGAAAAUUGGAAAGUUUAUUGGUUACUGUUUAUCCGUGUUUCUUCGAAAUAAGCUGCUUUUUCCAGCUUUGGGUUUUCAGUUUUUUUUACCCAUAAUUUUGAAAGAAAAAAAACUGAUUUGAAAUGUUUAUCAAACACUUAAAAUGUUCCAAUCUUUUUUCAUACCUACUUUUUAUUAAAAGUUAAGCUAAACAAAAACCAGGAUUAAGUUUACUACUCUGAAGUUUUUUGCUUUUCAACAUUUCAUACAUUGAAUUUUUCUCAUCCAGUGUCAUAUCUAAGGUGGGAAUUGUGAGACACUUUUAUACAUCUGUUAGAUUUUAUGUGAAUUGUGGGGCACUUUUAUACAUCCGUUAGAUUUUUUGUGAGAACCUUCGCUGACCCACGAUGCGGCAUGCAUGUGGACAUUGAAAAAAUUCAAAAAAAAUCGAAAAUUUUAAAAUUUUAAAAUUUAAAAUUCAAAAAUACUAAAAACCUAAACUUUUCAUAAUAUUGAGAGACUGAAUCUUUUCACAGUCGGCCAAAUUUUCUUCGAAUUUUAAUUAGAUGAAAAUAAUGAAUCUUGAACAAAGCAAAACAAAACGUAAUAUUGAGAGAUUCAGUCAUUGAAGUGGACGUGGAUGUUGGGUACUCAAUAGUCCAAGAAUGAAAACUCUCAUAUCAGUUUCUAUCCAAAAUUUUGGAAUUAUGUGUGUUGUAACGAUUGUCCAAAGGAUUAUUCUUCUUUUAUUAAAUUUCCAUGAAAAAUGAGCAUGGAACACAAAAGUUGAACGAAUGAUUAUUCUUCUUUUAUUAAAUUUCCAUGGAAAAUGAGCAUGGGGCACAAAAGUUGAACGAAUGAAAUUUCAACGAUUUGAAAAGGGAUUGUGAGUUUGACACGUCAUUUUUCUUCCUCUAAUGCAAUCAUGUUUAUUAAAAGACAAAAAUAAAUAUGACUUUACAUAAGGAGAGAGAAAUAGUAGUUUUCUUUGAAAAAAUCAACCAUUUAUUGAAGAGGAUGUGGAUGUUGAUUGAUGCGUCGUGAAUACGAAAAAAAAAGACCUUGAAAAGAGAUGAGACAUUCAUUAAAAGCUAGAAAAAAAAAAGUUAAAAGUGUUUUAGAAAAAAGCAAGAAAGCCUCAUUUUCAAAGUAGUGGUCAUUGCACAAUACUUGAUUAGAAGAAAACUCAUAGUAUUGUAUUUACAAUUUCAAGUCUUUAUGGGGAACGAGAGUGCAAGUUUUCCAAUUGGAAUAUGAUAUGAAAUUUCUACAUAACUAUAUAUGACAAUGAAAGAAGUCUAAGUUUCUAAGUGGUAGGGCUUCCAAUUGAUGUGAGUUUGUUGAGAAAUGAAGAUGAAGAUGAAUAUUGAUGUUGAUGUUAGUGAACAACAGAACAAGUUGCUUCUCCUUUGGCCUUCUAACAUGAUAUCACGGAAAACAAGUUGUUGCUAAUAAAUGUAUCUGAUUGGUGGACUUAGACGUGCACGGUACGAUUUUUGAUAACUAGAAAAGAUGGACAGUGUCAUGACAAAAUUUAUCCAAGUAGACCCAAAGGAAAGACUUAGGAACUUCAUAUGCAGUGGGAUAAAAUCUUAAGCUAAUUUCCUUACCUAUUUUAUAGUAUUAAGUAAAAUGUAUAUGUAUAUUUCUAGAUGCUGACACACCAAUGUACUUACUAUUAACUCCUUUCAAAUACCCAUUCGCAGAAACGCAAAUCUCUCUUGCAUGCUUGUUGUAAUGCUCAUGUAGUGCGUAUCUAAUAUCUUAUGUGUAUAAUUUUUUGUGAUCCAUUUUUUCAUCACUAUGCCAAAAUCCCUUUAGAAUUUGCAAUUUAUCCAUUUGGUUAUGGUAAAAAAAAAAACUCGGAAUUUCAUUUAAACUCGAAAAUCUAGAAUUGGGAAAGCAAUUUUCCCUUGUUCGGCAACUUGUAGCGAUAGCAAAGGCAAAUUGUACCGGAAAAAAGUGGAAAUUGGGGAUGAAGAUCCAAUUUUAAUUUCGUCAAAAUAAGUGUAAUUUCACAAUUCCAACAACGUUGAGAAUCACAAAUGCAUUGUGGGGAAAUCUUGCGACCACCAAACUUUACGAUUAGAGCGCCAAAUUUCAUGAUAAAACGUAAUAAGGGUUUAGGACUGCAUCGUUCGCUCUGUUAACUCUCCAAUCUUCGACGGGAUUUUCAACUCGUGCAUCAUUUUUUGCUUUGUUCUAGGUCAAAGCCUACUCUUUUCUUUCUUGAAUUAUUUUAGCUUUGCGGGUAUACUCUUUAGGCCAAUUGUGAAUUUUGCUAGUUAUUUUUAUUUUCUGAUGGUCAUAUGUUUGUUUUUUUUUUCUUCCAAUUGAGCUGUGUAUUGGUUGGAUCAGUAACUUUUUUUUUGGAUUUUUAUUUUUAUUUUUAUGGAUUUUGGUGUUAGUUCCUUGUUAUAGAUGUAUAGAUGUUGUGGAGCAAAAAAUAAUCUCAAAAAUCGUGGAGGUGACACACGGAUUUUUGGACAAGAAUGACAAAAUUAUCCUCGAAGCACAUCAUGAUUCCCACGUGCAUGCAACGGACAAUAACGGCUCAAUCAUGGAAGAGUCAAAGGUGAUCAAUAUGGUAUUUAUUCAAAUCCCUCUCAUCACUCCUCAUCAAUCCCUUUUUGAUUUUAUUCAAAAGGUAACUCCCAAAACUUCCUAUUUAAUUUAGGGAUCAUUGUCAUGUUAAUUGCAAGAUAUUAUUUCACAAAAUAUCUUGUAAUUAUUCUUCAAUUACCACCAUGUAUGGCCGGCCACUCCUCACCCUAUGGGCCGGUCACUCCUCACCCUAUGGGUCGGCCACUCCCUAUAAAUAGCCCUAUUAUUCCACUAAUAAGGAAGCCAUUUGCUACCCACAAACUCCUAAACACAUUCUUUCAGAAUUCUAACUUUGGCAUUGGAGAUUCUUAGGCCAAAUCCCCCCUCCCAUUCAUCGUGGGCGCAUAAGGCUUUUGGCCUUAGUCUUAGGUAUUAUUAUUUUGCAGGUGCAUUUUCGUCAAAGACGAAGAUGGUGGAAAUUUGGAUCCACAAAUUGGUGUUUUCAUUGAGAGUUUGAUUCACAAGCUCGAAGAAGACUCUCGCAUUCAAAGUUUCACAUUUCUCAUUCAUAAGUAAAUUUUUCAUACGUUCUUAUUCCUAGAAUUUUUUUAAAUCUUUGAAUAGACGUAGGAGAGAAAUACAAUGGCUAGAAAUUUAGAAACCACGACGAACGAAACUUCCUACGUUCAAAGAUCCAGAUCAAAUGAUGGAAAUUGCGAUGUAGCCCCACCACGACGAUCCACGAAGCUCAACGUAGUGGCAAAAUGAGUAACUUGGCCACCACGGAGUACCACCACCACCAUAGCCAAGGCAACCCAUGUUGCAGUGGGGAGUGGGACAACUCCAUGGCAGCAAGGCCACGAAGCAACAACAGAUGCCAUCUUGCAGUAAUGAGCCCAAGCCUGUGUCACAAGGUAGUCAACCCAGCGCUAGGUAACCUAGAUCUAGUAGGCCCACGACGUUGCCAUAGUAGCUGAGGCCUAAAGCAAGGCCCAAGCAGCUGCGACUGCGGCAAAUGGAGCAACACAACACUGGCGGGGCCAAUGCACCCUUGGCCUAAUGCCAAGCAGGCUAAAUCGCACCACACCCACUAUUCAAACUAACCCUAAGUUGAGUAAGUAGCAUUGAAGGUUGUCAACCGCAAGGCGUUGAAGUACGAAUAAAGUUACACACCCCGCACAUGACUUGGCCCACUUCCGCGGCCCAACUUGCUCGCAAGGUCCACCUAGUGAUCCCGACCAGUCGAAGGCCAGUUCAAUCAUCCCAUCUUCAGAUUUCUGGACUGACGAUUGAAUCGGGGGUAUUUUCACCCCGAUUUUCUACAGAUUUGACAUAUCUCAACACAAAUCUCGCACUUGGAGUCCAUUGCACUUCCAUUACUCAAGGAGACGCAUACCAUUUAAGAUCUUCCAUCCCAAAUGGCGAACAACACUUGUCUUGACAAGUCAUAGAGUUGACAUGCACUUUUGCGCAGUAGACGACCUUAGUGAAUCAGCUUUUGCAACGCACAAAGAUGCAGUAUGCCCCAGACGAUGUGUCCCGAAGCAGGACAAGUAUAGACGACGAUUCUCUCCAGCAGCGUCCCAACAAGCAGCCGCUCGACUAGCCACGAACCGAGCAUUCUGGCAGUGUACACUCCCGUCUAGGUCCUCAAGAAAGCAUAUACUCUCAUCUUAGCGCGCGGAUGAGCGUGCACUCCUGGUUAGGCCUACGGACGAGCAUACAUUCACGGUUGGGACCAUACUCUUAUAAUUAACAUGGACAACCUGCUAGACGAAGUGUUCAUUCGCGGCUAGGCUCGCAAAGAGCAUUUUCCACCUCAUAUUGGAGUAAGCAGCACAGAAGACGAAGAUAAGCAGUCAAUUAAUCUGGCUCAAAUUCAAUCGGCCACCUGUAAGUAACUAGCUCGCCUGCCAAGAACGUACCAUAUGCAAUGUAGCCACGACAUAGACUAGCUGAGCACAACGAUGAGCAACCUAGACUAACAGGUUACGACUGGGGGUAGCCAGAAGCUUCACUGCCCCAAUAUAGGUAAAUUUAGAAAGAAGUUGAGAGGCUUCUGACAGAACGAUUGUGCGAUUUCCAACGCAAUGAAGCUACUGACAAGGCGCUUAAACGAUACACGACCAACAUAAACGGGUCACCUUUUAUUGACAAGAUUGAGCAGACAGAACCAUCCUACAUACACUGGCGGAUACAAAUAUUACUUCUAUUUUAACAUACGCAUCAACUCAGCCUAAUGGCGUGUCGAGGGCAAAUGGGUUCCAGAAUGGCACACUAACCCAACCACCAAGAACCAGGGCCAAAUCUUAUUUUCAUCACUCCACACGAUUCAAUGCUUGAGCAUCACAUCACCAGUAAUAGAGCACCGCAGACCUAAUGGUCCAAUUCCUCCUGAUGCACACAAGCUCACCCCAGCUCCACGCUCAAAGCCGUGCCUACCUGCUCCACAACACUCAGCCACCCUUGAUUUGUCACCAUGGCUCACAGUUAUGCCAAUUUUGCACCACAGCUCCCAGCCGUGCUAAUCUUGCCAUGCGGCUUUUAACUACGUUAACCAAGCCCACGAUACUUCAUACUUCAAAACAUCCAAUGACGAAGUAGAACAUGAGGCUCUACUAGCAGCCCCUGCUAGUGAAAGGCUUUGCGGUGAAGAGGCUUCCAAUCCAUUCAAAUUCUCAGUUGACCACCUGUUGGGUUUUACGGCUCAAAAUUAGGAUGAUGCAAAAAAAAUUGUGUUACCUAUUUGGUUUUGGUGUCGUAUUUGGGUUUGGAUUUUGACCUCUUAGUUGGUUUCCUUGGUGGAGAGAUUUUGUUAAUUACCUAUUUGAUUAGGAUUUGGAUUUACUUCCUAUUAAGAUUCUUAUUGUAACCUAAGUCUUAUGCACUAUAAAUAGGACCUCAGGGUUAGUGUAUUUUGUGUGGCUCAUUCGUGUGGCAAUUUGGUGAGAGUCAAUUUGUGAGUUUGUGAGUUAGAGAGCAAUUUGGGAGAAUCUUCUCCGUUAGUUUUGGGUUCUCUACUCGUUUGGUUUAGGGUUUGUAAUUUGUGGGAUUUGGAUUGUGAGAGUUUAAACACUAUUUUGUAAUCUCCGUUUGUUUAGUGAAAUUUCUUGUCAUGCUUCGCUCGUGGACUUAGAUUUUACACCGAACCACAUAAAUCUCUUGUGUUAGUUUGAGAUUGUUUGUUUUAGUUUUCACCUACAACGUUGAUAUCGGUACUUUGCUAUAAUUUGCUUUCCUUUGCUCAUAAAAGUACGACAAGUGGUAUCAGAGCCCAGCUUUCGGCUUGGGCUUUUCUUGGCAAUCAAUAUGAAGCCUUCUGUGUCGUCGGUGAAAGUUGAUAUUGAAAAGUUCGAUGGCAAUGACUUUGGUAUUUGGCAAUUGAAGAUGCGUGCUUUGUUAAUUCAACAAGAGCUUUUAAAAACGCUAAAGGGUGUGAAGGCUUUCCUGAAUUCGUGGACUGAUGAAGAAAAACAAAGAAGUUAUGGAGCGGGCACUUGGAACAAUCCUGCUGACUUUAUCGAAUGAAGUCUUGCGUCAAGUUGGUAGCAUCAAAUCUGCACCGAAGUUGUGGCUAAAAUUGGAGAGUUUGUAUAUGACCAAAUCCCUUGCUAAAUGGUUGUAUUUGAAGAAAAGUUUGCGUACUCUUCGUAUGGAUGAAGGUACGUCAAUUCAUAAGACCAAAUCCUUAUUGCUGCCAAAAGUCCUCAACAGUUCCAAGGGAGAUGGGUAAGAGUUCGUAAUAGUGAGAGAUUGAAUCUUUUCACACUUGGCCAAAUUUUAAUUUUAAUUAGAUGAAACAAUGAAUCUUGAACAAAGCAAAACAAAAUUUAAUACUGAAAGAUUGAGUCAUUGAAGUGGACGUGGAUGUUGGGUACUUAACAGUCCAAGAAUGAAAACUCUCAUAUCAGUUUUUAUCCAAAAUUUUGGAAUUAUGUGAGUAUUGCAACGAUUGUCCGAAUGAUUAUUCUUCUUUUAUUAAAUUUCCAUGGAAAAUGAGCAUGGGGCACAAAAGUUGAACGAAUGAAAUUUCAAUGAUCUGCAAAGGGAUUGUGAGUUUGACAUGCCAUUUUUCUUCCUUUUAUGCAAUCAUGUUUAUUAAAAGACAAAAAUAAAUAUGACUUUACAUAAGCAGAGAGAAAGAGUAUUUUUCUUUGAAAAAAUCAACUAUUUAUUGAAGAGGAUGUGGAUGUUGAUUGAUGCGCCGUGUGAAUAGGAAAAAAAUGACCUUGAAGGGAGACAAGACAUUCAUUAGAAGCUAAAAAAAAGUUAUAGUGAUUUAGAAAAAAGAAAUUUUAACGAAAUAUUUCCGGUAUUGUUCACUCUUUACGAAAAACCACAUUUUUACAUUUCCUGGCUACUAUUCACUACACCUUUAUUUAUCAUUUUUCAUUAAAACUAAAUUUGUUUUUGAACUUUUCGUUAGUUUCCUUUAGAAAAAAGCAAGAAAGCCUCAUUUUCAAAGUGGUAGUCAUUGAAACAAUACUUGAUUAGAAGAAAAGUCAUAGUAUUGUAUUUACAAUCUCAAGUCUUGAGGGGUAACGAGAGUGCAAGUUUCUAAUUGGAAUAUAAUAUGAAAUUUCUACAUAACAAUAUAUGACAAAGAAAGAAGUCUAAGUUUCUAAGUGGAAGGGCUUCCAAUUGAUGUGAGUUUGUUGAGAAAUGAAGAUGAAGAUGAAUAUUGUUGUUGAUGUGAGUUAGUGAACAACAGAACAAGUUGCUUCUCCUUUGGCCUCUAACAUGAUAUUACCGGAAAACAAGUUGUUACUAGUAAAUGUAACUGACUGGUGAACUAAGACAUGCGGUACGAUUUUUGAUAACUAGAGAAGAUGAAUAGUGUCGUGACAAAAUUUAUCCAAGUAGACCCAAGGGAAAGACUUAGGAACUUCAUAUGCAGUGGGAUAAAAUCUUAAGCUAAUUUCCUUUUUAAUCUUAUAGUCAUUAUGUAAAAUGUAUAUGCAUAUUUCUAGAUACAUACACACCAAUGUACAUAAUAUUAACUCCUUUUAAGUAGUCAUUUGCAAAUCCCUCUUGAGUGCUCUUUGGAAUGCUCAUGCGGUGCCGUUCUAAUCUCUUAUAUAUAACUUUUUGUGAUCUGUUUUUUCAUCAAUAUGCCAAAAUCCCUUUAGAAUUUGCAACUUAUCUUUUUGGUUACGGUAAAAAAAAACUCGGAAUUUCAUUUAAACUCGAAAAUCUAGGGAUGUGAAAGCAAUUUUCUCUUGUUCGACAACAUUUAGCGAGAGCAAAGGCAAAUUGUACAGGAAAAAGUUAGAAAUUGGGGAUGAAGAUUCCCAAUUUUAAUUUCGUCUAAAUAAGUGUAAUUUCACAAUUCUAACUACGAUGAGAAUCACAAAUAUAUUGCAGGGAAAUCUUGCAACAGCCAAACUUUACGAUUAGGGUGCCAAAUUUCGUGAUAAAACCUAAUAAGGGUUUAGGGCUGCAUUGUUCACUCUGUUAACUCUCCAAAUCUUCGACGGAUUUUCGGCUCGUGCAUCAUCUUCUUGCUUUGUUCUAGGUCAACGCCUCUACUCUCUUCUUUCUUGAAUUAUUUUAGCUUUUUAGGUAGGCUCUUUAUGGCUGUUGUGAAUUUUGCUAGUUAUUUUUAUUUUCUGAUAGUCAUUUGUUUGUUGUGCGUUUUUCCUUCCAAUUGAAUUGUGUAUUGGUUGGAUCUGUAACAUUUAUUUUUUAUUUUAUUUUAUGGAUUUUGGUGUUAGUUCUUUGUCAUGGAUGUUGUCCCUUUGAAGGUUAACAAUAGCCAAGACUAAACAUGAUGAUAUUGUUAAUUACUUUCUCAUGAUACUAAUGCCAUAUUGUUCUCUCUUUUGCACUUACAAGUGAAGAGAAAUAUCCUAGACCCUAACUGGAUAUGUUAUUGUCAUGGUCAUGCAUUGGUAUGGUAACAAUAUGUUUGGAUAAGGAAAAUAAACUUAGAAUUUGACAAAAGAUAGAAUUUAUAAAUUGAUACAAUCAAUUCCUUUGUUUAGAUUCAUAAACAUAGAAAUUUAAACUUUCCGUGUGAGAAAAAACUUGGAAUUUGGGACCUUCAAUUCUCAUGUUUAAAUUUUAUGUAAAUAGGUGUCAUUUCUAAAUUUCAGCAAGUGAGAAUUUAAAAAUAACAAACAUGUAUUCAAAUUUCAUUCCUCUUUUAGGUUAACCAAACAAGAAAUUUUAUAAAUUCUAGAAAAUAAAAUUUCGUUAUUUCAAUUUCUGUUAUUUUAAAAUUAGUAAUCUUAAAUUUUCCCAUCCAAACAAAGAGUUUCCUUGUCAUAGAACUUUCAAUUGGGAUCAAGGAAGACAAUCUUUUCACAACUGAUUAUUCUCACCAAAUUUUAUUAUUAUUUUAAAGCAGAUCAAUACCAAACUUCAAAAGCAAAGUAGGAAGGCUAAAAUUAAGGUGAAGAACCUACUUCCACUAAUUACCAUGGGAGGGGGAGAGAGAGAGAGAGAGAGAGAGAGAGAGAGAGAGAGAGAGAACCAAGCGAGAGAGAAGAGAGAGAAAACACCAAGUAGUAUUAUAAUAUAGGUGGGGUUAAAUCACCUUUCGUGAAGUUGCGGUAAGAGCAGCUCCAGCGGGAGGUCCAGCUUGAUGGACCGGUGAGAUUUCCUACCCAAUAGCCCCAGCUCCUUGCUCCAGCCCAUGCGGGCGAUUGGGCUGAGGGGGUGCCCGAGUGAGAGGCCUGACUCGAAUCGGUAGCCUGAGAGCUUGAGGCCAAAUGAUGCAUGGACGUCAGCCACGUUAUAAGAAGGAAGCAUAAACUAUGAAUAAUGAUAGAGAUUUAGAUUUUGGUGUGUGAUUUCAUCGGAUGGAUGGUGGGUUAUAUGGAGGAAAAAAAAAAGAUUAGGUUGUAGAUAAUGCCACGUGGCAUGCCGUCAUUCGUUAAAAAUCUGAUCGAAAUCUAUCAUCAAAGAUUUUAAACAGAUUAUGACACGUGACGCAACGUGAUUGGUUAAAAAUCUUAUCAGAAAUCUAUCCUUAACGAUUCUGAAAAGGUAACGAGAUGGGGCACGACGGCAUUGGAUAAAAAUCUUAUCGAAAUCUAUCACCAAAAAUUAUCUUUUUGGAUAAUGACACGUGGUGCAACGAGAACGAUUAAAAAUCUUAUCCGAAAUUACAAAUAGAAUUAUUUUGUAUUAUUUUAUAAAAUAAAAAUACUAAUAUUUUAUUGCCUAUUGACAUGACUAUUCAAUUAUGGGUGUGGAGAUGCAGAAGAUAAUUAUUAUUAAUUAAAGGUAAUUAUUGUUCAUUGGAGGGGAUUGAAUAUGAAGUUGCAGUAGAAGGCCUUUGUCACAGCAAUAGGCAGUUACUGUUCUAAGGACUUCUAUCCUAGAACAGAGACAAAAACACCAAGUAGUAUUAUAAUAUAGGUGGGGUUAAAUCACCUUCCGUGAAGUUGCUGUAUGGACUUCUAUCCUAGAGAAAAGUCGGUCAAUGGUGUUUGACACAGUCAGUCAACGACAAAGACAGAAUUGUGUAACCAUAAUUCUCUCUCUAUCUCUUUUUCAUUAACGGAGGACAGUGUAUAAUUACUACGUAUAUAUCUCUGCUCAAUUAUUGAAAAGAAAAAUCCAUGUGCAUUAUUUUUAUUAUUAUUAUCUCAGAAAUGCAGAAAUUGAUUAUCUCUUCCUUCUGCAUAUUGAUACUGGUUUUCUUCAAACUAGUUGAAGCAAGCCAAUAUGUGUGCGCGAAAUCCAACUGUAGCAAUGAUCAAGGCCCGGCUAAUUUCCUUAGGAGGGAGAGAGAGAGAGGGGAGAGAGAACCAAGUGAGCGAGCAGAGAGAGAAAACACCAAGUAGUAUUCUAAUGUUGGUGGGGUUAAGUCACCUUCCAUGAAGUUGCAGUAAGGACUUCUAUCCCAGAGAAAAGUCAGUAAAUGAUGUUGACACAGUCCGUCAACGACAAAGACAGAAUUGUGUAACCAUAAUUCUCUCUCUAUCUCUUUUUCAUUAACGGAGGACAGUGUAUAAUUACUACGUAUAUAUCUCUGCUCAAUUAUUGAAAAGAAAAAUCCAUGUGCAUUAUUUUUAUUAUUAUUAUCUCAGAAAUGCAGAAAUUGAUCAUCUCUUCCUUCUGCAUAUUGAUACUGGUUUUCUUCAAACUAGUUGAAGCAAGCCAAUAUGUGUGCGCGAAAUCCAACUGUAGCAAUGAUCAAGGCCCGGCUAUCCAUUUCCCAUUGAACAUCAGGCGCACACAUCAUUGUGGAAAUUCUGGGCUUGAAUGCAAUGGGAGAUAUGAGCAGCAAAUACUAAUAAAAUUAUUUGUCAAAGACACAGAUUACAAGCGUCAGGAAAUCCAAGUCUAUUCCCCAAGUAACUGCCUGCUGCUAAAGCUUGUUGAAAUCCCAAACAUGCCACCCUCUCCCUUCGUGCCAGUAGUCGAUUACAUGAUUAAUUUCAUAAACGUUACCUUAUUCAGUUGUCCUACUUCUGUUGCAAUACGAGAUACGUAUGGUUGUCAAGUCCCCUGCCUUGGCGACCGUGGCAAGAGAACUUAUGCCAUUGAUUCUGGGGUUUAUUUUGAAACUCUCUUCCAGAAUCUAGAAUCCUGUACAAAAAUGUAUGAUGUUUUAUCAGUUCCAAUAGCCGAUGAAUAUUAUGUUUUUCGUUUCAAAUGGUCUAUACCAAAUUGCAGAAAAUGUGGAGAGGGAAAGAAGUGUGAAUGGCAGAACAAUGAAAUUAAAUGUCUUCCCUGGAGGAAACCAAGUAAGGAUAACAUAUGUAUUCAUUGCUAGUUUUAAACAUCUUUACAUUUAUGUCUUAGUAAUUAUUAUUUGAAGGAUGUUGUCCAAUCCAUUUUUACUAGGAAUAUUACCUGACAGUCUCGUUUAAAUUCGCAAUGAUCUUCUACAGGCAACACAUGGAAAAAAGUGGUUACAGGUGGAAUCCUGUGUGCUUUGCUUCUUGUUCUACUGACGAUUGCAGCAUAUCGGGUAUAUAGCGCUGAUAGAAAGGAGAAAGAGAGUCGAUUAAGAAUUGAAAGAUUCUUGGAGGACUACAAAGCACUCAAACCAAGCAGGUAUUCGUACGCAGAUAUUAAGAGGAUUACAAAUCAAUUCAAGGACAAGUUGGGCGAAGGAGCCUAUGGAACUGUCUUCAAAGGAAUGCUCUCUUCUGAAUUCUUCAUUGCUGUCAAAGUCCUCAACAGUUCCAAGGGAGAUGGGGAAGAGUUCGUAAAUGAAGUGCGAACGAUGGGUCAUAUCCACCACGUAAACGUGGCUCGCUUGGUUGGAUUUUGUGCUGAUGGAUUUGUACGAGCUCUUGUUUACGAGUUCUUCCCCAAUGGUUCCCUGCAGGAUUUCAUUUCAUCUGCAGAUAGUAAGAAUUCAUUUCUUGGUUGGGAUAAGCUACAAGAUAUUGCCCUAGGCAUAGCCAAAGGAAUUGAAUAUCUUCACCAGGGAUGCGAUCUACGAAUCCUGCAUUUCGACAUCAAACCCCAUAAUGUUUUGCUAGACCAAAACUUCACUCCAAAAAUUUCUGAUUUUGGUUUGGCCAAGUUAUGUUCCAAGGAUCAAAGCUUGGUGUCCAUGACUACAGCAAGGGGGACCAUGGGCUACAUUGCACCUGAAGUGUUCUCCAGGAAUUUCGGAAAUGUGUCGUACAAGGCAGAUGUUUAUAGCUUUGGAAUGCUACUGCUUGAGAUGGUAGGAGGAAGGAAGAAUAUUGGUUCAAUUACGGAUAACACUACAAAUGAAAUUUACUAUCCACAGUGGAUUUAUAAUCUUCUAGAGGAAGGGGAUGACCUACGAAUCCACAUUGGGGAAGAAGGAGAUGGUAAAAUUCCAAAGAAACUUGCAAUUAUAGGGCUAUGGUGUAUCCAGUGGCACCCGUCGGAUCGUCCUUCCAUGAAAAUAGUGGUUCAGAUGUUAGAAGGAGGAGGAGAAAGCUUGAGUAUGCCGCCUAAUCCCUUUGUGCCUACUGGUUCUACAACUAGGAAUGCAAGACACCUAGAGCUAGAAGCUAUUGCUGAAUUAGAGUAAAAUGUAUAUGCAGAUAUGUAGACGUAUAGAUAUAGUAAUAUUUAUAUUGAAUAAGAGGCCGUUUGAUAACCAUUUCGUUUUCAGCUUUUAAUUUUUAUUUUUCACUUUUUUGAAAACUAAAAACUAAAAUCUUGUUUGGUAAAUACUUUUAGUUAAAAAAAAAUGAAGACUGAGAACUAAAAUGUGAAAGCUCAAAGGAAGUAGAUUAAAAGUAGUUACCAAACAAACCGGAAUCUCAAUAAAUAAAAAAGAUUGAAUUGCACAAUGCAAUCCAAACCAAUCAAAACAUUUAAAAUAGCAAAAAAAAAUUAAAAUUCUAGUUGAUUAGAUUCUAAACAUAGUAAAAAUGAACAGAUCCGAUGAAAAAAACAAAAAAUUCUCAGAUAAAAAUAGGGAUAAAGUAAAAUAUUUAUAAAUAGCUCUUUGUCUCUUAUGCCAUCAAUUAUUUCUAUAGUAUAUACACGUUUUUGGAAAAAUUAGGUUCCCAUCCCUUAUUUUCAUAUUACAUUGAUUGAAAUCUUAUUAUUUUUCUAUUUUAGAUCAAGGUCCCUUGACUUAUUCUAUGUCAUCAUUUUAGUAUUUAAAAUAUUACACGUUAUCAUAAACGAAAUCUCAUCCCUUUCUGCAUUUAAGGCAAAAUAAACUAUAUGAGUAAGUUUAAAACAAGGAAAAUCCAUUUGAACUCCUCCAUUCUUCUUCUUCUCUUAUAAACAUCUGGAAUCUACAACACCCCAAACCCAAUUUUCUCCAUUUUUUCUCCUUUCCUGAAUUGAUCCAAUGCAUAUAUGUUGAAUAAACCUAUUGUGAUUAAAAUACAAAUUAGCAUCAAUGGUUUUAUUGGCUUGUGAGAUUUGUGUGGCAUAGGCAAGGCAAUGCAGGCAUCGUUUUCUCAAGGAAUCUGGUUGAUUCAAACAUGCAGAGACUGUAGAGUGAGUGGGCUAUGUGAAAACUGUACCAUUCUGAAGUCAUUUUCUUUUGUUCUUUAUAUUUUUUUUUCUUUUUCUUUUAUUAUUAUAUAUUAGUCUUGGUUAUUCAAUGCCUGGUUGGCUACACUUAUAUCCAUGGGUACAUUUUUAAUCUACAUGUUUCGUUCUAAUAUAUCUAUUGCUAUAAUAUGUUUUGGUUGGUUCAAAUUUGUUUUACAUAAAUAUAUGGGUACAAAGUUUUUGGAGAAUAUUAUGUAAAUGGUUUUUAAGGUUGCUGCAUUUUACGUACCCACAUAUGCAUGUCUAUAAAACAAUGUGGUAUGAUGUACAUUCUUUUCUUUGAGUUUUUAAAUGUACCCAUGAGUUUUUUUGUAAAUUCGGUAUGUACCCAUAUGCUAUUUAUGUUAUGGGUACAUACAUUAUUUUUGGUCUAAGUUCAGGGUACAUUGCUUUUGUAUGUAUGAAUUCAAGGGGUACAUUAUUUCCCUUAAUACUACUCAAUAAAAUUCACAAAAUAUGUGUAGUGUGCAUGAUUUUUUAUUGUAGAAAUUGUUUUUUUUUAAGUCUCAUAAUUCAUGAAAUUUGUACAUAUAUGAUCCCAUAAAUUUUUUAAUUUUAUUAAAUUUCUUUUAGACUUGAUCGAUUGAUUGAAUCUCAUCAUACUAGGAUUUUGAAUUACAUAAAUUCUUGGAUUUAAAUCCCUUAAAUGUUGGACUGCAAUCAAUAUUUUAAAUUAUAGUUUUUUAUUUAAGAUAUCAAAAAGAUGACAUGGAAAUAUAGUAAUACUAAAAUGCUGAGGUGUACAAAGUCAAAGGACUUUGAUCAAAAAAUAAAAAACAAUAAGAUUUCAAUCUAACAAUUAAAUUGACUAGGGACCGGAACCAAAAUGACCCUAGAUUUUUAUUGAGUUUAAUCUUAAUCAAAAAAAGACUUCUUGUAUCACAGAAAAUACAAGAACCAUUAUUUGAAUGAAAUAAAAGCUAUGGGAUGGAGAUAUAAAUGGAUCAUUUUAUUCACAAUCGGAUUAUAUUUAUUUGAUACACUAUUGUCAAUAUGAAUGUUGAGAAAAAGACUACAAAAGAAAAAACAAUUUAUAAAUAUAACUAACAAUUCCAAUUUCAAUCAAUUAGACAAUUAGAUAAUACAUCAGUAAACGCGGGGUGACUCAGUGGUUAGAAACGAAUUUUAGGCUCGUAUUCUAUACAAUACGUCUUGGGUUCGAUUCCUGACAAUGGUGAAUCACGCGACGGUAGAUAUAGGGGUGUUGUUGGAAGUUUUGAGACUCAAGUCCUUUAUAUAGAUUUAGUGCUUUAGUUUAGUAAUUAGAAUAUGGGUCAUUUGGAAAUGGAUUGAAGGUUUGGGCCUUAUGGUUGUGUGGAUUAGGCUUGUAUAAUAUAGCCUAAAUACAAUUAAUAUUAAUUAAUCAAGACAAGGGCCUUGGGCCUUACUUGGGGCCUUGGAAUUUAAAAUUAAUCUGAUUCAUUAAUUUUAAUUUUCGGAUUAAGUUUUUAAUUAAUUUAUUAUUAAUUAAAAACGUUUUGAUUAAAAGACACAGCUCUUAGAAAAGAGUUAUGAACCUUCAAAUACACUGAACUGGUAUUUGAAAGGGUGUGAAACAACCUAUAUAUCUGCAAUCCAUGGUAUCCAAAUAAAUCAUCUUUUCUUCUUCCUUUUCUUCCGUACAAACUUUCCAGAGAGAGUAAACACACAAAGCAAUUCGCUAGAAUUCUAUAAUUUAGUGCGGGUUAUAGGAUUAGGUAGUUGUAUCCUGGUCGAGCAGACGUUAUAGAACCACAAGCACAAGAGUGGGACGGAAUUACUGUUCGAAUGACAUAGCUUUUACGUUAGCCUCUACCUUCUGUAAUCAAGUUAGUACCGUUGACAUUCUUAUAUUAAUUUCUGUAUUUAUUGUAUACUUUUCAUUUUGUAUAGCAAGUACCUUUUGUUAAAUAAAAAUUGUGAAUUUCAAGUUCUGUUUAUUUCUGUUAUUCUGUUUAUUUCUGAAUUGUUCUCCAACACCCCUAUAUCUACCGUCGCGUGAUUCACCAUUGUCAGGAAUCGAACCCAAGACGUGUUGUAUAGAAUACGAGCCUAAAAUUUAUUUCUAACCACUGAGUCACCCCGCGUUUGAUUAUAUUUCACUUAGACUUAUCUUGCGGUAUAGCAUGUCAUCCCCGCCCAAGUUUUUCUGUUGGCAUUGAGUUUGGGAUACCAAAACUUGCCAAACAAAGUAGAUUGAUUAGUAAGCGAAGCUAAUUAUUCGACUAAACAUUGUUUAGAAUUUUAAUUAAAAGAAACAAUAUGAAUCUGUUUAUUUUUUUUUUUGACAAACUAUAACGUUAAGGAGUUAAAUUGUUAGUUAUUAAGAGUACAAUGAUAGGUGAGGAUCGAACCUCCACCAGAGUGCAUAGACAUUAUUGGUUCUACAACUGCGGUAAAUCACAUAAAACAAAACGUAAUACUUUGAGGAUGGAAGACACUUCGUGGAUAGCGGGCAAUCAACACUAUCAGUUGCUAUCCAAAACUUGGAAUUAUGUUUAUUGUCCGAAGGAUUUUUCUUCCAUUAAAUUGCUAAGGAAGAUGAGGAUGGGUGGAGUGUCUAAAUGUCAAGGUUGACAAGAACGUGUAUGGUGUUCAGCUUGCGAUUGAGAUUUGUUAGAGUGGCACAACAAACCACAUAAAAUUUUCUAAAUGAUAAGCUUGAGUAUAAUUUUUUAUCACGUAUUUAUCUUUAAAAUCAUUAUAAUUAGAUUUUCUCUUAAUUAAUAUAGACCGUUAGAUUCAUCUAAUGACCCAAGUUUUUUUCCUCUUUUCUUUCCACUCUUUUCCAUUCACCGUGUAGCAGUCGUUCUUCCCCAACUACGUUUCUUAUUUUUCUUCACAAAAAAUUUGUAGAAAAUAUUAAGAAAAGAAAAGUCAUCAAUAUCAGACUCGACCAGGUAAUCGUUCCAACCUUCCCAGCAACUCUCAGUCUUAACUAGGCACCAAAUUUUCUCCGCCACCUAACUCGUCAUUCAUUCAUGGGUGUUUCAAGCUUGGUGAAAAUUGAUAGAGUUCCAUGUGUGUACACGGAUGUGAACAUAUUGGCCACUCUCUAAGAAUGAGUCAUUGGAAAAGUUGAAGGAAAGAUGUAACCGAUGAAAUUAAUGGAUUGGAAUUACAAUGAAGUCUGUGUUGGUUUAUCACAAAGAACCCAGAUACAAAAUUUUAAAAGCAAACAAUUUCAACUUCUCAAAUAUUAUCUAACAAACUUUCAAUGAAAUGUUGCUCAUAAUUGAAAAAAGGUUGACGAAGGACGGAGUUGGGGUUAUUUUAGAUGAGGAAGAGUUAAAAGAAGGAAGCACCAUUUAAUUAAUAAAAGUGAUUGGAGAAAUGGUAAUUCAAUGGUGGGCGUUUUUAAGGUGUGGACCUUGUAUCACACCCUGAUCCCAACAUACAUUGAGGAUCGACACGUGACAUGGGGACAUAGGGGACAAAAAUCUUACAUAAGAUACAGAAUGAAAUACUAUAUAAUAUCCCAAAAUGAAUAUGAUAGUGGGUUCACCCCUAUAAAAUACAUACGAGUUUGUACAUUCACAAAAAAAUAAAAAAAAUAAAAAUAAAUAAAAAUAAAAAACACACACACAACUCUCGCUAGGCCAAGACUUGCCCAUGGUGCUCAAAGGAAAGUCCCAAAAGAAAUAGUACAAUGAAGGAUAAAGGGGUAACCUAAACACUCCAAGUCUCUGAUCUCUGCACUGCUACCCCCACCGGCUCCUCGUAAUCUACUCAGACCUGUCACAUGUACAAACAGUGCCUACAUUGUGGGAAUGGUGCACCAGGCAAACAAAAACCCGGAUAAGCUGCAAAACUCGUGUGAGUGACAAUAAUGCAACGUAUGUGAUAAUCAAGAAAAACAGACCAUCGAUCACAGUUUAUAAAUCUCAAAUAUAACUUCAUACUUAUGAAAUCAUAAUCAAGUCACUGAAAACUUCGAAUGAGUCACCCAGACAUCUAACGACUUUUCUAAAUCAAAUCUCAGAGAUUCCCAAAACUAUCGUUCACAAAUACACUAAAAACUAGGGCUAGAGUGACACAGUUCAGCCAAAGCCUACAUAAGUAACCAAAUAAGAAGUGGCCCCCCAUAGCGGAUUAACCAAGCAGAGCCACUCCUGAGAAAGUAACCAAGUAGGUAGUGACCCCCAUCACGGAUUAACCAAGCAGAGUCACUCCUACGAAACUGUUAGGUAGUGAUCACCCAUUACGGAUUAACCAAGCAUGAUCACCCCUAAGCACGUAUGGCCAUACCUAAGAAAUAAGGAUCGCCCAUCGCGGAUUAACCAAGCACGAUCCAAAAAUAUUAUGGGUCCCCUAUCGCCGAUUAACCAAGCAUGACCAUCCAUGUACCACUGCUACAUGGUGUAAAUUCGGUGUCACCUAACCUCGUGACACUAGGGUAACGGUCCUCUAGUAGCCCUCACGUUUUUCAAACAUUUCAAAUAUAUAAUUUAAAACACAAUUCAUAAACAUUUCGAAUAGGGAAGUCACAUAGUGUUUAAUAAUGUAGGUCAAUGGCAAACUUUAAAAACAAUUAUUUAGCAUAAAACAUAUUUUAGAAAUCCAUGCUGUAUCCACAAAGUAUACUAGCACGGGAGAUUUUCAGGGUAAUAACUCUAUCACAUAUAUUAAAGUCACUCACCUGGAGUCCGCACUAACGCACCCUGGCACGAAUAUCAAGACGUCGCGUACUAUCAUCUGCAACAUCCCACAUCGACCAACGAAGAGGGGGUGAUGUGCCUUCUAUGUACAUGCCCACCUCCAUAGCAUGAGGCAUUUUGGGAGCUCACUGGCUUCAUAUUCCAUCGGAACUCCAAAGUUAAGCAAGUUUGGGCGAGAGUAGUCCCAGGAUAGGUGACCCAUUGGAAAGUUAUUGUGUGAGUCCUAGAAACAAAACCGUGAAGGCGUGGCCCGAGGGGGCCCAAAACGGACAAUAUUGUGCUACGACGGAAUCGAGACUGAGAUGUGACAGAAUGGUAUCAGAGCCACUCUGCCGUGUGGUGCGAGUGUGCCGACGAGGACGUCGGGCCCCUAAGGGGGGUGGAUUGUAACAUCCCACAUCGACCAACGAAGAAGAGGUGAUGUGCCUUAUAUGUACAUGCCCACCUCCAUUUAGCACGAGGUCUUUUGGGAGCUUAUUGGCUUCGGGUUCCAUCGGAAAUCUGAAGUUAAGCGAGUUCAAGCAAGAGCAUUCCCAGGAUGGGUAACCUACUGGGAAGUUCUCGUGUGAGUUCCCAGAAACAAAACUGUGAGAGCGUGGCCAGGGCCCAAAGUGGACAAUAUCGUGUUAUGGCGGAGCCGAGAUUGGGAUGUGACAUUGUCACCUAAGACAAAGUACAGAUCCACAUUUAGAGUUCUUCAAGUAUUCACAUAAUAAAAAAUUUCCAUACGCCCCCUACAACUAAUGAACAGAAAUCGAGACACGUUGACAAAAAGUCAACCGUCGAUCAACGGUAGGGUCCACAACCCUACAUAACUCGAUCCGCAAUAUCCAACCACUGUAUUUGUGAUUCAUAAGUUCAUAAGGUCUUCAAAUCCUACCUACAAUAACAUACUAAACUUUGGUGAUGAUCUAAUGGUCGAAUCAUCAUUUGCUAUAAUGUUCAAAUGACGCAAAUUCAUCAAUCAGAUGUCAAAUAUGGAAUCAGACAUCGAAUUUAGCUUAGGAAUGUCAAGUGGUGUCUCGAGCACGCACCGCCGUGCGCAACAGCUGGCAACCUAGAUUCGUCGGAAAAAUCACCUAAUUCCAAAAUGAAUGUUGUGAGACGUGGAGUAAAUUGUAUACCUGUGAAGAAGCCCAAUUUGGCCGGGAAGUGGCCUGAAAUCACUUUAGACCGUCGGAAACCCUAAAAUAGGUGAAUCUCGAUUCGUCAUCCCCGGUAUUCCACCGUUCUCAAACUUGUUUAGGGUUUGCUCAUGGUCUCAAAAGAAUGCUAAUGAUGGUGGUGAUUGAAAGAGAACGUUUCAGAAAUAGUGAAUCACCAAUGAGGGUUUCACGAAACCGACAUGGGUGUUCCUCGUGGAACCAAGACCAAAUCUCAACGGUUUUGGCUAGAAAUGGAUGCUGGGAUGUCAUGGUGAAGUUUGGUAGUGAUGGGAGGUUGAAGAAAGACAAAAAAAAUCGACAAAAAAAUCGUCGUCGGAGUCGCAAGAAACGAGUUAGAAAAAUGAGUCGUCGGGUCUGAAACGUCGAAGGCUUUUGAGACAACUACUUACUCUCUCUUCUCUGAUUAGUCACUCCACUCACUCUCUCAUUUGAUUGGUCCAGCCUUCCCACAUGGUGGGAGUUCCCUCAUAUAGUAACCCAAAAUUUACUAUUUAAAUCUGGUAUUGAACGUCCGUAACUUUUUCGUUAUGGUUUCGAUUCGCAAACGGUUUUCACCUAUGCGCUCGUAUGAUCGAAUUAUACUCAAAAACAUUAAUUAUGACCUCGAAAAGGUCUACGAGUUUUAAAAGAUUAAUUACAAAAAUUCACACCUUGUAACUAUACGAUUCAAAUCCUAAAAUUAACGGAAUUAAAAUAAACUAAAAAUAAUGUAAACACGAAAUACAGACUUUAAUAAUGAAAUACGUAAUUAAUAGUGGAAUUCCGGGGAUGGGAUUUCACAACUUGCGUCCGGACCUUCAAUGCGGAUCAAAAUCCAAAGGUCGUGAUCUGACGAGCUCAUGCAUAGAACAGAGUUGUUGUGACCCAAUGCAAUUCAAAACUUUUAUGUUUUUUUAUUUACUGGGUACGUUUUUUAUUUACUGGGUACAUUUUUGCAAGACGUUAAAGAAAGCGCUUCUUGGGAGGCAACCCAUGUAUUCAAAAAAGGAAGAUCUAUGAAUCGCUCUACAAUUAGUUUUGCGUUUCUAAAAACCUUCCCUUUUCUGCAUUUCUAUUUUGCCAUGAUUGUCAUUUUUUAUUUUUGUUGUUUAUUUAAUUAUUUUUGGGUGUGGGUUUAUUUUUGAAACAUUGACAGAUAUGCAAGAUAUUCUUACAUUCAUUUUCAUGAAAAAAAGAAAAGGGAACAUUAAGCAGGAAAUUACAAGAGGGAGCCUUCACAAAGGCUGCUUAGGAGAAGUCUCAGUAGUCGGCGGAGCCCCAGAAGAAGGAGGCAGCGGAGGUUGAUCAUUUGGAGCUUCAGUACGCGGUGCAGCCCCAGAAGACGAAUGCAAAUGUUGUUGGAACAAACCCACAAACCGCUGAUGAUCAAGUAAAAUCUGACAAUCAGAUUCCUGCAUCUGGUCAAUCUUCCUCUUCAUGUUUGUAGCAUAAUUAUGUGCGAGCCUGUGCAACUGUUUAUUCUCAUGCUUAAGCCCUCUAAUCUCCUGCUUAAGACUCAUCACUUCAGCCGCCAAUGAUUCAACUUGACGGGUUCGGGCAAAUAGGCGUUGGGCCAUAUUAGACACGGAACGUGCGCACUGCACACUGAGAGCUAGAGAAUCCUUUACAUCCAACUCAUCAGACCGUUUGGCAAGUAGUCUAUUAUCUUUGGGAGUGACAGGGUUCCUGACCACCACCGCAGCUGUCAUAUCAUUCUUCAUCACCGAAUCCCCAACGAUAAGGGGACCAGUAGGGGAUAUGAAGGAUGGGCGCCAUAUGUUGUCUGGAGAAGGCGGGACUGCCUCUUCACCAAGGUUCAAGUCAAAACGACGAUCGGAUGGGCCAAACAUUUUCACAGGUGUUAAAGAAAGAAGAGGUCGGACAAGUCAAGAUCGUAGAAGUGCAAGAUGAGAGUUUUUACAGGCAGAAAUUCAAGUGUGCUUUGAACGUCCUACGUACUUCUAUAAAAAUCAGCACUCGAUGGGAUUUCAGAGAUCGAAGAGGCAAGCUCAGAAAUCGAAGAGGCCAACUAAAAAAAUUAAAGAGGCGCUAGCUUUCUCAAAAGCUGAGCUUGCUCAGAAACCACGGCCAAUCUUCUUUUCCAGAUUUGUCCGCACUUGUCACAUGCAACUCGACGGGAUUUCAGAGAUCGAAGAGGCAAUUCCAGAUAUCGGAUAGGCAUCUGCUUUUGCAGACGUGUCAACAUCUGUCACAUGCAGAGUAAGCUUUGCGAAAAUCACGGGCAGUUUGUGAAGCGCCGAUUCCAACCAUCUGCUUUUGCAGACGUGUCAACAUCUGUCACAUGCAUAGUAAGCUUUGCGGAAAUCACGGGCAGUUUGUCGAAGCACCGAUUCCAACCAUCUGCUUUUCCCGACGUGUCAACAUCUGUCACUUGCAGAGUCAGCUUUACGAAAAUUACGGGCAAUCUGUCGAAGAUCUCUUGUGAAGUUUACUAUUAAAUCAUCCAACGGUUGCUGACAAGAGUGAAAGAAUAGUACCGACUAUUAAUUCCUAUAAAUGUCAUCCUUCACCCUCAAUUGCAAGGCAGACAUACAUAACCCCCUUCUUCUCAGAAAAUGCCUUUCCAACACACCCUCUCGAGUCACUCAGUGUUCCUAAUUCCUUGGGGUACCUCUGCAAACAACUCAUCCAAAGCAAAAGUAUUUCAUAUCAUGAAGGUUGAAAGCAAGAGUAUCUCAUAUCAUGCUUUCUCCCUGUCCUUCUCCUUGUCUUUGUUUUAGGACAAGGAGAAAGAGAGCAAUCAGCCAGCACUUGGUAUCAAUCUUCCGAUCUGGAACCGACUGCCUGGAACCCCUUCCUGAUUGCUUACCUAGCCUUGCUCUCGAGAACUCAUCUUCAUCAUCUUAUGCUUCCUCUUCGUCUACCACAUCUGCCUGGGGAACAGAUAAGGGAAGUGAAAAUGAUACCUCGAAGCAUGUGGAAACAAUUUACCAAUUCAUCCUUAGCUAGGGACAAGGAGAAAAAAAGCAAGAGGUGGGCACUUGGAAAGAUUGAAGAAAGAAACAGACCAACACCUCUACCUCAUGCCUGCCCGCCGUGCAGAAGAAUCAAGCAGAGAAGAAUACAGACUGCACAAUCAAAUCAGGGAACUCUCAUAUUUCUCGCUCAGAAUUCCAAACCAGUUCAAGAUCAACGCUGUGGAAAGUCAACAAGAUCAUCUAUCUCCAAAACCAGAUUUGCGUUCUUAAACUCUACUCUGUCUGGUUUUUACUUUGCUAUACUUGUCAUGUUUAUUCGUUGUUUGUUUGUUUGCUUGUUGUUGUGUGAGUUUAUGUUUAAAACAUUGAGGACAAUGUUUGAUUUAAGUGUGGAGGGAUAACCAUUGUUUUGCAUGAAAUUCGUAGGAGUUUAUCACCCAUUACUUCUAGUGUUGUUCCUUGCUGUUUUAAGUGUUUUAAGCUGUUUUGGAGUGUUUCAGUGUGUUUUGACAUAAAAAUCCGAAAAUCUCAUAAAAAUUUGAAAAAUUGUUUUGAAAAACCAAAAAAGAGUUGUUUUUGUAUGUUUAUUUGUGUUUUAGGGUACCUUCCAACACAAUGAUGAGGAUUUGGUUUUUAAUUACAUGACUGUUAAAGAGAAUUAUAAACAUGGAUGAAAAUUUGAUUUACUCUUUGGUGUAUGCUUGGUUGUGGUUAUAAUUUAUGAAUUCACAUGCAAUCAUAAAGGAAAAAUCAAUUUUGUAACAUGCUUGAAAGAAGGAACUCAAAUGUACGCUACAACCUUGUGAGACUUGAGCCUAGACGUUUAUUUGGAGAGUUAAUAAUGUGCAUUUUUGUUUUCUAAAGUCGUUGUAUGAUCUCAUUAUUCUUUGCUUGGUUGCUACCUAGAAUGCGUUCAUCAUUAUAGAUCCACAUACUAGAACUCAUGCCCGUUCCAUUCAAAGCAUGACAUUAAUUUGCAUAACACAUAUCCAAGAUGAAGUUGUUUAGUGAACCAAAGCCAAAAUAGCCGAACCCACCUUUGUCAUUUGUUUUGUAGGUUUAAACCCCGUUGAGCCUUGUUUAGCCUAUUUUCUUUGUUAAACCACAUCAUCUCUACCUAACCUAGAAUAGGACUAUCCAUACCCUUGUUCUUGAAGUAUAGUGGAGCAUAACUUAGAAAGAAUUCAUUUUGAAACUUAUUGGGGGAAUUUAGAUUUCAAAUUUUUUGUGUGCCAAAGAAAACGGCAAGAGAAAAAAUUCGUGAAAAAAAAGAAAAAAGAAAAGAAAAAUUUGCAAAUUUUCCUGUGUUUAAAAGUAGAUGCCUAAAUUAACCCUUACAUUAAUUUUCCUUGAAUAAUUUCUCAUUCCAUCUAAUUUAGAUCCAUCUUGCUCACUAUUCUUUUUAAAUUUGUGGAUUUUGAAAUUUCAAAUGAGAAUGAAAUUGGAUGAGUUCAAUUUUCGUUUAAUUCUUACAAUUAAUAAGAAAUUCCGUCGAAAACAUUUUGAGUAUUGUUUAAUUUUUCAAUAUUACCGUAUUGUGUCAUUGAAAUAAUUAUCAGAGGAAUUAGGGAAUUCUCUUAAGGAACAACUCAAAAUGUAGUACAUGAUUAAAUAAUUCCUUUGAAUGGUCAACUAUGAUCAACAUAUCUUGUAUCAGAUCUUAGUCAAAUACCUGUUAAGAGUGUAAAUUUCUUGUGUGAAAAUGAGUGUAUCUAGUAAUUUUGGCAUUAGGAUGUUACUACAUUCUCAAAAUGCUGUUUUUUGAUUAAAUGAGCUGUGAGGUACUAAUCAAAUAUGCUCGAGGGUAAGAAUGGCUUAAAUUAUGUGAGUGGUGAUCUGGUUCAUGUUUCAUUAAAAAUCCCUGAGGCAAAUGUUGGAAGAUUUAGGUUAUGUUUUGUUUGUUUCGUUUGUUUUGUUUUGCUCGAGGACUAGCAAAAGCUAAGUGUGGGGAAUUUGAAUUUGAUAGGAGCAUUAUUAUGCGACUGAGUUAGCUUGUUCUCAUGCAUUUAUGUUGUUAUUUCUUAGUUAAUUAUGUAUUUUAAGCUAUUUUCGUGUGUUUGUAGGUCCAUAGGCCUUAUAAAGCAAUAAGGUGCAUUUUGGAGCAGUUUUGGGCUUGGAAUGGAUAGCACAUGCAUGGAGUAAGGUGAUGGACGAAAUUGAAGACUAAAGAGGCUUGGAAUGUGUUAAAAAGAAAGAAUAAUUAAUGACAAAGAGCUCAGCAACCAAACAGGGAACAUGAGUCAAGAUUACCUUAUUUUGAUUUAAUCUUUCCUAAUCUUCAAUGUCCCUAAGUUCCAACAACAUUCCUUGUCUAUUUCAUUCACUCAUUGCCUAGCACCACCCUUGUUCCCUCCAUCAUUCCAAAUUUCUUGCAUCAAUCAUCACUCCACCUUAACCCUUGACUCAUUUCUACACCAUUCCACCUCCCUUUCCUUUCUCUACCAUGUGCACAAUCAUUCAUGUUCCCUACUUGCAUUCAUUGUUGCAACACCACUCCAUUUUACCCCUCAUGCUUUGCAUCAUUACUUCACUUUCACCUUUGAAUCAUUUCAACACCACUUCAUUUUACCCAUGGUUUGCAUCAUUACUUCACUUUCACUUUCACCUUUGCAUCAUUACUUCACUUUCACCUUUGAAUCAUUUCAACACCACUCCAUGUCCCCCUCCAUUGCCUUGCCCUUCCUCUAUAAAAGGAAGUGUGUGUAACAUAAAUUUAGUUCAUAUAUUUUUUUAGAUCAUUCACUCCCAUUUCAAUACAACCUUCAUCCAAACACAUUCAUUCAUCUUCACAUCCAUUCCUCCAUACAAACAAACCUUCAAACACUCACCAACACCUUGUGCCAUAGCAAAGGAAGGAAAGGAAAAUGCUUGGACGUGCGUGCUGUCAACUUGGAUCGUUGGAGCGUUUAGGUGUUUUCUUUCUUUUGUUUCCAAUGUUAAAUUCAUUUUCUGAUUUUGUUGCAAUUAUGAGUGGCUAAAACCCUAUUUAGUUAGGGGGAAGUUUGAAGCCAUGAACAUGCUUGAGAUAUGAAUUGAUUUCUUCCAAUUGUGAUUUGAUAAGUUGUGAUUGCAAUUCAAUUAUCUAUUUUAUUCAUAACUGAUUCUUGUAUGUUUAUUAAGGAUGCAUACUUAAUUUUCAUGCAUGAAUUAGAUGCUAGAAUAUAAAUGAGUUUCACCUAAUCGUUACAAGUUUAUAUUCAUGAGUAGUGAAGGUUGUUUAUCACAAUCUGACACACCCCGUCCCGAAGGAGGGCGUGCUGGCCGUCACGUGAGAGUGACGUAACCAUUUACACAGUUCGGAAGCUUUAAAAAAAAAUUCCAAUUACUAAUAUAACACACCCGAGGGUGAGUCCUACUUUUGUGAAUUCUGUCAGAACACCGUUGGAUUCCUCGUGGCCACCAAAGCUCUGCUAACUUGAACCUGGGGCGCAAAACAAAAGCUUGAACUUGAACCUUUCAGGCGCAAAACAAAAGUUUUUUCGAAAACUUUUCAUUUAAAACAUUUCUAACCCCUCACUGUAAAACCUGUAUACUUUCCCAGAAAAUAGUGUAUAUAUAAACAUAUAUAUAAGCAAAAAUCUCGAAUCUCAAACCUUUAACACUUUUCAGAAAUAUAUAUAUAUAUAUAUAUAUAUAUAUAUAACCAUUUGAAAUCUCAAGACUUGAAUCCCAAAUCUUUAACAUUUUUCAAGAAAAGCAUGCCAUGCCAUAAAUCAAAAAUAUAAAUCAGGUGAAAUAAGGAAUCAAUCGGAGACCCUGCAGUUGGUCCUAUACGAUUAAUUCAAUAGCUCAUUAUCUCACUAAGCCGGAGUCACCACAGUAACCUAUACGGCCCUACUCUGCACAUCACUCAGAACUACGUAAGGUAGUCUAUACGAUGAAAGGUGUAAAAAUACGCUCUAGUGCUUCUCUCAUCAUAUCAUCAGCGCGCAUAACUAAGAUCACCCACUAGUCGGAAUCACGCCUAGUGAUCUAUACGACUAGCAUGUCGGAACCCUCACAUGGUCUGUACGACAUCCACCUACUUGGAUCCAAGGCGAGCGUGCGGUGUGGUGAAUAAAAUAAGCACUAACACCUAGGGUGCAGGUUAUGAGCUUAAAACAUCUUAUCAACAAUCAAUUAAAUGAAUAAAUGAACUCACCUGACUUACCUGUGCCUCCACCGCACCAUGCAACAUGUAUGCAUCAAAUAUCAAUUCGUAUAACUCAUACGCAAUUCACAUUUUUCAAUUAAUUCUAUGCAUGGCAUUUUUAAAACAUAUUUUCAUAUAAAUUCAUUUUAUGGGAAAAAUCAAUAGUAUAAAGGUAAUACAAAAACAAAACUGCCCACUCACCUGGAGUUCGCCCAACAACUCCCUAGCACCACACAUCAAGGCGUCAUGAAGAUUAGUGCCUAGAACAAUAAUCAAACCCAACCUCAGAAAUCAUGCCGAUAGAAUACAUAACUUAUAUAAGACGCGUCCCUACGUAGUUCGAUCCGGAUGAUCUGCAACUCGGAUUUCAAAUCCGUAACUUCCAGAGGUCCACAAUAUACCUCUAGGACAACAUCCUAAAAUUUCAUUACCAUCCAACGGUCGGAUCUCCGUCAAUUUCCAAAACUAAGUGCCGGUUAACAUUCUAUUUUAUGAACUUACAACUCCAAUUCCGGAAGAUCCGUAAAUCGGAUUCCCAAUCCGUAAGUUCCUAUAAUCCUCAAAUAUUACGUAUUACAACGUAUCAACGUUUGGUGACGAUCCAACGGUCGGAUCGUCAAUUCACAUUUUCACCUAACUACGAAUCGUAACCAACUUAGGUUCAAUUACUCAAUUUACGUCCAUCAAUUAUCAAAACUGAACCUAGAGCCUUAAUCACAUGCUAAUAAUGACAUUGGCGGGCCAUUGGCCAUGCGCCGCCGCGCGGGCCGCCGCGGGUGGCGGUUGGCCGCCCCCGGCUCGCCGGAAAAUUCAACUAUUUCCAAAAAUUACCAAAAUUUGCAGAUUUGAAGAUAUCAAUGAGUAGAACAACUUUCAUACCUGUGGCCAAGGCCAAUUUGGCCUGGAAGUGCUUCAAUUUCACCAAAACCGUGAAGAACCCUAGAAUUAGGUGUUUCCAAUUCGACCUUCAAACUUGUUCCAACGCCUCAAUUACCUCUUAGUAUUUGUUCUAGGUCCUAAAGGAAUGCUAAUGGUGUUAGUAAUUGAAAGAAAACAUUUCAAAAUUUCAAGAAUUUAAACAAAAGGGUCGCGGCACCCGUGUGGGUGUUCUUCGCGAAAUCACCAUGAAAUUUAAUGAUUCUUGGGGUGAAACGUGAAGAGGGAAGGCCUAGAUGUUGAUUAGGAGUGGUACCUUGACUCAAUUCGUCGGAAAUUUGGACGAAAAUGGUGAGAACCCGCCGAUUGGAAGUCGCGGGUCGCACGGGUAUACGGGUUGGGAAAACCCAUUUCUUCCUUCUCUCCUCCGCUUCUCGCCCUCUCUCCUUUCCUCCUUUCCUUCCUCUGGUUGGUCAGCUUCUCCCUCUCUCUUCUUCUGAUUCGCCUCUCCUCCUUCUUCUCCGAUUGGGCAGUUUUUGCCCAAUCUCUCUUCUUCUUUCUGUUUUCUGGUUCUUCUCACGCGCACACACACACACAACUUCCUUUUUCUCAUCCCAGCCAUCUAUUUCAUUCAUCAUUAAAUCUGGGUCGUCCAUUUUCAUAAAAGAAUUUCUAUUUUACUAAAAUUAUAAUUCCUUAAAAUCCCAAAUUUCAAACGUUAAUAACUUCUUCGAUAUAACUCCAAAUCACGAACCGUCUACGCCCACGCGUCCGUAACGACGAGUACUACGAGGAUAUGUCAAGAAAACAAAUCUUAGAUGGCACGACACAACGAUUAACCUCGAAUGAUGUGCGUGCCUCAAAGGGCAUUUUUGUAAAAUCCUUUAUGAAAACUUUAAAAAUUCUUAAAAUUAGGGACGGGCUGUCACACAAUCGCGUUAAUUGAAUUCUUGGCAAUUGUAUCAUGCAUUCAUAGUUAUAAUUGUCUCGUCAACACUUAUGAUUUUCAUUGAACGUAAUGAUCUCUGAUUGUAUCUCUAUUAUGCAUUAAUAUAGGGGACUUUUAGAGGAUGAUUUGGGUUGUCGCAUGCAUUCAUCCAAUUCAAUGAGUAAAGGAAAAUCUGAGGGUUAAUUUGUGCAUCACGGUUAAUCUGGGUGUUGAGCAUAAUAGUUUAUUGAAAAGCAAUUGGAAAUCGAUUCAUGUACAAGUGUGUCAUGUGUGAAGAACGGACCUCUAACUAAUCCAUCCAUCAUUUUAUUUCUCAAAUUCAUUUUAUAAUCUGCCUAGUUUUAUAACUUGCUUGUUUAUUUCAAAUUCAUCCAAACCAAAAUCCCCUUUUUACUUUCUUGUUUCAAAGUGUUAAAUUUCUGUUUUGUUUGUGUUUUUGAGUGUUUUGAUUCAAGCCAAAACACUAAAUUCAUCCAAAGUUGAUUUAAAGUCCAAAUCUGACUAGUUUGUGUUUUUAGGCAGUUUUGAGUGUUUUUAAGUUGUUUUGAAUCUUUAGAAUCUGUUUUGAGUCCCUUGAGUCUAUUCAAACAUUUUUAAUUUUGUUUUUAUGUUUUUGAGUCAGUUUAAAGGUUUUAGCAAGCCCUCCUAAUCCCCGGUUUAGAACGAUCCCUACUUGCAUUUAUACUACAAUUUGACAACAAGAGGGUUUAAUUUGAGUGCUUAACUUUCAUCGCAUCAUGUGAGUUCCCAGAAACAAAACUGUGAGGGCGUGGCCAGGGCCCAAAGCGGACAAUAUCGUGUUAUGGCGGAGCCGAGAUUGGGAUGUGACAUUGUCACCUAAGACAAAGUACAUGUCCACAUUUAGAGUUCUUCAAGUAUUCACAUAAUAAAAAAUUUCCAUACGCCCCCUACAACGAAUGAAGAGAAAUCGAGACACGUUGACAAAAAAUCAACCGUCGAUCAACGGUAGGGUCCACAACCCUACAUAACUCGAUCCGCAAGAUCCAACCACUGUAUUUGUGAUUCAUAAGUUCCUAAGGUCCUCAAAUCUUACAUACAAUAACAUACUAAACUUUGGUGACGAUCUAAUGGUCGAAUCAUCAUUUGCUAUAAUGUUCAAAUUACGCAAAUUCGUCAAUCAGAUGUCAAAUAUGGAAUCAGACAUCAAAUUUAGCUUAGAAAGGUCAAGUGGUGUCUCGAGCACGCGCCGCCGUGCGCAACAGCUGGCAACCUAGAUUCGUCGGAAAAAUCACCUAAUUCCAAAUGAAUGUCGUGAGACGUGGAGUAAAUUGUAUACCUGUGAAGAAGCCCAAUUUGGCCGGGAAGUGGCCUGAAAUCACUUUAGACCGUCGGAAACCCUAAAAUAGGUGAAUCUCGAUUCGUCAUCUCCGGUAUUCCACCGUCCUCAAACUUGUUUAGGGUUUGCUCAUGGUCUCAAAAGAAUGCUAAUGAUGGUGGUGAUUGAAAGAGAACGUUUCAGAAAUAGUGAAUCGCCAAUGAGGGUUUCACGAAACCGACAUGGGUGUUCCUCGUGGAACCAAGACCAAAUCUCAAUGGUUUUGGCUAGAAAUGGAUGCUGGGAUGUCGUGGUGAAGUUUGGUAGUGAUGGGAGGUUGAAGAAAGACAAAAAAAUCGACAAAACAACCGUCGUCGGAGUCGCAGGAAACGGGUUAGAAAAAUGAGUCGCCAGGUCUGAAACGUCGAAGGCUUUUGGGACAGCUACUUACUCUCUCUUCUCUGAUUAGUCACUCCACUCACUCUCUCAUUUGAUUGGUCCAGCCUUCCCACAUGGUGGGAGUUCCCUCAUAUAGUAACCCAAAAUUUACUAUUUAAAUCUGGUAUUGAACGUCCGUAACUUUUUCGUUAUGGUUUCGAUUCGCAAACGGUUUUCACCUACGCGCUCAUAUGAUCGAAUUAUACUCGAAAACAUUAAUUAUGACCUCGAAAAGGUCUACGAGUUUUAAAAGAUUAAUUACAAAAAUUCACACCUUGUAACUAUACGAUUCAAAUUCUAAAAUUAACGGAAUUAAAAUAAACUAAAAAUAAUGUAAACACGAAAUACAGACUUUAAUAAUGAAAUACGUAAUUAAUAGUGGAAUUCCGGGGACGGGAUUUCACACCUUGCAUCCGGACCUUCAAUGCGGAUCAAAAUCCAAAGGUCGCGAUCUGACGAGCUCAUGCAUAGAACAGAGUUGUUGUGACCCAAUGCAAUUCAAAACUUUUAUGUUUUUUUAUUUACUGGGUACGUUUUUGUAGGAGGAAAAGGGGAAGUCGAGAGAUUCUUUGCGCAUUAAAGAGGGAAAGAGAGAAAGGGGGAGCUAAGAGGUUCUUCGCGCGUUAAAUUUUUGCUUCUGAUUUUGCAACCUAGAAAUAAAGUAUUUUCUUUAUGGUUUAUGGUUCAAGAAUAUAAUGGAUACAGCCUAAAAAUGUUUCUUUUUUUAUUUUUUACUUUUUUUUUCUUAUGUUGGCUUUUGGUUUAUUUUUAUAAUGCACUAUAUAUUAACUAAAUUUAUAAACAUUUUGUAUCUUUGUUGCAGUCAAAUUAAUCAUAUGGGUCGGCAUGACGAAGUUCGACUGAGACAUACAGAUGUUUUGCAAUCUUAAGUCUAACCUGACACACCCCGACCUCAAUAUCUAGUGGACACCAAAAUUGAGGUGUGAUGGCCAUCAUCCGGAUGGGUGAUGAAACCAUAAUAUGCAUGAAACAUAACUAAAUUAUCAACCAAUAAAAUCUAUUGAAAAAUUUGGCAGAACAUCCCUUAAAAUAGGGAUAUGCCCAAAUUAAAAACACUUGCACAUGAUCAAAAUUAUUCAACACUUCCCCGAAGGGCCACACUUAAUGGGACUUCGACCAUCUAUUACAUGCAUGAGAAUAUGUUCAGAGCAUAAUUACCCAAACACGUCUUAUUAAAAUAUUGAGUAAAUACCAUACAAGAUAGAAUACGUCAGAGCUGUUGCAAAAUACCUCAAUGUCCGAUGUAAUCACUGAUAGAAUUACUGAAUCAUGUAUAGAUGGAAAGCUGAUAAAUACAUGUAAUUUGAGUGGAUACUUACCAGCAGCAUGGAUACAAUAUCAUCCACCGGUCGUAACUAAUGACAAGCUGAGAGUAUAACUGUAGUACCUCUUAUUAGUGCAAUGCAUGAUAUGAAUUCCAUCUCACAUAUAUAUGCAAGCCAUAAUCAAACCAAUAAACAUCCAACAAAAGCCACAAUCCUUUUAACAUUCGACCACAAGAUCAAUUUUCAUAUUUCCCAAACCUAGGUUCCAAAGCAUUGUUUCGAAUUAUUAAUACAAGAAACCACCACCACCUCAAUCAACUCCUAUUCCCAAGUGUAAGCAAUUACUAAAUGCAUCACUUUCGACUCUAGUCUUAAUUAGAUUACUUGGGAUACUCAUUCACACCAUCAGAUCCAAGUACUAUUUUGAUAAACUUUAAAUAGCAUGGUUAAAAUAAAUGAAACACUUUUAGAAAAUAAGUGAAGAUGUUGUUUACAAAUAUAGAUGCAUCUGUAUAUAAAAGCUUUGGCGGUUGAUCCGUAUACACUUCCAAAGAUAUAAGCAAGUUCAUUGGAAUAUACAUGCAUAGUUAAUGUAUUACAGUAUAAUUAAUAAGAAAACAAUUGCAUCCCUUUAAGAAUAUAUAUAUAUAUAUAUAGACACACACACAUACAUACACACAGGCCCUUUAUGCAAAGGAAUUUCCAUUUUUUUUCAAAAAAUGGGGAUUAGUUGUGGGGCCCACGUUGCAUUGAACUUUAACGAUCCGAACAGUCUAUUUUGUAAGUCUCGAUUCAUAUAUCAUCCUUGUAAAAAUUCAAUUCAAUCCGAACCCAUUUGCCUAUUUAAUUAUCAAGAUAAAAUUUUAUUGUUUCUUAUAUAACAAAGUAUUCGUUAAUUUCUUUGAACUCAAUUAGAUAUCUUAAACAUUUCCGAUUUGGUUAAUAUUUUGUAAGGAUGAUCUAUGUGGUGCAACUUGAAAAAUAGACGAUUACGAUCGUUAAAGUUCGAUGUGGUGUAAACCCUACAAUUAAUCUUCAUUUUUAUAAAAGAAUGGGAACCCCUUCCCUUAAAGGUUUCCUAUGUAUAUAUUUGUUCUCCAGACAUAUGCAGAAGGUAAUGUAAAACUAAUGAGAACUUAAAUGGAUAUUCCAUACAUAGGACAAUUCCAUAUAUGCUUUUUCAACAUUUAUAUCGAAAAGCCAAAUUGUUUUGAGGAAAUUAAUUGUAGCAAUGAUCCCUUAACUUUUAUCUUAUUGGAACAAUGGUCUCUCAACUAAAAAUUCAUGACCAUUGGUUCCUUAACACCACACAACGUGUAGUUAUGGUCAUUUUCAUUAACUCCGUCAGAACUUUUGUUAAAACAAGUAAUGUUAGAAGAAUCAUUGCUACAAUUAGGUUAAAGUUGGGGACCAUUGCUCUAAUUAAAUUAAAAUUGAGGGAUCAUUUCUCCAAAUUGCUUAAAGUUCAAGGACCAUUUCUACAAUUUUCUCAUCUAGUUUCCCAUAUUUACCCCAUGAUUCAGCUUCACAUGCAUUGCACAUGACUCAUUUUGACAAAAAAUUUAACAAAAUUGACGAAAAUGACCAUAAAUGCACGUUUUGAAGAGUUAAGAGACCAAUGGUCGUGGAUUUUAGUUGAGGGAUCAUUGCUCCAAUUUGGUUAAAGUUGAGGGAUCAUUGCUACAGUUUUCUCAAAUGUUUCGUAUGCGAAAAUAGGCAUUUGUAAAGUUUGGCUUGUUUAUGGCAUUAUUACUUUAGUCUAAAGUAAGGCUGGGAAUGGCACUGUAGAAAUGAAUAGUGUUCCAAUCCGAAUUUCAGUUUAAUUACAACAAUGCCAUUGCUCUUUGUGUUGCCUUUAGGUGAGCAGCCCGGCUUGCAGUCAGGCCCAAAUGUAUUGGUUUUAGCUGAGAAGCCCGGCCCUUGGUCAGGCCCAAAAUUUUAAAUUACAGUUUUGCCCAUACAAAAUAACAAUCCGAUUGUAUCGGGAAGGACAAUUUUGUCCUUUCAGUUUUGGGUGAGAUAAGGGGUAACAGGGUAAGUUUCAUUUGCUGUCGUUUAAUGAGGGUUUCGGGGAUGAGGGCUCUGUGUGUGUGUGGAUGAGAGAGAGAGAGAGAGAGAGAGAGAGGGAGAUGGCGAUGGAAGGAGAGCGAGGGGGAAGGGAAGGGUUCUCGGCACUGUUGCUGCAUGUGGAUUUCACAUGUGGGAGAGUGGGUAUGGUCAGAGAAAACCAUAUAGGUCAUUGGGAUUUCAGGGAAACGGGGUAGGGGUCAUGAAUGAACUCUGCUGAGAGUGUGGGUACCGGAUCUUGCGCUGCAUGCCUCAAAUCAAAGAUAAGUUCGUUUUUUUAUUGUAUUUUUUGUGGUAGCUUAGCUUUUGGAAUUGUUUAGUAUGUUAGGUCCGAUUUUGGGGGAUUUAUCUUUUUAGAGAGAGAGAUGGACAGGGAGAUAGAGAGAGAGAGAGAGAGAGAGAGGAGGAGGAAGCAUGACUGUGUGCAAUUUUUGGUGUUAAUUAAUGGGUUGGUGCGUAGGGUGAGUGACAGAGUGACAGAGUGAAGGAGGGACGUGUGGGAGGGUAUGAGUUUUCAGUUCUUUCUUUUGAUUCAACAGGUUAUACAUUGUUUGAAAAACCUUUUUUUAUUAUUUUUUUCUCGUUUGCUUUGUUAAAACCAUCAUUUGAAUUUUUGGGUUUCACUGUGUUCAUUUCUCUGCUUCUUCAUAAUUUGCUGGUGUUUGCUUUUCAUCCCUCUAUUGGUAGAUCUUUUUCUCAUUUCUUGGUUCCUUAUGUAUUCUUUGGUACAAAUCUAUUUACUUUUUGGCUGUGUGAUAAUCUUAGCAGGUGAACUAUAUGAACGUUUUUUUUGAAACGAGUUAAGAAGAUCCAGCUGAAAAGAGCAUGCAAGAUAGAGAACUGGUAUGCUGCUCGCCAGGGAAAGGCUGCUGGAGAGGCUGAGACGGAUGCCUCCUUCAAAAACCAGGUCAGUUUCCUGCUACUCGGCGUCUUAAUGUAUCCAAAUUGUUUAUCUUUUGAUGAAAUUAGCUGGCUUUAUUUUCUAUUUUAUUUAUCUGCAUAUUAUUUUGGUUUGUUGAAAUUUUGACUAUAGUCAUUGUGUCACAUGGGCGCCCAGCCCAACCCAAAUUAGUUGAGGAUAUUUAAAUCUUCACCAUGGUAUUAUAGUACUCACUCACAGUUGUGAAUACUAAGGUGCAGGCAUGGCAUGAAGAAGUGGACCGUGCACGCCAAGGUCAGAGGGAUGCAGAGGGCAAACUUUUUUCUUUGGAGGUAAGUAUCCUUUGUUUAUUGCCCAACAGUGUUGUUAUUAUCAAUUUGUAGCUUUGCGUUCUGAAUUUUUUGCUUUGUCAAACAACCUUUUUGAAAUGCUCGAUUUCAAGCCGAAGUCCAAAAAAUGAGAGUUGAGAUGGCUUCCAUGAAGAGGGAUGUAGAGCAUUACUCGCGCCAGGUGAAAUCUGCUUCCUCUCUUUUCGUAUAUCUUCAUAUGAAGAGUUUUACUAAGUUAUAUUGAGAACUAUGUUAUUUAUAGGUUAUAUUUUCCAUUUUGCAAGAACACAUGGAGCUAAGGAAGAGCUAUCGUGAACUCACUGAUCUACUGGUAAUGUCACUCAAACUGCUUUAUUUGUGCAUGCUGCUACUAUGCGCUUGAAUGCAUUUUAUUACUGGCGGGAUGCGAAGAAUGCUAGAUAUAUGUGCUGGAUCGCUUGAUUAGUGUUAGGGUUUUAACAACUAAUUGUUAGCAGCUAGAAGCUCUGGUUAGAUGAAUGCUAAUUUGAUUUUCCUUACAGUACUUGAGUGCCAGUUUCAUAUUGUUUGUUCCCUGCUGGAUACAUGCUGUACAGUUUCAUUUCUGUUUCUUCAUAACUUUCUUGGCCCUGCGAUAUAUGCAUAUUGAGUACAAUGAAUAUCCAUUGUUCUCUAACUGUUGGGCUUUACUAUCUUUGUAGCAGCCUGCCUAACAUUUUUUAGGCUCUACACUCUACCAUCCAAUUUAUGAAAAAUUCAAAGAUUGGACGGUAUUGAUUGCAUAAAUGAAAAAAAUACUAUGAUAUUAGAAAGGUGAAUGUAAUUGUGUUAGAAGAAGCGUCUAGCAUGAUGGGUAAUAUUUUAAGUUUGUAUUUCUAAAAUUUUUUCGUUCUGGAGUAUGAUUUACCUCAAUUGUUUUGUACUUUAAUCUUUACUAAUUUUCAUUGUGGAGUAUGAUUUGCCUCAACUAACAACUUUUCAUUGUUUAACUUUUUCCUCCCUUAGAUAGUUGCAUAUGUUUGAUUUGUUAAUCUGCUUCUUACACAUGUUGUUUCCUAAUGGUGUAGGUGGAUUGCCGGAUGCAUGUGCAGAUUACUUGAAUAGACGAAGCUAAGAAUGACUUAGUAUUAAGUGAGAAAGAAGCUUGGGUCAGUUGGAUUUUGACAUUUGAUUUAUUCAUGUUUUUUUGUUGCUUGCAAUGUUCUCUCAUUGUUUGUUCUGAGAUUCUGUGAUCUUAUUUUUCAUAGGAACUGACAUUGGUUUGCCAUAUAAUGUUUCAGGAACUAAUACAACAACUAAUCACCUUGCUUAGGUCUCAAGACACAUACUUAACAGGUUAACAAACGCUAACCUAUAAACUUAUCUACUAAGCUGGACCAUUAACCUCUGUUUAUAUCCCUGCCACUCAUCUUUUGGCACUUAUCAAUAGCAAAAUCUAGAGUUGUUGAAACCCCAAUUUUAAUGAAUAUUAUUUUUAGUUGAUAAUUAAAAUUAAUUGAUGAUUAAUCUAUUCCAUUGUGCAUUAUUUUAUCGCCAAAUACUUUGAAUAUUCAUUAGCAAAAGAUAUAGGGUUCACUAUUUAAUGAAUAGAAUUUUGAUGGUGGAUUGCAUUUCCUGAGUUAUAAAUGUGGUGAAUCCAUUAUUUACUAGCUGAAUAAUCAUAAUGUUUUGGCCACUUACCUUGAAUUUUGUUCAAAUUGAAGAAGUCACAUGUUUCUUUCUGUUGUUGAGGUAAUCUCUCUGUUGAAAGCUUCUAUUUCUUUUUUCUUUUUCUUUUUUUCAUUUGGGUAGAUUUUUUUUUUAUGGAUUUAUGUAUUUUUUUUCUUCAGAGAAUUCGAAAUGAAAUAAGAAUAGCGGAUUGAGCAUAAACAAAUUGAUGAAAUUUUUAUUUGAGUGUUUGUGUUGGUCCUUUUUUGAUUUGUUGAGGUUUGGAAUUAUUUGAGUUUUUUUGCUGUUAGUACUGUGAAGGAUGCUUGGCAAUCGCGAAAUGGGGGCUACCUCUUUGGAAAGAGAAGUCUCGCUAUCCAACCUCUCAUGAAUUACAAACAGGGUGCUUUCUUGCUGAAAAACCACUGAAUCAGUAGAACUUUCCUCGGUUCUUCAAUUCGAUUCGAAUAAUUUUUUUACCCAGAAAAGCCAGCGUUUCCUGGUGAGUUUUACAGCUUUCUCAAUGUUUUUUUUAUUUUGGAUUUGCAAAUUUGUUUUCUGUUCAAAUUUCCUUUUGUGAUUUUGGAGGUUUUGUUUAUCGAUUCUCUCACUCAUCUCUCAGCUCUCUCCCACUUUUGAGGUACAUGUCGUUGGAUUCCGUUUGCUGCUGUUGAUCUGCAGGUAAAGCUUCAAUUACCAUACAAAGUUUACAUUUUUCAUGAUUUCUUGAAUUUGGGUUUUAAACAAAGGAAAUAUUGCUAGAUUCUUAUCUUAUGUGCAAAUUACUGGCUAUUUGGAUUGGUGCUUGAGAUUUAGAGAAUGUCUCGCAGCUUUAAUUUCUUUUUCCUUCAUUAUUACUGUUUUCAAAAUUUUUAUUGCUGGGUAUUGAUAAUUUGUAGUAUGUGAGGGCUUCAAUAUGUUGGAAUUUUGAAUGGUUAUUGCUUCAUCGGAAUUUGGGUGGUCCAAAUUUUGAAUUAGAAGAAACCCAUUUGAUUAAUAUUUUUGGUGGAUUGGUUCUCUGUGUUUUCUUUGCUAUUUCUCCCCCAGUUGGAAAUUGGAAGCCCCAACUUUGAGCUCAGAGCUUGAAUUUCUCAAUCGUUCGUUUCUCUACACUCUCAUCAGUCACUCUUGAUCCUCUAUCUAAAGAACUGGGUAAUUUUCCAGCUCUAUCAAGUAAUACUCAAUUUAAUUGCUUAAUUGAGGUUUUUUGUUUCUCUUUUUCGCUCUUUCAUCAGUUCAUUGGCUUUGAUGUUGAGCUUAAGUAAAUGGGAGAUCAUUAAUUGGCAUUGUUCAAAAUAUAAUUAUGUGUUUUUGGAUUUGUGAAACGAUUUGCCUAAUGAUGAUAGUGGUUAAAAUAAAUUUUUCGUUAUGAAAGAGAACAUUGUUCUUCAUUUGCCUACGGUUUUAACUACAAAGUUAAACUACUAUGCUUUUGUUCAAUUGAUUGCAACUCAUGCCGCAGUUUGCUUCACAAACCUCUAUGGUUAGCUUCCAUACAGUAUGUUGCAAGUUUGAGGAUAUCUUUACAUCUUAAUUUUUGCUCUCUCUGGUUGCUUCAAGUUUGUAAUUUUACGUGUUACAUUGCUACUUGAUUUGAUUAUAAAAAUGCAAAAGAAAAUCCAUUUUGCUUUUAUUCAACUUAAAUGUAUCCUUUUGUUUGUUCAUAAUUGUGUUGAAUUUAUUCAACUUAAAUGUGUUUUAUUCAUCUGUUUACGCUUAAAACAACUGGUUCCCCUAGCAAUGCGCGGACCUAAUUUCUAGUACAUAUACUAAAAGCCAGCAGAAAAUUACUGUUCAUCAUGGGAGAUAGAGCACUGUUCAUUAACAGUGAAAGGGAAAAAAUGCCCUCGGUUUCUUCUUUACUUCACGUACUGUUUACGAAUUGCUACAGUAUAAAGUCCGUUUUGUCAUUCCUGUCCACGCAUCUUUCAUCGUCCGUUUCUCUUGCUUCGACCGCAUCUUUUUCGCUUUACCUUUCCUCUUCGUUUUUCGCCUUCGCUAGGCUGCAAUUUUCGGAGGUGGAUUGUUUGCCCUUCUAUUUCCAUGCUCUCCCCAUGCCCUCCAUUGAUGUGUGGUCACGGUUAAACUAUGUCAACAUUUUAUAUUAAUUUUUUUAUAGAAAUAAUAAAAUAAAAAGUAAUAGGUAUCCAGGAAAUUUUCGUCAAAAUAUCCAGGAAAUAGGUAUCCAGGAAAUUUGCUUUACCGAUAUUUUAAUAGGUAUCCAGGAAAUUUGCUUUACCGAUAUUUCGCCGAUAUUAUCGGUUUUUUGCUUUACCGAUAUUUUAAUAGGUAUCCAGGAAAUUUUCGUCAAAAUAUCGCGAUAUUAUCGAUAUUAUCGAUAAUAUCGCGAUAUUUUAGAUAAUAUCGAGACAUUUUGGUUUCUCGACAGUCAGUCACAAUCUCGCCGGAGAAUCAGAAUAACUCCGAGCAAGAACAAAACCUGCAACCAAACGGAACAAAAUCAUCACUAUCUUUCAACAAAAAUCACCACUUUAUACCAAAAUCAGUGACAAAAUUACACUAAUCCGAGAAGCAAGGGCUUGAAUUCGAGCAAGAUCUGGAAGAAAACAGUAGAAGCUGAGAAAUCGAGUACCUCACCGGCAGUUACAGUGCUAAAGAUCAUCAUCUUUGGAAGGCCGCGGAUCAGACGGAGCUGAGAGAUCAAUGAGUAAGCAUUUCAUAGAUCGUAUUCGAUGAGCAGCUGAAAGAGAGGAGAGAGAAAGCAGAGAGAGACGCGGACGAGGAGGAUCUCGCUGAUGGGGACGACGAAGGAGAGGUAGAGGUCGCGGCCCGCGGGACAUGGUGACGGGCUCGACGAGGAGGAAGGCGAAGGAGGAGCAGAGGAGAUGGGUGCGUGCGUGCUGCGGUGCAGAGAAGAGAGAUGAGGGAGAUAUGAGAGAGAGAGAGCCGAGAGGGAGACAGAAGAAAAAGAAAAGAAAACAGAAAGAAGAAGAAAAGAAGAAGGGAGUCGCGGGGGAACAAAGAGAGAAAAGAGAAAAGUGGAGGGGCUGCCACGUGGCCACUUCAGAAAGAAAGGGAUCCAAUGUUUUGGAUCCUGAUUGGGUAGUCAAAGAGGACCAAUUUGAUAUAUUAAAAUGUUUAGGGGAUAAUUACACAAAUAUAUCUUUAUAAAUGGGGGUGGGUGUUACAUAUUGCCCUAAAAAACUCCAAGUAAUUACAACAUCGUAUUAGAAUUGUAAUUGAUCCUUGUUAGAUUUGGUUUAGAAAUUCUAUGUAAUUUAGUGAUUGUUUCAUAUUAGAUUUAGAUUUGAAUUUUUUACUCCAUUCAGAUUUUAAAUGAUUAUAAUAGAUUUAAAAAUUUACGAACUUUGAUGAAGUUUAAUAAUUUUUAAAACUUUUAUGUAAAAUUUUAAGUGAAUUCCCUCAAAUUUUCAGGUAGCGAUUUGAGAAUGUUUAAAAUAUUAUGUGAAAUAUUUCUAAUUUUUUCGAGUUUCCCAGCUUUUUAAAAAUCUCUUUGAAUCAAUUUCUAAAUUAAUACAUUUGGAAUGUAUGAAUUUCUUAAAAAUCAUGAUCGAAUACCCCUUAAACUUUAAAGAAUCACUUAAAAUCCUAAUUAAAUGCCCUUAGAUUUUUAAGGAGAAUUAAAAUGUUUAUAAGCCCCAAUUGGAUGUACCGCUUAAUUUAACUAAUUGACACAACACAACAUAACCAGUUAAGAUUACAAAUUAACACAAAAGACGACUUGAUGCGAGGUCAUAUCUACAAAACUUGCCGCAAUAAGCCCCAAUUGGUGUGUUUAAACUUCUUUCAUUAAUUACUACAUAUUUUCUACACUCAUAAUGUUUGUCAGCUCGCUAUAUAAUCAACUUGAUAAUGUUAAAUCCAUCAUGCAAUGCAUUUCCUUCCAAUUUUUUGUGAUAAACUAAUAGAUAAUUGACUAAAUAAACAUCCUGCAAAGUUUCAAUAAAAAUUUUCAAGUUUUUUUUACAAUUUCCGUGAUUUUCAUGUAAUUUUUAUCGGUAUCGAUAUUAUGCCGAUAUUUUUAUCAAUAUUUCCGUGUUUUCGAGUACAUAUUUCCGAUAUUACCGAUUCAUCCGCGAUUUUCUCCCUUUUCGCCAGCCCCUCUUUUGCUCUCAAAUCCUUGCUCUUUCUUUUUCAAACUAGUCUCAGAAGAGAUCCUGGGUUUAUCUAAUCCUUUGUUGUUCGGCGUUUUGUUCUCAUCUUGCGAUCGUCGGGGCAGCAGCUUUAAGGUAAGUUUGUUUUUAAUGAUUUAUCCUCAAUUUACGAUGUCUGGGCUAACAAAUUUAAGAUCUUUAUUUUUCUUUUUGCUGUGGAUCUGCAGGUUUUGACAAGUUUUUUGUGAAAUUGGUGCUGUCAGUGGGUGUUAAUAUCAGGUACCCAUGUUCAGUUUUUCGUUUUGAUUUGAAGGAAUUUCUUGCGCAGAAGAGCUAGGUUUCUUGGUGAGUUCUUCGGGUUGUGCAUAUGGGUAAUUUUCUUUUAGGUAUAACCCUCUGCUUCUGCUGCUCUCUCUCUCUCUCAUCCCUGCCUGCUCCUCUCCAAUUGUUUGCUGUUCUUAAAUAUUGUGUUCAUUGCCUGAUACAAGGAGCUGCAGCAAUCUGUUUUAUCCUACACGGGACAACGAGGCAAUGGCGUGACAACAAGUGAGCUUGGAUAUCCAAAGAAAAAGAACAGUUGGUUCAUCUGCUGGAGUCUGAAGCUCAGAGAAGUGGAGGAAAAUUGCAGGUGUGCGAGAAAUUUUAUUUUGCUGAUAGGACUCCUUAUUUACCGAUGCAUUUUGAAUUAAUUGAAAAGUUGGAUUUGAGUUAACAGCUAUAAAAAUGUAGACAUGAUUGCUGAGAUUAUGCUAUGAAAGUGGAAUAAAAAAAUGGUAGUUUAUAAUAUUGCGUACCAAUUUUUUUCUCUCUUUUUUACCAAAUGAUAAGGGUGGUGGCUCAGGCCGCCCCCCUACGCGUCCCCACUCUUCGACAAGUUGAAAUCAUGGUGAUAGUUUAUGGGUUGCGGUCUUGGGAUUCUGCAAAUAGAAUAAAAAACAGACACUUAACUAUCUUGUUAUUAAGCAUUUCUGCAUCAUUCAGUUGCUCUUGAUUUUCGUCUUUUAAGCGCUCUUAUUUCUGCGAUCUGACUUGAGGAGGGGUUUUAGACCUAUGGUUGUGGGUGUUUUGUCUGACCCCAUUAAAUUGGUUUCCGAGAUUUGUAGACUUGCGAUCGGCGGUCAAACAUUUCGUGAUUCUUGCUUUUUUUCCGACUGGGAUUGACGAAUUUUGGCCGAAUCUGUUUCCUGUUUUCUUCUCUGUUUGAGCGGCCGCUGCCUUUCGGUCGUUGAGCGCCGGCAGUCUUUAGAUCUUUGGCAAAUCAAUUUAAUACAACCGAGGUAUGUUUUAUAACUGCUGUCUUUCAAUUUUUGUUCUGUAUUUUUGUUAAUUUGGAUGAAGCUCUAAUAAUUUUGUUUUGGAUCAGUUGUGGUCCUCUGUUAGGAUUUUCCUGGCUAAGAGGGUAUUUGCAUUUUUGUUGCUUGGUUGGUCGAUCCAGUGUAUUAAAAGCGUGAGGCGUGGGCGAGGCGUCCGAGGGAAGCUCGGCCUAGGCGUGAGGCGUGAGGCGAAGCCUCAUGGGACCUAAAUUUUUUAAUAUAUAUACAUUGAGCGUACACAUAUAUUAUAUUAAAAAUAAGAAGAUUAUUAAUCAAUAAUCACCUUGAGCACACACAUAUAUUAUAAAUAUAUACACACACACAUAUAUAUACAUAUAUUAUAUUAUAUAUGCAUAAAAUAGAGGAUGAAAAACACAAUGAGCACACAUAUAACAAUGCACGCAAACAACACACACAUCCAUUAUAUAAAAAUAAAAAUCAGAAAAAAGGCAUAGAGACAAAAGUGCAAGGAAGAUGUAUGAGACAGUUAAAAUCCUACCCAAAAUUUGGGUUUGGGAGUAAAGAAAAAAAAAAAAAAAAAAAAACUCACUGAGGCGCGCCUAGGCGGCUCCGGCGACGCCUAGGCGGCCUUUCGCCCACUCCAGCAAAACUGAGGCGUUAGCCAUGGAGCCAAGCCUCAAGGGCGCCCUAGGCGCGCCUCGAGGCGAGUUUUUUAAAACAUUGGGUCGAUCACAAAUUUACGAACAGCUGUGGUGGUCCUGUUAGAGCCAAGCCUCAAGGGCGCCCUAGGCGCGCCUCGAGGCGAGUUUUUUAAAACAUUGGGUCGAUCACAGAUUUACGAACAGCUGUGGUGGUCCUGUUAUUUUUUUGGUAUGUUUUUUCUCCUUUUUGGUUUUUUCCCGGUUUGAGCACCCAUUCAUGAAGAAUUAAAAUGUGUUUAUAGUUUUUCAGGAGAGAUUAGAAAAGUGAUUUCAAUUUGGGAAAAUUUAAUGUUGGUUAAAAUUUGUUUAUAAUUUUUGGGAAGGAAUGAGAGGACCCAUUGAAGUAUGUGUUGUGAUUAUUUUUUAUUCAUAUUUUUAACAAAUUGGGCAUGAAUUGGUAGGUUAACUGUGUGUGUUUAUUAUUUGAAUCGGCCAUGUUUGUCUUUCUAUGGUUCUAAAAAAUUUGUAAAGGCUGUUAACUUGGAAGAAAAUGGGAUCGAGGGUGAGGGGAAAACAGCAGAGAAAGCAUGGAAGAGAGAUUUGGGAUUAGGGGUAGGAAAACAGAUGAAAAGAAUAUGAUAGAGGAAUGGGUUCAGUUCAUUUUCACUAUUUUUUUUAACUGAUUUGGAUUUUGUUUGGGUUUGAGGCCAUCAUUGGCGUUAAGACGUUUAUUAUCAGAUCGUGUGUGUUUUUUGCUAACUUUUAUUGGUAAUUUUUAUGUUGUUCUUAUGAUUUUGUGUGGUAGGGUUUCUGAAUUUUAUCGUUGUUCAUUUGGUUUUUUCUGAAUUUUAUCUGAUUUUGUGUGGUGAGUUUACAAAAUAAUACUAAAUAAAUUUAUUUGUAAUUUCGGAUGAUUGUGAUUCAAUCCUACUACAAUUGAAAUUCACAGAAAGAAUGAAAAACCAGAACAAAACUGCAGCACCUAAAAAGUUGUCAUACAAAAAAACAUGGAAUGUAAAAAUAUGUUAAGAAAUCUAGUUCGUUAAUUUCCAGCUGGUAAGCGGCAUUAUGUAACUUUAGUAGUAUAACUAAUUAACUACUUAUCUAGUGGGUUGCACUUCUAUCCUUGAUCUCAGUUGUGGCUGCAAAGUGCAGGCCACCACCAAGUCUCAGUGUUUGUGUAUUAGCAAAACACUUAAAUAAAUUAAAUUCUGAAAUGUAAAUUAUAUUCCUAUAACUUUAAGAUGCACAUAUAGUAUUGUUGAAGUCGAACUGAAAGCACUGACAAUUCCAAGCAACAGAGCAGCAAUUAUUAAGAGCCAAAACUCAUUCCUAGUCUCCUCAUCCUGGUACUCUACUCCGUAAUCUUCGUUCAGCAUCAUUGACUGAAAUUAGGAGAGAAAAAGAAAAGGAAUUUCAGAAAUUGUCUAUGAAGCAAAGGAUACUGCAGUUACUUCAAGACAUGUAAAUUGCAUAUGUAUAAAGUAAUUUUCUACAUAAAGUAACGAGGCAUAACUCUCUCUCUCCUCUUCAAACCCUAAACAGAGCAAAGCCACAAACUUUACAGAGAUUAGAAUGAGAACUGGAAUUAAUAGAACAAUGACUGAAAAGUAACAUACUUGAGGAGUGAAUGAUUUAGUGUUUCCAUCAUCGGAAAGCCGGAGUAAGUCGCUAAGAGAGGUCGCAAACAGCCCAAAGGGACAAACCCAGACCCCCGGCCCCGAUCCAUACCCUUCCCCCUCAAAUCCCGACGGCCCCCAUACUUUUCUCUGACUGUACCCCCUCUCCCACUCAUGAAAUCGAGGAUCUGUAGCAAUGGUACUGAGAUCCCCACUCCUCCCCCUCCCUUUCUCUCUGUCACUCUGUCUCCCUCUCCCUCUGUCUGUCUAUCUUUAUCCCAGAGCGGCAUGGCCUCGCAUCCCUGAAACCCUCACCGAAAGGUGGCAAUUUUGUAAAUAACUUGAAAUCCACCAACAGCAGGGGCAGAGAAUUGAAACAGACAUUUAGGCUCGUUCGAUAACCAUUUAGGCCAAAACUGAGCACACCUAAACCAUUCCUACUCGUGCCAAAUGUUAGCGGGGAAGCAAGAUGAUGACUUUAUUGUUCAAAACCAAAAGAAAAAAAGAGAGAAAACAAAAUAACAAAUCUAAUGGUUGUAGUGUAAAAGCUGAGAACGUAAAUAAACAUGCAGGGAAAAAAAUUGAAGAUACAAAGUAGCUGCAUCAUGAAACACUUGCUCCAAUUAGACGCAAAAAGUGAUGGUGAUGAGAAGAGAGAGAAAAUGCAGUCGUUUUGAUUUUUCUGGCUUUUAAAGGGAGCAGCUUUCUUCGACCACCAAAAAAAGGAAGCUGCUUUUCGUGUGGUUGUGAUUUCCUGAGUGUAUGUGAGCGGGUCUAUGGCACUUGCACUUUUUGUGUCGGUUACGGUAACCGGGCGAGGUGGACACGGCGGCGUGGGACUGAAUUCGGAGAGGUGAGAAAAAUUAAAAACACAAAAAGAAGGUGUUCAUUUUGUCACAUUUUUAUUACUAAAAAUUCAAUAAAGUACAUUCAUUAGUAUGGUAACUUAACUAUUUAAUUCCAUCUCAUUAAACUAAAAAAAACAAUUACAUAAAAAUAAGGGAAACCUUGUCCAGAGAGACCUGAGAGAAAGUGACGACUUCUCCUCUCAUUCCACUCCAUACUUGAUCUCUAAAGUCCAUUUGGCAUGUAAUUGAUGUUCAAUUUCAAAUUUAGUGGUAGCAAUUAGCAAAGCUAAUGAAAGAAUAAAAUAAAAUGAAAGAAAAAGCAUCAUGAAAUAAAUCAAGAUGAAGAAUGAAAUUUUGGCAACUCGCCAUUCUCUUCUUUUAUACAAAAGAUACAUCCUAUUUGUAGUGAAAACAGGUCCCGACAAACCCAGUUAUCGUCAAGAAGUAUUUUGUAUGACUUUAAAAACAUAUUCCGAGAAAUUAUCUCUUGGCUGAGAACAACAACAAAUCUUCAUGCAUAGCUUGUAGAGAAAGACAUCAGGCAUACAAAAGAACACGCAAGCAUAAAAUAAACGACGCAGGGAAAACCAAAAAUACAAUUGGAUACGCUGUCAAAAGAACAUAAAUAAAUGAAAAUUACAAAACAAAGAAGUGAUGAGAAACCAAAGUACCCAUUUCAUAAUCUAAUUGCUUUUUAGUUUGCUUGCCAUUUUUAGUUCUUCAAUUUAGAGAGAAACCAUAAUUCAGCACAUGAAUAAAGUGAAAACAUAAAAGAUAUGUGGGAUAAGCUAACAGCCAUCCCUGAGUAAUGCAUUCACUUCUGAACCCCAAACACACCAAAACAAAAAUUCACACACAUGAACUACAGCUCUGCUAUGUAACAAGAAUUAAAAGCAUCUCAAAACAAAAUGGCAAACUAUAAGAGCAAUGUAAAAGUAAAAUUGCAAGAAAUCUAAUACUUGGAGGGCAAGUACUAAUCAGACGAAAAUGAAAGAUUGAACUACCUCGCGUGGAACUGUGCCUUGGUUUUUUCCCAUGCUUACAGGAAGCUUUGCACUGAGCUCUUAUAGCCCAAAUUUUCUCUGAAGGGAAAAAAACACAAUUUUGAAAUAAGAUUUUCAUAUUAUACCUUAAAGAGAAGAAUUAGACAACAAAAAAGAGAACAAUGAGUACUUUUCAUCAUAUAUUGUUAGAGUAUGUGGUCCUCUAGUCCAAUGGUCCUGCAGCCAUAUUUACUUUAUAACUCUUUCUUUAGUCUAAAAACAUCUUGGAUCUCAAAUUAAUAUGAAUACGGAUUCAUACGCAUGCAUUGCAUUACAAUCACAAUGCAACAUCUCAUUAGAAAUCCCCACACAAAAUUCUUUUAUUGCUACUUUGAUUUUAGUUUAUAUUUUUUCUGAAGCACGAGGGAGCUAAUUUUUUUUUAAAAAUUUUUUAUUCCAAUAAUGUUAUAGGGUUGAAAGGAUAUUAUCAAUUUAAUUGAUUGUAUUUGAUUGGUGGAACUUCUAUAUCUAUAUUUCAGGUUUUCAAAUUCAGCACUGGGAGAGUCAUUCAUAAAAUGUUUGACAGUGAGAUUACCUCCAUGGAUUAUGCUCACAAUGGACAGCUCAUUUUCCGCGGUGAUGGGACAAUAUAUUUCAGUCAUUCGCCAUUCAAUCAAUUCAAACCGAGGAACAAGCAACAUCAAGAAGAGGAUCUGCCAUGUCAGGAUCACUGUCGUCCAAUUAAUACAAAAAAUCUAGAUAAAAACGAUCAAUUUACAUAAAAGCCUUUCAUUUUCUCAGCAACCAAGCAAAAGAAAAUACCUAUCCGUUAAACACUCGAUUUGGGAGUAAACGUUGCUGAAACUGGACUUCAAUCCCCUCAACCGCAACAAUCGAAUCGAGGUGUGCAAGUCAUUGAAAAACUCACCCAAGAUUUCAAAAUCUGCAUAAAGAAAUAAAUAAGCACAUAAAUUAGCCAACCCUGUUAUGAUCCCACAUCGGGUACACAAGAAAUUGUGUAGUGGUACUUAAGUGCAAGGGGUCAUCCCACCUAUUGGACUAGUUUUUUGGAUUGGGCUCUUCCCUUGGGCUUGAGUACCUAACAUUGGUAUCAGAGCCUAGGUUCCCGACGCUGCGAGACUUGGCGAGUGGUGCCGCCUCAUGGUGCCGCCUUGGGAGUAUGGGCUCCCAAGGGUCUUGGAGACGGGCAAGGUAUGAAAUGUCGAUAUUAUCGCGAUAUUUCGCCGAUAAUAUCGGUUUUUUGAGUUACCGAUAUUUUAAUACUUAUCCACUGAGUUUUCGUCAAAAUAUCGCAAUAUUAUCGAUAAUAUCAACAAUAUCGCGAUAUUACCGAUAAUAUCGCGAUAUUUUGGAGAUGUGCGAAUCGGAGAAGAAGGCCGGAGCUUCUACAGCUCCUGCCGACUGUAAAAGAGCACCCUAGACUCCGAUCUAGGUAUCAAAAUGAAAUACAAGACGAGAGGAAUGUUUUUAUAACUUCCGUUUGCCGUGAAACGGUCGAAGGUGUUCGGAAAGUUCGUCGACACCCACGGCCUCGCCAGAGAUGGGUGUGCCUAUUCUCGAGCCGAUUUCGUCCCAAAAACCUUGCAAAAACACGAGAUAGAACUUAAAUUUCACAUCUAAGCUUCAAUCUAGAAUAGAAUGAGGUAAACCCGAAGCUUACCUAACCGGAGAAAUUCAAGAAACUCGCCAGAGGGUUCCUGCGUCGCCGAGUUGCAGAGACGAGAAAGAGAUGGAGAAAGACGAGGUUGCUGAUAACGAUGGGUGUCUUCCUCAAGCAGGUGCGAUGGUGUGCGUGUGUGUAUGUGGGUCUCGGUGCAGAGAGAAAGGAGAGAGAUGAGAGUUUCAAGAAAGAGACGGCGCCAACGAGAGCUAUUUGUUUUUUUUUAUCUUAAAAAGAGAGAGGUCUAAGAGAAAUGGGAAGAGAGGGCCGAGUGAAAUGAAAGGAGGUCCUUGAAUUAUUGAGAGAUAUCUCUGAGAGAGGCCUAGGAUUUCUAAAAGGUAAUUAGAAAUGGGAAAAAUGGGGCACAUCUUAGCCUUUAUUUUGGAAUCCUAAGAAGUUCACCACAUGGAUGCAUGACAUGUGUGCAUGCCAUGUCUGUUGAAUGGGAAAAGUCUGACAUGGAAAGACAAAGAGUCGUUUGGUCCUCUGGGCUCGAGGCAAGAUAGAAAGUGCUAGGGUUUUUUUUUCUGAAAUGAACAUAAGCUGCUAAAUUCGCAUAUAUUAUAGUUGUUGCUAAAGAUUGACACUAGUGCGGACUUGGACGUGUUGGUCAACAUGUCCUCACAAUCCCCAAGUUCUCCGGUUCGAACCCUUACGCCCAUCAAAUUUUUCUUUCUUUUCGAUGCGCUUUUUCCAUGGCUCUAGGUCUUGAUUUCGAAUCCAGGUGAGCCCUUUCCUUUUUCUUUUUUUUUUCUUUUUGUUUUAUUAUUUGUUUAUUUUAAUUUAUUUGUUUCUUUUAUGUUUUUCCUUUCUUUUAGUUUCUUUGUCUUAGGCGUUCGUGUUUAUUAAAGUAGGAUGUAAAAUCAAUUAUCUUAAAAUUAUGUGUUUUUAAAUUUUGGACUUGUUUGUUGGAUACUUUUUUUGCAUUUUAUCAUUAUUUUAUUAUGAAAAUAUGCUAAAAUAUGCUAAAAUAUCACUUAUGUUUUUGUGAAAAUAUGCUAAAAUAUUUAUAUAUAUGGUUUUGUUUUGAAUUCUUUUUGUACUAAUUCAUUAUAUAUAAAUGAUUAUGGUGUGUUUAAACUUCUUUAAUUAAUUACUACAUAUUUUCUAUACUCACAAUGUUUGCUAGCUCGCUAUAUAAUCAACUUAAAUCAGUAAAAUCCAUCAUGCAAUGCAUUUGCUUCCAAUUUUUUGUGAUAAACUAAUAGAUAAUUGAUUAAAUAAACAUCCUGCAAAGUUUCAAUAAAAAUUUCCAAGUUUUUCUUACAAUUUCUGUGGUUUCCAUAUUAUUUUUAUCAAUAUCGAUAAUAUCCCGAUAUUUCCAUCGAUAUUUCCGUGUUUUUGGACUACCGAUAUUUCCGAUAUCAUCGAUAUUUAUACCUUGGCGACGGGGGACUUGCCGACUGGUGCCGCCAUGGACGUUGGGUCUUUCGAAAGGUGGUGUAAUGUUAUGAUCCCACAUCGGCUACACAAGAAAUUGUGUAGUGGUACUUAAGUGCGAGGGGUCCUCCCACCUAUUGGACUAGUCUUUUGAGUUGGGCUCUUCCCUUAGGCUUGAGUACCUAACAAACCCAUAAAUCAAAGAAAUCAAAAUCCACCCAGAAUCAAAGAAAUCAAAAUCCAUCCAAAACCAAAGAAAUCAAAAUCACACACAGAUAUACAAGGUGUACAGUAUUGACAUGCCUUAAAUGAUAUUAUUCACAAGAUUUAUAAAGCUCAUGUUGUAAUACUUGUGCAGAAUCUAUCAUUCACGGCGUCACUUUUGUGCAAGUCGUAAAUAAAAUUAUUCACGAUUUAAACAUUGUGUGUCGUAUUUGACAAUUUAUACUACGCACUUUCUUUUUCUUUUAAAGCUUUGCGUUAUGUCGUAAAGUUGACUUUCUAUAUAUUUGGGUUGUACCUUUUAUGGCGCAAAUAACACGUCGUAAAUAAUGGCUUUUAGCACAGAAGUUUUGUGGUAAAGAAGCCCGCGCACUAAUUCAUUCUCGCGCCUUCUCUUUUUUAUUUAGCCGCUUCUUUUUUUGGUUUUUUUUUUUUUUAAAAUUCCCCUCAAAUCUUAAAAGGGUUUGUAUUUUCUUUGGUAAACUUGAAAGAGAAACAUUGCAAUUGCAUUUUCAUUUACCCAAUAUUAAUUGUCGAGAGCCCACCCCCUUCCCUUCUCUCUGACAUCGUAACUCUCUCCUCUCCAUCGAUCUCGCUCCAUCUGCUCGCCGUCGCUCUAUAUGCUCGUCAUCGCCGUCGAUUCGUCUGCUCGUCGUCACCGUCGCCCAUCUGCUUUCCGUCACCGUCGAAGUGCCCCGCCAUUCAAAAUCUGAAAUCCCCAAUACAGGGUGCUUUGCGGCAUUUCGUUCUCCAAAACUUUAGGUAUGCUCUCAAUCUGUAUCAACCCUAUCCUGUCACCUCUACUUCAAGGUGAACAAUUUAUAGUUUAUAAAUUUUACUUGUGUUAAUAUAUAUUUUUUGGUAAAUGUUAUGGAUAUUUUAUCAAAUCAGAGAGUAAAUUCGUAUUAAGUGAAGAUUGGCAAAGAACAUAUUGUUUUGAAAGGUUGAAUAAUGUUUGCAGAUCACAUAAAUCAGUAGUUGUCAAGUCCAUAAGAGAAGCAAGAAAUCGGAAAGCAAGGCUUCGACUAAAACCAAAUAAUGUCAAAUUAAUUCAAGAUUGGAAGACUUUCCUUGCAAAGUGUAAGCUCAUUUUCAUUUUCUUUCAUUUCUAAGAUUAGUUAUCUUCUUUUGAGUUCAAAAUUGGGUCAGAGAAAUCAAACUGAUAGUAGUUAAAAGUCUAUUUCAACACCAAGCCUUGUCUACACAAGAAUUUGGUGUUAGUUAAACAUGUGUAUGAUUCUAUCUUGAUUGCAUGUUAAUUUAGUUUGAAGAUAGAUUUGGUACAUGCUAGCUAAUUGAUACGUGAUAUGAAUCUUUGGUUUCCUUUUGAUAGGACAAAAGUGAAACAUUCAGAGAGAUGAAGUCUAAGCAACUCCGCACACAUGUAGUCGCAAGGGAUAUGGUAGGUUGGCCGAGGAUUUGGUAAUUACAUUUCAUUCUAGUGCCUUCUUUUCUACAGGACAAGAACAAUUUACUAAUUUUAUUCUGUGUUCUACUGUGUGUUUACUACAUAUAUGUUUCUAUUUUGUAGAAAAGAAAAAGUGUAGACCCUUCUCUAGUUUCUAGAGGUGAUGUUUGGAUUGCAGCACAUACUAAAAAGGGUGGUGGACCAUCCAAUUUGCUUGCUGCAGAGACUAUUGUAAGUAAUUUUUAACCAUUUAUUUCUUCUUGUUUGUUGAUAUGCAAUGACGGAUGAGGUCUUAACUUUGAUGUGCAACGUUAGGAAAAAAAUUAAGCAAUAUGGAAAUGGAUCAUCAUCUGGUUUUCGAGGUGACGUUCUUUCCAAAGUUUUUGGUGCUGAGCGACAUGGUCGUGCAAGAGGAGUUGGAGGUGGUGUUCCUCCUACAAAGCUUGGAAUAUUUUCACAACAAAAAUUGCGUAAUCACCAAAUGGAUGAAAAGGUGCACAAUUUAACUAAUCAGGUCAGAGCACUGACAGAAUUGGUGCAUCUUUUUAUGAAAAAUCAGGUUAGUGAUUUAAUAACAUUGGUAUCAUAUUGAAUAUUUGUGAAAUCAGUUGUAGUGACACAUCAAAUCACAGGGUAAUGAUCUACCAAGUGAGGCAUCUCCUGACACACAGGUUGCAGCUCCUGAGGCACAUGUUGAUACUGUCGCAAGAACUGAAACUCGUCUUUCCCAAUGCGCAACAAAUGAAUCGUGGUGGCGAGGUUGAUACACUUUUUCAAUGAGCCUUCUAACUAUUAAUGCUCAUUGACUCUGUUAAAAGCUCUGCCAUUUUCAAUCUAACUAGACACUAGAAAUGAUCAUUGACUCAGUUAAAAGUUUUGAUGCUUUGGUCCUUUUGCAUAGUUGCGCAUCUACUGAUUUCUAUUUUUUUUCAAAUCCUGCAGGUUAUUUCUGAAAACAUUGAAACAUCGUGGUGUGCCAGAUGGUUUGAUUAUAAGACACCUUCCUUUUGGUCCACCAACUUAUUUAUAACUGCUAAAUGGUACGUAGUGUGAUAAUUUUCAAAUAUUUUGAUAUUAAGACAGGUGUAGGACAACAUAGAAAUUCUUAGGGCCUUCAGCAACAAAAUUAUGAAAAAGUGAGUGAGAUACAAUUAAAAAAAUGAAAGAGAAGGAUCAUGAUUCAUGAUCUAAAGGUUUGAAUAGGGUAGAAAGGAUUUAGUUUCGUUGUUAAAAUCGAUUUGUGAGUCUAUUGUUAUUGUAUUGUCAAUUUGUUUAUUUACUUGAACUUCCUAGUAUCAAUUUGGUUCGAUAUAUCUAGCACCACCAUAGAUAUAUCUAGUAUCAAUUUGGUUAGAUAUUGUCAAUUUGUUAUUUUAUUGUCAACUAUAGAAUGUGCAUCAGUUGUAAAAGGAACAAAACAAUUCAGAUUUUUUGUUUAUGUCCAAACUUAGAAUUGUAUUGUAAUUGACAAUUUCUACUAAUUAAUCCAAGUAUUUGGAGUUUAAUAUGUUUAUGAUCAAUAUUGUUAUCCUUGUAUUGUAUCAGUUUAGAUGUUAUGAAGUGAGGUCUGUCUAAAAAUGAUAUGCUAAAUAUAGAUGUAAAUUACGGCAUCUAAAAUCAGCAAUAAUUGUUGAUGGUAGUCUUUUUUUUACGAUGUAUGCCGUAAUCACCUUCACAAUAUUACGACACUCAACAAAUGCUGUAUCAAAUAUAAAUUACUGCACACUAGUAUGUCGUAAUUGUUUUUCAGUAUUACGACACCCUAUUAACGCUGUAACUAAUACCAAUUAAGGCACGUAGGACAUGCCUUAAGAACAUUUAUGGCGUGUUUUACUUAAAUUAUUCACGACUAUUAGAGUACGUUGUAUUUGUCAAAACAUCUUUUACAACAGGGGCUUUUACUGCUUGGAGGCUCAAGCCGUGAAUUUCCAUUUAUGGCACCCUUUGUGCGCCGUAAAAGGCCAAUUCUAUUGUAGUGAUCCAUGGGUACAUUUUUAAUCUACAUGUUUCGUUUUAAUAUAUCUAUUGCUAUAAUAUGUUUUGGUUGGUUCAAAUUCGUUUUACAUAAAUAUAUGGGUACAAAGUUUUUGGAGAAUAUUAUGUAAAAUGGUUUUUAAGGUUGUUGCAUUUUAUGUACCCACAUAUGCAUGUCUAUAAAACAAUGUGGUAUGAUGUACAUUCUUUUCCUUGAGUUUUUAAAUGUACCCAUGAGUUUUCUUGUAAAUUCGGUAUGUAUCCAUAUGCUAUUUAUGUUAUGGGUACAUACAUUAUUUUUGGUCUAAGUUGGUGGGUACAUUGCUUUUGUAUGUAUGAAUUCAUUGGGUACAUUAUUUCCCUUAAUACUACUCAAUAAAAUUCACAAAAAUGUGCAGUGUGCAUGAAUUUUUAUUGUAGAAAUUGUUUUUUUUUAUUUUUAAUUUUUAAGUCUCAUAAUUCGUGAAUUUUGUACAUAUUGAUCCCAUAAAUUUUUGAAUUUUAUUAAAUUUUUUUUAGACUUGAUCGAUUGAUUGAAUCUCAUAAUAAUCCCUUAAAUGUUCCAAUCAAUAUUUUAAAAUACAGCUUUUUAUUUAAGAUUUCAAAAAGAUGACAUGAAAACAUAGUAAUACUAAAAUUUUGUUUUAAAUUACAUUUGUGUAACAAUCAAUGGUAUGUUAAAACUGGGCAAAAAAAAAAAUGGUAUAUUAAAAAAUUAUAAUUUAUUCUUUUUUUCAUAACUGUCUUCUGCUUAGAUUAAUUUUUUCCAACGUUUCUCUUCGGGAGAAUUAGUUCUUACCAAUAUAUAUGCACAUUAUCUGCUUUUUACCUGGUCUUAACACAUGAUUAAUUACUUUCCUACCUGCUAACGCGUUGACUUGCGCAUCCAAAGUAUUAUCAAAGUCACUGCCACCAAAAAGGUGCCCACUCCACAACCUUUGGUUGAACCAAAGAACAUCACAACAAUAAGGAAAUCGUUAAAUCUAUCUCCGCAACAUUUUUAUUAAUCAUUAGAUAGAUUAAACGAUCCCCCUAUUCAUAUUGUGUUCUUUUGUUGAACCAAACCAUGUCAACAAAAUAUAUCUAUGGUUAAAGCAUCUAGAUUCAAGCUUUUGGAUGUGCAACUUAAACCCCUCAAUGAAUAGCCAAGCAAUUUAUCAUGUGUUUACAGUAGGUCAAAAGAAGAAAGUGUUUGUCUAUAUAUUAAUAGGAACUAAUUCCUCUGAAGAGGAGAGAUGGAAGUGAUGAUAAUAAAAAAAAAAAAAGUCGUAUUCAGUGCACAAGGCUCCCGCUUUACGCAGGGUCUGAGAGAGGUGAAUGUCGGCUAGCCUUACCCCCAUUUUAUGGAGAGGCUGCUCCCAAGUCUCGAACCCGAGACCUACCGCUCAUGGGCGAAGACACUUGCCAUCGCACCAAGUGCGACCUCUAAGGGAUAAGAGAGUAAUCAUGAAAAUUUUGAAAGUGAAAGCAUUGCCUUGGAAUAUAUAUUCUCUUUAGGAAUUCUGUGCCCAACUAAAUUCUAGAUUCUCAAAAUAUGAAAUUAGCAACUUCACCAAACACUUGGACAUGUAACAGGUCACACGUAUGGUACCAACCUUACCAACCUUACCAACCAUCUAUAUACCUAUGUUUUCGAACAUCGUUAGAUAAUUAAAGUACAGUUCACACAGCAUUUCACAUAAAAAUGGCAUCAUACAACACAUGAGAAGUACUUCUUACAGUAGCAGUCUCGUAACAUGACUAUAGUUUUUGUUACUUCUUAAGAAAAAAGAGUUUAAAAUCCUAUUGAAAGAUAAUUGUAGAGACAGAAACCCAAACUAGUUAAUUAGGUUUCUUUACAUCUCAAUAAAAUUGAAGGGAAUGUAUCUAAUAUUAUCUACUAGAGCCUCUACAAUCAUCAUAGAAUCCACAACCCACAUUUUAAUUAAUCGAAAUUCCAUGAACACAAAUAAGCAAAAGUUGAGUGAAGCCUAAGCAAUAUGUGAUCAUUUAGAGAGUCAAACUCCAUCUUUUUAGAAUUAGGGACUUUUCAAUAUGAAAAGGUAACCUCCACAAUCCAAUAUCAUAUGAAAAGGAAAACCCAAGAAAAAUACAGUAUAAUUGUGUGCAAGAGCAACACAAAAAAAGUUGAAGAAUUAGAAAUCAUAAAGAGACUUGAGACGAUUGUUGCUCACUUAGCUAAAGAGCAUUUGCACUUGAGGUCUCGAGUUCGAUUGCCCCCUUUCUUUAGAUCGCUUGAGAGGAAAAACCUACCAUUCUCUAGUCUAAAGAUAUAUGCAUCUUUGACAUGAAUGACUAGAGGGGAAGAAAGUGCAGACAAAUCACACAUACCUUCAAAAAAUUUUAUGGGGUUGGUGAAUGGUGAUUAGGGAUACUGACUUUUAAUAGCCGUUGAUCAGUGUAUAUUGCACACGCCUUCAUCAAUGGCUAGCGUCGGUACAACUGUGAUUGGGAGGGCCUUUUUACGAUAAUAGAUGGGUAAAGGUUUCAUUAGAAGGGGAAUUUUGUUCUGGUUUGCCAUAAUAACUUGAAAUUAAUGGUUUUUUGUAAUCCUUAAGUUAUUGUCAUUUUAGGUUAACUUUGUACCUGGACUCUUUACUGGAGCUAUCAAUUGAAACCCCCAUUUUCUUACCAAAAUAUGAAAAACAAAGAGUCCCAUUUUUACAGCACAGUCCUACUCUAGUUGAAAUCCGAUCGACGGUCAAGAUUUUCUAGUCAUGUGAAAGUAUCACAUAUAUAAAAUUGACUGGAGAAGGCAUGCCACAUUGCCAUGCCCUUGACAGCUUUACUUUGUUUACAAACUUUCUAAAAGAAAGAAAGAAAAAAAUCUAAAAUGGAAGGUGAUAGCGAUUUUACCACUUGUAAAACAAAGGGUUAAACCAUAGAAAAUUCUUGCAAGAGAACAAGUGUUUGUAGUAUAGAAUGGCUCAAGCAAGGUCGAUCUCCUCAGGGACUGAUAUAAACAAUUUACGAGUUUUUAUGUAUUUAACUUAUUUAACUCUAAGAAUUACACUAAUUUAACGAAACUAAAUAUUAUUGGAUGUGACUUAAACAAAUAUCUAAAAUGGGAAUUGGUUUUAGGGAAUAAUGAUUCAACUUAAACAAAACAAGUAAAUGAGGAAAUUCAAGAUAAAAUAAAUGAUUAAGAAAAAUAGAUUGACAAUAUGCUAGAGUUCAACAUUUACCAACAACACUCUUACGUAGCUAUUCCAAUUGCUUAAAUAAUUGAAAACACAUAUGCUUUGAAUGUUGGAUUUUCCUUGUGUAUGUUUUACUUGUGACAUUCAAGCUAAAACGCAUACCACUACAUGCAACUUAUCCAUGACAUUUGAAUUAAAUAUAAACAUGAGUGAUUCAUUAAUCUUGGUGAAAAUCCUUUUGUUAAACCAUAUAAUCCCUAAGAGCAUGAUAUUUACCUUAGGAGAUUACAAUUCUCAAUCACAAGAAGCACAACCAAUUUUAACGUGACAUUCGUUCAAAAUUGCAUCCGAUAACUUUUCUAAGCAUCCUAAUGGUGAUCAAGCAUCAAGGUACAUAGAUAGUUUAAUUCAGUGAUUGAAAAUAUCAAAACAAGCAUGUAACAACACUUAAGCAAUUGAAAAAUAAAACUACGUAUUCAUGUUGCGGCUCAUGGCCUCACUCUAGCAUAAUACUUUAAAUAAUUAAAGCCCAAACAAUUUACCAAAUUUCAUCUCUGUACUCCGCAGAGACGCUAAACGAGACAUAUUUGGUCCAUCUCUGAACAUCUUUUCUUACUGUUCUUACAAUAGAAAGGGCACAAAAUUGACUUACACAGUCUUGCACAAUACUCACUUUGCUUCAACCCAUAUUUCACUUUGUCAAAUCAUACACGUUCCUGCAACAGGUGAACUCAUAUUUAUCUACCACUUCUUGCUAAUUUUAAUUUUUCCAUUCCCAUUUUUACUACAAGUUUUCACAUAAUUUUUUUAUUGCAUUUGUCAAUUCUUUAUACUUUUUAAUUGUAUUUUUUUUUUUGUCUUUUAUGUGUUUUCUAUGUUGGCACAAGGUUACAACAGUAUUAAACAAUUACAGGUCCUCCAGAGGUUUGCUUAUUGCCCUAUUUCAUCAAGCUCGGUAUAAAUAGAUCUUAAUUUUUUACUACAGUUAAAUACAUGGACAUGCCUCCACAAAUACAAAUUAGUUCUUGCUUAAAUACUUUGUGUGUUUACAUAGAAAAUGUUCCCAUCGUCUACCAAAAUCCUCCACACAUGAAAACAAAAAUUCUUACUCAAAAUACUUAUUACAAUACCACCAUAUCUGUUGUUUUUUAUUAAAUUAACACACUGUUUUCAAUUUUAUCUUCAACACAAAAGAAAAUGCUCUUACACAAUGUGUUUGCUUACAUUUUAUAACUUAUCUACCACAUGUUAAUCGCAGUUAUAUAAAUAGGAAAAUACGUGUUCAAUAGAAGUGUGAUGCAUGUCACUUCGUUAACAAUAGUGGAAACUAAACAAUUAAAUAAUUUGUUUCAAUUAGUUAGUACAUUUUAUAAAUUUCUCAAUUAGAACUGUUUCAGUAUAUUUAAUACAUUUUUAAACAACUUUCCAGUUAGUUGCCCAAACUAAUUAUUCCAGCUUAUUCACAGUAUAAUACCAACAAUUUAACAACCAAUGAUACUUCGUUUAACAUAAACUUCAUUUGGAAAAAACAAAAAAAAUCUUUUUCUCUGCUGAAAAAAUCAACAGAUUUAAUGAUGUAGAUCAGUUAUACCAACAAAUUACCAUAGUUUACCCAAUGCUAUACAGGUUUGACUUUUGUUUAUAUUCUUGGAUCUGUUGCUUGGUUGUAUAAUUUGGCUGUGUGUUUUGUUUCAGGACAAUUUGUUCUUCGUUUCUUGAGGCUUCUAUGUGUAGAUUUGAACCGUUUAGCUUUCAAACCGUUUAUACUCAAGGUAAAUAAUUUCGUUUGUUUCUUUUUAACCUUUUUUGUAAGAAUUUUUUAUUUAAUGUUGUGAGAGUUGUGUUUUCUAUAGUAUGGAAAUUGAAUCUUUGUGAUCUUAUAUCGUUAGAUACGUUGCUUGGUUAAUGUGAACACGGAAAAUUCCCGAAACGAAAAAGACAAGAACAACGUGCACAAACAAAUAUUUUGUAUUUGAUGAUUAUUUUGGGUUACAAUCUCUCUCUAAUUUGAUCCUCUGAUUCGAUCUCCGUAAGAUAUUGGUUUGUGGAUGUGCGAUUGAUCCAAGGGCCGUCGAGGCUUGAUCUUGGAUGAACGGUGAUGAACGGAUCUUCAAGGGCUUUUGGGCUUGAUCUUGAAGAAUAGUGAUGAACGGGUCUUCAAGGGCUUUUGGGCUUGAUCUUGAAGGAUGGUUGGAUGUGUGGAUUUGUCGACGUUGUUAAUCCAAAGGGCUGUUGGGGCUUGAUCUUAGGAUGAACGGAUGAUGAACGAAUAACACUUUCUUCAAGGGCCGUCGGGGCUUGAUUUUGAAUUGGUGAAAGUUCUUCAAGGGCCGUCGGGGCUUGAUCUUGAAGGUAGAUGAUUGUUGAUCCAAGGGCUGUCGGGGCUUGAUCUUGGAAGAACGAUGAACGAAGAACGAAGAAGGCUUUCUUGAUUCUUCGGGAACCUGGAUGCUUGAGAGCUUCGGAGUUUCAGAGCUUCAGAGCUUCAAGGUGUAAUAUGAAUUUGGUUCCCUUAAAUGAAUGAAAUUGGCUUCUAUUUAUAGAAUUUUCCAAGGCCUAAUUUUGAAUAUAAUAUUCCAGAUGAAAUAAGUCGUUUCUGCCAAGUGUUGACACGUGUCCUAUUUGAUGACUUUUCCGACUCAUUUCAAUUUUUCGUCGAGUCACACACUACGUGUAAAAUUUAUGUAAUACAUGAGCGUUGAAACUUUGAUUUAUCAGUCAACAUUUAUUUACCAAAAUUUCGAUGUCUACAAAUGCCCCCACUUCAAGGCGCGUCGUAUACAUGUGCUUGUCACGUGUAGGAGAUGCGUUUUGAAGUCCCCUUACUGUAGAUGUCGAUCCAAGGGCCGUCGAGGCUUGAUCUUGAACCGGGCUGGAGAUUUCUUCAAGGGCCGUUGAGGCUUGUUCUCGAACUUUGUUCGAAAUUUCUUCAAGGGCCGUUGAGGCUUGAUUUUGAAUUGGGCUGAAAGUUUCUUCAAGGGCCGUUGAGGCUUGAUCUUGAAUUGGGUUGAAAGUUUCUUCAAAGGCCGUUGAGGCUUGUUCUUGAACCUUGUUUGAAAUUUCUUCAAGGGCCGUCGAGGCUUGAUCUUGAAUUGGGCUGGAAGUUUCUUCAAGGGCCGUCGGGGCUUGAUUCUUGAAGGUGGAUGAUUGUUUAUUCAAGGGCCGUUGAGGCUUGUUCUUGAACCUUGUUUGAAAUUUCUUCAAGGGCCGUCGAGGCUUGAUCUUGAAUUGGGCUGGAAGUUUCUUUAAGGGCCGUCGGGGCUUGAUUCUUGAAGGUGGAUGAUUUUUUCUUCAAGGGCCGUUGAGGCUUGUUCUUGAACCUUGUUUGAAAUUUCUUCAAGGGUCGUCGAGGCUUGAUCUUGAAUUGGGCUGGAAGUUUCUUCAAGGGCCGUCGGGGCUUGAUUCUUGAAGGUGGACUCGAACACAUGGCAAGCAGGCACGAGGUGAAGGUGACGGUCUGUUUCUUUGCUCAAUCUUUCCAAGUGCCGACCGAUUGCUUUUCUUUCUCCUUGUCCCGCAGGCAAGAGCAAGGGUAAAAGAAAAGCAUGCCAUGAGAUAUCUUUGUUUUUGACUCUGAUGAUAUGAGGUACUUCUGCUUUUGAAGAAGUUGCGGAUGAAUCGACACGUGCUUUGUUGUGCUUGUCUCCACAUGCUCAGACUCUUGGCAGAAUGUGAAAGGUGGCAUUUUCUCGAGUUACUCAACUCAGACUCAUUCUGCUGAGUUGACUGUGCGGGCCGCAUUCUUCUCUGCUUGUUUCUUCUGGCAGCCUUGCUCUCGAGUACUCAUCUUUAACAUCUUAUGUUUCUUCUUUGUCUACCACACUGUGGAAGACGAGUACUCGAGAGUAAUACCAUGUAAGCAAUCAGAAAAGGGUUCCAAGCAGUCGGUUCCAGAUCGGAAGAUUGAUACCAAGUGUUGGCUGAUUGCUUUCCUUCUCAUUGUCCUACAGGUUAGAACAAAGACAAGGAAAAGGACACGGAGAAUGCAUGAUAUGAGAUACUCUUGCUUUCUCCCUUCAUGAUAUGAAAUACUUUUGCUUUUCAAGAUUUGUUUGCAGAGGUAUCCUAUGGGAUGAAGAACACUGAGUGAGUUGAGAGGGUUUGUUGGAAAGCCAUUUGUCGGAGAUGACGGAAUGUUAUGUAUGUCUGCCUUGCCAUGGAGCGUGAAGGUCGACAUUUGUAGGAAAUAAUAACUGGUACUGUUCUUUCACUCCUGUCGGCAACCGUUGGAUGAUUGAACAGUAAACUUCACGUGAUUUCCUCAAAGCUUUUUCUGCAUGCGACAAGUGCUGACGAGGCUGAGAGAGACAUGCGAUUGGAAUCGGCGCUUCGACAAACUUUUCCAUGAUUUUCGCAAAGCUGACGAGGCUGAGAAAGACAGAUGGUUUGGAAUCGGCGUUUCGAUAAACUGCCCGUGAUUUCCGCAACGCUGACGAGGCUGAGAAGGACAGAUGGUUUGGAAUCGGCGUUUCGACAAAUUGCCCGUGAUUUCUGCAACGCUGAGUUUGCGUGUGACAGGUGCUGACGAGGCUGAGAAAGCUGACACUUCUUCGAUUUUUGAGAUCAGUCCGUGAUCCUUGAGUAGGCCUAGCUUUGGAGAAAGCAGGCGCUUCAUCGAUCUCUGAACUCGCCUCUUCGAUCUCUGAAAGCCCAUCGCAUGCUGUUUUUUUAUAGAGGUACGCAAGACAUUCAAAGCACACUUGAAUUUCUACCUGUGAAAAAAAACUCCCCUUUUGCAUAUCUGAGAUCUUUAAUUUGCCCGACCUCUUCAUUUUGUUGAACACCUUCGGAAAUGUCUUUCCCAUCUGACCGUCGUCUUGACUUGAAUAUCGAAGAAGAUAUUGACAUGUCUUCUCCAGGCAACAUUUGGCAGCUGUCCUUCGUAUCCUCCAACGAACCUCUUACGGUUGGGGACACUGUGAUGAGGAAUGACGCAACGGCUGCAGUGGUUGCUAGAAAUCUUCUCACUCCUAGGGAUAGUAAGAUGCUUUCCAAGCGGUCCGACGAGAUGGCUGUUCAAGACUCUCUGGCCUUCAGCGUCCAAUGUGCGGGCUCAGUAUCAAACAUGGGCCAACGCCUUCUUGCUCGAUCUCGUCAGGUUGAGUCUUUGAUGGCCGAGGUGGCUAGUCUUCGGCAGGAGAUCAGAGGGCUUAGGCACGAGAAUAAAGAGUUGCAUAUGCUAGCAACUAGUUACUCAACGAGCAUGAAGAAGAAGCUAGACCAACUGCAGGAGUGUGAAGUUCGGGCUCGAAAUGAUCAUCAAAGGUUUAUGGCGUUACUCCCGAGGCAUCUUCUGCCUUCGUCAUCUGGCGCUUCACCAAAUGUUGAGGCUCCGGAAAAUCAAACUCUGGCGCUUCGUCUUUCUGGAGCUUUACCAAGUGUGGAGGCUUCAGUUGAUCCACCUCCGGUGCUUCGUCUUUCUGGAGCUCCGUCGAGUACUGAGGCACCACAUGAUCAUCCUUGAAGAUCCUUUCCUGUAAAUUUGAUUUGACUUUUUUUUUAAGGUAUGUAUAAUGUAAAAUUUCUAGAAAAAUAAAAUGGACUUUAUUUCUCUGAACAUGUUUUUUUUGUUUUUUUUUUUGGCUGUAUAUUUUCUCUUUAAUCAUGGUGCACCCAUUUUCCACAUGGUGCCAGACGGACCAAAGAUCAAACAUUUCCUUUUUUUAUUUUUUUAUUUUUUCUUUAAUCAUGGUGGCAGACGCAUAAACAAUUUCAUUUAUAUUUUUUUUUCUUUUUGCUGGCACAUGGUGCCAGAUGCACCAUUCAUUUAUAUAUAUUAUUAUAUAUGUUUUUUUUAUUUUUUUUUAUUUGCACAUGGUGCCUGAUGCACCACCUCUUUUUUUUUCACGUGGUGCCAGCAUCACUUUGCUCCACCAUCCAUUUUUUUUAUUUUUAUUUUCUGUAUAAAUUUGGGUGAUGGGUAGAGGAUUUUGCAGGCAGGGAGCAAGGAGGCCGAGAAGAUGGUGCUUCGAACUUCAUGACCGGCUAGUCGUUUGACGGCGGUCGUUGAAGUCGUUGGCAGUUGCGAGGCAAAAGACGGAGGAGAAGGUGGAGUAGGUGACCUUGAUGUCGGAUCCAGCUAGAACCCAGAGCACAGCGACUGAGCCCAAUCACCGAGCACAACCGCUGCACACCCGUUGUACUGCCACCGAGCACUGCCACUGCGCAUCUGUUGCACUGCCAAUUGCUGCAAAGGAUUAUGUUUAACGGCGGAGACGCUGCCCUAUUUGCCAUGCUAUGCCGACGUGCUUCACAUAAUUAACCAUCCAGAAUUGUUAAACAUUCCAUCUGGGUUUAUCGCAAAAACAGAAGAAGAAAAAAACCAAGAUCCAUCCAUGCCAAACACCAAUCUGCCAUCUUUUUGGGAUUUGUACGACAUCAUCAGCCAAAACCUGCUUGGUCCGCUCGCAAAUUGUGGGAGAGGAAGAGUUGGCGGAGCAGCUGUAACACUGGAAAAUGGAGGACGUUGACGAGUCCUCCAAGUUGUUCUUGACGUUGGUGCUGGAGAAACCUGCCUCUCUCAUGACUCUGCUGACACUUGGGUCGUCAAGGAUGGGGAUGAUGAGCUGCUCGAGCUCGACUUUGAUGGUUAAGAGCGGCUGCUGCUGCUGCUCGAUGCAGUCUCUUCUCUGAUGGGCUUGGGCUCUCUUGAGGGCGUUGGAGAGAGAGGGCUGCCCGUGGAGGAGAGGGCAUGGAGUUGUUGGGAGAAAUCAGGGCCGGAAUGGAAAAUAUUCCCGAGCUGCAUCAACGAGGAGAUAACACCGCUAAGUUAUUCAUCUGGUUUGCUUUAGUCAAAUGGAUCAAUCCGCGGGUCAUGCUCGCUUGCCAUCAUCAUCCCAGUGCACAGGCAUGUCGGGCACAUGACCUUUCCAGCACCAGAGCAAUUUGGGCACCUCUCAGUUGUGGGCACUCGCAAAGGUUGGUCUGAUGCACUAGAUGCUGAUAUAGGAUUGAUGUUCAAGCACACUCCACUUGCAGAACAUCUAGCACAGGCCAAGUACCCAGUUCCAUGGCAAUAUUUGCACCUUUUCUUCUCUUGCUGCUCAACAUUAUUAGCUUCAAUCAACAUCAAUGCUGAAAUGACACCCACUGCCCCACCGGAGAAGGAUGCCACAAUAGGAUCAACCUGACUUAAUUGUAAAGGCAGAUGCAUGCUACGAAUGAAAUCUUCAUACGAGGUACCUCCUAUACCUAAUUUUAGUUCCAACGAUGGCGCAAUGAGACCCCCAAAUACAAUUACACUAGAUAUCAUAGAUAAGCUUGUGAGGUAGAGCUGCUUCAACGUCUUUGGUGUCAUAUGAGGGAGAAAAGGGAUAGUGGAUGGAAUGUCAGGCAUCUCAUUUGACUCUUCCUCACAAGCCUCAUCCAUAUCUCUCGCCAUCUUUAUCCGUUGCUGCACCCGCAAUCUCCUUAGCUCUUCCAUGAGAAGAAAAAUCUUGUUGUGCCGGCUUCUUAUGUUGUCCUAAAUUUCCUGUAGUUGCAUCUGCACAAAGUCCUGCACCGUCUCCGGCUCUUCUAUGAUACAAAAAGUGCUUGGCGUGUUAUCGCCGGGGAAUGAUUCCUUGGAAGCAGAACAGGAAAUUUGGGGAUGCGGGGAGGUGAAUUUGGACAGAGAGAGACGUCUAGGGAUUCCAUGGGAGGGGGGUUGAGAGUGGUUUUUUGCCGGCGCCUCUAGGGUAGUCGUCGUUGGCUAUUGCUAUAGAGAGGUCAAUGACUUCACCGGAGAUGGCGUUGUUCUGGAGCCCGAGCGUGAGAAGCCGGGUGAGAUUGUCUGGAAAGGGUCCCCAGAGGUUGUUGUCGGCGAGGUCGAGAAGCUUGAGCUUGGUGCAAUUGACGAGAGGAGAAACGGUGUCGUUGAGGCGGUUGUUGUGGAGGUCGAAGAGUGAGCUGGGCGAGAUCAGAGAACCUUGACGAAUUCGGAGCGUUGAGGGUUAUCAACACGAUCCCAUCGACGAAGAAGAAGCAGAAUGGGCCUCUUGCGGGGCCUAUGGCAUCAACCGGUCUUUGGGCUUCUGGGCCAGUAAAUUGGAGAGAAGCCUGGGCUUUUGACUUGCAGAGAGAUUAGGCUCUGGGAGCCGCUUGUAGUAUUGUGGCUAAAGGGGUUGCUUCCUGUGGCCACUUAUAUAUAUAUAUUUUGUAAAUACAUAAAACAUUUAUCUCUUUUUUUUUCUUUUUUUUUUGUACAAAGAAAUUGUAAUAGCAUCAAAACUUUUAAUAAAAUCUUUAUUCCUUAUUUUGGUGUGACUGAACUCAAAUUUUGAAUAUUCGAGUUGCCUACGUACCUCUCCAAAGAAGAGAUCAAGUCGUAACGUAGUUCAAAUGAGUGAUGAAUUUAACAGUGAUUUUGAUGAUGAUUUUGUCGUACACAGUUUAUGCUCUUGCGGGCCAGGAGCUUUGGUUCGUGCAGUUUAGGCUCGUGCGAACAAGGAGUGUUGGUGUUGCCUUUUAUGCUCGUGCAGACCAGGAGCGUUGGUGUUGCCUUUUAUGCUCGUGUAGACCAGGAGCUUUGUGCCAUGCAGUUUAGACUCGUGCAGGCAAGGAGCGUUGGUGUUGCCUUUUAUGCUCGUGCAGACCAGGAGCGUUGGUGUUGCCUUUUAUGCUCGUGCAGACCAGGAGCUUUGUGCCAUGCAGUUUAGACUCGUGCAGGCAAGAAGUGUUGGUGUUGCCUUUUAUGCUCGUGCAGACUAGGAGCUUUGUUGUGCCAUGCAGUUUAGGCUCGUGCAGGCGAUGAGCUUUGGUUCAUGCAGUUUAGGCUCGUGCGAACAAUGAGCAUUGUGCCAUGCAGUUAGGCUCAUGCAGGCGAGGAGCGUUUAUUGGUUCGUCAAGCGAUCCAGGAGAGUCGUUCCUCGCAAUCUUCAUAGCAAGGAGCCUUGACUGAGUGAUUGAAGAAGUCUUUGGGGAAGAAAUCGCGCAUCGUGAUGGGGAUGGACGAUAUUUGUGUCGUCAUUUCAUCAUCUUCAACACUUUCACUUUUCUUUGAAGGUUGACAAGAGCUGCUUUGCCCCAUUUCCGAUUGGCGGACUUGUGGAUGAGACGUAUGCUUCUUCUGCAGUUUCUCUAGAGUGACAUGAGUCAUUCCUUCAACUUCGCUUGGCUCAACUGGCAUGGUUUUGGAGCAUGCCCCCAGCGAUUGAGGUGAAGAUUUUGAGUUGACAAAGCCGGAAGUGACGUCUUCUUCCAUGAUUUCAUCUUCUUUGUCUUCUUGGGCUUGUUGGCGUGAAGAUUGGCCGGCGUAGAUGAUGGUGCGCCUCUUUACCUUCAGUGGUCCUUUUGUGUCGACCUCCCAAGCUGUUUGGCGCUUUAUCCUUGAAUGAAUCAAGCUUCGAACGUCGUCUUUUCCUGCUAGACCGUCGAGCUUUUCUUCCUUUGGCGUUGUCUUCCUAUUUCUAGAAUGCUUCUUGGUUUCUUCAAGUUUUUCCAAAGCCGAUCGUUGGGGAGGAGAGCCAGCCUUGCUGCUUUGUUUCUUAGGUUUUGACAACCUUUCAAAAACAGAGCUUUGGGGUGUUGGCGUGUUAAGCCGUUUGAAGAUGGAAGUUCGGUCUUGCCCACCAAUGCGAUCAAGUGCCGACCUUCUGGGUUUUGAACGAUUCAGCCUAUCGAAGACUGACACUCGAAUAGGAGGUUGAGGCUCCUCUUGAUCUUGUUCAAUCCUCAAGCUGAUGUGUCGAGUGCUAGCAUUUUUUGCUUUACUUGAAAUCUUCACGGGUGCAUUUGGUGUGAAGCCAAGUCUAGCUCUGUUGUUGUCAACUCCGUAAUCAUGCUUUUCCAACUUCUUCUGAGUCUCGGUGAAGUCAUGAUCUUUGUCGUUGAUGGUGUUUGAAACCUUCUUCUCAAGAUUUGAAGAGGAAGCAAAGUCGUACCCAGCCUUUAACAUGAGUUCGUAGGCGUUUGGGUUGAGACCUUCUUCGGUCCUCUUAGUUGGAAUGAAGCUUGGGUUCGCUUUGACGCCAUGAUGCGCCUCCAGACGGUUGAUAAGUCCAACGGUUUGCAAGUUUUUCUCCUCCGCAGUCUUUAUCAGCCUUGCAAUUGUUUCCUUCAUCUGAACUAGUUGUUCUUCAAUAGAGGUAGCGCCGAUGGUCAUGACUUGUUCUUUGUUUGAAGCCAUGAAGUGUGCUUGAAUUUCUUGAACAGAGAAAGAGAUGAGAGGUAGAGAUUGUCCCACUGGGCGUGCCAAUUUGUGAACACGGAAAAUUCCCGAAACGAAAGAGACAAGAACAACGUGCACAAACAAAUAUUUUGUAUUUGAUGAUUAUUUUGGGUUACAAUCUCUCUCUAAUUUGAUCCUCUGAUUCGAUCUCCGUAAGGUAUUGGUUUGUGGAUGUGCGAUUGAUCCAAGGGCCGUCGAGGCUUGAUCUUGGAUGAACGGAUCUUCAAGGGCUUUUGGGCUUAAUCUUGAAGAAUAGUGAUGAACGGGUCUUCAAGGGCUUUUGGGCUUGAUCUUGAAGGAUGGUUGGAUGUGUGGAUUUGUCGACGUUGUUGAUCCAAAGGGCCGUUGGGGCUUGAUCUUAGGAUGAACGGAUGAUGAACGAAUAACACUUUCUUCAAGGGCCGUCGGGGCUUGAUCUUGAAUUGGUGAAAGUUCUUCAAGGGCCGUCGGGACUUGAUCUUGAAGGUAGAUGAUUGUUGAUCCAAGGGCCGUCGGGGCUUGAUCUUGGAAGAACGAUGAACGAAGAACGAAGAAGGCUUUCUUGGUUCUUCGGGAACCUGGAUGCUUGAGAGCUUCGGAGUUUCAGAGCUUCAGAGCUUCAAGGUGUAAUAUGAAUUUGGUUCCCCUAAAUGAAUGAAAUUGGCUUCUAUUUAUAGAAUUUUUCAAGGCCUAAUUUUGAAUAUAAUAUUCCAGAUGAAAUAAGUCGUUUCUGCCAAGUGUUGACACGUGUCUUAUUUGAUGACUUUUCCGACUCAUUUCAAUUUUUCGUCGAGUCACACACUACGUGUAAAAUUUAUGUAAUACAUGAGCGUUGAAACUUUGAUUUAUCAGUCAACAUUUAUUUACCAAAAUUUCGAUGUCUACAGUUAAAUGAUUUGGCUGUGUGCAUUGUUUCAGGACAAUUUGUUCUUCGUUUUUUGGGGCUUCUGUGCGUAGCUUUGAAGUCCUUUGUAGUCAACAUAAAUAAUUUUAUUUUUCUUUGUUUUUAGUCUUCUAUGUAAGAAUUUCUUAGUUAAUAUUCUGAGAAUUAUGUUUACUAUAGUAUGAAAAUUGAAUCUUUGUGAUCUUCGAAGUGUAACGUCAUUGCAACAUGGACGACUGCCAUUAUCGAACAUGAAAAACAUUUUGAUUUCUGUACUCCGUCUAGUAGAAAACUCUCGACUUCUUCAGAAACCACGAGAAACUUAAAACUGAGAAAGCUUCGCGGUCUCCCUUCCAUCUCUGCUACGCGGUCUCUGCUUUGCGAUCUCUGCUUCCUUCGUGAUUUCUUCCUUCCUGAACGACAUCUAUUCGAAUUGAAAACCUUCUGGAGCUCUCUUCCCCAAAUUUCAGCAGCAACUUUGCUCCAGAUCUUUCCAAUUGAAAUUCCUCUCCUUCACAUUUUGCAUAUUGAAUUUCGCAUCAUCAUCAUCUCCCUAGAACCUAGGAGUUCGGUUCGGUUUCGAGUUUUCCGACGGAAAUCCGGCGACAGCGGCCAUCGAGGUUGGUCUGAAACUAUUCCUCAUCACCACAGGUACUUUCUACACCUAUUACAUUUUAGAAAAAGUUUCAUGACUUUGUGGAAUCCAAUUUAACGAUUAGAAAAAUUUUCAUUAAUUUUCUGGGUUCGUGAGUUGGAGGGGGAUUAGAAAUUUUUUCAUUAUUUUUCUGGGUUUGUGGUUUUUUUUUUCCAAAACGUUUUUCCUUUCUACUAAUCCAAGUUCCUUCACAUCAAUCUCUCUGUUUUGUUCUUGAUCUUCCUCGAGUAGAAUACCUCUUCUUGCUCUGGAGCGCGUGGGCAGUCUCUCUAAGGCAGCCCAUGACGUCAUUUUCCGAUUCGACUCGGAGGAGGUUGGCUGCUCUUCUUGGCUGAGCUUCAUGGCUGGCCGAAUUCCCCUAUUCCCUUCCUCUUAUACUUUUUUAUAUUCGUUCACCAAAACAAUAGGAAAACGUCUCCGUCUGUUUGAUUGACGGCGAAAAAAAAAAAGACGGAGAAUAAAAGCCUGACGGAAGCUGAAAGCUUGGACUCUGUUUGUAUUUUUAAUGGAUUUUCAGAACACAGGUCAAGAAUAUUGCGAUUUGAGAAAAAAAGAAAGAACCACGUUGACAUAAUAUAUUCACAAUAGGUGUACAAGGUUCAUAAAGCUUUACUGUGGUUCCAUUUUUUGUUAAUGGAAUUAGCCUUUUGUUUUAGGAAGAACUUGGAACCCCCUCCGUCCAUUCUAUCCCCAAUGGAAUUAACACUUAGAUAGUACUAUGACAAUGUGUCAUUAUUUGAUGCAUACCUGUAUAAAUUUAGGCUAAGUGUUUUAUACACAAAUUGAUACAGAUUAACUAUACAAUGAUAACUAUAUACCGGAGAGCUAACUAUACAAUGAUACAUUCUUAUCUGUUAAUUAUCUUUGGUUACCAGCUAUCCAUGUUGCUGUCAUAUUAAACUACACAACAUCAGUUGUAAUUUAUGUCUUAUUAGUAUCAUCAUUUUUGUUCAUUAUUUCAAUGUCUAACAUAACUCCGCCUAUGUCUUACAUGGCCGGUCCCAAGCCCGGAUAAAGGAGGAGGGGGAGGGCGUCAGGUAGUCGACAGCCGGCACUCCAUGAUCACGUCGAAUCCUUAUGAAAAUGAAUCCAGAACAAAACCCCACUUAGUGGGAAAAGGCUUUGUUGUUGUUGUAUUUCAAUGUCUAACAUGAUGAUCUGGUUUCAAUUUGCUACAGGCAUUAUUUCCAGACAAUAGCUAUGGUUUUGAUUGUAGCGGUGACUGAAAAAUUAUUCCGAAACUAACAUUUGAGGAAUUCAAGGUUUGUUAGUUAAUUUGUACAUCAGAAUACCAUGACAAACUAUGAAGUUGUAAUUGUUGACCUUACAAUGUAUCUUUUUUGGUUUGGAGCAUUAGACUUAUAUGUGUUGCUUUCACCUCAUGAAGGCUAACUCUUUAUUUUAGGCCGUAAGAGUAUAAUUUCUUGGAGAAUCUACAUUGUUGAUAAUUUUUUGAACAAUAUUAUCCCCAAAAUUUCUCCGCAUGUUACCCUCAACGUAGACAUCAUAUAACCAUCAUUGAACUUCUGAACCAAAAAUUUGAGUUUUAUGAUUAUAACUAAACGUCUAUAAACACAUGAUACAGAUUGAGACGAAUGUCAAAUUUAAAAUGGCAUUAAUACAGCUGCAAACUCUGAUUUGCGGGAUUUGAAAUGGAGCAGUUACUUCUUGCUUCACUUCAGCAGCAUAGUCCAGCUUCUAAAUUCAGUUCUCAGGUAUGAGGUUUCUCAGUUACCUCUUUUUUGUAAUAAAACAUUUGAUCAGUACUUGCCAGGAUAUCCAAUUAAUUAGGUCAGUUUUUGUUAGCAGUAAUAAUUUGUUUUUGCAGCUUUAUAUGUGUCUCUGUCUCCAAAUAUGAUGAUCUCUUAAUUUGCUUCUAUAGCUUUUGUAAUAUAAUGAUCUCUUAAUUUUCUUUUGCAUAUCUUCUUUGCUUCCUCUGCUAGCUCUAUAUGAGAUUCCAUCUCCAAAUAAUUAUUCCUUAUUUCCUAUUUUUACCAGAAGCAAAUCAUUGAAUACACAUGGUAAAUUAAAAGGGUUUUAGUUUUUGGAGUAGUUUAAAUUUUUUGUUUGUUAUUGCUUGUAUUGCUGUUAAAUAUUUGAUGGGUAGUUUGAAAUGGGGAACUUGGUUGAUUGAGUAUUAACUUUUAUUAAAUUAAUAUUCUUAUUCAAUAUUGAAUUAAGACUCCUCUUAUUAAAUUAAGACUCUUAAGGCUCUAAUCUAAUGUUCAUGCUCAAUAUCUCCUCUAUCUUUCUACAAUUGGUAAAACUUUUGUAUUAUUAUUCCAAUUUUGGUUACUGGGUUGUGGAAUUUUCCAUUUUUUUUCUGGGUAAUCAAUACUAUAUAUAUGCAUGACAAGUAUAAACAAUAUUUUGGGGCAAAUUUAGUUGUUUAAUUUUUAAUUUUUAUGUGACAGUGAGAUUAUGGUAGGAUUUCGUUUAGAUUCUGCGGCCCAAUGGGAGUCUCUGCUUUGAUAAGAUUGGGGUUGAUGCCAAGAAAGCCAAUAAGCCUACUGUGGACGCCGUAGCCGCCUGGCGCUGUUUUCCAAAAUCCUCUCUCACUUGGUUAAGCAAUUAAGACUUUUUGGUUCAGUUUUUAUUAUGCCCAAUUUUGUAUUUAAACCUUAAAAAAAUUUAAACUGAUAUGGGGAUACUGAAAUAGGCUGCAGAGCUGCCAUCCCUGAAUCAGAAGAUGUUCAGAAGGAAGAAGAAGAACAAGAAGAAAGUCGUGGAAUAUCAAAAGCUUUUAGCUUUGUGAAGGUAUGCUUUUUCCCAACUCACCUCUUGCUUUUGUUGCACUGAAUUGGUAGAUUGGGUUCAAAAAUAUAUAUAUGUGAUUUUUCGUGUAACUAUUUCUUUACAUAAUUACCAAUUGGAGGUGAUUUGAGAUCAUGUAACAUUUCCUCGCUAGAACCGAAGAUUGCCGUCGCUCAGAGCUGCGUUUCAUGAAACAAGUUCAUCUCCUGCCAAUUUUGUGUACCCACCUUUUAUUCAUGAGGGUUGGUGCUUGCUUGCAACACAAUUUGGUGCUAUUAAGUUUUGCGGUUUUACAAUUUGUUCAUGCUUAAACCUCUUUCAAAUUUUCAUUUCUAUGUAAAUCUUGCAGGUAGGACGACACACCUAUCUUGGCAAUGUCGGGAUGUCUAGGCUUGGGUGGAGACGUGGUCUUAUGGAAGAGGUGAAGUAGCUUAGCUCGAUCUCAUUAGCUCUUAUCUGUUCUAUUAUGCUAAGAUCAAUAGUAAAAAGUUCUAUUGAUUUUAUAAUCAAAGAUACAUAUAUUAUAGAAACAGAGGGUAUAUAAUUAAUUUCUUGAUGUAAACAAUUAUAACUUGAGGAACCAUUUAAAGUAUUUUGGUAAUCAGCAUACUUAAACUUAAAUGUGAUAUAUCCGUUUAGUAUUUUUUUUAUACAGUGAUAAUACUUAAGUAUAAUUUACAUCAUAUAUCUUUUGAAGUACAUGAAACUAUGAAGAAAAUGAUAAACCAAAUCCCAUUCCAUCUCUGUUUGCUACUGCACAAUCACAAUCCAAUUCCAACAUGGAAUCCUCAGACGACAUGCCUACUGCAGAACAAGUUUCAUCCUGACUUAACUUAUAUUUAGUCCACGUCCUGUUUAGAUUGUAAUCCUAGUUCUACGUGUGUUUGUAUAGUACUCCUAUAAAUAUCAAUGAACAUCGCUCACUCUAAUUAAGAGUUGAGAUUCUGCAAAUCAUAUUUACUAUCUUUCAUGGUAUCACGAGCCAGCGUCUAACGACAACGGUUCCUAUUAUAAUUUUUUUCUCUUUUGCAGAUCCUAAACUAUGGCAUCUUCUUCCUCCUCCGCUGCUCCCUCCAUCACAAAUUUUCUUACGAUCAAGCUCGACCGCAACAACUACCCUCUUUGGCAUGCUCAGUUUCUUCCCUUGCUGCGCAGCCGCAACUUACUCUCUUAUGUUACUGGCGAAACUCAAUGCCCCUCUUUCUUCUUGAUGACAAUGGUAAAUUCACCGAUAAAGUCAAUCCAUUAUAUAAUGAAUGGAUCCAGACUGACCAGAUGAUCCUAUCUUGGAUUACGAGUUCUCUUACUCCCAAGGUUCUUGCUACGAUCGUCAACAAAAUUGAUUCGGCCUCUGCUUGGUCGUCAAACUCGAAUUAAUCUGAUUGUGAGGGUUUUGUUUUAUAUCAAUAUAUUGCAACAGAAGUCACACUUUGAAGAGUUCAUGCUGCACAGAAAGAUGAUGAAAUGCUACCCGUUGAGUCUAUCAUUGCUCCAUUGGAGACAGAGCUGAAGCUUACUGCAGGAGUUAUACAUUUGUUAUGCAAUAUGACCCCUUUAAUUUUAUUUUAAAACUGAUACAAAAAUACUACAAAAAUUUAUGUAGUAUUUUUGUAUCAGUUUUGAGUGUCUAUUUUGGCUUCCAUAUAUCGUCUGUACAUGUGAGAGGUAUAGUGUUCAAUAUGUAUUUGGUUUCUAUAUUGUUAAUGGAUCCUUUUUUUUUUUUUAAUUUUAAUAUAAUUUUAUUAAGGUAACCAAGUUGCAGGAUGACAUCAGAACACUUGAUCUGCAGGUAAACCUUCAAUUUCCAUAUGAAGUUUGCAUGUUCGUUGUUUCUGGAAUUUGAGUUUUUAUUAUUUCUCAAUUCUAUCACAUAGAUUACGAUUUCACAUAUGUGAUUAUUAAUGGCAAUUAUAUGAUAGAAGAAUUGGGAUUGGAAGAAGAUAUUGAGUUGUUUAUUUAUGGGGAUUAGAAAAUGAUUAUCAUACAAGUGAUAUUUAUUUUUGUGUGGAUUGUUAAUAUAUAAAACUAUAAGCUUUUGAGAUUGGGAGAUAAAACCCACAAAUUCAAAUCAGACAAAAUAAAUAAAAAAUUUAACUGACUUAAAGAUCAAACUCCAAAAGGGUAUUAAAAACAAGGCUUAUUUGAUCCAUUGAGUGUGAAAGUUUUGAGCUUUGAAGAAGCAUAGGAGGAGAGUUGUUAACCAAGCUGCAUUAUCCAUGUAUUAGGAUGUUGAGGGUAGGCAGGAAAAAUACUUUUUGACGCCAUAUCCAGAGGAGCAUAACGACAGGCCUGCAUUUUUGCAGCAAGGACCAAAACAAGUAGAAGUGAAGGCUUGACUGUUUGGGUAUUAAUCCUAAACCUAAUUAUUCUUAUUUAGGUUUAGGAUAAAUGAUUGAGUGUGUCUCGAUGAUUGUAUUACCAUGUUUGAUGAAUGACUUGAGGAGUUGGAAAUGGUUUAUUGCUUAUGUUUUUCUUAGGUGUGUACUUUGGUUAUUUCCGAGCUUUUCACGACUCUUGAUACCUAAUAGAGAAAAUGGAAACCCCAACUUUAAUUUUAUGAAUUGGUUUUGGUGCCUAAAAUGAAAUCUAGCAUAGUGAAAUCUUGCAUAAUGAAAUUAUGACAAAUUUCCCUUCAUCUUUAGAUUUUCAUUUAGUUCAAUUUGUAUGCAAUUUAGGGUUAUUCAAUUCAUGAGUGAUCAAAUUAUGUUUUUAAUUCCUUCUUCUUUUGAUUUACAGUUCAACAUUGUCGUACAAAAUGAAAAAGGUGCCAGUAACAUAGUUAUGGAUUUGGAUGCCUUUAGCGGAAUAAAACUGAAUUUUUUAACUUUGUAUAGUUGUAAACAUAAAAUACUCCAUCAGAUAGACUCAUAGCAUUUGAAAACAAUCCUUGAGGAUGGCAUAACAACAUCUCCAACUUUUGUCAUGUAAUGUAUGAAUGUAAAUAGCACUUUGUAAACAUAUGGAUGUAAUAUAUGUAUAUAAACAGUCUUUAGCAUGUAUAUUUUUCAAAACUUUCUACAUCUUCAACAAUGUUUCAAUGAUUUCUUGAUGUAAACAAUGAUAAUUUGAAGAACCAUUUAAAGUUUUCGGUAAUCAGCAUACUUAAGCUUAAAUGUGAUAUAUCCGUUUAGUAUUUUUUAUACAGUGAUAAUACUCAAGUAUAAUUUACAUCAUAUAUCUUUUGAAGUACAUGAAACUAUGAAGAAAAAACCCUAAUUAAUCUGAUUAUGGGGGUUUUGUUUUAUAUCAAAAUAUUGCAGCAGAAGUCACACUUUGAAGAGUUCACGCUGCACAGAAAGACGAUGAAAUGCUAUCUGUUGAGUCCAUCAUUGCUCCAUUGGAGACAGAGCUGAAGCUUGCUGCAGGUGGUAUACUUUUGUUCUGCAAUAUGACCCCUUUAAUUUUAUUUUAAGACAGAUAGGGUUGAAAAGAAUUUAUGUAGUAUUUUUGUAUCAGUUUUGAAUGUCUAUUUUGACUUCCAUAUUUGGUCUGUACAUGUGAGGUAUAGAGUGUUCAAUAUGUAUUUGGUUUCUAUAUUGUUAAUGGAUCUUUUUUUUUUGUUUUUUAGGUAACCAAGUUGCAGGAUGAAAACAAAACACUUGAUCAGCAGGUAAACCUUCAAUUUCCAUAUGAAGUUUGCAUUUUUGUUGUUUCUGGAAUUUGAGUUUUUUGCAGGAUGAAAACAGAACACUUAAUCUGCAGGUAAACACUUGAUUUGUUAUUUCCAAGCUUUUCACGACUUUCGAUACCCAAUAGAGAAUAUGGAAACCCCAACUUUAAUUUUAUGAAUUUGUUUUGGUGCCUAAAAUGAAAUCUAGCAUAGUGAAAUCUUGCAUAAUGAAAUUAUGACAAAUUUCCCUUCAUCUUUACAUUUUCAUUUAGUUCAAAUCGUAUGGUUUAGGGUUAUUCAAUUCAUGAGUGAUCAAAUUAGGUUUUUAAUUCCUUCUUCUUUUGAUUUUCAGUUCAGCAUUGUCGUAUUUUGGAUGCCUUUAGUGGAAUAAAACUGAAUUUUUUUAACUUUGUAUAGUUGUAAACAUAAAAUACUCCAUGAGAUAGACUCAUAACUUUUGAAAACAAUCUUUGAGGAGGGCAUAACAACAUCUCCAACUUUUGUCAUGUAAUGUAUGAAUGUAAAUAGCACUUUGUAAACAUAUGUAUGUAAUAUAUGUAUAUAAACACCACUCUUUAGCAUAUAUAUUUUUCAAAACUUUCUACAUCUUCAACAAUGUUUCAAGCCCCGCGGCAACGGGCGGGUACACUUGCUAGUAUACAUCUAAAAUUAUAAGACUAAAUCCUUUAGUUCUUGGAUUCAUCUAAGAACUACUUAUUCCAGCAGAUGCUAUGCUUGCACUACUAGAAUUUAUGGCUUGCCCUGUCAACUAUUGCGCGACAGAAGAUUUCGUCGGUUUCACCUUUUUUAACCGACAGAAUAUAAGUUUAGUAGGGCAAAAUCAGUCAACAAACUGGGUUGAUUGAAUAAAUUUACAGGAUGGCUAGAGUUCGUAGGUUAAGACAUCGGUCGUUGGGCAAACAUUUGGAGCGAAGAUGUGAGUGUUUUAACUGACGAAUAAGCUGGUCGUCAUGUAGAUCUUCUUUCCCGACGGACGGUUCAACAGGUAGCUCUUUGGAUAAUAAUUCAUCUUCAAGGGGAACAGGUUGCCCCUCAGAUGAAUGGUUAGAGGCAAUUGUGAGACUAUAAUUUUCUAGGGCCGGAAUAAAAAAUACAUAAACCCUCACCUAUUCUGUCUCUGUAACCAUCCACCAAAUACCCAUUUUUCCCUUUCUAUUUCUCUCCUAGUAAUUUCCCCUGACCGAAUCACACAAUCCAACCAACUCUCUUUAAGCCUCCCUCACUGAUUCCAUGGAUUUCAUGGACUUAUCCCACCCUCUCUCCUUCCUUCUAUAUAUAGCAAGUCCCCUUGCCUCAGUGUCCCUGGCAACAGAAUUUAUGGCGUUUCUUCGUUCUUUCAAUUAUUUGAAAGCUUCCCUGCCCUGCAAUCUUGUAUAAAGGCGUAUGGUGUUUCAUCAGUUCCAUUUGGUGGUCGGGUGGGAAAUGAAAUUAAAACACUGCAUUUCAAAUGCAUUUCAAAUGGUCUAAACCAAAUUGAAUCAAAUGUGAAGCAAAGGGCAAGAGGUGUAGAUUGAAGAACAAUGGCACCAAGAGCGAAAUUGAACUUGUUGACAGGAGGAAACCAAGUAAGGAUAACACGUCUAAAUCUUAUUUUGAAUCCAUUCAGCUCAUGAUGUUUUGAAUGAUGAUGAUCGGUAUACUCUGCUACAUGCUGUGAUUUUUCCGCUUUCAUGUAAUUAACGGCUUAUAUUUGUGGUAACCAUAUUGAUUAAAAAAGGUCGUACCCAGUGCACAAGGCUCCCGCUUUACGCAGGGUCUGAAAGGUGAAUGUCGGCUAGCCUUACCCCCAUUUUAUGGAGAGGCUGCUCCAAAGUCUCAAACCCAAGACCUACCGCUCAUGGGCGAAGACACUUGCCAUCGCACCAAGUGCGAUAUUGAUUAAUUUCGAGAAAUGACAGUCUAAUUUUUGCAACUGUCUUUUGCAGGCAAAACAAAGACGUUUGCAAGGGUGAGUUGUGUAGGAGCUUUGUUUCAUGUCCAAAGGACACUUGAGAAUAAAUGUUUACACUCAUGGAUAAUAUCUAUCUAUUUGCAGGAGUAACCCUGGGUUCAUUUGUUCUGUAACUGCUGGUCAUUGCGGCAUAUCACGCCUAUAGCACUGACAAAAGUAAAAAGAGAAUCGAAUGAAAUUUGAUAAGUUUUCAGCGGACUACAAAGAUCUUAAGCCAAGCAUAUAUUCCCAUGCAGAUAUUAAGAGGUUUACAAAUCAAUUCAAGUACAAGUUGGGCCAAGGAGCAUACGGAACUAUUUUUAAAGGAAUGCUUUUUUCUGAAUGCUUUGUUGCCAUGAAGUACUUAACAAUGGGCCAUAUUCACCAUGUCAAUGUGGUUCACUUGGUUGGUUUUUGUGCUGAUGGAUUUAGAUGAGCUCUGGUUUAUGAGUUCUUUUCCUUUGGUUCACUCCAGGAUUAUAUUUCAUCAGUAGAUAGAUUUCUUUCCUUGGUUGGCAUAAGUUACAAGAUAUUGCUAUCAGCAUAGCCAAAGGAACCAAGGAUGUGAUCUACAAAUCCUCCAUUUCGAUAUCAAACCCCAUAAUGUUUUGCUCAACCAAAAAAUCACGCCAAAAAUCUCUGAUUUUGGUCUGGCCAAGUUAUGUUCCAAGGAUCAAUCGGCGUGACUAAAGCAAGGGGGACUAUGUGACUAAAGCACCCGAAGUGUUUUCCAGGAAUUUCGGAAAUGUGUCUUACAAGGCAGAUGUCUUGAAUGCUGCUGCUUGAGAUGGUAGGAGAAAAGAAGAAUAUUGGUUCAACCAGAGGACACGACAAAUGAAAUCUACUAUCCAAAAUGGAUUUAUAAUCUUCUAGAGGAAGGAAAUGACCAACAGAUCCCUAUUGAGGAAGAAUGUUAUGGUAAGAUUCCAAAGCAACUUGCAAGUUUAGGGCUCUGGUGCAGCCAGUGACACUCAGUGGAUCGGCGGUCCAUGAAAACGGUGGUUCGGAUGUUAGGAGGAGGAGAAAACUUGAUGAUGCAAGCAACCCUAAAAGCCUCAUACAGUUAGAAGCAAUUGCUGAAUUAGAGUAACAUACGUAUAUGUAUACGCACCAACACAAGUCGUUCUUAGAUGAAUCCAAGCCAAACAAUUACAGACAAUAGUUAUUCACUAAAUCACUUUAAGGCAAGAAUUUAAUUAAUAAUACAUUACUGCACUUUCUUAACCAUUUGACUAUCACCUAGCUGACAAUGAACACGUUAGCUCCGCGUUAGAACAUCUUGGGUUCAAUUCAUUGUCUUGAAUAUCACCCACUGUCACAGGCGUCUUUUGGGGGCAUAGAGAAGGCCUGAGAGGCAUUUGCAGACAUUCAACAUCUCCUCCAAGCAUUUUGACAACUUUGGACAUCGAAGGGCGAUCACUUGGUUUCAUUUGAAUACACCACAAGGCGGUUAUAACCAUCUUUCUUAUUACUUUCUUUUCCUCCUCUGU